AAAAAAAGCAAAUCUUCCACGACGGUUGAGAAGCAAAGCACCACAUGCUAUGCAAAAUCCAACAGUGAAACCAAUGGCCCCACCAAUAUAGAACCAACCUUGAAGUUCGUCUAUACCUUCACCCUCACUUUCACCAAUGAUGUGUUGUAUUCCCGAUUCUUCAUCUCCAGGACAUUUUUUGGUAAGGGGAGGUCCACAAAGCCCUAAGUUCCCUUCGUAUCUUGAAGGGUCAAAGGUCUGAAGUUGUGUGCUGGAUGGGAUUCUCCCUGACAAGCUAUUAUCUGAGACGUCUAGGUAAUUUAGCCAAGUCAUUUGAGACAUGGUUGAUGGUAUUUCUCCAGAAAAAUUGUUUCUAGAUAAAUCCAAAAUUAAAAGGUUUUUCAUCUGACCGAUUUUCCAUGGAAUCUUUCCUAGUAGAGCGUUCUUAGAUAAGUUGAGUGCAAUCAGUUGAUCAAGAUUGGUAAUCUGAUAUGGGAUUUCCCCUGAUAAGUUGUUGCUUGACAGGUCGAUGCUCCUCAACAACUUCAUAUUACUUCUGAUGAAUUCACGUUCACUUCCUUGCCACUGGAUCAUCACAUGGUCAACAUUAUAUGAAUAUAUUAUUAAUAUAUCGUCAGGAUCUAAAUUCUGUAGUUGAGAGAAUCCUUGUUGCACCAUGAUCGUAAGAUUACUCAAACAUGAGGGGAUGCUUCCAUGUAAAUGGUUCACGGACAAGUCUAGAAUUUGAAGACUUACUAAUUGACAUAAUUGUAAAGGGAUGCUUCCAGAGAAGUUGUUUGAUCUUAACAUAAGAACAUACAACCCAGAUAAGCUUUCCCCAAUCCAAACAGGCAAAUUACCAGAAAACUUGUUCGCCCCCAAAUUCAAUGAUUUUAAGCUUGUGCAAUUCUUAACAGACAAAGGAAAUUCUUCGGAGAAAUCAUUCUUGUAUAAAUCCAACGCCUCUAGCUUAAUCAUAGAUCCAAGAGAGGCAGGAAGCCUUCCAGAAAGAUUAUUGUGUUCUAAAUUAAGAACUUGUAGUUCUUUGAAAUGCCACAAACAAUCUGGAAGUUGUCCGCUUAGAAAGUUAUGGGAGAGGUCAAGAAUAACUAAAAAGCCAUGGACAACUUGGCAUAAGAAGGAGAUUCCUCCAGAGAAUUUGUUUCUGGAAAGAUUUAGUAAUGCCACAGUGGAAGAGACAUUAGUUAUUGGACCGUCAAAGCUGUUGGAGCUUAAAUCUAUCACUGAAUUGCUGUCAAAAUUUGAUGACAGAUCUGGUAGUUUGCCACUUAUGUUGUUGGAAGAAAGAUUCAGGAAUGUUAACCGGGAAGGCCAUGAGUCCCAAAACUCAAGAGGAAUAGUAUCUGAAAUGCCAUUAUUUGCAAUAUCAAUACUGGUAAGAUUUUUCAAAUUUUGAAUCCAUUUGGGGAAGAGAGGCCCUAGUUUGCAAGAGCUUAGUUGAAUAGAUUCUAUAUGAGAACGGUUUGACAUGUAAUCUGAGGCAGGAAAUUCAUGGAGUGAGUUUUCGGAAAGAUCAAGAUGUAUAAGCUUGGGCAGUUCCCACAGUUUCUUACUUAUAGUUCCUUUUAGCUGAUUCUCAGAAUGGGACAGAGACGUUAGGGAUGUGAACUUUUGGAUGUCAUCAGGCAAUGACCAUGUAAAUUGGUUUGUUGGAGCAUACAACCAUUGUAAUGAAAGCGAUGUGCAUCCAGACAAGUUGUUGAGAAAAUCAGGAAAUUUGAUAACACCAGAGUUGUUAUAGAAGUAAAAACGUUCCAAACUACAGAGGUUACCAAGAUAUUUGGGUAUCCCAUCUAACAUGUUGCCAGAGAGAUAAAAUCGGACUAGGCUAUUGCUGGUUAAUGGGAACAACCAAUGAUACAUGGACGAGGUGAGAUUGUUGUCUCCAAGAAUAAGGUAUUUAAUAGAUGAGGAAGAAGAGUUGAUAAUUUGUGAAGAAUAUGGAUAAAUGACCUGUGACAGCUCACAUCCCGAUAAACUUAAAACAGAGAGUUUACGGAGACUGAGAAUAACAUCUACCCAAUGAUUUGUUUUGGCCAGUGAAAUCCCAUCCAUUGCAAGUCCCUCCAGAUGAGAUAGAGGAGACAACCAGUCUAGGUUCUCAACUCUACACCUUCCAACCUCGACAAGGUAAAGCACUUGCAAGUUGGUGAGGUUUCCAAACUCUGGAGGAAUGGCUCCAUAAAGAGAAUUAGAUGAAAGGUCAAGGUAUUUUAAUUCUGUCAAGGAACCGAUGGACAUGGGAAUGGUUCCAUUAAGAUUAUUGAAGCCAAGGUGAAGGGACCUUAAUUGAGUCAACGAACCAAUGAUCGCAGGAAUGGUUCCAUGAAAAGAAUUGUAGGAAAGAUCAAGAUAAUUCAAGUAGGUUAAGUUAACCAAUGAAUGGCUAAUCUCACCUACAAGACCACAGGACAUCAGAUCAAGCUCUGUGACAUGACCACCUGUUUGGUUGUUGCAUGUUACUCCACUCCAUUGACAGCAGUUGUCUUGUUCAGCUGUCCACAUAGAGAGACGAUCAGAAGGGUCUUGAAGGAGAGAUUUGAAAUGAAGGAGAGAAUAUUUCUCCUUCUCAAAACACUUCUUCCCAACAACAUUUUCAUCUCCUCCUCCCACUGCUGCCAAUUGGUUGGCAGCUGCAGUCUCAAGACAUAGCAAGAGAAGUGAGAAUAUCAUAAAAACACAAGGAUGCAUGAUGUAAAUGCAAAUCUUAAUUGGUGAUUUUUUUUGUUUGUAUUAAUGAAAAUUUGAAGAUGCCCUAUGCAAGUUUAUAUAGUGCCAACUUUGAAAAUGAAGGAUUUAAGUGGAUGGCGUCAACUACAGGCCUAAAAAAUAAUAAAUUCUGUUUUUUUUUUUUUAAAUAGUAGGAACAAAGUCUUUUUUUUCCUUUUAUUUUUAUCAAUAUGGAAGCAUUAUUUUCAUCUUGUGAUAUCUUUUGGUCCUCAUCUUAUGUCAUACAAAUCCCAAAAAACAAACUAACAAAAUCAAAUACACAAAUCAUUUAGGAAAAAGCACAAAUGGUAAAUAGGUAAUGAAUUAGUGCCUGGAAACAUUAUGUGUCUUUUGGCUUAAUAUGUUAUGUCAAAAAGAAACAACCAUAUAUAGUUAGCUUUCCAGAUCAAGGGCUUAAUUUAUUAAGCCUAUUAAGUCAUAAAGAAUCAGCCCCUAAGGGCCUAAGUGCUGAGUGAUAAAUGAUGAAUCUCCAGAGAAUGUAUUGGAUAAAAUAACGCUAAUUGUUUUUGUAUUUUGGAUUAAAUGAACCAUUCGAAUAAGAGAAAAUGACCAUUUUACCCUUAUUUAGCAGGUUGUUUGUUUGAGAAUUAUUGUAAUGUGAAACUAAAAAUCAGUGUGAUGCGACCAUUAGACUUAAAUAUGUUUGUCAAAAACAACCAUAACUGUCCUGUAAUUAUUUUGUACAGAUAGUGCAAGACCUUUUUCAAAGCAUUAUUUCCUAAACAACAAAUCAGAAUGUAAACGAGUUGUUAUAUCCAGAAACAUUGAAUUAAACACUAAUUUAACGAGGAUUCAUGCAUAUCAUAUUCCCGUCAGUUAUUAAACAACUUCUAUUUAUGUCUAAUUGAGACAAUUCUUCCAAUCCUAUGCAGAUUUAAUCUCUUAAACAGAUUUUUGAUACCAUUUAGAAAAGUUCCAACUUCCAACAUAAACAUUAACCCAGAAACAACUCUAAUUUAUGGAAUCAAUUGAGGUUUUCUCAAUGGAAACAAAAAGGCACCGUUCCGUUAAAACUAAAAAAAAUUAAGGAAAAAAAAAAGAAACAGAGAAACAUCAGUCAACAGAAAAUGGUGAAGAGAGAGAGAGAGAGAGAGAGAGAGAGAGAGAGAGAGAGAGAGAGAGAUGAUCGAGAAUGAACAGCUGAGAUAGUCCAACAACUUACCUGAUGGAAGAGACCGAGGGAGGAACGACGAAGAUGUUAGGUAUAUGUUGCUUUCACAUGGUUAGUGGACAACACAAAAGAGUCACCUAUCAAUUGGCACACAAAAGGAAUAAUAGGCACUAAGAAGUAAGAAACUCCAACGGACCACUAUUAUUAUUAUUAUUAUUAUUAUUAUUAUUAUUAUUAUUAUUAUUAUUAUUAUUAUUAUGGGAUAGAGGCCCAAAUCACUCCAAUGGCACGCCAAAUGAGACGCUACUUUUAUGUUGAAAAUAAUAGGCACUAAGAGAACUCCAUACGAGACCACUAUUAUUAUUAUUAUUAUUGCGGGAUAGAGGCCCAAAUCACUCUAAUCACAUGCCAAAUGAGACACUAAUUUUGUGUUGAAACUAAUAGGCACUAAGAGGACUCCAAAGGACCACUAUUACUAUUAUUGUGGGAUAUAGGCCCAGAUCACUCAUGCCAAAUGAGACACUAAUUUUGUGUUGAAAAUAAUAGGCACUUUAGAGGACUCCAACGGACCACUAUUACUAUUAUCGUGGGAUAGAGAAUCGCACGCCAAAUGAGACACUAAUUUUGUGUUGAAAACUUUUGGCCUUUAAAUAUGGUGCUCACUCAAUUACUACACAAAAUCAUUUUUACAUUAUAACUUAGGGUUAAUGACUUAAAAGGGUAAUUAAGUUUCAAUUUUGUACAAAAUACACCAUUGAAGUAUAUCAACCAACUUAAAAUAUCGUUUACAUAAUACCAUCUUAAUUGACUUUUCUUUCUUAUAUUCCAUUGUGUAACUGGUUCUACCGAUUAUGAGGUAAAGAUGACUUGAAAAAAAUCAACAAUUACCGUUCAUCGUCCUCUCCAUCUUCGGAGCGGGGCGGAGACAGUAGGGGGGCUGUCGGAUGUUUUGCCCCCCUCAAUCUCUUUUAAAAAGAAUAGCUCUCUUAUAUAUAAAAUAAGCCUAUGAGUAAAUAUUUAUCCCACAUCGGUAACUAUUAAAGUAAGCCCUUCUCAAUUAUUUUUAUAAAAGCAAUUGUUUUAUGUGAAAAGUAUGAAGUUGUGAGAAUUAUGACUAAUUGAGGCGCACAUAAAAAAUGACACUCCCUCUGCUCCAAAUAUUUUUAUUUUAAUAGGCUAUUGAUUUUAUACCUUAUUAAUGUCAACUAGAUGGGUAUCCCCGCGAUGCAGGGAUUCGAAGGUAUUUUUUUGUAAAGUACAUUGCUAAUCUCUUGAAUUCAUCUAUUUAACUAUGUUGGACUGAUAAGCAAUGCACCAUUAUCAAACGUGGCACUCGAUUGCUUUUUACCUACAAUUUCUUUAAAAACUCUGAAACAAUGCUGAAGUUGGUAUAAAUAUAAAAUGCAAGAAUCCUAUCAUCUAUUUUAAAAGUAGUAAUCUAGGAUCCUUAUUUGUAACAAAUCAAAGAUUCCUAAUUACAUAAAUAGUCCCUGUAAUUACAACAUUGGAACUAUUGUUUUAAGCAGCAGGCGGAUGCCACUUUCUAAUCUAGCUAAUCCCUACAGAUGUACAACAGCAACUUUGAACAGAUUAUGUAUCCUAUUGCACUUUCUUCUCUGUUAAACCUUCGUCCACUUUAGGAUUCUCAGUAAAAAAAAACAAAAAAUAGAAUUCUAUGAAAUGCAAUGCUAUAUCAAUGUACUUUACCAUUGUUUCACAUGUGGAGAUCAGGUGUAGACUCUAAAAGUUGCAUCAUGUAGAUAUGAAUAAUUAAAAAAAUAGUGGAAAUUAACAUGAUAUUGACCAAACUUUGGUUUUUUGAGUUAUUUUUAUGUUUAUCUGCUCCUUUGAGUGAAUUCCAACAACAUCCUUUGCAUUCCUCCUACCAAUGUAUUCAUUUCUUUCACCUACUCCAUGUAUCUGGUAGUAAUUUUACCCAUUCAGACAAUAAAAUAAGUUUGGAUCUCCCAGUUUGUAUCUUUUUAAAUAAGAAAAUAAAGCAAAGAUAUGGAGAAGAAGAUAUAGUGUCGGAUCACCCAAUUUGCAUGAAGAGCUUCCAUUAGUUCAUCCACUAUUGAAAUAUAUUCUUGUCCUUCCAACCUUCAUUCUCGUAGCCCUAAAUCUGUCAAUUAAAUUACAAGAAGGUCAUUAGUUAAAAGUGUGCUAUGACUCUAUAAAGAAACGAUAGAUAACAUAAAUCACAAAGUUUUGUGUGUAUGAAAGUUGUAAAUAAAAAUAAAUUUAAGUUUUGACUUAAAAAAUCAUACCCUUUGUGGAUUAAUACAUAUAAAGUUUCCGAAUUAGAAUACCAAUUUCCUGAACUCCAAAAUCACCUAACCCAACUAUACGAUUGCCAUCUCUCAGCACCAUGAUGUCCACCUCAUUUGCUUUAAAUUUAGUCAACUAAAAAUUGCUAUAAUGCAAAAUGGCUUAUUUGACCACUUAUGUUAAAAAGGGAUCAUUGAAAACAUAUAACCUCAUGAGCUGUCCCAUUUUAAAUUAAUGACAUCAUCUCUCUAUCUUUUGCACUAAAGUACAUUCCACUUGGACGCUUAAACAAUCCUGAAUAGUUUUGGCAUUCAACUCGCCGGAAACCAGGUCGUCGACUUUACAGGUGUAUCUGCACCCUUUCUCUUGUAUCUGAAAUAAGAAAACUGGAAUAUCCAUUAAAAAAAUUUAAUGAAAAGAAUUGAAUUGAAAAUUUUGUUAAAUGACCCAAACGCCCUUUAAUGGAUUUUUUUAAACAAAAUUCUACUUAUGGAGGAUCAAAUGGGGCCUUCUCUACCAAAAUCCAUUCAAAUAGCUAUCUUAAGUCAUGCUUACUCUGCAACAUGAAUCAGAGGAUGAAUUAGCGCAAACAAACUGAAGCUUAUGAAGCAUUAAACUUUUAAAAUCCACAUUGUUGUUUGUAUCCAAAGAUGUCAAAGGGUUAUAUGCAUGGAAUAGCAACCUACUUUAGGCAAUAUAUUUGUUUUCACAGAAUGCCUAUAUACUUUACAUUUUGUUUGUAUUUUUAUUGUUUUACACAAAAUAACAACAUAAUUUAGAUUUCAUCAUGUUAGUUCCUUGAGGCAUGUUGCCUAAAAUUAACAGAAAAAGUAGGGGUGCAAACGAGNNNNNNNNNNNNNNNNNNNNNNNNNNNNNNNNNNNNNNNNNNNNNNNNNNNNNNNNNNNNNNNNNNNNNNNNNNNNNNNNNNNNNNNNNNNNNNNNNNNNNNNNNNNNNNNNNNNNNNNNNNNNNNNNNNNNNNNNNNNNNNNNNNNNNNNNNNNNNNNNNNNNNNNNNNNNNNNNNNNNNNNNNNNNNNNNNNNNNNNNNNNNNNNNNNNNNNNNNNNNNNNNNNNNNNNNNNNNNNNNNNNNNNNNNNNNNNNNNNNNNNNNNNNNNNNNNNNNNNNNNNNNNNNNNNNNNNNNNNNNNNNNNNNNNNNNNNNNNNNNNNNNNNNNNNNNNNNNNNNNNNNNNNNNNNNNNNNNNNNNNNNNNNNNNNNNNNNNNNNNNNNNNNNNNNNNNNNNNNNNNNNNNNNNNNNNNNNNNNNNNNNNNNNNCUAAAUAAGUUUAAGCUCGGCUCGAGCUCGUUAAGAAGCUCGUUUACUAAUACCCUAAAUCCGUAAUUCCUCUAAUAUAUUUUUAUUUUAAUAUAUAUAAAUAAUAAUAAAUUAUAUUAUAUAAAGGCUCGUUCAGGCUCGCGAGCCUAAUCGAGCUUAAUGACAUAGGCUCGAGCUCGAGCUCGUUUAAUAAACGAGCUUAAUAUUAAGCUCGAGCUCGACUCGGGCUCAUUUAAAAUCGAUUUCGAGUCGAGCUUUUAAUGAUCCGAUCCCGAGUAGCUCGCGAGUAGCUUGGCUCGUUUGCACCCCUAAGAAAAAGGGUGCAUUGCUUAAAUAAAUAUUGAAAAGGGUGUGAUGCAUAAGAUAGGAAAUGACCUAAAGUGGGUUAAUAUUAUGUGCUAGAAAGUUUUUACAAAUCAAAAUAUUUAGGAAGUAAAUGAUACCCUAAGGAAUAGAAAUACCAUUACCUGAAAAUAAUCCAUCCAAGUGAUAUUGCUUUUUGAAUUCCUUAAACAUUUGAAUUGUUUUCUAGAUUUUUAUAGUUUUAUAGCAUAUUCUCUUAUUACAUUUUUCAAGAUUUUAUUACUUAUUAGUAUAUCUAUCGAAAUGGCAGUUCUUAUCAGUCACACAAAUUGUUACAAAUGGGUCUUUUUGUCAAUGUAUUAAGCGUACUUACGUAUUUUUUAGAUAUUAUUGUUACAAACUCAUUACUAUUCUUGUCUAAACCCUAAACCCUAAACAAACAACAAUACAUUUUCCAUAAUAACAAAUAUUCAGGUUAACAUCAAAAUAGCAGAAGAAAUUAACUACCUGGCUAUAAUUUCUGAAACUGGACAACCUUUUUCCUUUAAUUUCAAACCCUAGGCAACAAAUUGUUGAAGAGGAUGAUGAUGAUUCUGCUCUUCAAGAAGGAAUUCAGAUCACGAACAAAAAAUAUAGAAGUAUGAAGUUAAAACCAAAAAUUUAUAUAUUGUUUAUUUGUAUUAAAUCAUGCACUCUUCUUCCUUAUUCGAGCGAGGAGGUGUUGAAGAAGUUAGUGCCGAGUCGAAAUGCUUCACGAACGGUGGCGAUGGCUUCUUCAUUGGAGACAGGAAGCCUGAAAUCCUUCUUGAUUUCCAAUCGGAAGCCGCUAGGUUAAGAAGACCAUGUGGAUUCUCUUAGCACUUAAUUGGAUGAGAACGGCGGUGAUGAAUGGGCGUGUGGAGAUCAGUGAAUCGGCGCACAAAGGAAAGAUGGACAUCAGUCAAAUGACAGUGAUGAAAAAUUGUUGUCGUUUGAUUUAUGGAGGCAAAUGCAAAAAUCAAACCUGACACCGACUAUUAAGAAGGGAUAAAAUGAAGAAGCAGAAGGUAGACUAUGCUGGAGCUAAUGGCGGUGACACCACCAACCUUGGUUAUAAACCCGACAAUGACAUCAAACGUCAACCUACACCAUCAAUUUAGAGCAGAAACAUCAACAUGCGUCUAGGUUUCCUGAGGUUGGAGCGGUGGGAAGCAUGGAGAAGAGCAAGAUAACCUGAUAGAAAAUAGUGGAAGCGUUAGAUGGAGAGAGAUAGUCAAAGAUAUCUAUGGAGUUACUGGGUGAUAAUACGUGGAGUACCGGUAUUGUAUCGUAGAGACGGUGUAUCAUGGGGAGGACACGUAGCACCGACGAAGAGUGAAGAGGGAAGGAAAGAAUGAGACGUAUCAACGGUACAAUGCAGAUGAACAGGGACUAAAUUGCCAAUAUGACAAACUCUUGUGGCAAAAUCCUUAACCAAUGAAAAUAUGUAAAGUUGUGGACCAAUUUUGUCAAAUCCUUAGCCACUUUACUGUAGCUAAGGAUGGACAAUUUUAAUAUAUAUAUAUAUAUAUAUAUAUAUAUAUGUGUGUGUGUGUGUGUGUGUGUGUGUGUGUGUGUGUNUAUUGAAGAUUCUAUAUUGUUAUUUAAUUUAAUUCUCUAAUCAAUAAAAACCAAAUUUUGUAAACCUUAUUAUACAUUUUAUUUUUUUGUAACUUGUAAUUAAUAAUUUAAUUAUAAUUGAACUUAAAGUCAGAUACUACUUUGUAUAUUUUUAUAAAUUUUAUUUAAUUGCAUUCUUCUAAAAUGGAAAAUAAUAUGAUAUUAUUUGUUUCCUAACUUGUUCUUUUUAAUAGUAAUAGGUUAAUAGAUAACAAAUAUGAUUUUGAUAGUUUGAAAAUUUUAAAGAUUGUUUUUUACAAAGAUGAAUAUAGUUCCUAUUUAAAUGAAUUUUUUUCUGUAUCAAUUUCUUUUUAAAUUAUACAUACUCUAUUAUUAUACUCUAUUGUGAUAUUUGGAUAUAAAAAUAUUUCAAUAUCUAAUUACAAUAUAAGCCCCUCUUAUCCUAAAAUUGUGACUCCGCCCUUGUCCAUCUCUUCCUGGCUUCCGUUCCAGGUCUAACCGGAGACCUGCUGUACCUCCCCCUUGCGCACUGCCUUUUUCGAACCGACAUCCAAAUGACCCCUCGCAUGCUACUGUUCAUCGUCCUCUCCAUCUAAAAACCUGCAACAAAAAUCAUAAAAGGAACCAACAAAAAAAAUGCUUCUGCUCACUGACAAGUCGGAACCACCUCUUGUUACUUUGCUUUGCUCCAAGAAACAUCACCAAACUAACCCAUUUUCCAGCCCCUAUCGGGAUGCCUUUUUCCAGCCAUAUUCAAACCUCAGUCACCCUCGCAACCUCCUCUUCUCGCACCACCUCCAAACAAACUUGCACCGCCUCUAAACAAACUCACAUGCUGCCUUCUUCGUUUCGGUCCAACUAGAGACCUUGAAAUCCACGGGAUACUACCUUUAAAAACUCGAACACCAUCACCACCUCUUACCUGUUUUACCCUGAAUCAUCAAGAACCGAAGCUACUGUUCAUCUUUUCCAAUCGAAACCUUGAACAAAAAGAAAAUACAAGAGAAUCCAAAUAUCAACUGUUCAAUCUUUCUCUGCUGCUUCUUUCAUCGUCUUUACCGAGAACCCAACACUCGGAACCACCAUCGAAAACCACCUCACCACCAUCGAACCUACCUACUGUCACCACUCUUUUUCGUCGCCACCACUUCGUCGGUUCCAGCAGAGACCCCGAGACUUCCUUAGCAGCUCCUUCCCUUCGGUUCCAAACUAACCCAUCUUGAAAAAAUGGUCUUUGGGGAUGGCUUUUUCCAGCCAUACCCAAGUUACAUUAAUUCCAUGUAGUAUACUAAAAAGCCAAAGUAAGUGUUAUUUUUUUUCCCCGGUAAACUAUACCUCAAAAUCGGCGGAACCAGUUAAACAAAGUAACAGAGGAACAAAAAGUCAAUUUAGAUGGUAUUGUGCGAACCAAAUCUUAAGUUCAAUGGUAUUCUGUCAACAGGAUACACUUAAAUGGGUUCAUUGGUUGUCAAACCCUUUCCUAGAUUUGUUUUUGUAAUUUUCUAGCUUGCUAGUGGUUCUUUAUAAAAUUCAACUAUUCAAAAAAAAAAAAGAUUAAUCUUGAAGAAGAUGUGGCACACCGCACAUAACAUCAAUACAAAGAGUUACAAUUUCAUCAACCUAUAAUGAAGUUAUGUCAUAAAAAUUUGAUGGAAAUCAAAAGUGAUAGUGGAAUUAAAGCUUGAAUGGACUGAUUUUCCACACUUGAGAGAUGAGUCUCUCCCAAACACUUGUUACUGAUUAUAAAAUGACCAAAUGAAUCUAAUAUUACCUGAUUUUCUUCCUUUUGACUUAUUUAACUUGGACUUUCCUGAUUGACUUCUUAGGCUGGAGGGAGUGACGCCACCGAAACCGCACUCUCUUCACCAUCACAUAAGCGCUACGUCACUUUUUACCACACAAGUGUGGUUUCUUGCCACACCAAGGGAGUGGUGCCAUAAUUUUAUUUUUAUUUUAUUUUUGUUUUUUUUUAACUAUUUUAAUUUAAUAAAACUUAUUUUUUAAUAAAAAAAAACAUUAUUUUAAAAAUAUAAUAUUUCAUUAAUUAAAAAUACAAAUAUCAUACAUUGCUUAACUUAAAAAAAACCUAAAAAUUUAGAAAAACAAAUUAGAACCAUAAAACCUAUAACUUAUUAAAAAAACAUACACACACCAAAUGAUUAAAAACUUGAAAAAAAAACUAGAAGUUAGCCACGAUUUGCGUAACGUUUUUUCACUUUCUCCUUCAUCGUCAAAAUAACUUGAAGCUCGUCCCCGGUCAUAUUCGACGUGUCCAACGAUAGUACUCGCAUGUUGUUGUCCCUUUGUUUCCAAAGCUCUCUUUCAGAAGCAAUUUGCAAAAUCUUGUCUAUUCUAUCUUUUAUACCCUUCAUGUCCGCCCCCAUUUCUUUCAACUCAUCUGAAUUCGACAUUUUGCCUUUUCUUUUGCUUUUUUGCUUUGUCUCUUCCCAUUGGUCGGGAAGAUGGUGAAACUGAAACACGUUCAUCUUCGUUCAAAUCAAAUUGAACACGAGCAUCUGAUAUAGUGUGGUCGAACUCAAAUGUUCUGCUGCGUUUUGAACCACUGUCGAUAUGCCCGUAUGAUGUUUUGCAACUUUGCCAUUUCUUAUUAUCUUUCACAAAAUUCCAAACUUCAAGAAACUUGAAAGCCUUCUGGUUUUCUUUUUGAUACACUUUCAGCGCUUUCCUCAAAAUCACUUUAUCGUUUUCUCCACUUUUCCAUUGACGUUUCAUGUUGUUAUACAAAUCAUUAAACAACAUGAUUUCCUUAUUCAUCUUCCUCCAUUUCGAGUACGUUUGAUGUUUUGAAUUGUAUUCUCCAUGGUUCAUUCAUUUAUGGAACCUAUGUAAAACGCGAAUCCAAAAGCGGUCAGGCUUUUGGUCUUUUCCAACCAUCGCGUCUUCUGAAAUAUCGGUCCAAGAUUGUGUCAACAAUAACACUUCUAGGGGUUCCCAACAUUUAGCCUCCACCUUCUCUUUUCUUUUAGUUGCUGCUCGAGUGGGCUGAGUUUUUAUAACGAAUUCCGGUUCGGAAUCAGAAACGACCGUUUCUGGUUAUGUUUGUGUUUGUUGAACAAACUCGGGUUGAGACAAAAAAAUCGAAUUGAUUAAAAUCUGUGUCGGGUUGUGGUAGUGGUUGUGUUGAUCGUUGUGGAAAAUACGAAAGCAUACCGCCAUAGUGGUAAAACGGAGGUGAAAAAAUCGGUUGAUCAAAUGAAUUUUUUCUAACGGGUGUUUUUUUCUUUGCUGGGCCUUGUGGAAGAAGACAUUUUCAAAAAAAAUUGGAGGAAAAGAGAGUAAAAGUGUAAGGAUUUUGGUUGAAUGUUAUGUAAAAAAAUUGUAAGUAUAUAUAUAGAGUAAAGUAAAAAUAAAAAAAUAAAAUAAAUAAAAUAAAAAUAAUAAAUUAAAUUCAGACGCAAGGACCGUUCAGCGGUCAAAGAUGCAACAACCAAUCACAGCACGCGGUCUUUUCUAGCCACACUGCGGCCAAAACCGCAGGAAACCGCACCCAGGGGGCGGUGUUUGCAGUCCAGGUGGCAUGAAUGCGGUUACAAACCGCAGCCCACUCCCAGCAGCCUUAGAUUUUUCGAACUUCUAGACAGUCGUCAAGACCUGUCCUCAAAACUAUCACCUUGUCCUUAAGUUGAUGUUCAUGGAAAAAAAAAAAAAAACUAUUUGUGUUUAUAUCCUCUAUCAAACAUUAACUCUGCUUGAUGUUGAAACAUUUGUAAUUGAUAGGACAAACUGAGCCUUGAGUAAUUGACCAUUCCCAAACCGUGUCUGAAGUUGUAAAAUUCCUUUAACCCAUCAACAAUCUUGAUUGCAACAUUCUUUUCUACAAUUGUCGAGCACCCUUGUGAUAUUAUCAUUUUAACCUCUUCUAAAUUUCGAACAUCACUAAGAAGCAUGUCUCCCUUUCUUCAACUUCAACGUCACUGGAAGAGCUAAAAUUAAUAUAAAGAUUAUUAGGGUUAAUGAAUUGUACCUUGAGCAUAAAUUCUGGUUUUUUCUUAAUAACUAAAUUAGCUACCCCGUCCUCUGAAUCAACUAGCUUCUCAUCUUCUUCACCCACAAUAAUUGUUUUGAUUUACUCUUUUCUUGGCAGCAAGAUCUUCUGAUGCCCUCGAAUUCAGAUUAGAAAGUAGAAAUGAUCCACGACUUCAUCUAUAUCGUUUUCUAGCCCAAUUUCUCUAUUUCUUUCCUUUUAUUCUUGAACUCCAUUGCAGGUUUGUAUCUCUAGUAGGUUCCAUUUGAAUGAAAACAAAGUAUUAUCUUCAAAAGGUCAGUCCGCCCUCCAAGUGUUUGAUGAAAUGUCUGAAAGAAGUGAAUAUUGAUUCAAGAAUUUGAUUUCUUCGAAUAAAUCUGUUUCAUGUGUUUGAUCUUGAUUUCUAAUUCUUGAUUUUUCUUCUGACCUCACUGUAUGAUUGUGUUUUGCCGCCAACACUUUGUCCUAAUUCUUCCCAACUACAAAUCGAUCUUCUGUUGUGCUCAGUUCAUAACAACCUACAAACUUUCAUCAUUGUACGAUUGAUUUAGGGAAACAUAUUGAUCAACUUUCAAAAUCCAUAUGGAUUUGAGCCAACAAAUAUAGAUAUCUCUAAUUGUUUACCUAAGAUAGCAGAAAUUAGUUUUGGUUCUUGAAUUGUCCUCUGUUUCUUGAUCUUUCUCCAUCUUUAAAUGGUAAUCAAUCUCUUUUAUUUGAUUCUUUUUUAAUUUGAUUGAGAUGGUUAAAUUGUUGCAGAAUUUCUUGUAACAUUCCCUCCAAUUCCAUGGAUUCAAAUGUGAAACCUAUCCUUGAUUGUGGAUUCAUGCAUUUGCUUUGCUUUUGUGGAUUGUAAUUUUGUUAUUCCGCCUUCAUUUCCCUCCAUGUGAUUGUUUGUUAAUCUUAUUUCCAUGGUGAAUCAAAACUGCUCUUAUACCAUUUGAUGCAUAUUACAAAAUUAAUGCUACUCGACUUCCCUCCCUUUAUACUCAUUCCAUCCAAGUCUAACAGAAUUUCCCUCCCAUAUAUGGCUAGUUAACUAACAACUUUGACUCAUUAACUUUGACUUUCCUGGUUGAUGAAAAAUUUCCCUCUUCUAGACACCCGGCUCAUCAUUAUGGUGCACAGUUUUGGUAAACUCUUCUUUUUAACUGUUUGUUAUGAAACAUUUUCUAAAAUAUAUUUGUUUUAUGAUGGAGUGCAAUUAAUGAUUCCAAGUUAUAUUCAGAAUAGAAAUCAACUUCUGGUUCUAAGCUUUUGAAAGAAUCAUCAUUUUAGUUCACUUCCCAUUACCUAUAUUGCAUGUUUUCAUUUCCAUUUUGAUGUAACAUCCUCAAAUGUUGGAGGAAUUUGUAAUAAAUGAUGAAUUGUUAAUGCUAAGUAAUGACAUUUAACUUAGGUAGGGUAUUAUUUUAAUGUAACAAUGUUGAUUUUCUGAGUUGAACAUUGAUUUACCGAUGAACAAAUAAGGCCAGUGAAACGUUUUAUUAAUUAUAGACAUAACUUCAUGUUCGCAGCGGGGGAUUAGUUGGUACGUGAAAGCUGGUCUGGAAACCCUCGUUAGAAAAGUUCCCUUUCCAAUAAAAAAAAAUAAGAAAAAACUUUCUAAAAUAUAAACUUUUUAUGAUGCCUUAUUUCACACAGCAGUGAAAAUGGCCACCCGUGGUGUUGGUGGCAAUUUUAUUGAUAAAUGGGACUUAAAAACCCAUGCCAAAUACAAAAAUGAAACAUGGUUUUACAUGACUAUCUAUGUUCUAUCUUUUUUGUAAAUUUGCAAUGAACACCACCACCUUCACAUAAACCCAAUCUUUGAAGCUAUCAAGAAACAUAAAAAAAGCAUAUCUUCCACGGCGGUUGAGGAGCAAAGCACCACAUGCUAUCCAAAAUCCAAUACAUGAAGUUCGUCUACACCUUCACCCUCACCCUCACUUUCACCAAUGUUGUGUUGUAUUUCCGAUUCUUCAUCUAGAGGACAUUUUUUGGUAAGGGGAGGUCCGCAUAGCCCUAAGUUCCCUUUGUAUCUUGAAGGAUCAAAGGACUGAAGUUGUGUGCUGGAUGGGAUUCUCCCUGACAGGUUAUUACACGACACGUCUAGGUAACUCAAUAAGGUCAUUUGAGACAUGGUUGAGGGUAUUUCUCCUAAAAACUUGUUUCUAGAUAAAUCCAAAGUUAAAAGAUUUUUCAUCUCACUGAUGUUCCAUGGAAUCUUUCCAUAUAGAGCAUUCUUUGAUAGGUUGAGUGCAAUCAGUUCAUCAAGAUUGGUAAUCUGAUAUGGGAUUUCCCCUGUUAAGUUGUUGCUUGACAGGUCGAUGCUCCUCAACAAUACCAUAUUACUUCUGACGAAUUCACGUUCAACUCCUUGCCACUGGAUCAUCACAUGGUCAACAUUAUACGAAUAUACUGAAACUCCACGUUCUAAAUUUUGUACUUGAGGGAAACCUUGUUGCACCAUGAUGGUAAGAUUACUCAAACAUGAGGGUAUGGUUCCAUGGAAAUGGUUAACCGACAAGUCUAGAAUUUGAAGACUUGCUAAUUGACAUAAUUGUAAAGGGAUGCUUCCAGAGAAGUUGUUCGAUCUUAACAUAAGAACAUACAACCCAGAUAAGCUUUCCCCGAUCCAAACAGGCAAAUUUCCAGAAAACUUGUUGGCACCCAAAUUCAAUGAUUUUAAGCUCGUGCAAUUCUUAACAGACAAAGGAAAUUCUUCGGAGAAAUCAUUCUUGUAUAAAUCCAAUGCCUCGAGCUUAAUCAUAGAUCCAACAGAAGCAGGAAGCCUUCCAGACAGAUUAUUGUGUUCUAAAUUAAGAACUUUUAGUUCUUUGAAAUGCCACAAGCAGUUUGGAAUUUGUCCGCUUAGAUAGUUAUGAGAGAGGUCAAGUAUAACUAAAAAGCCAUGGAUAACCUCACAUAAAAAGGAGAUUCCUCCAGAAAAUUUAUUUCUGGAAAGAUUUAGUAAUGCCACAGUGGAAGAGACAUUAGUUAUUAGACCAUCAAAGCUGUUGGAGCUUAAAUCUAUCACUGAAUUGUUGUAAAAUAUUGAUGACAGAUCUGGUACUUUCCCACUUAUGUUGUUGGAAGAAAGAUUCAGGAAUGUUAACCGGGAUGGCCACGAGCCCCAAAACUCGACAGGAAUAGUAUCUGAAAUACCAUUAUUUGCAAUAUCAAGACUGGUAAGGUUUUUCAACUUUUGAAUCCAUUUGGGGAAGUGAGGCCCUAGCUUGCAAGAGCUUAGUUGAAUAGAUUCUAUAUGAGAAUGGUUUGACAUGUAAUCUGAGGAAGGAAAUCCAUGGAGUGAGUUUUUGGAUAGAUCAAGAUAUUUAAGGUUGGGCAGUUCCCACAGUUUCUUACUUAUAGUUCCUUUUAAUUGAUUCGUAGAGAGAAACAGAUAUGUUAGGGAUGUAAACUUUUGGAUCUCAUCCGGCAAUGACCCUGUAAAUUGGUUGUUGGAAGCAACUAACAAUUGUAAUGAAAGCGAUGUGCAUCCAGACAAGUUGUUGAGAAAAUCAGGAAAAGUGACAACAGCAGAGUUCCUAUCAAAUCUCAAACUUACCAAACUACAGAGGUUACCAAGAUAUUUGGGUAUCCCAUCUAACAUGUUGCCAGAGAGAUCAAGAUAUAUAAGGCUAUUGCUGGUUAAUGGGAACAACCAACGAUACAUGGAUGAGGUGAGACUGUUGUUUUCAAGAUAAAGGACUUCAAUAGAUGAAGAAGAAGAGUUGAGAAAUGAAGAAGAAUAUGGAUAAAUGACCUGUGACAGCUCACAUCCAUCUAAACUUAAAAGCGAGAGUUUCGGGAGACUGAGAAUAACAUCUACCCAAUGAUUUGUUUUGGCCAGUGAAAUCCCAUCCAUUGCAAGUCCCUCCAGAUGAGACAGAGGAGACAACCACUCAAGGUUCUCAAGUCUACACAUUCCAACAUAUGAAAGGUAAAGCCCUUCCAAGUUGGUGAGGUUUCCGAACUCUGGAGGAAUGGCUCCAUAUAGAGAGUUGUAGGAAAGAGAAAGGCCUCUUAAUUGGGUCAAGGAACCAAUGGACCUGGGAAUGGUUCCAUUAAGAUUAUUGUAGCCAAGGUAAAGGGACCUUAAUUGAGUCAACGAACCAAUGAUCGCAGGAAUGGUUCCAUGAAAAGAAUUUCCGGAAAGAUCAAGAUAGUUCAAGUAGGUUAAGUUAACCAAUGAAUGGCUAAUCUCACCUACAAGACCACAUAACAUCAGAUCAAGCUCUGUGACAUGACCUGUUUUGCUGUCGCACGUCACUCCACUCCAUUCACAGCAGUUGUCUUGUUCAGCUGUCCACAUAGAGAGACAAUCAGAAGGGUCUUGAAGGAGAGAUUUGAAAUGAAGGAGAGCGUCUUUCUCCUUCUCAAAACACCUGUUCACAGCACCAUUAUCAUCAUCUCCUCCUCCUACUGCUGCCAAUUGGUUGGCAGUUGUAGUCUCAAGACAUGAGAAGAGAAGUGAGAAUAUUAUAAAAACACAAGGAUGCAUGAUGUAAAUGCAAAUCUUAAUUGGCGAUUUCUUGUUGUUUGUAUUGAUGAAAAUUUGAAGAUGCCCCAUGCAAGUUUAUAUAUUGCCAACUUUGAAAAUGAAGGAUUCAGUAAUUCUCGUGAGAACGGUAGGAAUACAUAAUUCUUUAUUCCCUUUUUUUUCAUCAAUAUGAAAACAUUUUUUAAGGCUAAAAAUAAUAAAUUCUGGAAUUUUUUUAAUAAAAUAAAACACUUCCUAUAGCAACAUCUAUAGAUGUCUAUUUUUACAUCACAAAAAGAUAUUUUGGUAUAUUUGUUUUUAUUUUUUGAAAAAAAUAAUGCUCUAAUAGAUAAAAAUAAUAAUAAUAAUAACAUAAAAUAACAAUACUUGUCAAUGAAAACAUCAUAAGAAAGACUUUGUAUAUCUAAUGGAUGUCUAUUUAUACAACAUAAAAAUAUAUACAUUUGGGUCUUUCUGUUUUUAUUUUUUCGAAAAGUAAUAUUACAUUAAAAAAUAAAAGAUAACAGUGAUUAGGCAUAUUCACCAACAAAUGGUUUAUUAUUUCUCAUUUUUACAACUAUGUUCUUAUCAAAAAAAAAAAUACUGAAAUUUAUUAUUUUUAUCCUCUAAAAAAAAAAGAUAUCAAUAUACAAAAAAAAAAAAAAAAAAAAAAAAAAAAAAAAGAUUCCUACCAUUUUUCACAAGAAUUGUCUUUCUUGCGUUUACAAACACCUUAUGAGUUGCGAUUCGUGUGGAGCAUAAAAUCUGUAUUUUCCUUUGAAAUAGAACCAAACUAUAAGACAAAUUAGAAAAGAAGAAUUGAAACAAACUACCGCAAAUCAAACAUUGUGUGGGGCAUAAAAGCCUUGGUUUCCUUAAAAUAGAACCAUUCAAACUAUAAGAUAACUUAGAAAAGAACAAUUGAAAUGGAUAGCUAGCUUCAAAGAAUCUCAGGUCUUGAAAUUUUGUAUUUUUCCUAUACAUAUCUUUUUUCAUAUUGUGAUAUCUUUUGGUCCUCAUUUUAUGUCAUACAAAUCCGAAAAAACAAACUAAACAUUCAGGAAAAAGGACAAAUGGUAAAUAGUUAAUGGGUUAGUGCCUGGAAACAUUAAGCGUUUUUUUGGGUUAACAUGUUAUGUCAAAAAGAAACAACCAUCAUAUAUAUAGUUAGCUGUCCAGAUCAAAUGCUUUAUUUAUUAAGCCUAUUAAGUCAUAAAUGAUGAGUCUCCAAAGAAUGUACCGGAUAAAAUAAGGCUUUUUUUUUGUAUUCUGGAUUGAAUGAACCGUUCAAAUAAGAGAAAAUGACCAUUUUACCCUUCUAUCUAUCUAAAAGUGAUGUAGAAUAGCAAAUUGUUGUUUGUUUGAGAACUAUUGUGAUAGGAAGGCACCGAUCCCAGUUAGAGUAUCCAAAUAUUUGACUGCAUGGAGUUAACGUUUUUAUUUCACAGGAUUUUUGUUGUUUUCUAUUUUUGUUUUAUUUGUUUGAAGUUGUCAAAGUAGUAAACUAGUUAUUUGGGUUUCCACAAGUGUAGGAAACGUGGGGUGGAAGUGCUAAUGUUUGUGUCUUUCUUUUCACACAUAUUUACUGGAAAAUUGUAAGAUUUUCCUGAAAUUUAUUCCCUGUACUUGGCAGGAUGUUUUAUUUACAUGCUAUUCUAACCUUUUCGCAGACAGUUAGAAGGUGAUCUUGGAAGACUAAUCUAAAUUCUCAUGGUUUGACGAUCAUAUUGUAAUUUAAAAUUAAAAAUCACUUUGAUACAUACGACCAUGAGACUUAAAUAUGUCAAAAACAACAAAUCAGAAUGCAAACGAGUGGUUAUAUUCACAAACAUUGAAUUAAACCCCAAUUUAACAAGGGUUCAUGCAUCUCACAUUCCCCUUCGGUUAUUAAACAACUUAUGUUUAUGUCAAAUUGACAUAAUUCUUCCUAUCCUAAGCAAGAAUUAAUAUCCUAAACAGAUUUCAUGGAAUAAACCCAAAAGACAACUCUAAUUUAUGGAAUCAAUUAAAAAAAUGUCAAUUGAAACAAAAACGCACCGUUCAACGUCAAAACUCAAAUUUUAAAUAAAUAAAUAAACAGAGAAACAUCAUUCAAACAAAGAAUUUAGAAGAAAAAUCAAGAUUGAAAGAACAGUGAAGAGAAUAGAGAUGAUCGAGAAGGACUACCUGAGAUGGUCCUGCAACACACCUGAUGGAAGACCGAGGCGAGAACGACGAAGACAUCGCGGGACAGCGAUGGAAGAUGGAGAAGAAUAGACCAUGGGGUAGAAGUGAACGCGCUGACGAAGCAAAAGGCCGUAAACCCUUACAUCUGCGUAUUUUUGCGUAUUAAAAUCUCUUUGCAGCCUUUUUUUUUUCUUUAUUUAAGUUUGACCGAAACUUUAGAAUUUAGAUGUUGUUCUCUUUUUAUACUUUUUUGGUUUCAAAUCUUUGGGUUCUUUUAAAAAUUUCUUAUUAAUUUAUUAAUUUUUAAAAAUUCAAUAAGUUAAAAAAAUAUUUGGACAACUAAUAAAACAUUUUAAAACUCAUUUUUGUUUAACCUUUGAAAAUGAGUUUUCAAAAAUUGUGACUUUUUGAAUGACUUAUAAUAAAAAACAAACAAAAAACAAUUUUAAACUAAAUAUUUUUUAGUUUAUUGACUUAUUGAUUUUUAGCAUUAAAAAGCUAAUCCAAACAUUUUUUUAAAAAAACUCAGUUUCUAAUCUUCAUAACUUCAUAAGUCAAUAAAUCAUUUUUGGCAAAAGUUAUUUUUAAUUUCAUAAUAAAAUCUCAAACAAUCUUUAAAAUAUUAAGUUGAUUACCAUUUCAAGUCAUUAUCCUAAACAUUAAAAAUACGCGUUAAAAUGCAAAAAGAAAAAGUAAACUCCAUAAAUGAAAAGUAAGGGACCAAAUUCAUAACUAAUAUUAAAAAUCUUGGCCAAAUCUGUAAAAGGAAAAAAAAUAAGGGACCAUAAAAUAAAAAUAAAAGACCAAACUUGUUAUAAAAGUUAAAAGGUGAGUCCAAAAUUCUAAAAAGAACAAUAAAAUGUGAGAUGUGGGCAAAUGUAUGGAAUAAAUAUUAUUCAUCAAAUUCCGGUCGUCCCAAAAAACAAAUGAAGGAAUAUACAAUAUCAUUUCCACUUAUAUUGUAGAUUCAUGUUGUUAUAAUCCAAAUUAGUUGUAUUAAUUGUAAUAAAAUUAUAUAUACCCUCUCUCGUUCUAGUAAAAACUGGUCUAGAAUCUAAACACUUGUUUUUGUUUUGCAAGAUAAGAAAGAACAAUUUACAUUGCCUUUGACCAACAUACAUUGGAUUUCCAAAAUCUCAUCUUCUUCAGGCGUCCAUGGCCCUUUAUUCAUCCCUAUCUCCACCAUCUUUCCCAUUAUUAUUUUUGCAAGAAUACAAAAAAGAAAAAUAAUUCAAAAUCUUCACCCAAUAUAUGUAUUUAGUGAUGAAUCAAAAUGUGGCGUACAAGUAUUGAAUUGUUGUAAUAAAACUACAUAAAUGUUUUUCCCUAAUUAUCCAUAGUUUUAAUUUUGUUUCCUAUAAAAAUCUUAUUCUAUUUCAAGUAAUGGGCUAAAUUCAGAAGUUCCAAAACAGAGACACCGCCUUUGAAGAACACCCAACACCACCAAUGAUAAAAGUCUCGGUGAAUGACCACGAGCACGGUGAUCGAAGCUACUCGAUUCAUUGGAGAAUCAGGAACCCUACCUGAAAACUAAAAUUAACUCUACCCUGUCACUGUAAAAAGCCUCAAACCCUUUCCACUCCAGAAAAAAAAAAAACCACUGGUAUUGUAAUUUGCUUCGUUGGCAUUGACGUGGGGCGAAGAGGAAGUCGGUGAAGUAACUCAAUUCAACAAAAGUCAUUAUCUGAGUCGACAUGACAACCACCGUGUGUUAAUUUCUUUAUCUCAUGUCGAUUUCCAUGUGAACAACAGGAAUGGAGUUACCUAAGAAGAGGUCCGACAAUAGUUGAUCGUCUCUUUGGAUGGAUGAAUAACAUCCAUCAUGAAUGGAGUUACCUAGAAGCCCUAACUAAUCUUCUUUAUAAAAUCUAUUAUAUUUUUAAUUCGAAUGUAGACUGAAGUUGCAAAACCAUUGCUUGGAGGAUAUUACAUGGAUCCAAACAAAUCAUGUCCCAUUCCAUUCCGUUUUGUUGGAGUUGUUGCAAAUAGUAUGAGAAAAUAUCAUUAUAUGAGUUCUGAAGGGGGAGUAAUUAGUAAAUCCUUUUGUGAAAUUGUUCUUCUCAUUAAGCAUAUCUGAUAAAGAAACAUUGAUUGUGCAGUCCAAGUGUUUGUGAAAAUGAAAACCUGAAUACCAAUUCAGGUGAACACAAUUACUUCAUUAACAUUUUUUUCAGUGUUUUUACAAAUCUGAAAAGUUUCUUGUGUUUUUCGGCAACUUUACUCUUUGGGUAACAUCCUUGACCUACUUUCUUUUUGGAUAACAUCCUUGACCUACCUUCUUUUUGGAUUUUAUUUGGAUCUUCUCUUCUAAUUUUAAGGUAAAAGCUACUUUGAUUUAUGUAUCAAAUGAAGUUGCUAUUUUGAUUUUCUUCAAAAUGAGACACAUGUAUUAAUAUCUAAGUUUAUGUAGUAUAAUCUUAUCCUACCUGUAUUAAAGAAAAAGAUUUUAGGAAUCAAAUUAUCAACCUUUUAUGUUAAUUGUAUGGUUUUAAAGCUCAUUGUAACGACCAAAAUUUCAAAACAAUUAAAACUUUUCAAAAACCACCCAUUUCAAUAACGUUGUUACAAAAAGGUUUUCAAUACAUUAUUUAACAGAGUAUUUUCCCAGGUUCAUAUCAUAAAACACCAACGCGAAGAACGGUACGAUCACGCCUUUGCCUUGCCACAGACUCCUGAAAACCUGAAAACAUAAAACCACAACUGUAAGCCCGAAAGCUUAGUGAGAUACCCCCAAUAUACCAACCACAUAUACGCCCUUCCAGGCCACGACCUUCCGGUCCAAACAUAUUGCCUUCCGGCCCAUAACAUAUUGCCUUCCGGCCCAUAACAUAUUGCCUUUCGGCCCAUAGCAUAAAAUGCAUACAUAACAUAACAAAUCAUAGAACGACCCUACAUAUCGGGUCACACCCCAGAUCUAGCAAUCAUAACACAUAAUCAUAUAGCAGUUCACAGUCAGCAAUCGAUCAACAGAUCACAUAUCAUAGCAUUACUCUAAACAAGAUACCGGUCUAGCCGGUCACUAGCAUAACAUUACCCUACGAACCAGUCAACAUACUAAAUGCAUACAUACGCCUUUCCAGACCAUGACAUUCCGGUCCACACAGCAAUGCCUUCCGGCCCACAACAAAUAAUGCCUUCCGGCCCACAACAAAUAAUGCCUUCCAGCCUGCAACAUAUAAUGGACAACUACCCGGAUUUCCAUCCGAUAAAAAGGUUGGCCGUGGUGCCAUAAACCCUAGCGAUAUAGUGAGGAUAACUCACCUCGAAACUGCCGACUGAACAGAUAGCUCAAGCUGCUCCGAUCACUGAUACGAUCUCCACCUCUGGACAGCCACCAAUGCACUGAACUCAAACAAUAAUCAACAAUUACCAAAAUACCCCUGGAACCACUGGUCAACCCUUGGUCAAAGACAAGGUCAAAGUCAACCCCUGACUGACCCUACUCGCCGAGUCAACCCUAUGACUCGCCGAGUCCCCAUACUCAGAACUUCACUCAAUCCGCGAUCUAACUCGCCGAGUCACCCCAAGACUCGCCGAGUUCAACAACUCUGAGUCCACUCGCCCUCAACUCACCGAUUCUCUAAGAUUCCCUUUCUACACGUCGAGUAUCCCCCUUGACUCGACGAGUUCCUCCUGGAAGAAUCGCGGGGCCACCCCGACUCAACUCGCCGAGUCUGAAGAACAACUCGACGAGUCCCAGUUAAUCUUCAAGCUACUCGCCGAGUCUGNNNNNNNNNNNNNNNNNNNNNNNNNNNNNNNNNNNNNNNNNNNNNNNNNNNNNNNNNNNNNNNNNNNNNNNNNNNNNNNNNNNNNNNNNNNNNNNNNNNNNNNNNNNNNNNNNNNNNNNNNNNNNNNNNNNNNNNNNNNNNNNNNNNNNNNNNNNNNNNNNNNNNNNNNNNNNNNNNNNNNNNNNNNNNNNNNNNNNNNNNNNNNNNNNNNNNNNNNNNNNNNNNNNNNNNNNNNNNNNNNNNNNNNNNNNNNNNNNNNNNNNNNNNNNNNNNNNNNNNNNNNNNNNNNNNNNNNNNNNNNNNNNNNNNNNNNNNNNNNNNNNNNNNNNNNNNNNNNNNNNNNNNNNNNNNNNNNNNNNNNNNNNNNNNNNNNNNNNNNNNNNNNNNNNNNNNNNNNNNNNNNNNNNNNNNNNNNNNNNNNNNNNNNNNNNNNNNNNNNNNNNNNNNNNNNNNNNNNNNNNNNNNNNNNNNNNNNNNNNNNNNNNNNNNNNNNNNNNNNNNNNNNNNNNNNNNNNNNNNNNNNNNNNNNNNNNNNNNNNNNNNNNNNNNNNNNNNNNNNNNNNNNNNNNNNNNNNNNNNNNNNNNNNNNNNNNNNNNNNNNNNNNNNNNNNNNNNNNNNNNNNNNNNNNNNNNNNNNNNNNNNNNNNNNNNNNNNNNNNNNNNNNNNNNNNNNNNNNNNNNNNNNNNNNNNNNNNNNNNNNNNNNNNNNNNNNNNNNNNNNNNNNNNNNNNNNNNNNNNNNNNNNNNNNNNNNNNNNNNNNNNNNNNNNNNNNNNNNNNNNNNNNNNNNNNNNNNNNNNNNNNNNNNNNNNNNNNNNNNNNNNNNNNNNNNNNNNNNNNNNNNNNNNNNNNNNNNNNNNNNNNNNNNNNNNNNNNNNNNNNNNNNNNNNNNNNNNNNNNNNNNNNNNNNNNNNNNNNNNNNNNNNNNNNNNNNNNNNNNNNNNNNNNNNNNNNNNNNNNNNNNNNNNNNNGAACUCGAAUACACUUUCCUUCCCUCACGGUGUCCUGACCACCGUCUCAAAUAGGGCACCGGAUUCACCCUCUAAUAACUUCACUUACCCCUGAGAAUUACCCAUAAUGCAACACUGCUCCAAAUCACAACCAUCACUCGACUCAUAAAGGCUAGAAGACCAUGAACCAUCGGAUCCCCGAUCCGAAUCCCACUCUACCCAUUCCGUGAUGACGGAAAAACUCAUUCUCUAUAUAUCAGAGCAACUCUCACGAGUUCUCCUCUUGCAACCGCACACACAAGUUGAACCAGCUCUAACACCUUCAGGUUGGGAAACCUGAUACACCGAUACUAUCCUCAAACAUCUCCCAGGAUGAACCACUAAUAUCCACCCUAUACCCUGAUCAGAAUCACACUGAGAAUUCAAGAUUCUCUCUCUCCCUGCGUCCCUUCUGAGCCUCAACAGACAUCACAAACCGGAUGAGUUCCUACUUCACUGCCGCGAACACGAUGCUCAAAACCAUACUCGAAAUACUCUAACCAUAACUCUGCUCUGCAGCUUUCACUUUCGUGAACUUGCACUCCCCUUCGGAGUUACACACCUUUCUCUUUUCCUUUUCCAAGGAACCCUCUUGGCCAUAAUGCCACCCCAACCUGUGCCACGGUGCUCGCCCAAGCGACACCACCCUUUUUGCGUAACCGCUAUUCACAUACUCUGGCUCUCAUUGCAGGGGCUCUCAAGCCCAUGCACUCCCUCCACUCAACAAAAUCACUACCUCGACUAAACAAGAUCACUAACCCGGGGCCAGACCUUCCAAUGUAAUCACACUGCAACAUACACAAUCCGAAAUCUCAAACUGAUCCAACAAUACCAUCAGAGUCUCCAUCAUGACUGGACCGACUCUCAUAACACACACUAGCCACUCGAGGCUAUAUCUCUGUGGGUCCGUACACCCAAACUCUGUGAACCCUCAGGUUCUAACUCUGGGAACCUUCCGGUUCCAACUUUAGAAACAUGCACAACAUAAAUCCCGUGGGAUUAAUGCAGUACAACCCAUCACGUACAUCAAGCAUACAAAUACUCUGAUCACAUAACCCCGGUUACCUACUCAAACUUGAUCCCGGCCUGCUCCCAGGCCUCCACAAUCAAAUGCCCUAGGUCUGUAUCCCGCCCCGCAUACCCGAAACUCGCUCUUGUCAGCCUAUACUCUGAGCUGACAGAACACUGCUGAAUCCCAACAGCUAAGCACCCUCACAUACUCAUCGAUCUCCCGGAGAAUUCUCCAAUUCUCCCCCACUUAGAGCACUGACUAACAGCCACCGAUCGCCAUUAACGACUUUCCAGAACAACCCCGCACAAACAAAACACUUACACACUGACUGCUUCCCACAAGCAUAAGCAACCCUCAGCAAAACACAUCUCCUCCCUGAUCAAUCCGCUCAAAAGAAUCCGGUCUUUCAAUUAUCCACUCCACGACUGCAGAUGCUACCUGACAUUCAACCCAGUGCCGCAUCUCCACUAUCAACCCUCACGAAUGAUAACCAACGGAAUUCCCAAACAAUAACCCAUAACCAAACCCACAACCUGCAAAAGGAUGAAUACCGCAUCAAAAACCGCACAAGGAUACCAGCACCAAAACACCAAACUAUAACCAUACCAAACCUUCAGGGAAUAACGGAUGCCAAAACGAAAACCUGAAACACCAAUCCAUAACCAUGCCCAAACCCGCGAACAACGAAUACCGCAUCGAAAUCCAUACAAAGAUACCAGCACAACAAUACCCACAAUAACCGCAAGAUAACAAGACACUAAGAAAGGAACAUACCCGCAGCUACAUCCGACACUGCUCUGACUUUCUCUGCCGCAGGCUGAUAAGCGUGACCCUGAGCCCUUUGGGCUCCACUCCUUCCUGACCUCUACUUGGAAUCCUCAGAGUGGCCAGUGCUGGAGCCUGCACCGGCCCUGCAGAAAACGGUGGACAGCUGACCCUCAAAUGUCCAAACUGACGGCAAUGACAACAAAUCCUCAAAUCCCGAAUCGUCACUGACUGCCGACAAUCCCGCGCAUAGUGCCCCUCCUUGCGGCAUGCACCACCGGACCAACAAGCUCCGGUGUGACCCCUCCCACACUUCCCACAAGUGUGGCCACUCCAAUCCCUCACUCUAACAUCAACGGUCCUGGACCGUUUCGGCGCCGGCUGCGACUGCAUCGGAGCCUGCCUCAGCUCACGCAACUGCAACUCAACCUCUAACUCACGCCGCAUGGCGGCCUCCUGCAACUCCAACAAGGUCUCGCACCUCUGCGCAGACACGAACUGUCUGAUAUCCCCCUUGAGCAUACUCAGAUAUCGGGACAUCUGAGCCUGCUCCGAAGCGAACUCAGGGCAAAACAUCGCCCUCUCAGCGAACAUCCUGGUGAUCUCAGUCACCGACUCUGAAUCCUGCUUCAGCUCAAGGAACUCUUGAGCCAAUCUCUCCCUCUCAUCAUGCGGAACAAAGCGGGUGAUGAACAUCUCUCGGAACUGAUCCCAUGAAACUGCAACCCUCUGCACAUCUGAAUAUGACCCCGUGGUCAUUCUCCACCAACCCUUCGCCCCGAGCCUCAACAGGAUCAGAGCACACCUCACCCUCUGAUCAGCAGGGCAUAAACACGUGAAGAAACACCCCUCCACGUCUGAUAACCAUCUCAUAGCAACAAUCGGGUCCUGAACUCCAUCGAAUGUGGGAGGCUUCAUAUAAUAGAAGUCUCGAUACUGAAAACCCCGACUAGCUCCUCCCCUUGCCGCUGCUACAGCNNNNNNNNNNNNNNNNNNNNNNNNNNNNNNNNNNNNNNNNNNNNNNNNNNNNNNNNNNNNNNNNNNNNNNNNNNNNNNNNNNNNNNNNNNNNNNNNNNNNNNNNNNNNNNNNNNNNNNNNNNNNNNNNNNNNNNNNNNNNNNNNNNNNNNNNNNNNNNNNNNNNNNNNNNNNNNNNNNNNNNNNNNNNNNNNNNNNNNNNNNNNNNNNNNNNNNNNNNNNNNNNNNNNNNNNNNNNNNNNNNNNNNNNNNNNNNNNNNNNNNNNNNNNNNNNNNNNNNNNNNNNNNNNNNNNNNNNNNNNNNNNNNNNNNNNNNNNNNNNNNNNNNNNNNNNNNNNNNNNNNNNNNNNNNNNNNNNNNNNNNNNNNNNNNNNNNNNNNNNNNNNNNNNNNNNNNNNNNNNNNNNNNNNNNNNNNNNNNNNNNNNNNNNNNNNNNNNNNNNNNNNNNNNNNNNNNNNNNNNNNNNNNNNNNNNNNNNNNNNNNNNNNNNNNNNNNNNNNNNNNNNNNNNNNNNNNNNNNNNNNNNNNNNNNNNNNNNNNNNNNNNNNNNNNNNNNNNNNNNNNNNNNNNNNNNNNNNNNNNNNNNNNNNNNNNNNNNNNNNNNNNNNNNNNNNNNNNNNNNNNNNNNNNNNNNNNNNNNNNNNNNNNNNNNNNNNNNNNNNNNNNNNNNNNNNNNNNNNNNNNNNNNNNNNNNNNNNNNNNNNNNNNNNNNNNNNNNNNNNNNNNNNNNNNNNNNNNNNNNNNNNNNNNNNNNNNNNNNNNNNNNNNNNNNNNNNNNNNNNNNNNNNNNNNNNNNNNNNNNNNNNNNNNNNNNNNNNNNNNNNNNNNNNNNNNNNNNNNNNNNNNNNNNNNNNNNNNNNNNNNNNNNNNNNNNNNNNNNNNNNNNNNNNNNNNNNNNNNNNNNNNNNNNNNNNNNNNNNNNNNNNNNNNNNNNNNNNNNNNNNNNNNNNNNNNNNNNNNNNNNNNNNNNNNNNNNNNNNNNNNNNNNNNNNNNNNNNNNNNNNNNNNNNNNNNNNNNNNNNNNNNNNNNNNNNNNNNNNNNNNNNNNNNNNNNNNNNNNNNNNNNNNNNNNNNNNNNNNNNNNNNNNNNNNNNNNNNNNNNNNNNNNNNNNNNNNNNNNNNNNNNNNNNNNNNNNNNNNNNNNNNNNNNNNNNNNNNNNNNNNNNNNNNNNNNNNNNNNNNNNNNNNNNNNNNNNNNNNNNNNNNNNNNNNNNNNNNNNNNNNNNNNNNNNNNNNNNNNNNNNNNNNNNNNNNNNNNNNNNNNNNNNNNNNNNNNNNNNNNNNNNNNNNNNNNNNNNNNNNNNNNNNNNNNNNNNNNNNNNNNNNNNNNNNNNNNNNNNNNNNNNNNNNNNNNNNNNNNNNNNNNNNNNNNNNNNNNNNNNNNNNNNNNNNNNNNNNNNNNNNNNNNNNNNNNNNNNNNNNNNNNNNNNNNNNNNNNNNNNNNNNNNNNNNNNNNNNNNNNNNNNNNNNNNNNNNNNNNNNNNNNNNNNNNNNNNNNNNNNNNNNNNNNNNNNNNNNNNNNNNNNNNNNNNNNNNNNNNNNNNNNNNNNNNNNNNNNNNNNNNNNNNNNNNNNNNNNNNNNNNNNNNNNNNNNNNNNNNNNNNNNNNNNNNNNNNNNNNNNNNNNNNNNNNNNNNNNNNNNNNNNNNNNNNNNNNNNNNNNNNNNNNNNNNNNNNNNNNNNNNNNNNNNNNNNNNNNNNNNNNNNNNNNNNNNNNNNNNNNNNNNNNNNNNNNNNNNNNNNNNNNNNNNNNNNNNNNNNNNNNNNNNNNNNNNNNNNNNNNNNNNNNNNNNNNNNNNNNNNNNNNNNNNNNNNNNNNNNNNNNNNNNNNNNNNNNNNNNNNNNNNNNNNNNNNNNNNNNNNNNNNNNNNNNNNNNNNNNNNNNNNNNNNNNNNNNNNNNNNNNNNNNNNNNNNNNNNNNNNNNNNNNNNNNNNNNNNNNNNNNNNNNNNNNNNNNNNNNNNNNNNNNNNNNNNNNNNNNNNNNNNNNNNNNNNNNNNNNNNNNNNNNNNNNNNNNNNNNNNNNNNNNNNNNNNNNNNNNNNNNNNNNNNNNNNNNNNNNNNNNNNNNNNNNNNNNNNNNNNNNNNNNNNNNNNNNNNNNNNNNNNNNNNNNNNNNNNNNNNNNNNNNNNNNNNNNNNNNNNNNNNNNNNNNNNNNNNNNNNNNNNNNNNNNNNNNNNNNNNNNNNNNNNNNNNNNNNNNNNNNNNNNNNNNNNNNNNNNNNNNNNNNNNNNNNNNNNNNNNNNNNNNNNNNNNNNNNNNNNNNNNNNNNNNNNNNNNNNNNNNNNNNNNNNNNNNNNNNNNNNNNNNNNNNNNNNNNNNNNNNNNNNNNNNNNNNNNNNNNNNNNNNNNNNNNNNNNNNNNNNNNNNNNNNNNNNNNNNNNNNNNNNNNNNNNNNNNNNNNNNNNNNNNNNNNNNNNNNNNNNNNNNNNNNNNNNNNNNNNNNNNNNNNNNNNNNNNNNNNNNNNNNNNNNNNNNNNNNNNNNNNNNNNNNNNNNNNNNNNNNNNNNNNNNNNNNNNNNNNNNNNNNNNNNNNNNNNNNNNNNNNNNNNNNNNNNNNNNNNNNNNNNNNNNNNNNNNNNNNNNNNNNNNNNNNNNNNNNNNNNNNNNNNNNNNNNNNNNNNNNNNNNNNNNNNNNNNNNNNNNNNNNNNNNNNNNNNNNNNNNNNNNNNNNNNNNNNNNNNNNNNNNNNNNNNNNNNNNNNNNNNNNNNNNNNNNNNNNNNNNNNNNNNNNNNNNNNNNNNNNNNNNNNNNNNNNNNNNNCCGAGUCGGCUACUUAACACGCGGUCAAGCCGCGACUCUACUCGCCGAGUCCAUCCAUGGACUCGCCGAGUCACUCUUCCCAAUUAACACUUUUGGCCCUUCAACUCUACUCUCGCUAUUUCGGGAUGUUACACUCAUGUAAUCUAAUACAUGCUACUCAUGUAUGAUCCCUUCGAAACAUGUAAGCUUCAAUUUUGAUGUAUAUAGGCCUUCAAUAAAAGAAAAUUAAUUAUAUUUUUAAGGUAUAUAGGCCUUCAAUAUUUUUUUCAAGAGUAAGUUAUACACUUUUUUAAGGUAUAUAAGCCUUAAAAAUUAAUUAUAUUUUUAAGGUAUAUAGGCCUUCGAUAUAUUAUUAAGGUAUAUAGGUCUUCAAUUUUGAAUCAUGUAAGCUUCAAUUUUGAGGUAUAUAGGCGUUCAACAUUUUUUCAAGAGUAAGUUAUACAAAUCGUCGAUCCGGUUUGUACAAUCUGUAGGUUUUGUCGCUAAAUUGUUCUACUUGUCUCAUAUUUAUAGUAAUUAUUAUAUUUUUAAGAUGUAGAAGUCUAAGGCUAUAUUGGGCGUAUUAGUUGAAAAUCUAGCUGUUAGCUGAAAAACCAGUUGAUAGUUAUAUAAAAAGCGAUGGUUGUGAAAAGUAGCUGAUAAGUUAGCUGAAAUAUAUGAAACGAUAUGAAAGGUCAUUUAAAAAAUAUUUUAUUUUAUAAUUAGUUAAGGAUAUAUUUAAAAAAAAUUAAAAUUUUUUUUUUUUAAUAAACUAGUUUAAAUACUUUUUCAAAAAAAACUAGCUUAUAAGCUACUGUUUUGUCAAACAUUACAGCUAAAAAAGAUGGAAAAAUAAGUUAGCGAGUGAAACUCAACCUAAAUAUUGAACAAUUUUAUACAAUUACUAUUUUGACUUUCAAUUAUAUUUGAGCCUCAUAUUCAAAUUUUUAUUCCCUAAUGCUUAACAUCUCUUAUUAAGGUAUUCAAAUUUUGUCUGGUUGCUAAAAGAGACUAAUGCAUUUGUGAUAUCUUAAAAUUAAUCAUAACCAAACUAUAUAAGGUCCAAUUUAUUCGGUUUGUUUUAGCAGUUGAACAGAAUAAAAUUUUGCAUGUAAAAAUAAAUAUUAAACUAAAAAAAAAAGCUUACUAAACUUUUUACCAAAUGAAAAAGAUACACCAAUACAUAACAUAUAUAACAUAUAUUGUCUUGUUUUGAAGUUAUAAAAUUCCUUUAAACCAUCAACAAUGUUGAUGCAACAUUUUUUUCAAGAAUUGUUGACCACCCAUGUGAUAUUACCGUUUUAACCUCUUCUAAAUUUCUAACUUCCCUAAGAAGCAUGGUCAAACAUGUCUCCCUCUCUUCAACUUCAACGUCACUAGAAGAGCUAAAAUUGAUAUAAGGAUUAUUAGGCUUAAUUACUUGUACGUUGAGCAUGAAUUCUGUUUUUUCAACUAAAUUAGCCACCCCGUCCCCUGAAUCAACUAGUUUCCCAUCUUCUUCACCCACAAUGCUUUUGGUCAAUUUUUUUUUUUUUUUUUUGGCUACCAUAAACUUUCGGCAGCAAGAUCUUCUGAUGCACUCGAUUUCGGAUUAGAAACCAUCCACGACUUCAUCAGCAUUGUUUUGUAGCCCAAUUUCUCUAUUUCUUUCCUUUUAUUCUUGAACACCAUUGCAGGUUAGUAUCUCUAGUCGGUGUCAUUUGAAUGAAAAGAAAGAAUUAUCUUUAUAUGGUCGGUCCGCCUUCCAAUUGUUUGAUGAAAUGUCUGAAAGAAGUGAACAUUGAUUCAAGAAUUUGAUUGCUAAGAAUAAAUCUGUUUCAUGUGUUUUAUCUUAAUUUCUAAUUCUUCAUUUUUCUUCUGACCUCACUGUUUCAUUUUUCUUAUUGUUUUUCAAAAUCGAUUCAAGAUCAUUUGUUUUAAUUCUGCCCAACUACAUAUCAGUCUUCUGUUGCGCUCCCAUUGAUACCAUUUGAGAACAUCUUUUUCAAAAUACUUCAUCGCAACAUCCAAACUUUCAUCAUUGGACAAUCGAUUUAGGGAAAAAAUAUUGAUCAACUUUUAAAUCCAAGAGCCAUCAAAGAUAGAUGUCUCUAAUUGUUUACCUAUGAUAUCAGAAAUUGGUUUUCGUUCUUGAACUCAUGAUCUUUAUCCAUCUUCAAAUGUUGAUCUAUUUCUUUUAUUUGAUUCUUCUUGAAAAAGCACAACUGACAUAUUUUCUUCUCUGUAGAGUUUUUUUAUUUGUUUGAACAGAUGCUUAGAGCAAAUCUAGACAGCACCAUCAUCUUCUUCCUUUUCUCUUCCAUAUUUUGUUUUUGCUGAUAAUUUUUUUUAGAUACCAAGGCUUUGUUUCACUCUUUUAGGCUUUAUUCCUUUUUUCAUCUUUAUCCAUCUUCAAAUGUCGAUCAACCUCUUUUAGGCUGCGUGACUAUAAGUAUCAUACACACUCUACGUGUGUAUGUGUCUCUGGCUGUGUGUUAUCUGCACCAGAACCUAAACAAAUCAGGUAACCAUCAGCGGCUAAAGAAACUUGGAUGCACUGCUGUUAGUUAUAUCAAAACAUAUACUUUAUUUUUUGUUUAAGAGGCUUAUUAUAUGAAGAUGAUGUUUGUAUUUUAUUCGUCUAAUUCUAAUAGAGUGGUUUGAUAUGUAAUUAAUAGGUAAAGCUGUGACCAAAACAAUUACUUAACAAGUGACAUUACUAGCAAAAGAUGAAGAUGAAAGUACAUACAUGGGGUAGUGUUCAGCGGCCUGUGUAUGUGUGUGUUUUAGGAAAAAAAAACUAUUUAUUUUUUAAUAAAACAUUGUAUUUUGAAAUAUUUUCUCAUAUGUAUAGAUUUUUCAAUAAAAUAAAACACUAAAAAAUAAUAAACUCUGGAAUUUUUUUAAUAAAAUAAAACACUAAAAAAUGAAAAAUCAACACCAUAUUCUUCAAUGAAAUAAAGUGCUAUAAAACACUUCUUAUAGCAACAUCCAUAUAGAUGUCUAUUUUUACAUCAUAAAAAGAUAUUUUGGUAUAUUUGUUUUUAUUUUUUGAAAAAAAAAUAAUGCCCUAAUAAAUAAAAACAAAAUAACAACACCCAUCAAUAAAAACAUCAUAAUAGAGACUUUGCAUAUCGACAUGGAUGUUUAUUUGUACAACAUAAAAAUAUAUAAAUUUGGGUCUUUUGUUUUUUUUUUCCAGAAAAGUAAUAUAACCUUAAAAAAUAAAAGAUAACAGUGAUUAGGCAUAUUCAUCAACAAAUGGUUUAUUAUUUCUCAUUUUUGCAACUAUAUUCUUUUCAAAAAAAUAUAUAUACUGAAAUUUAUUAUUUUUAUACUCUAAGAAAAGAUAUCAAUAUAAAAUGUUCCUACCAUUUUAACAAGAAUUAUCUUUCUUGCGUUUACACUUUACACACACCUAGUGAGUUGUGAUUCGUGUGGAGCAUAAAAUCCUUAUUUUCCUUUGAAAUAGAACCACACUAUGAAAGAAAUUAGAAAAGAAGAAUUGAAAUAAACUGCCCCAAAUCAAACGUUCAAAGAUUUAUACACUCUGUAAGGCAUAAAAGCCUUAUUUUCCUUGAAAUAGAACCAUUCAAACUAUAAAACAAAUUUAAAAAAAAAAAGGACAAUUGUAAUGGAUAGCUAGCCCCAUAUAAGACUUUCAAGGACUUUCAAGUUUUGGAAAUUUGUAUUUUUCCUAUACAUAUCUUUUUUCAUCUUAUCAUAUCUUUCGAUCCUCACUUUAUGUCAUUGUAAAUCCACAAAAGCAAACCAAUCAUUCAGGAAAAAGGACAAAUGGUGGGUUAGUGCCUGGAAACAACCAUAUAUAGCUAGCUGUCCAGAUCAAGUGCUUAAUUAUUAAGCCUAUUAAGUCAUAAAGAAUCAGUCCCUAAUUGCAUAAGAGCUGAGUGAUAAAUGAUGAGUCUCCAGAGAAUGUAUUGGAUAAAAUAAGGCUAAUUAUUUAUGUAUUUUGGAUUGAAUGAACCAUUUGAAUAAGAGAAAACAACCAUUUUACCCUUCUAUCUAAAAGUAAUGUAGAAUACCAAGUUGUUGUUAAUUUGUGAGAACUAUUGAAAUUUUAAACUAAAAAUCACUUUUAUAUAUACGACCAUGAGACUUACAUAUGUUUGUCAAAAACUACCAUAACUGUCUUUUGUCAAAGCAAACUUGCAGUGUAAUCUUACCAUUAUUUUCUACAGAUAGAGCAAAAUCCUUUUGGCUUUUGCAAUGCAUUGUUUCCCCAGACAACAAAUCAGAAUGCAAACGACUUGUUAUAUUCAGAAACAUUGAAUUAAACCCCAAUUUAACAAGGAUUCAUGCCUCUCAUACUCCCCUUGGGUUAUUAAACAACUUCUAUUUAUGUCUAAUUGAGACAAUUCUUCCAAUCCUAUGCAGAUUUAAUCUCCUACACAGAUUUAAUCUCCUACAUCAAUUACAAACACAACAGAGCCAUUAGCCGUAUAGCUUAACAACAAAAUAAGCAAAACUUAUACCUUUAUAAAUGAAGAUGAAUAAGAUCACUAUCAUGUUUCUUGUAAUUUGUUUAGUGAGUGAUAUAAAUUAGAGCUUACACCCUUGAUUACAGGGAAGGACAAAAGUGUGUGUAGAUACGAAAAACAUAACUCAAGACAAGGAAUGAAACAAUGAAGAUGUCACACCCCGAAAACCAAAGGCGGAAACAUUUCCGGGGUUGACUCCACGUUGAGUAUCAAAUCCAAUGUACAUAGUAAUCACAGUAAACAACCAUUACAUUACAUAUAUUUGAAAGUUUACAUUUGUUUCAAAAGUAAAUUGUACAAGUUUUAUACAUAUAUCAUAUGAACAAAAGUUGAGACGAGUCUUCUGAGCACUCUGUCUUCACCAAAAGAUAUCGCCGGGUACCUGUCUAACGUGGACCUGAGAAUACAAGCAGUUUGAAAAUCAGCAUAAAGCUGGUGAGUUCAUAAGCAGUUUUGUUUUGUGAAAAUGUACCAGUUUCCUUUAGUUUUUCCGAAAAGGUUUGUUAUCCAAGAAAAUCUCAUAUUUUCUUAUGUUAAACAGUUUAGUUAUCUUUCAUUACAGUUCAAUUACGCGUUAUACGAUACCCCAGGAAAAUCCCAUAUUUUCCUAAAUGCAAGACCGAUUGAAUAACACAGAGUAUAGUUUAAUACACAAAACUAUAUAUUGAGAAUCAUAGGAUUACUAUCCCGAAUUAGAUAUAAAAUACUUUAAUAUACACGAACUGUAGAUAGAAAGUAGUUUGAAAACCUUGGGACUAACAUCCCGAACUAGAUACAAGAUAGUUUGAUAUACUUGAAAAUAUAGAUUGAAAACCAUGGGAAUACCAUCCCGGACUAGAUACAAAAUAGUUUGUUAGAAACCAUGGGAUUACUAUCCCGAACUAGAUAUAUGAUAGUUUGAUAAAACCAUGGGAUCACUAUCCCGAAUUAGAUAUAAGAUUUUUUAAUAAAACCAUGGGAUCACUAUCCCGAACUAGAUAUAGAUUCUAACCAUAGGAAUAACAUCCUGCAAUAGAUAUGAACCCUGUAGACUAAAAACCAUGGGAUUACCAUCCCGAACUAGAUAUAAGAUCUAAAGAUAGAAGAUUGAUAUAAAAUCAAAUCCAAAACCAAAGCCGUGAAUAAACUUAUAUUAAUACGUAUUGUGAGUCGGGUAACCAUGCUGAUACAACAACGAGACCUCCUUGACGCUUGUCAGACGUCGGACGAUAUCCAGAAUUUGUCACCCCAGGCGUGCCCGCCUAACUGUAGCUAGCAGUUAAGGUGUGGGAUUGUCAGUCCCGAAUAGAUCUAUUCACAAAUUCCUCGCUCUCCCUCCAGGAGACUCUGGUUACACUUCCGGGGAGGAUUUACUGAUCAUCCAUAAAGGGUAGUGACUAACUCACAAACUAGUACUAAACUAUUAACAGGGUUCUCAUACGAUAUCAAACAUACAAAAGAUUAUGAAACAUAAUACAGUGAAUAUAGGUACAUACUAUGAAACUAUCUGACAAUACAUUCAAAUGAUACGGAGAUAAACUGAAUCAGACAUAGUUUAUCUAAUAACUUUAUAUACAUAUCAGUACAUGAUAAAACGAACACUAAAGAACCCCAAAUUAUUCCUAUAAUAAUUUGAUUAGUUUGAUUAUUUUCUUAACUAAAAUCCAUUUAGUUGUACUUGAUAAAUCAUCCCUUAUGCUCAGCAUAAUACAUAAAGGGUAAAAAUGUUUAUAAGUUUGCCAGAUAUUAUUUGAAACAUAUCAAUGUUAUAAUUCGAAAACACUUAUAGUUUGCUUGUAUUCCCCCCUGAAAACAUUGAAAAACACGGAAAAAGCGUAGGGGUAUGAACUCACCGGACGAGAAACAUGACGAUUUAGGAUGCUAAACGUUGGAUCGGGGCUUGCAAACGUACGAUAUUCCUAUGUAUAAUGAAAAGAUACACAUUUGUAUCUAAUUAGGACUUAGAUUAUUUAAUUGUUAGGGACAAACACUUUUAGUCGCGGAUACACCCCAUUACAAGUGUGUGGAAGGACUCGGGUGGCGUUUAAGGACUUGAAUGACCGGGAAAUGGAGUUUACUCUUCAAGAGUAAACUCAUACAAGAGUUUUCAGCCAAUAACACCCACUCCCCAUGAGUUUACGGCAGUAAACUCAUGGUGGGGUCAUUUGUGGGCAAAAUGGCUAUUGACACUUAAGGGGAAAAUUUCUAGGUUUGGUUUAAGGGCUUGGAAUAAAUUUUAAACACCAAAUGGACAUACUUAAGGGAGUUUACGGCCUAGCAUGGGACUCAUGGCCGUAAACUCCUAUAUACCCAUGAAUAAUUGUGUUAAUGAUUCCAAACAAAUCACAUGUGAUUGCUAAAAUUGUUCCAAGGCCUUACAUGAAUUUUUAUGGAACUUUUGAGGUGUUUUUGGAGUUUACGGCCCAUGAGACCCCCCUCAUGGCCGUAAACUCUCCUAGAGUGUGAUUCAUUAUGUUUUAAGGCCAAAAAACUUGUUUGUAUACACUUCUAAAAAUUAUUCUAAGGCUUUAGGGGUGUUAAAGUGGCUUUCUAACACCUUUGGAGGAGUUUACUCCCCAUAUUAUGGAGUUUACGGCCCAAGCAUAAGCCUUGGCCGUAAACUCUCAUUUGUCCCUCAAAAUAUAUGUUUAAGGCCCUUAAACCAUUUUUAGUUGGUUCUAUGAUUUAUUCCAAGGCUUUUGGUGAAGGUAUAUGACUUUAUAACAUGUUGAAAAUGAGUUUAUACUCAUGUUUGAGGGGUUUACGGCCCAAAGCAUGUGCCUUGGCCGUAAACUCCUUCAAAUCCCUCAAAAUCCAUGUCUAAAGUGUUCUAAGUCCAUUCCAUGAAGUCAUUUAGCCAUAUCUAAGUCCCAAAAUUGUUUAGGAGGGGUUUAAAGGCAUAAAAACCCCUUUACUAUGUGUUUACGGCCCAAGCUCCUUCCAGGGCCGUAAACUCAUAUACAAGGUCUUAAUUCAUGUUUUAAUCUCGAAUUUGAAGGCCAAAUAUGCUAUACAAUGAGUUUAGGAAGGUACCUUAGAGAUUUGAGGCCUUAAAAUUGAGUUUUGGACCCUUAAACUUAGAUUUAGGAGAGAGGUUAGAGAGAGAGUAGUGAGAGAGAGAAAAAGCUUCAAAUGAAAGGUUUAACACGUUUAUAUAGGUCGCAAAACUUGGACACGGUGGAAUUCUACCCGAUACCGGCAUUAAACGGGGCUUUUGGUCGCACCCGAUUAAGUUUCUGAGACUCGGCGGGGACGUUCCUAAUAUUUAUGAAAUACAUAUUUUAGGCUAAUUUCAUGAGUUCCUAAGGGGUUUGGACACUCAUUAGCAUCAAUUAAAUAUAUAUAAGUUAAAUUAACUUAACCCAAAAACGACAUCAGAAUGUUUCGAUAUACGACGAGUUAUACGGGUAGAACGGGGUUUUCGGCGAUGAACAACUUCGGGUUGUUACAGAAGAAAUAGUCACCUUCCGUUGAAGAACCUUGGCACUCUGUUCUUUCUCGUUAAAGCGAAGUAAUUGGGGCUUUCUUCAAGUUCAAAUUCAAACUUUCUUAUUAUGCUUCAGAUUCAGCUUCAGAAGCAGAAGCAGAAGAAGUAGCACCAGCAGAAGCAGAAGAAGUAGAAGCAGAAGUAGAAGCAGCAGCAAAAGCAGAAGCAGCAGAGGAAGAGGAAGAUGAAGAGGAAGAGGAAGAGGCAGCAGCGCCAGCAAAAGAAGAAGAAGAAGAAGUGACCUGUGACAGCUCACAUCCCGAUAAACUUAAAACAGAGAGUUUCCGGAGACUGAGAAUAACACCUACCCAAUGAUUUGUUUUGGCCAAUGAAAUCCCAUCCAUGUGAAGUUCCUCCAAAUGAGAUAGAUUAGACAACCACUCGAGGUUCUCAAAUCUACACCUUCCAGCAUAUGAAAGGAGAAGCCAUUGCAAGUUGGUGAGGUUUCCGAACUCUGGAGGAAUGGUUCCAUGAAAAGAGUUAGAUGAAAGGUCAAGGUACCAUAAUUCAGUCAAGGAACCAAUGGACCUGGGAAUGGUACCAUUAAGAUUAUUGCCGCCAAGGAGAAGGGACCUUAAAUGAGUCAACGAACCAAUGAAGGUGGGAAUGGUUCCAUGAAAAGAAUUUCCGGAAAGAUCAAGAUAGUUCAAGUAGGUUAAGUUAACCAAUGAAUGGCUAAUCUCACCUACAAGACCACAGGACAUCAGAUCAAGCUCUGUGACAUGACCACCUUUUUGGUUGUUGCACGUCACUCCACUCCAUUCACAGCAGUUGUCUUGUUCAGCUGUCCACGUAGAGAGACGAUCAUAUAAGGGUCUUGAAUGUGAGAUUUGAAAUGAAGGAGACCAUCUCUCUCCUUCUCAAAACACUUAUCAUCUCCUCCUCCCACUUCUGCGCGCCAAUUGGUUGGCAGUUGUAGUCUCAAGACAGAAGAAGAGAAGUGAGAAUAUUAUAAAAACACAAGGACUCAUGAUGUAAAUGCAAAUCUUGGUGAUUUUUUUUGUUUGUAUGGAUGAAAAUUUAAAGAUGCUCCAUGCAGCUUUAUAUAGUGCUGCAAACUGUGAAAAUGAAGGAUUCAGUAAUUCUCGUGAGAACGGUAGGAACAUAAUUCUUUUUUCCUUUUUUUUUCAUCAAUAUGAAAACAUUUUAUAAGGCUAAAAAAUAAUAAAUUCUGGGAUUUUUUUUAUUAAAAUAAAACACUAAAAAGAUGAAAAAUCAAUUCCAUAUUCAUCAAUGAAAUAAAAUGCGCUAUAAAACACAUCCUACAGCAACAACCAUAUAGAUGUCUAUUUAUAGGUCAUAAAAAGAUAUUAUGGUAUUUUUGUUUUUAUUUUUUAAAAAAAAAAUAAUGCCGUAAUAGAUAAAAAAAUUUAACAAUACUCCUCAAUGAAAACAUCAUAAUAAAAACUUUGUACAUCGAUAUGGAUGUAUAGCUGUACAACAUAAAAAUAUAUAAAUUUGGGUCUUUUGUUUUUUUUUCUUCGAAAAAUAAUAUUACCUUAAAAAAAAAUACUGAAAUUUAUUAUUUUUAUGCUCUAAAAAAAGAUAUCAAUAUAAAAGGUUCCUACCAUUUUUAACAAGAAUUAUCUUUCUUGCGUUUACACUUUAUACACACCUAGUGAGUUGUGAUUCGUGUGGAGCAUAAAAUCCUUAUUUUCCUUUGAAAUAGAACCAAAGUAUAAAAGAAAUUAGAAAAGACGAAUUGAAAUAAACUGCCCCAAAUCAAACGUUCAAAGAUUUAUACACUGUGUAAGGCAUAAAAGCCUUAUUUUCCUUGAAAUAGAACCAUUCAAACUAUAAAACAAAUUUAUAUUAAAAAAAAAAAAAAAAAAAAAAAAAGGACAAUUGUAAUGGAUAGCUAGCCCCAUAUUAGACUUUCAGGUCAUGGAAAUUUGUAUUUUUCCUAUACAUAUCUUUUUUCAUCUAGUCAUAUCUUUUGAUCCUCUCUUUAUGUCAUUGUAAAUUCACAAAAGCAAACCAAUCAUUCAGGAAAAAGGACAAAUGGUGGGUUAGUGCCUGGAAACAACCAUAUAUAGCUAGCUGUCCAGAUCAAGUGCUUAAUUAUUAAGCCUAUUAAGUCAUAAAGAAUCAGUCCCUAAUUGCAUAAGAGCUGAGUGAUAAAUGAUGAGUCUCCAGAGAAUGUAUUGGAUAAAAUAAGGCUAAUUAUUUAUGUAUUUUGGAUUGAAUGAACCAUUUGAAUAAGAGAAAACAACCAUUUUACCCUUCUAUCUAAAAGUAAUGUAGAAUACCAAGUUGUUGUUAAUUUGUGAGAACUAUUGAAAUUUUAAACUAAAAAUCACUUUUAUAUAUACGACCAUGAGACUUACAUAUGUUUGUCAAAAACUACCAUAACUGUCUUUUGUCAAAGCAAACUUGCAGUGUAAUCUUACCAUUAUUUUCUACAGAUAGAGCAAAAUCCUUUUGGCUUUUGCAAUGCAUUGUUUCCCCAGACAACAAAUCAGAAUGCAAACGACUUGUUAUAUUCAGAAACAUUGAAUUAAACCCCAAUUUAACAAGGAUUCAUGCCUCUCAUACUCCCCUUGGGUUAUUAAACAACUUCUAUUUAUGUCUAAUUGAGACAAUUCUUCCAAUCCUAUGCAGAUUUAAUCUCCUACACAGAUUUUUAUGAAACCAAUUAGAAAAGUUCCAACCUCCAACAUAAACAUUAACCCAGAAACAACUCUAAUUUAUGGAAUCUAUUAAAAAUUUGUCAAUUGAAACAAAAAGGCACCGUUUAACGUCAAAACUGAAAAUUAAUAAUAAUAAUAAUAUUAAAUGUGAGCAAGAGAAACAUUAUUCAACAGAAAAUGGAGAACAGAGAGUCGAGAAGAAAAAUCGAGAUUAAGAGAACAAAAAGAGAAUAGAUAUAUCGAGUAUUGAAUAGUUGAGAUGAUCCAACAACUUACCUGAUGGAAGACCGAGGGAGGAACGACGAAGACAUCUUGGAACAGUGAUGGAAGAUGGAGAAGAGAAGACGAAGUGAAGGCUGUAAAAACUGAAAAGAAAAGUAGGGUUAAAGGAGGACGAGGAUAAACGAGUAAAAAUCAAAUUCAUAAGCUAAAAGGGGAUAACAAAACCAAACCCACAAACCAAAAAAUCAAUAAUCAACUAGAAAUGUAACCCAUGCUAUGGACGGAGGCGUUUUAGAGCUGCAAAUGUUUUUUUUCUUUAUUUAUAUAAUGCAUGUUUGUUUUUGAAGAUGAAGUUUUUCUGUUAAUGUAAGACAAUUGAUAAAUUGAAAACCACAUCACAAUGUUAUUACAAAUGUAAAAUUGUAACUCUAAAAUAUUUAGAGUUUUCCCAAGAUAUUCUGAUGAUGGAGUAAUGAAUUUGAUACAAACCUUCAUCAAUCGGUACUAAUUCCCUGCAAGCUUUUUACUAUUUUCACCUAAGGGGUAAAAACAGAAAGAAAUCAACAUUAUUUGAUUCACAAUGAUUGCAAGUAUUUUUUUCAUUUAAUUAAGAAUGCAAAAUGUACUUGCUCAUCUUUACAAAUAUAACCUUUCAUCCACCUCGAAAAUGGCAAUAUUCAUAUUCUCAUGCAUUGCUACACUCCUUUCUUUUGAGUACCAAAAAUCAUACCUACCUAAAAUAUUUUCACUCUUCACCAACAUACCAUAGGGACAAAACCUAUAUCCCGUGCAAUUUUGGUCAAUCCUAAAAGUUGUUAGUAGAAAAUAAAUUUGUUUUAAAAGGAUAAAGAACAUGCUCCAUGAUUCAAAAUAAUGGAAUAGAAAUGAAAUUAGAGUCUAUAUACUUGGAUGGAAUGGAAUAAGCAAGGUUGCUUUGGUAGAAAUGGAACAAACUUACUUAAUAUAUAUUUUAAAGUUAAAGAUAAUAGAAGCUUACUAACCCAAAUAAGGUAUAACAAAAAUAAGAGUGAGCUACAAAUUUGGUACCUAUGGCUAUACUACAGUUAAAAUUGCAAAACUCGCCGGUUUUAAGAGCCCCUUUCUUUGUAUCUUGCAUGGUGUCCAUCGUUUUGAAACACUACAAAAUUUCACUGACAAACUAUUAGUAUUCAGUUCGGAUAAAGCUAAAGGAUAAAGCUAAAUCAGUUAAACAAACCCAUGAAUUAACUAACCCCUAAUCAAAAUCCUAAUACGCUGACUGUCGGCCAAAGCCUUCCUGCAAGCAUACUGAAAAAGAAAAAAAAAUCUUAAAGAUAGAAACUGAUACCAUUUCACUUCACAAUCCACUAUCAUCACUAUUAACAUAUAAAUUUGAAACCAAAUCAUAAAAGUAUUUCAUAGGAUUCACUUGUUCUUCAUCGAUCUGAUAUUACAAGUGCUUGUCGUCCAAAAAUCAUCAGAAAGAAUAGAUAUUUUCAUAGUUUUGCCUUGUACACAUAUCAUAAGUAAUGAACUCUCAAUGUACUUGAUGUAAAUUUGGACUUGAAAUAAUGUCACAAAAAGGGUAAGUGCAAUGUUAUUAUGUGAUAUUUAAGAAAGUAGAAUGCUAAUUUUCAACUUCAAAGAGCUAACUAAAAGUAAACACCAAAUUGGAUACAUACACAAAAUAUUACAUAAGAAUUGCAAUUGUUCCAUUUUAUUUCAAUCUUUCAGCUGUUUUGCAUUGUUCCAUGUCAAUGAAAUUGAUAAAUUUAGAUAUUUAAUACAUAAUUCAAAAUCAAGAAUUAUUAAAAUUAUUUAUAUUUUUAUACUGACACUUUAACCAUUUCUUGGAAAUGUGGAAACGUAGCUAUAACAGAUUAUAUGCUGGGGACACAAAUAUUGUCUUCUACUAAUAUAUUCUGGGAAAUUUAAUAAUUAGAAAAUAUGACUAUGGUACAUAUAAAGUGAUGUUCAAUGUAAAAAAAAAUGGUCGUUUCUAAUAAUUUACCUUUAUGGGGAAGUUGCUAACAGUAACAUUGAUACACACCAUUACACCUUAUGCAAAACAUAAGCUUGUUUGGGUCACCGGUCCUUUUACAUACCUGGGUUUUAGAAAAGAUAUGUAUACAAAUUAAAAAAGCAGCAUUUUUAUUAUAUUCAAAGUCCUUACCGGUAAUAUAGGCUAAAUACAAAACUCAAAAUCAAAAAACAACAUCAUGAACGCCUUAAAAGAGCUCAAAAAACAAUUAAAAUCUACAACCCCUGUGAUAAAUGAACUAACAACCUAGAUCAAUGGAUUUACCUUCGCAUUCCUGCAAGUGCCAAUACAUCGGACUUAUAAUUCUUUGCUACUUCAUAGUUACUCAGACAACCACCUAAAUCAUUAUAGCAAACCCUCCCUUCCGUUGAAACGGCUUCUAAAUCUAAGAAAAUUAGCACAGGAGCAAUCUUGACACCCAAAUAUUAGACAAUAGUUUUCUCAUCCAACACGCCAGAGAACAAAUUGGCUGCUAAAAACAAACCUUUUAAGGAUUAACAUAACAAACUUGUUAAAUUUUAGAAAACCUGACACAAAUACCUGGAGAAAAAAAAAAGCAUACAUCUAUAAAAAAUUUCUUGCUUCUUGCUUUCAAAAGACUGUUUGAGGGAGAUGGGGGGUCAAUUUUUCAUAGGGAAUAGCUCUGCGAGCUGCAAAAAGAAAAUGAAAACAUAAAAAUCAACAUGUUGACAUCAUAAAAUCCCGAAAUAAUCAUACCGAUAUAAUAAGAAUCUAGGUCAAUAGAGCAUAAAUCAUAAAUCGAUGACUUCAACAUAAAUCAGAUACAUAACUCCAAAAUAAGUACCGACGAUGUCAAUAGCGUAAGUCUGAAGAGUGCGGUUGAAUUAUGAUCGAUGAAUUUGAUCAGAACUUGAAGAGGAACCCACCGACAAAAAAAAAAAACUGUAUUAGAAUGCUUCAAAUUCAAUGAAUUGAGACAAUAAGUAUCUAGCCAGGAAGAUUAAAAAACAGAUAAAAUAAAUAAAAUGAAUCGACUUCUUGAAGAUGUUGAAAAUUACCAAAUUGGAACCCCGACUUCAAAUUAAAUCUGACAACCUGGAACAUGAAGGACGGUAACGGCGGCAACAAAUGUUUGAGGGUAUCUAAAUUCUUAGUCAAAGAAGAAGCAGAAAGAUCGGUGGCUGAUAUGGAUAACAGAAAAAGAUAACCCACCUAGGGUUUGGAAGUGAGACAGGGAAGUCGAUCGAAAAAAGAAGUGAGCUUCACAAAUUCCAGAAGUAGGAAUUAAUAGGCUUCAUCUCGUUUCCAGAAAAAUGAACGAUUAGCUUGAAGCAGGAAAAGUUCGUCUGGUGGUAGCAAUAGAUGAUUUUGUGGGUUCAUUAGUUGGGAAUUUUGAGGUCUUCUUCUCAACCUGUACCGGCACAGCUUUGAGCGAUUAGGGACGAUCUGCCUCUUUUCAAUCUGCUAUGCUUUUCGCCCCUCAAUCAGUCGAUUGUAAGUGUUGUUGGACCGCGAGAAGUAGUAUUGGAGACUUUGUGAUCGGGUGAGAGAUGGUCUGUAGGAAUUGUUCCAUCUUGUAAACGAUUGAAUGUUCAAAUAGAUGGUGAUUGAAAGAAAUCAGGGUUUGUGAGACAUUGUUGCGAUCGGAAUGAACAACGGGAUGGGGAAUGCAGCUGCAGAUGCCAGCUUGGCCGGAACAGCCAUAAAAAACAGGUGCAUCAAACAGAAACGAUAAUGUAAAAAAAACAGAGUAGCAUAAAGAAAAUAUAGAAGCCUAACGGAGAGAAAUUACCUGGGGAAGAAAAGAACGUACAACGAAAAGCAAAAGCGGCGGAGUUUCAGCGAAGAAGAAUGCGGAAGAAAGAAGAGAGUACAAGAGAGUACCACGUGGAAAGUGAAGGACAGUGAAAAAGACACGUAUAAUCUACAAUGAUUCGUCAGCAACCGGCGGAUGAAGAAAAAAAAACAAAUAAAAAAGGAAGAAAUAUAGUGUAGCAAAGAGUAGACAACUUUUUAAAUAAAGAAAGACAACAACAGGAUAAUAUAUAUNCUUAGCCUAUUUACUGUAGCUAAGGUUGGAUAAUUUUAAUAUAUUGUAUAAUAAAAACCAAUAAAAUCAAAAAACCAAAAAUUUGAACCAAAAAUACUUGAGUUUUUUUUUAAAAAAAUAUAUUUGGUUUGGUUUCAGCUUUAAAAAAAUAUAAAAACUAAUAAAAACUGAACCUCGAAUUUUAUGAAAUAUAUUUAUUCACUGAAUUAUAUGGUAUUUAUUUAUUGCGUGAGAGAUAAUAAAAAUCGAAGUUUUGUUUGGUGACUAAGCAGCGCCGGCCUUGCCUUGUGUCAAAUUAAGCAAGGGCUUAGGGCCUUGCUUGUUUACUUUUUAUUGUAUUUACCUCUUAAUUUUACAUCUAAAUAUGAAACCGAAUAAGUGUGAGGAUGAAUAAGUGAGAGGAGAAAGUCUGAAAGAAAAAUGCACAUGCUUGCCCUUCCCCCGUAUGUCUCCCACCAACAAAAAAAAUUUAUUGGGUUGUUCAUUUUUGAAAAGCUAAUAAGUCGAAAAAGUGUUUGACAAACUCAAAAGUAUUUUUCAUAAUAGUUUUCCAUUAGUUUCAAAAAGCACUUUUUAAAAAGCAUGUAAAACUUGGUUUUUAAAAACUGCUUUUGACUUUUUAACCAAAAUAACUUCAAAAAGCACUUUUUAAGCCAAACACAUUUUAAUUUAUUGACUUAUUGGCUUUCUCAUCAUAAAAGUUAAUCCAAACACUUUUAAAAAAACUCAUUUUACCACCACUAUAAGCCAAUAAACAUUUUUAUAUAUCGCCUCGUUCCAUAGUUUAAUAAAAGAAAAGAAGAGAAGAUAAAAGAAAGUCAUGAGAGAAAAUCAAAAAAGAGGAGAAAGGAAAGGAAAACAAAAUUUUGUUUUGAGUUCCCGAGUUGGAGAGAAAUGGAAGGAAAAUGAAUCAUUUUGUUCUUUCUUUUCAAAUCCUCCCAAAUCGGAAGGAAAGUUAGGAGGGAAAGUGAUCCUCUCAUUCCACUUCCUUCCUUUAAUGAAACUCAGAAACACCAAUUUGUUUUAUUUUCUUCUCAUUUCCAUCAAUUUCAUUUCUUUUCUAUCGUUAAGUUAAACUUGGGAACGGGGUGUAAAAGUACUUUUAGAGUUCAAAAAGCACUCACAAACACCCAUUUAAUAAAGUAUUGUGUUUCAUAUACAAGGCAACCCUUCUCCUUCAUUGUUUUUUGAUAAACUCCUUUUGCAAAUUUUGUGUUGUUUGUGGUUUGUUUCCAAUGGGCCUCAAACUACAAGCCUAUUUGUUGGUCAUUUAUUUUAGCAAAUAAGAUAAAAUAUUAUCCAGCCUAGUGAAAGUACAAUACAUAAAAUAUUAGUUUAAAUCUCUCUCUCUCUCUCUUUCUCUCUCUCGCACACACACAGAGGAACAAAAUUCUUGUUUUUCUCAUCAACAUAUAAACAUUUUUUAAGGAUAAAAAUUAAUAAAUUCAGGAAAUUUAUUUGAUAUAAAACACUAAAAAAGGAAAAAUCAACAUCAUUCAUCAAUGAAUAUAAUGUAAAAAAAUGAAGUUUAAUACCGAUAUGGAUGUUAAAAUGUAAGACAUAAAAAAUAUUAAAUUUGGUAUAUUUGUUAAAUAUAAAUAAUUAACAUUCAUCCGUUAGCACUACAAAUUCAUCAUUAAAAUAAAGUUCUAUAANNNNNNNNNNNNNNNNNNNNNNNNNNNNNNNNNNNNNNNNNNNNNNNNNNNNNNNNNNNNNNNNNNNNNNNNNNNNNNNNNNNNNNNNNNNNNNNNNNNNNNNNNNNNNNNNNNNNNNNNNNNNNNNNNNNNNNNNNNNNNNNNNNNUAUAUAUAUAUAUAUAUAUAUAUAUAUGCUUAGGUUAUUCUAUUUUAUUUAAUUAUUGUGUGGAUGUAAGGAUGAAUAUAGACCAAUGGUUUUAGUUCUUUUAAGUAAUGAUUUACCUAUCUUUAUAUCAGGAGACACAUGUUUAAAUUAGGAAACACAUGUUUAAUUAAUGCAAAUUUCGGAUUUUAAGGGAUACUAAUUCUUUUAAUUUUGAAUUCUGAUUUUUUUUAAUUAAUUCAUUUUUAAUUCUAACAUAAUUUUUUAUUUUACUCGAAUUUAUUCUUUUAGAUUGCAAUUCUAUUAGAACAAUAUUCUAUGAAAAUUCCAUAAUAUAUUCUAAUAGAGUAUAUAUUUUGAUUGAAGUAACUUCUUGUAGAAAAACAAUAUUCUUGAAGAUUCAGUUGAAAUAUAACGUAAUCUUUAUAUAUUCAAACAUUGAAAUGUAAAUAUAGAUUCAUACAUCUUCUUACAGAGAGAGAGAGAGAGAGAGAGAGAGAGAGAACGACAGUGAGGUGUGAGGCACAGGAAGAAGAAAGAAAUAUGUGUUUUGUAUGGUCGGUUAGGUUUUUAAUUCUUAAACUAUCUUGCCUAAAUUAAAGGGAUUAAUUAAACAUUUAUUUAAUUAAUAAAAUUAAUUAAUAGAUAAAAUUAAAAAUUUACCUUAUUUAGGUUUUUAAAUGAUUGGCUCACAUUGAUUCCUACAUCAUCAUAAUAAUAGUUAGAAUACUUGAACCUAUCUCUCUCUCUCUCUCUCUCUCUCUCGCUAUAUAUANUCCCUAAUUUUAAAAAACCUCACGGAUGGUCCAUGUGGUUUCAAAACGUUUAAUAUUUAGUCCUUUCGGCUCACUCCGUUACCAUUUAGCAGUUAACUUGUUUCUCAACAUUAAAUUGCAGGGGCAAUUUUGUCGUUUCACUUUUAACCUUCACUCUUUAAAAGAAAGAUUGCAUGCUCGGUUUUUGUGCAAACCCUUUAUCUGUGAUCAUCAUCUGUCUUCUCCCUUCCACUGUUGGUCAACCGUUACACCCUUUACAAUAUCUAAUCGCUUCGCAUUCAAAGAUGGUGACUUGCUGAUGUAGGAAUGAAGCAAUGAAUAUCACUUCAUGGACGGAUCGUAACCUUGAAGGAAAUUUUGGAACUAUACAAGAUGUGGGUUCCUUCGAUGGUCUGACCCUCCUAUGUGUGUUAGGGCAUUAGUGGUGAUUCAUAAGAUAAAUGAAUCAAUUGGAAGAGAGGGUUGCUAUUACGAGUACAGAACUAUGGAACUACCAGCUGAUGUUGUUUUGUUCAUGAGUGUUCUUUUUUUGGUUUUAUUUUAAUCAGUAUGUAUCUCUUUUCGAAUGAAUAUCUAUUUUCGUAUUUAUUCAUUAUUCAGGGGUUGAUGAAAGAAACCAUAUAGUGUAUACCAGGUCAUGAAGGCUAUUAUUCAAAAUCUUAUGAGGCUUGGGACACAUACAGCAGCAUGCUUCUAGGGAUACUUAAGUAAGUCAUCAAAUAUAUCCCCAUAAACGAACGAACACACAAGAAAAUAAAAAUAAAAAAAUAUUUUUGGAGUUUUUGAGAUUUAUUAAAAAAAAAUAAAAUAAAAGAAAAUAAAAAGAAUAAAAAAAAUAAGUAAGAAAAAAAAUAAGACGUAAAAAAAAACUUUGGAAAAAAAACGAAAAACCGAACCCGAACGUUCGGUUGGUUUCGGUUGGGAAAAAGUUGAAAAACCGAACCCGAGCGUUCGGUUGAUUUUGCUUCCAGAAAAUUUUGAAAAACCGAACCCGAGCGUUCGGUUGGUUUNNNNNNNNNNNNNNNNNNNNNNNNNNNNNNNNNNNNNNNNNNNNNNNNNNNNNNNNNNNNNNNNNNNNNNNNNNNNNNNNNNNNNNNNNNNNNNNNNNNNGAGUGUUUACAAUGCUUUUUGGGAAAAAUAGGGUUGUCACAUUGCCUUAUAUAAUGAGGUGGACGAAUUCUAUGGGAAACCCAUUAAGAAAUCGUCCAAGGCUUUAAGGAAUGGAGUCCAUGGGUUGCUUAGGGCUUAAGCAACAAGUUUAGGGUUUCCUUGUUAGAUAACCCUAAUAGCUCCUAUAUAUAGAGAUUCCUUAUGACUAAAAAACAUGGCUAAGACUAAUUCUAGGGUUUCACACGUUUUAGGGCAGCCUUCAUCCUCUUGCUCUUGGUGUUUGUGAACCAUUAGAGGAGUGACAUUUGUGACUCUCAGCUUUCUAAAGUCAAUACAAGAAGGAAUUGGAUUGUUAUUGCUACAUAACAAUCAAGGUAAUAUCUUAAACCCAUUCUCAUGUUAAUAUGAUUACUUGUAUGCUAGAAUUAGGGUUUAUAGUCUUGGAUAAAAUUGCAUGUACAAUAGAGAAACCUAGAUCCAAGCAUUAGGGUUUGUAUGAGCACAUAGGAUGUUCUUAUGACCAAAACCCAUCAGUAACAGAGCCAUAAAUGAAAAGAUGAUGUCUCUCCAGUUCAAGGCGAGGGAACUAUACAGAUCGUAACUGCUAUUAAACACUAAUGUACUCGAAAGAUCCCUCGUGUAAAACCCUUUCUUCACCUCGUCAUCUUGUUCGUGAAAUCUACGAACUCCUUGAACCGCCUCAUCCAUAACACUCAUCUUGAAUCCCAUGAUUCACUACCUGAAAAAUACCUAGGUUCGUGGAGGCUUUACGAAUCAUCUCCAUCAUUGAUGCUCUAUGGGUCGAUUGAAGGUCUAUGACCGGAAUCUUGACAGCAGCGGUGGAUAUUUUGGGAAUGGUGUCCUGUGGGUGAAAGAAGAUGGCAGGGAUUUUCCGGAUUCUGGCAUCGAUGAGGGCUUUGACGCCGGUUUUUGUUUGGUCGAAAGCUUUGAGCUCCGAUUGUCGAUCGUAGCUUGAGCCGACUCAAGCAAUGGUGGCAGCCACUUUCGUGAAGAUGAUCGUGCUAUAUAUGUGAAGGUAUUCUCUAGAAAUGUGAGUGAGGAUCCUUGCAAUUGUGGCCUUAUGAAUGUAAAUUGUUUGAUUUCCUGUGAGAAAUGAAGCGAUAGAGAUCGAUCUACGGAGGAUGUGGGUCGUUCUUUGAGGGAUGAAAAAACCCUAGUUUCUUAGACUUUUUGAGUACGUGGUUUUCUAAUAGGAACACGAUAUUUAAUGAGAUCGAUAAGGAGGUCAAGAGUGGAGGAGAAGCGGAUCGGAGAGGAGAGAGAAGGAGGGAGAGGGGAGAAGAUGAAAGAUAGAAAGAAGGUAGAAGACGGGUUUUCAAAAUUUUGGGGAUUUCGUUUCCCCCUCUACUAAACGCGCGUUUUCAUUAAAAUUAUAAAGCGACAAGUAUAGAGGACGUGCCUUUAAAAUAAAGUGCCCUCCGUGUUUUUAAUUUCUUUUCAUGAGACACUAAUUUAAGGGCACACAAUAAUGCGUGACGUAAAUCAUUAAAUUUUUUUUGAAGAGAUGACACUUUUUUAAUGUCACUCUCUUUUGCGUAACAUAAAUCAAUGAGUGUCAUGGUUUACACGUCAUAAAAGGGUCUUUUUCUUGUAGUGAACCUAAAUAUUGAACAAUUUUAUACAAUUACUAUUUUGACUUUCAAUUAUAUUUGAGCCUCAUAUUCAAAUUUUCAUUUCCUAAUGCUUAACAUCUCUUAUUAAGGUAUUCAAAUUUUGUCUAGUUGCUAAAAGAGACUAAUGCAUUUAUGAUAUCUUAGAAUUAAUCAUAACCAAACUAUAUAAGGUCCAAUUUAUUCAGUUCGGUUUAGCAAUUGAACAGAAUAAAACUUUGCAUGUAAAAAUAAAUAUUAAACUAAAAAAAAGCUUACUAAACUUUUUACCAAAUGAAAAAGAUACACUAAUACAUAACAUAUAUAACAUAUAUUGUCUUGUUUUGAAGUUAUAAAAUUCCUUUAAACGAUCAACAAUGUUGAUGCAACAUUUUUUUCAACAAUUGUUGACCACCCAUGUGAUAUUACCGUUUUAACCUCUUCUAAAAUUCUAACUUCCCUAAGAAGCAUGGUCAAACAUGUCUCCCUCUCUUCAACUUCAACGUCACUAGAAGAGCUAAAAUUAAUAUAAGGAUUAUUAGGCUUAAUGAGUUGUACCUUGAGCAUGAUUUUUUUUUAAACUAAAUUAGCCACCCCGUCCCCUGAAUGGCUGAAUCAACUAGCUUCCCAUCUUCUUCACCCACAAUGCUUUUGGUCGACUUUUUUUUUUUUUUUGGCUACCACAGACUUUCGGCAGCAAGAUCUUCUGAUGCACUCGAUUUCGGAUUAGAAACCAUCCACGACUUCAUCAGCAUUGUUUUGUAGCCCAAUUUCUCUAUUUCUUUCCUUUUAUUCUUGAACACCAUUGCAGGUUAGUAUCUCUAGUCGGUGUCAUUUGAAUGAAAAGAAAGAAUUAUCUUUAUAUGGUCGGUCCGCCUUCCAAUUGUUUGAUGAAAUGUCUGAAAGAAGUGAACAUUGAUUCAAGAAUUUGAUUGCUAAGAACAAAUCUGUUUCAUGUGUUUUAUCUUAAUUUCUAAUUCUUCAUUUUUCUUCUGACCUCACUGUUUCAUUUUUCUUAUUGUUUUUCGAAAUUGAUUCUGCCCAACUACAUAUCAGUCUUCUGUUGCGCUCCCAUUGAUACCAUUUGAGAACAUCUUUUUCAAAAUACUUCAUCGCAACCUCCAAACUUUCAUGAUUGGACAAUCAAUUUAGGGGAAAAUAUUGAUCAACUUUUAAAUCCAAGAGCCAUCAAAGAUAGAUGUCUCUAAUUGUUUACCUAUGAUAUUAGAAAUUGAUUUUCGUUCUUGAACUGCCCUCUGUUUCUUGAUCUUUAUCCAUCUUCAAAUGUUGAUCUAUUUCUUUUAUUUGAUUCUGCUUGUUGAAAUAGCACAACUGACAUAUUUUGAUCUCUGUAGUGUUUUUUGUUUGUUUGAACAGAUGCUUAGAGCAAAUCUCGAUAGCACCAUCAUCUUCUUCCUUUUCUCUUCCAUAUUUUGUUUUUGCUGAUAAUUUUUUUUAGAUACCAAGGCUUUGUUUCACUCUUUUAGGCUUUAUUCCUUUUUUCAUCUUUAUCCAUCUUCAAAUGUCGAUCAACCUCUUUUAGGCUGUGUGACUAUAAGUAUCAUACACACUCUACGUGUGUAUGUGUCUCUGGCUGUGUGUUAUCUGCACCAGAACCUAAACAAAUCAGGUAACCAUCAGCGGCUAAAGAAACUUGGAUGCACUGCUGUUAGUUAUAUCAAAACAUAUACUUUAUUUUUUGUUUAAGAGGCUUAUUAUAUGAAGAUGAUGUUUGUAUUUUAUUCGUCUAAUUCUAAUAGAGUGGUUUGAUAUGUAAUUAAUAGGUAAAGCUGUGACCAAAACAAUUACUUAACAAGUGACAUUACUAGCAAAAGAUGAAGAUGAAAGUACAUACAUGGGGUAGUGUUCAGCGGCCUGUGUAUGUGUGUGUUUUAGGAAAAAAAAAACUAUUUAUUUUUUAAUAAAACAUUGUAUUUUGAAAUAUUUUCUCAUAUGUAUAGAUUUUUCAAAGUACAUUGCCUUUAGAAAUGUAACUGUUACUUUAACUGGUAUGCCAUGCAUGUGGAUCGAGUUUUCAAGUAGAAACAUGAUUAUUAAAGUCCAUGAGCAGAAUUUUUUCUACAGCAAAUGAUUAAGAUAUUAAAAAAAUGGUCCCUACCCAAUAGAAAAUUUAAAAAUUAUGCCCUAUGCAAAAUGGACAUUGGAACUUAUGAGUUUUGCAACGCCAGUUGGAAAUUACCGGUCAUAAUUGUAUUUUUAAUGGUCAAACUCAAACGUGUACAAAAAGUUGACUGAAUAUGAACAAAUGUGAUAAAUAGUUAUCCUCAUAAGUCAUUUUCUCUUUUUAUUAUACACCUAACGGUUAUUAGUACAAAAAAAAAAAAAAGAACUUUCUUAAAUAUAAAUAGAAAUAUUAACUCUUCAUGAUGCCUUAUCUCACAAAACACUGGGAAAUGGCCACCCUUGGUGUUGGUGGCAAUUUUAUUGAUAACUGGGACUUAAAAACCCAUGCCAAAUACAAAAAUGAAACAUGGUUUUACAUGACUAUCUAUGUUCUUCUUUUUUUCAAAUUUGCAAUGAACACCACAACCUUCACAUAAACCCAAUCUUCGAAGCUAUCAAGAAACAUAAAAAAAGCAAAUCUUCCACGACGGUUGAGAAGCAAAGCACCACAUGCUAUCCAAAAUCCAACAGUGAAACCAAUGGCCCCACCAAUAUAGAACCAACCUUGAAGUUCGUCUAUACCUUCACCCUCACUUUCACCAAUGAUGUGUUGUAUUCCUGAUUGUUCAUCUCCAGAACAUUUUUUGGUAAGGGGAGGUCCGCAUAGCCCUAAGUUCCCUUCGUAUCUUGAAGGAUCAAAGGACUGAAGUUGUGUGCUGGAUGGGAUUCUCCCUGACAAGUUAUUAAAUGACACGUCUAGGUCAUUCAGUAAACUCAUCUGAGACAUGGUUGAUGGUAUUUCUCCUGAAAACUUGUUUCUAGAUAAAUCCAAAGUUAAAAGAUUUUUCAUCUCACUGAUGUUCCAUGGAAUCUUUCCAAAAAGAGCAUUCAUUGACAAGUUCAGUGCAAUCAGUUGAUCAAGAUUAGUGAUCUGAUAUGGGAUUUCCCCUGUUAAGUUGUUGCUUGAGAGGUCGAUGCUCCUCAACAACUUCAUAUUACUUCUGAUGAAUUCACGUUCACUUCCUUGCCACUGGAUCAUCACAUGGUCAACAUUAUAAGAAUAUCUUAUUAAUGGAUUGUUAGGAUCUAAAUUCUGUAGUUGAGAGAAUCCUUGUUGCACCAUGAUCGUAAGAUUACUCAAACAUGAGGGGAUUCUUCCAUGGAAAUGGUUCACUGACAAGUCUAGAAUUUGAAGACUUGCUAAUUGACAUAAUUGUAAAGGGAUGCUUCCAGAGAAGUUGUUUGAUCUUAAUGUAAGAACAUACAACCCAGAUAAGCUUUCCCCGAUCCAAACAGGCAAAUUACCAGAAAACUUGUUGGCCCCCAAAUUCAAUGACUUUAAGCUUGUGCAAUUCUUAACGGACAAAGGAAAUUCUUCAGAGAAAUUGUUCUUGUAUAAAUCCAAUGCCUCUAGGUUAAUCAUAGAUCCAAGAGAGGCAGGAAGCCUUCCAGAAAGAUUAUUGUGUUCUAAAUUAAACAUUUGUAGUUCUUUGAAAUGCCACAAACAGUCUGGAAGUUGUCCGCUUAGAAAGUUAUGGGAGAGGUCAAGAAUAACUAAAAAGCCAUGGACAACCUGGCAUAAGAAGGAGAUUCCUCCAGAAAAUUUGUUUCUGGAAAGAUUUAGUAAUGCCACAGUGGAAGAGACAUUAGUUAUUGGACCAUCAAAGCGGUUGGAGCUUAAAUCUAUCACUGAAUUGCUGUCAAAAUUUGAUGACAGAUCUGGUACUUUCCCACUUAUGUUGUUGGAAGAAAGAUUCAGGAAUGUCAACCGGGAAGGCCAUGAGUCCCAAAACUCGAGAGGAAUAGUAUCUGAAAUACCAUUAUUUGCAAUAUCAAGACUGGUAAGAUUUUUCAACUCUUGAAUCCAUUUGGGGAAGUGAGGCCCUAGCUUGCAAGAGCUUAGUUGAAUAGAUUCUAUAUGAGAACGGUUUGACAUGUAAUCUGAGGAAGGAAAUCCAUGGAGUGAGCUUUCGGAAAGAUCAAGAAUUUUAAGGUUGGGCAGUUCCCACAGUUUCUUACUUAUAGUUCCUUUUAACUGAUUCUCAUAGAGGAUCAGAUGUGUUAGGGAUGUAAACUUUUGGAUGUCAUCAGGCAAUGACCCUGUAAAUUGGCUUCCUGAAGCAGACAACCGUUGUAAUGAAAGCGAUGUGCAUCCAGACAAGUUGUUGAGAAAAUCAGGAAAUUUGAUAACACCAAAGUUGUUAUAGAAGUAAAAAUGUUCCAAACUACAGAGGUUACCAAGAUAUUUGGGUAUCCCAUCUAACAUGUUUCUGGAGAGAUCAAGGAUGUGAAGCUUAUUGCUGGUCAAUGGGAACAACCAACGAUACAUGGAUGAGGUGAGACUGUUGUUUCUAAGAGAAAGGUCUACAAUAGAUGAGGAAGAAGAAGAGUUGAGAAAUGAAGAAGAAUAUGGAUACAUGACCUGUGACAGCUCACAUCCAUCUAAACUUAAAAGCCAGAGUUUCGGGAGACUGAGAAUAACAUCUACCCAAUGAUUUGUUUUGGCCAGUGAAAUCCCAUCCAUUUCAAGUACCUCCAAAUGAGAUAGAGGAGACAACCACUCAAGGUUCUCAAGUCUACACAUUCCAGCAUAUGAAAGGGAAAGCAAUUCCAAGUUGGUGAGGUUUCCCAACUCUGGAGGAAUGGUUCCAUAAAGAGAAUUAGAUGAAAGGUCAAGGUAUUUUAAUUCUGUCAAGGAACCAAUGGACCUGGGAAUGGUUCCAUUAAGAUUAUUGCCGCCAAGGUCAAGGUACCUUAAUUGAGUCAACGAACCAAUGAUCGUGGGAAUGGUUCCAUUAAGAUUAUUGCCGCCAAGGUCAAGGUACCUUAAUUGAGUCAACGAACCAAUGAUCGUGGGAAUGGUUCCAUUAAGAUUAUUAUAGCCAAGGUAAAGGGACCUUAAUCGAGUCAAGGAACCAAUGGACCUGGGAAUGGGUCCAUUAAGAUUAUUGCCGCCAAGGUCAAGGUGCCUUAAUUGAGUCAACGAACCAAUGAUUACAGGAAUGUUUCCAUGAAAAGAAUUGUAGUGAAGAUCAAGAUGAUUCAAGUAGGUUAAGUUAACCAAUGAAUGGCUAAUCUCACCUACAAGACCAAAGAGCAUCAGAUCAAGAUCUGUGACAUGACCUGUUUGGUUGUUGCACGUUACUCCACUCCAUUCACAGCAGUUGUCUUGUUCAGCUGUCCACAUAGAGAGGCGAUCAGAAGGGUCUUGAAGGAGAGAUUUGAAAUGAAGGAGAGCGUCUUUCUCCUUCUCAAAACACCUGUUCACACCGCCAUUAUCAUCUCCUCCCUCCACUGCUGCCAAUUGGUUGGCACUUGUAGUCUCAAGACAUAGCAAGAGAAGUGAGAAUAUUAUAACAACACAAGGAUGCAUGAUGUAAAAUUGUAAAUGCAAAUCUUAAUUGGUGAUUUUUUUUUUGUUUGUAUUGAUGAAAAUUUGAAGAUGCCCCAUGCAGCUUUAUAUAGUGCUGCCAACUGUGAAAAUGAAGGAUUCAAGUGGAUGGCCUCAAACUGCACAACUAUUUGUUGGUCAUUUAUUAAAAAUUAAGAUAAAAUAUUAACCAGCCAAGUGAAAUUACAAUGCAUAAAAUAUUAGUGUAAAUUACACAGAAAUAGAAUGGUUCAAGUAAAGACAAUAAUUCUCGUGAGAACGCGUAGGAACAAAAUUCUUUUUUUCCUCUUUUUUCAUCAAUAUGGAAACAUAUUUUAAGGCUAAAAAAUAAUAAAUUCUGGUGUUCUUUAAUAAAGUAAAACAAUAUAUAAUAAAAAAUCAACACCAUUCAUCAACGAAUACAGUUUUAGAAAAAUAUAUAUAUUUUUUAUUUUGGUAUGGAUGUUUAAUUGUAAGGCCUAAAAAAUAGAGAUUUUCGUAUAUUUGUUAAAAAUAAAUAAUUAACAUUCGAUCAUCUGUGAAAACAACAUACUCAUCAAUGAAAUAAAGUGCUAUAAAACACUUCCUAUAUCAAUAUAAAUGUCUAUUUUUACGUCAUAAAAAGAUAUUUUGGUAUACUUGUUUUUUUUUCGGAAAAGAUAAAAAUAAUUAAGCAAAUUCAUCAAUGAAAACACCAUAUUCGUCAAUGAACAAACUGUUAAUAAAGACUUUGUAUAUCAAUUUGAUUAUCUAAUUGUAUAAUCUACAAAUAUAUAAAUUUGGGUAUUUUUGUUUUUAUUUUUUGGUAAAGCUUGGCGGCACAUACAAGCCUUGAAGUCAUGGCGCGCCAUGGCGGAGCCAUGACGAGCUUUUUAGAACCUUGAUAUAUAUAUACAAACAAACAUAUUUUAUAAAGUAUAAAUUCACUUNNNNNNNNNNNNNNNNNNNNNNNNNNNNNNNNNNNNNNNNNNNNNNNNNNNNNNNNNNNNNNNNNNNNNNNNNNNNNNNUAUAUAUAUAUAUAUUCUUAAAAAAUAAAAGAUAACAAAAGAUAGGCAUAUUCAUCAACAAUGGUUUAUUAUUUCUCAUUUUUAGAAACAAACUAUAAGAAAAAUUAGAAAAGAAGAAUUGAAAUAAGUUGCCCCAAAUCAAUCGUUCAAAGACUUAUACAUCAUGCGGGCCAUAAAAUCCUUAUUUUCCUUUGAAAUAGAAUCAUUUUAUAAGGCAGAUUAGAAAAAGAAAAAUUGAAAUAAAUUGCCCCAAAUCAUACGAUUCAAAAGCUUAUACAUCAUGUGGAGCAUUAAAGAUGAAGAAUUGAAAUGAAUAGCCCCAUAUUAGACGUUCAAAGGCGUAUAUCUUAUCUGGAGUAUACAAAACUUAAUUCCCAUCGCAUCAUAAUAACCAAACUAUAAGACAAAUUCGACAUGAAGAAUUGAAAUAAUUUGCCCCAAAUUAGACGUUCAAAGACUUCCAGGCUUUGGAAAUUUGUAUUUUUUCAUUUUGUGAUAUCUUUUGGUCCUCAUGUUAACUCAAAGUGGAAAGAAAAAUAAUAAUAAAUAAAUAAUCAGCCUCUACGGGCCUAAGUGCUGAGUGAUAAAUGAUGGGUCUUCAGAGAAUGUUUUUGGAUAAAAUUAGACUAAUUGUUUUUGUAUUUUGCAAAGAAUAAACCGUUCAAAUAAGAGCAAAUGGCCAUUUUACCCUUGUAUCUAAAAGUGAUGUAGAAUUAGAAUAGCAAAUUGUUGUUUGUUUGAGAACUAUUGUAAUUUGAAACUAAAAAUCAAUGUGAUGCGACCAUGAGACUUGUAUAUGUUUGUGAAAAACUACCAUAACUGUCUUGGUCUUGUAGUUUUUAAAGAAGUUGAGACACGAUGAACGCAACAUGCAUGCUGUAGAAGACCUUUAUCAAAGCAAACUUGCAGUGUAAUCUUACCAUUUGUCAACAUAAUUUGGAAAUAUCAUAUGAAUUCUUUCCCUACAGAUAGAGCAAAACCCUUUUUAAAGGAUCGUUUCCCCAAAACAACAAAUCAGAAUGCAAACGAGUGGUUAUAUUCACAAACAUUGAAUUAAACCCCAAUUUAACAAGAAUUUAUGCAUCUCGUCUUCCUUUUCAGUUAUUAAACAACUUCCAUUUAUGUCUAAUUGACACAAUUCUUCCAAUCCUAUGCAGAUUUACUAUCCUAAACAGAUAUGUGAUACCAUUUAUAAAAGUUCCAACUUACAACAUAAACAUAAACCCAUAAACAACUCCAAUUUAAGGAAUCUAUUAUAAAAUUGUCAAUUUAAGCAAAAAGGCACCGUUUAACGUCAAAACUGAAAUUUUUUAAAGAAACAGAGAAACAUUAUUAACAGAAAUGGGAGAACAGAGAAUGGAGAAGAAGAAAAAUCGAGAUUGAGAGAACAAAAAAGAGAAUAUAGAUAUCGAGAAUGAGUACUUGAGAUGAUCCAACAACUUUCCUGAUGGAAGACCGAGAGAGGAACGACGAAGACAUCUUGGGAAAGUGAUGGAAGAUGGAGAAAAGUAGACGAAGCAAAGGCUGUAAAACCUAAAAAGAAAAGUAGGUUAAAGGACGAGGGUGAACGAGUAAAAAUCGAACAAAACCAAACCCACAGACCAAAAAAUCAAUAAAAACCAAUAAAAUCAAAAAACCAAAAAACUGAACCCAAAAUACUUUGAGUUUUUAAAAAAAUAAAAUAUUGGGUUUGGUUUCACUUUUAAAAAAUAUAAAAACUAACAAAAACUCAAGGUAUGAAAUAUAUUUAUUCACUGAAUUAUAUGGUAUUUAUUUAUUUAUUGUGUGAGAGAUAAUAAUAGGGAUGAACAUUUGGACCAGAAAACGAAAACGGGCCUGAACCGGAUAGAACCAAUCGGGCCGGGACCGGAACGAUAUUCUUGUGCAUUUUUAGAACCAGAACCGGUAGGAACCGGUCAUUGGAGUCGGCCCAAAACCGGGAACCGGACUGGAUUAAAUAUAACUCAUGUCUGCUGAACUUCCAAUAGUUCUUGGAGGCCUUAAAAAACGAUCGGUCCAUAGUAAGUAAACGUACGGCUACACAAACAAAGCAUAUCAUAUUAAAAAAAAUCCUGCUUGAACCCUAGCGACAACUUGUGUAACGCCCCAUUUCUAGUAUGUAAAUUAAAUAUAGUAUUUUCCCUUUCUUAAGAGGAACUCGACGAGUCAGUAGCCCGACUCGUCGAGUAGAGACGGGAUUUGCACGCGUUUUGAGUGAGCAACUCGACGAGUUCGUAUCCCGAACUCGGCGAGUCCUCCAGGAUGAAACCCUAAAUCCCAGGAUUUGUACCCUAUUUAAAUGUCAUUAUAGCCUCCCACCCCAGCCUCCAACACCUCUAGAGCAUUUCUCUGUAAACCCUACUCCCCAUUGUUGAGCUUGAGUGUUUUUUGCUAGCUUGGAAGUUGUAGAAGAGAAGGGAGGAAAGAAGGCCAAUAGAAGAGAAAGGAGAUCCAGAAUCUAACUUCCAUUUGCUACACAUUCUGGUAAUAAAGUUAUUACCUUGCUUAUUCUUCCAUUAAACCAUAUUUUUAUGCUUGUUUAUGGUUCUCUUGGAACUUUAUAUGAUUCAAACUCGAGAAUUGAACUCUCCUUAGGAUGGAGACCAUAGAUCUGGAUGUUAUUGAGCUUUAGGAGCUCAAUGUAGCUACCUUUAUGAAAGUAUAGCCUUGUUCCAAACUCUAAGUGCUUAUUGUUGGAUGAUUUUGGUGUUUUAGUCCCAUUCUCGUGUGCAUGCACGUAAAGUUGGAAACUUUACGUCUAAAACCAGCCCUGGAAGCCCAAAUAUAUGAAUUGGAUGCAAUAAAAUUGACUAGAAUCGACUAUAUAGUAAUGGCAUGCAUGGAACUCGACUAGUUGUUCAUACAACUCGUCGAGUCAUAGUCUGGACGUGUUCAUAUGAUGAAGGGGAACUCGACGAGUUGUUCAUACAACUCGGCGAGUCGAAUGAAGUUAGACUCGAUGUUAGUAUCAAAGAAGAACUCAUCGAGUUUUUGCCAAACUCGACGAGUUGAAGCAGUUAGAGGAUUAGAAAGGAUGUUAGGGACUUGGCGAGUUGGAGGCCCAACUCGACGAGUCCAGUCAACUAAAAGUUGACUUUGACCAAAAAAUUGACUAUGAACAGGGGUAAAAAUAGUCAUUUUACCCUAAGAGUAGUUAUCGGUAUCUGAUUUAGUGUUUAUGGGAUUUGUAGUCGGGGAGUUCCGGAGCAGCAAUCAGCCAGUUUCAGAUUUAGCAUCUCAGCAGCCAGCGCUACGAGGUGAGUUUCCUUCCAGUAGGAACGGGUCUACGACCAUAAUGUCGGCCCGUUUAGUUAGCAGUAGUUCCGUACUUCGGUCCGAUGCAGUAGUUUGGUGUGCUUGAUGUCUUUGUGAUUCAAACAUUUCUUUGUGUUAUGUGUUAUGAACUUCGGUUCGAUGCAGUAUGUAGUAUAUGUGUUUAUGCUAGUAGAUAUGAUUAUGAUAUGCUAUGUUCAGUAAGUUUCCGGACUUCGGUAUGAUGCAGUUUCCGGACUUCGGUCCGAUGCAGAGGGCAAGGCCCUGGUUAGUUCCGGACUUCAGUCCGAUGCAGUUUCCGGAAUUCGGUCUGAUGCAGAGGGCAAGGCCUUGGUUAGUUCCGGACUUCGGUUCGAUGUUGUUUCCGAACUUCGGUCCGAUGUAGUGGGCAAGGCCCAAUACGUGUUUAUAUGUUAUUGUAUGGUAUGUGGUAGCUUGGGGGAGCUCACUAAGCCUCGUGCUUAUAGUUUCAGUUUUGGUUUUAGGUACUUCAGCUGACAGGGGGAAGGGCUCGGGAUGAUGGCAUGGCACACACCACAGUUUAGCCUGGGAGAUUGACUCUGAUAUUUUGAUAUCAUCUUGACACUAGUUUUGAUUUGAUAGUUUAUUAUGACAUCUGAUAUACAUGAUUUUUGGUUUUUAUCUUUUGAUAUUUGAUAUUAUGGUUUAGCAAUGUUUUUUAAACAAAAAUUUUUAGGUUGUAUUUUUGGGAUGUUUCAACUUCAAAACGCAUGACUAAACCAAUAUCAAAGAAAAAAUUAAGUAGGUUGUUCAUGUUGGACUUCGAUUGUUCGAUCAUCAAUUCAUCAUCAUCUUAAAUCGACAUAUCCACAUCUUGAUUCCAUCCACAUAUGCUCUUAAUCUUAAAUCAACAUUUAUUAUCCACAAAUCCACCAUCAUUGAUCUAGUUCUUAAUUCGUAACCAUCAAUAGGCAAUGCCAAAAGGUGAAAAAAGUAGUCUACAACCAUCAACUUCUCAACAAUCAGCUUAAAAUAAUUCGAUAUAUAGAUGCUCAUGAAGAUCAAGUAAGAUUAUAUAUUUGUAUUUCAUGUUUUAAGUUCCAUUUAACAACGUAGUUUGUAGUUUAUUGAUAGUUGAUUUUAUUUACUUCUUUUUAUAGUUUAUUUUAACAUAUUUCAUCCAUAAUUUAGUUAAUUUCCAUGCAUAUUUUCCUUUUUGUUAUUUUUUGUCCAUUUCGGGUACUUUCUAGUUUUGUGAGCUUAAUUGCAGAUUUUAAGAAGAUUAGCGGAGUGGGAUCUUUAGGAAGCGAUUGGACUUAGAGGAAGUCAAGGAUCUUGGGCUUUAUAAUAAUGGAGUUAAUGCAUGGAGUGGGCUUGAUGAUUAUUUGAAGGCUUGGAGAAAAUGAAGUUUGAAUUUGCAAGAUGCGGGAGAAUAUUCAAGCGUGCGUAGAUCAUUAAUCGGGCGAGUUCACGAGCUUUGGAGGAUUUGGAGAAGUCAAAUUGGGCUUAAAAUGAAGAAAACAUGAAGAAAAAUGGGCUAGGAGUUGAUUGGAUACGAACUAGGCCAAGUGAGCUAAGCUAUGGAGGCCCAAACCUCAAAGAUGCUACGUCCAGGGACCACGCGCGCAACAGUAUGCGGGUCACGCAACCCCUUGCAGGGGCAAUUCCGGAAAUUCUUCUUUUGAGCUAUAUGGGGAAGGUUGGUGUGCCACUUUUUCAAAACUCUUAGACAUCCGAAUUUGGAGCAUUCUCUCUGGAGUUUUGAAGAUUUUUGAAGGCCAAGAACACCUCAAGAACAUCAUCUUUUCACCUCUUGAUUCUUGUUUAAUGUUUGGUACAAUAUUCUCUAACUUUAUUUCUUUGAGUUUAGUCAUGCUUGGCUAAACUAAUCUUGGUUGACUUUUGUUGAAUCCUUUGAACUUUUGUUGAAUGUUGAAGGAUCCAUGAACAUGUUCUUAAAUCUUUAUGGGAAUGUUUUGUGUUUUUUAACAUCUUAUCACUACUUAUAUGUUUUUAUUCAUGAGUUUAAAUGUGUUUGUGGUGAUUAGUUGGCUAAUUUCUUGAUUAAGUAAAGGAUCCUCAAAUUAGCAAGCAACAAAUGAUUUUUGUGUUGUUUUUGCUUCACACAAUCAUAAAAACAUUUUCUCCAACAUGGUAGCAAAAGCAUUCGACUCCACUUGGAUUUGGUGACUUUUUGGUUCUUAAUGCUAGUUGACUUUCACUAAUUACAUGCUUAAUGGAAAUUGUGACUUUAACUAAGGAAAUUGUUAUGAGAGUCUCUAACCAUUUUAACAACUAAGAAAAGUGUAGGUAAUCUCAAGCUGCUUGGAUUACUAUAUCCAAAUUAAGGAUUUAAAACAAGUAUUGCACCAUUGGAUUCUAAUGAUAUGUUCAUCAAAAGUCAAAGUGAGGAAACCUUAAGUCAACCAUCUUCCCCUUAUUGAUUUUACAUCAAACUUGUAUUUUUGUUGAAAUUGUUUAUUUAAAUCUUAGUUUAAUUCUAGUUUAUUUCAAGUAUUUCAAAAGACCAAUCCCCCCAUUUUUAAUUUAUUGUUAUUUUACAAGUAUUUUUACAAAGAGAUAUUUCGUAGAGUUAUAAAAUUGAACCAAUCUCCGUGGAUCGACCACUAUACACUAUUUUAGUGUAAAAGAUUUAGGGUUAUUUAUUUUUGUUGGUCUCGACAACCACCAUUUAUAGACAUACAUGCAAGAUUUUUGUUAGAUUAGUUUGUAGUAUGAAUGUAUGAUUGUCAAAACUAAGAAUUUGUUUAGUAAUAUAAUUAAUGUAUGAUAUUGACAAUGUAGGAUUUGAAUGGGUUACCAAAUAUACCAUCAUCAAGAUACCGAAAAUCGGAUGUUCAUGAUGCUAAUAAUCAAGAUGACAUUCUGACUAAUUGGAUUGGAAAAGACUUUGAUGACCAAGUAAGAAUUGUACUUUUUUUUUGUUUCAACAAUAAAUCGUAAUAUGACUUUUUCUUAAAAUGUUUAUAUCUCAUGAAUUUGAAGUGGGUUUGACAUUAUUAUUUUUCUUACAUGUUAUUUAGGUUUUAUAGAUAACUUUAGACUAUAAAAUCUCUUGAUUUGGUUAAAAAUUGAAUGAGUUACAAGCUCCACAAGGAAGCAUAUGAAAUCAGAUUUUUUUUCUAUUUCAACUUUAAAACGUAAUCUGACUUUUUCUUAAAAUGUUCAUAUCUCACUCAUUUGAAGUGGGAUUGAGAUGAUUCUUUUUUCUACAUGUUAUUCACGUUUUGUAGCUAAUUUUAGAUGAUAAAAACACUUGAUUCGGUAAAAAUUGAAUGAGUUACAAACUCCGCAAGGAAGCAUAUCAAGUUAGAUUUUUUUUUAAUUUUGUUUCAACACUAAAACAUAAUCUGACUUUUUGUUAAAAUAUGCAUAUCUCACUCAUUUUAAGUUGGAUUGACAUGAUUUUUUUCCUACAUGUUUAGGUUUUGUAGCUAAUUUUACACUAUAAAAACUCUUGAUUUGGUUAAAAAUUGAAUGACUUACAAAGCCCGCACGAAAGCAUAUCAAAUCUGACUUUUAUUGUUUCAGCACCAUUUAACAAUGUAGUAAUUUUAUGUUUUAUUUUGAGAAUAUAGGAUUAUGAAGAAGAUACAGAAGAAGUUUAUAUAGAAGAAACAGUGACAUGCCAUGUUAUGCUAAGUGACGAAUCAGAGCAAGAACAGGGGCAUAAGAACAACAACCAUAAAAAAACCAAAAUUUGCAAUCCAGUAGAAACGAAGACAACAACAACAAAACAGCACAAGCAAAAAAUUAAACACCACUACCAAAAAAGCGAACAUGACAAAAAUAUCAAACAACACCAAAACCCAACAACAAAAAAAUUUCUCAAAAGGAGUUAAGGGACCAGAUUAACCCAACCAGGCGAUGUGAGGGUAAAGGUAAUUGUACCGCUCCUAUUUGGGAUUACUUCGAGAUAGAAUGGAUAAAGGCUGAAGAUGGAAUUGAAAGAAAGUGGGACAAAUGUAAUUAUUGUUUAAAAUUACUUGCCGCAGAUGCAGAUCAGAAUGGGACAACUUCAAUAAACAAACAUUUUAAUGGCUGCAAGUAAAAGGAACAUACGUAAAUUAUAACAAUAGUCUCUAAAAUUAGCAAAUUAGGAAUGAUCUUUAUGGUUUGGAAUUUGCAUCGAUUGGUUUCUAAGUCUAUUUUUUCUAUUUUUUCCAAUUAGAAAGUUCUUAUACUUUGAUGUUGUUUUGAAUUUGGUCCCUAAUCAAUGUAAAAAGACAAAAAAUAAUUAAAAAACAUUUUCAUUGUUCCUUUUGUCUUUAAAUUGCUAUCAAAAUGCUUUAAAAUUUUAGACAAUUGCUAUCAAAAUACAAAAUAUACUCUCAAAAUGUAUUAAAUUUUAGUCAAAUGUUGUACAUUCUAGAAAAAAAAAUGGAAGAGGCUUAUAUAUUCUUUACAAUUAUACAUACAUGAAAACGAAUAUAUACUUGAAAAAAUAGUUUUAAAGAAUAUAUAAAAAGAAAGCUAUAAAAAAUUAACGAAAAAAUAUUAAAAAAAUUGAACCAAAACUCUUAUAAAAAGAAAGAUACAUAAUAAAAAAUACAUAAUAGAUCACAAAUGACUUGGAAGGGUAACCAAUUAUAUACUUUGUAUAUAUUUCUGACAUUCCUUACCUCCAGCCACACUUUUAAUCUGGGUUUUUUUUGGAGGAAUCGAACACAACAAAAUCAGAAAAUGAACUCAUAGAACACAACCAACUCUGUGUUCUUGGUGUUUGUGUGUGAAAAUUCAAAUAUUAAAAAGGAAGAUAAAACUGUUUGAGGUUUUAUUCCUGAAAUUGAAGCUGAUGAAGACAAACACAUGAAAGUCCUAAGGUUUUUCUGGUUCAAUUUGCUCCAGAUUUCGGUAAAGAACCCUAACACCUCGUUCCCUAGUGUCAUUUAACGAGGGAAGUUGAGAGAAAAGGAGGGAAUCUGAGAGAAAGAGGAGUACGAUCGUGUUCCCAAGUUAUUUUAUUGGGAUGAUUUGGGCACAAAAGAAAGGAAAUCAGAGGAUAAUCUUCCCUCCUAAUCUUCCUCCCAAAUUGGAGAGAUUUGGAGAGAAGAGAAUCAAGGAUAAAGAUUAGAACACACGGUUUUUUUAACCUAUCUAUAUAAUCACGUACAUACACACAGAGAAAAAAAAUCAUCCUGCAUCUUCUCUUUGGAAGUCCGCUGCAGCUUCAAUCCUCCAUCAGGUUACACUGUCUUCUCCAAUGAAUUUUUUGGUUGUUAAAUCUUGUUCAUCAGGUUACACUUAUGUUACAACCUUUUUUUUCUGGUUCAUAUAAUAUGUUUACUGUUCAUUAUUGUUCUUAUAUGUUUCAGAUCACAUUACCUGUGAUAAUAUGUUCUUAUAGUUUGUUUCUUCUCAUUUUUUGUUAUUAAAGUUGAAUUGAUUCAUUAGGUUAUUUGUAAUAAUAUGUUUAGAACACCAGUACAUGUUUCCUCUUAUGAUAUUAUGUUUAGAGCAUCAAUACAAGUAUCCUCAAGUUCAAUAUAUGUUUACAAUUUUUUUUUUCUGAAUUUGUUUCUUCUUCAAGAUCCAUUGAUCCGAUCCUCAUACACACUCAUUCUGACGACCAAGGGAUGUAUAACAUGUCAACAACAUUUUGUGAUAGUUCCUUUCAAUAGCAAGUACCUGCAUUAACUAUUACUCAAUGCAAUUCUCAAAGUAUCUCUUGUUGGACUAUUUUGCCCUUGCUUUUAUUUUGGAUGUAUGGCUGUUUUUGCUGCAAAAAAAUAAACACAAAAUUUUCUAUUGAUUUUUAUAGAGUGUUAUGAAUAGGUGGGUCAAUUACACGUUUAAAGAUGAAAAUAAUAAAGCUUUUUGUUGGCCUAAACGAUGACAUAAUUGAAACUAUAAAAAACUUAUCAAAGUUUACAUACAAGUAUUGCAAAAUAUUUGAUUAAAAUAACCAACACUCAUAUAAACCGGAUACAACCCAAGUCAAAAAUUCAUGCCUACCAAAGGAACUAUGAGUAAAUUUUUAUUUACUUUAACUUUUCAAAAAGCUAAGGUGAUUCCUCAAAUUUUUCAAAGGUGGUUCCUAAGUUUUUUUCUACAAUAAUUAUAAAUAAUUUUAAAAAUUAAGGUGGGUUAGAUGACCCAUGUAAGCCCUUCUUAAAUUUUCCAUUGCCACUUAAUAAUCCUUCACAUUUUUUACGUAAAAUAGGUCACAUUGAUUUCAAUGGAUAUUGACCUUCCUUCACCCGCUCAUAUUUUGAAAUCAAGACAAAUGCAAGUUGUUCAUCUAAUUUGCUUGUUGAUUGCUAUUCUGGUACAACACAAACUUACCAUCAAGAAUGGUCCUAAUUUACCUACUAGAGAAACUCUUUUAAAACGUCGACGUGUACGGGAAGAGUUGUUACAUAACCUUUCAAAUGGUGGUCAAUGUCGUCAGCUUAUCCGUAUGAGUGAGCAAGCUUUUAAGAAGCUUUAUGUUAUCUUACGACGUGAUGGUGGUCUUCGACCUACUCAACGAAUGUCUGUUGAAGAGCAUGUUGCAAGAUUUUUGCACAUUAUAGGUAAUGAUUUGAGAGACACAUUUGUCUCUUGGAUGUAUCGGCGCUCGAAAUCCACAACGAGUAGGUGUUUCCAUAGAGUUUUGCGCUCGGUUAUAGCAUUAGAAAGUCUUUAUAUUCAACAACCACAAGGUGAUGUUGUCCCUAAAGAAAUUCAAGAGAAAAAGAGAUUCUUUCCUUACUUCAAGAACUAUGUAGGAGCAAUUAAUGGUACACAUGUUCGUGUCAAAGUACCUAAUAGAGAUGCCCCUAGAUAUCAUGGCCGCAAGGGUUACCCAACGAUAAAUGUGUUAGCUGCUUGUUCAUUUGAUUUAAAGUUUACGUAUGUCUUAACCGGUUGGGAGGAUACUACAUCAGACUUAAGGAUACUAAAGAAUGUGCUUAAUAGAGAUGAUAAACUAGUAAUUCCAAAUGGUAAUUUCUAGUAUCAACUUUUUAUUUUUUAGUUUAAAUUAUUAUUAAAAAACUAAUUACAAUUUAAUUAUAGGUCGCUAUUAUUUAGUAGACGCGGGUUUGCCUCACUCAACUAUAUUAAUGGCGCCAUAUAGAGGUGUUAGGUAUCAUCUAAAAGAAUAUUCCACUCGGGUACCACAAAAUGCUAGAGAGUUGUUUAAUCUUCGUCACGCUUCAUUAUGUAAUGCUAUAGAAAGGGCAUUUGGUGUUCUAAAAAGAAGGUUCCCUAUCAUCAGAAGUACACAAGAACCUUUUUAUUCUUGUGAAACACAAUCAGACAUUUUUUUGGCGUGUUGUAUUUUGCAUAACUUUUUGAUAGUUGAAGAUCGUGACAAAGAUCUUGAAGAUGAGGUAUUACAGGAAGUGUUAAGUGCACAAACAGAGGAAGUCAGACAUAAUUCAAGUGGUGCGCGUGAGGGUAACAACAUGGCAGAGCAAUUUAGGAACUCAAUUGCAAAUCAAAUGUGGACUAAUUACUUAUUGAAUCCAAACAAUGAAAUAAAUAUGUCAACAUAGUUUAAGAGUAAUUCGUUAUAUUACUUCAUUUGCAAUUUGAAUUUUUAUUGAACAUUGUUUUGUGAAUUCAUUUGUGUUAUUUUAAAUUUUUGUUUAUGUUACUUUUGAUAAAUUGUACACUUUAUAACUAUGUUCUUUUUAUAAUAAUGUAUGUUUUUUUAUGUUAUGUAGAACCCGAUAAUGAACAAGCAAGAACCUAUUGUAAAUACUGGUAAGAAAUCACUCUUGAACUGGACAGAACAUAUGGAUGCUGCAUUUGUUGAUGCAAUGGUACAACAACAAGAAAAAGGAAAUAGGCCUUAUGGAAAUUUUACAUCACAAGCGUAUGCGAAUAUGGUUGAGGAGAUCAAUACGAAACUUACAAUGAAUUUUUAAAGUCAUCUAAAAAAUCGUUUGAAAACUUUGAAAUCUACUUUUUCACAAUGGUAUGACAUGUUCACUGGGAUUUCCUUGAGUGGGUUCGGUUGGAAUGCUGAUACCCAACUAAUUGAAGCAGAUGAGGAGGUUUGGGAUAACUUAAUUAAGGUUAGUUUUCAUUUAAGGUUGUAUUUAGUUUAUUUUUAUAUUAUGUUAUUAUGAAUAAUUUUAAUGUAUUUUGGGGUUUUUAAACAGUCAAAGCCUGAUGCAGUUGCACUGAAGACAAAAAAGGUGGCCCACUUUGAACAAAUGUUGGUAUUAUUUGCAAGAGAUAGAGCUUCAGGAGAAAAUGCUGAAACUGCAAAGGAGAGAAAUGUUAGGUUUAACAACACUACGAACAUCAAAAUAGAAAGUAUUUCAAAGGUUGAUUCUUUAUUAGCAAGUAAUGAUGUUAGACUGGAGAACCAACGUGUAGAUGAUGAUGAAGAUGACAUUCAAGUGGUGUCUCCUACACCUGAACAAAAUUCAAGUGCGAAAAAAAUGUAAAACUAAAAAAAGAAAACUCGUAGAUGAAGUAGAACAGGAAGUUGAACCUCAGCCUCAACCUGAACCUGAAACAUUUGAAACAAAGAUUAUGAAUGCUGUUAGUGAUGUGGCUAAUGCAAUGAGGGAAGGUAACAAAAUUUUUGAAAGAGCUUACCAUCAUGAGUUAACAGGUGAUGAAAUUUAUCAAGAAUUGCAGCCGAUGGGAUUGGAAGCCCAUGAAAUACCAGGUGCUCUCAUGUAUUUGGCUCGUAACCAAGCAGAUGCGAGGACGUUGUUUACAUGUCCAAUGAACAUAAGGAAGGAUAUACUAAAAACAAUGAUGGGUGCAGGUAAAUGAUGAAUUGGGAGAAUCGGUGUUUAUUUCUUGGUUCUUUGUUCAACUUUUUUUGGGUUUCACGAAUUGAAUUAUGGUUUUUCGAAUCGUAGUUGAAUUAAGUUGCAUUGUUUUGGAUGAUUUUUAUAGUUUGGUUUCUUUUCAAUUAGACAAAUGCUAUUAAAAGAUAUCCACAACUUUUUUUAUUUUAAUAUUAUUUAUGUGUUGCUAUUCAUUGGUAAUUUAAUUUAAUAUUAUAUGUAGGUUGUAUUUGACAAAAUAUAUAUGUAUGUGUGUAAAUGAAUGUUUAGACAACAAAUAUGACGUUAACAUGCAAAUCAAUUUUUUUUUUCAAUUUCAACUAUGUAUGUAAUAAUCUUGCUAAAAAAUAGGAUAAAAUUGUAAUGUUGUUAUUUAGCUUUCUUUUCUUUUCUUUUCCUUCGAACUCGGGAACACACUUUUUAAAAAACUUCCCUUCCUUUCCUUCGGACUCGGGAACACGAAAAAGUUAAUCAUUUCCUUCCCCUCCCUUUCUUUUCUCUCCAUAUUUUACUUCCCUUUAUUUUCUUUCGUUUAAUGAAACUCAAUUAAACUCGGGAACAAGGCGUAAGGUUUUGAGAGAGAGAGAGAGAGAGAGAGAGAGAGAGAGAGAGAGAGAGAGUUGUGUGUAUAUAUAUGUUCUUGUGUAUGAGAGAAAGAGGGGUUGGCCCUCUUUUAUUUUUUAAUUACUAAAAUAAAUAAAUAAGUAAUAAACUUUUUAAAGAAAAUGAAAGAAAAAUGGAAAAUAAAUACACCAAGGAUGUUAUAGUCAUUUGAAUUUUCGGAGGGACCAAAUACACAACGAAACUAACUCAAAAUAACCAUCAAUUCAAUAAAAAAAUGCAUACCAUAAGGACAAUUUUUGAUGAUUUUAUCGACGGCAUCACGCUAUUGUGAGUUUAAUAGUCUUAUAUUACUAUCUAUCCAAUACACAGGGUAAUAUCUAUAAAACAUGGGGACCAUGUUGGUAAAUUCACUAUUAAACAAGGACUAAUUCUAUAAUUUUGUGAACUGUAUGACCCUUUUUUGUUAUUUCUCUAUUAGGAAGGGACUUUUAUGUACUUUUAUAUGUAAAUUCGUUGUCAUUUAAGGACUAUUUCUUUAAAUUCCUUACUAAACAGGGGUUAUAUUCUAAUUUAUUAAGCAAAGAACCAAUUCUAUAAUUUUUUUUUAAAUCAGAUAGGAAUCAUUUUUUAAUUUGCUGAUAUACAUACAGAGACCGUUUUUGUAAUUUUGUGACAUAAAUGGACGGUUUCUAUAAAUUCACUUUUAAUAAGGAAUCAUUUAUAUAACUUUUUCAAACAUAAGUACUAUUUCCGUAAAUUCUUUAUUAGAUAAGAGCCAUUUCUUAUAAAAUACAUACAAUUAAUUCCGGUAGACUUGACGAACAGUAUCAUGAAUUUGCCACUGUAUUAUGGGUAACUUGUCGCUUCCGGUCCCUCCCUUUCACUAAAUUGACCCGGAAUUGUGCAUCGGCUGUAGGUUUGGAGGUUAGUUUCGGUGUUUGCCGUUUUUUCUUCCAAUCGCGUUGCUUCAGUGAUCUUCCCUGUCCUCCUCACGCACAUACUCAUGGAUGAUGGAACCCUUCCUAUUAAACAUCUUUCUUCAUUACUGAAUACACAUACCAAUGAUGAUCUCGUUGUCUGCCAAGAACAAAUUGGGUUUUGUUGAUGGAACAAUUCCUAAACCUCUGAUUACUUCAUCGUCUUAUUCUAAUUGGGAUCGAGCUAAUUCCAUGGUGAUUAGCUGGAUUUUAAACUCUCUAUCCAAGAAUAUUGCUGAAAGUGUUCUUUUUCUACAAACUGCUUAUGAAAUUUGGUCAGAAUUGAAACAACGAUAUGAGCAGUUAAAUGGAGCCAUGCUGUAUCAAAUUCAGCAACAGUUGUAUUCAAUUUCUCAAGGUACUGAUGAUUUUUCACUGUAUUUUACCAAAUUGACCAAGAUUUGGGACGAAUUACGUGUUGUUCAAGAUCUACCUCCUUGUUCUUGUGCUGCUGCAACUGCAAUUCAUAAAUUUCUUGAAGAACAACGUCUAAUUCAACUUUUGAUGGGACUAAAUGACUCGUAUAAAAUACUCAGAGGUCAAAUUCUUAUGAUGAAACCAUUGCCAACUGUUUCUACUGCUUAUUCUCUCAUUAUUCAAGAAGAACAACAACGUGGAAUUAAUAAUCUAUCGAUUAUUAACAAUGAAGCCAUUGCGAUGCUUGCUUCUUCUGAUAAUUCUUCCAAGAAACAUCUUGUCUGUUCUCACUGUAAGAAAAAUGGACACACAAAAGCUCAAUGUUAUCGAUUAAUCGGAUUUCCAUCCAAUUUCAAGUUUACUAAAACAAGGAAAGAUGAAAAUAAGUCUAUGGCUCAAAACGUUGAAGUAAUCUCUGCAUCAUCUCCUUCAAUUUCUCCUGAACAAUAUCAACAACUCAUGGAUCUGGUCAAUUCUCACAAAAUUGGUCAAGCAUCUACUCAAGCAAAUCUUUCUGUGGUCAAUGGAGCAAUGAAUGAUGAAGGUAAACAAGAUUCAUUCAUUCGUUUUGCAUUGAAUGUUCGCAAAUCUUCUUCAAUUUUACAAGAACAAUUUUCUUGGAUUAUUGAUACUGGUGCUACUGACCAUAUGUGCUCUAACAAAGCUUUAUUUUCUUCUAUUUCUAAACUUCAUCAGCCUCAAUUCAUUGGUCUUCCUGAUGGUUUUAAUACCACUGUUGAAUUCAUUGGAGAAAUUCAGUUACAUGAUUCUAUUGUUCUCAAAGGAGUGUUGUAUGUUCCUUGUUUCAAAUACAACCUCAUUUCUGUGCCAAAACUUACUGCACAAUUACAAACUUUUGUUAUUUUCACUGACAAAGCUUGUAUGCUGCAGGACCCUUUAUCGAAGAAUGAACUCUCUCUUGGCAUUUUUGGCACACAAGUCAAUGAUUUGUAUAUUUUUGAUCACAGACUCAUCAAAUCAAAUUUGUCAUUCUCUUUUUCUGUAUUGUCUUCUUUGGUUACCAAUAAGACUCUUGCAAUGCAUGCUGAUUCAAAUGUAUUGUUGUGGCAUAGACGUUUAGGACAUGCUCCAUUACAUAUUCUUCAAAAUCUUUCUGUUGUUUCUUCUCAUUGUAAACUCACGUGAACUUCUUCUUUAGGAUUUGGUUUUAUGUUUGAAAAAAAACAAAGAUGAUUAUUUACCCAUCUGUUUAAUUAAAUUUUUUAUUUUUAAUUCAGGGAUUUGCAAUAUGGCUCGAUUUACUAAUUUACUUGCAUCACCAUGGCCAUUAAUUAAGACAAACUCCAAUGGCACUGUAGCAAUGCUAUUUCCUGCAUAUUCUCUUUGACUUUGAACUAUGUUUUAAAUUCAAAAUGCAUAGUACCUUUGACAAAAAAAAAAAAGAAAAAAGCUUUAGUUGUAAAUUAUUAUAUAGUCGUAAAUUCAAUUCUGGGUAUAUUUUUCUUUCUUCUUUAUGUCCUAAUGCUUUUGGAUUUAGUAAAGUGUGUGCUAUAUUUUUCGGUUACGACACACUUGUUCCAUUAAUUUAUUUAUAUUAGCAUCAUAUUUUCAUUUUUUUUUCUGAUUACAGCACUGUAUUUUGAAAUAUUUUCUCAUUUGGGUAGAUUUUUCAAAGUACAUUGCCUUAAGAAAUAUAACUGUUACUCUUAUUUGGAAUGCUAUGCUUCUGGAUUGAAUUUCAAAGUAGAUUCACAAUUAUAAAAGUCCCUGUGCAGAAUUUUUUCUACAACAAAUGGUUCACAUGUUAAAAAAAUUAGAUAAACUGUGCAGAACUGUAUAACUUUUACAAACAAGAUUCGAAUUACGAACAAAUUCCAAANUUGCAACCCGAAUUGGAAAUUACAGGUAAUUGCUGGUUGUUAAUACUAAGUAAUGGGAUUUAACAUUUAACUUAGGUAAGGUAUAAUUUAAUGUAACAAUGUGAUUCGAUGAAUUGAACAUUGAUUUACUGAUGCACAGAUAAGGCCUUUGGAAACAUAAAGUGUAUAUUAUUAUAUACUCAUAAAGAAAAGAAAGGUAUAUGGAUGGAUAAUCGUUCUAGCACUAUAUUUCCUAGAAAAUUUGUCCAUCCUAAGUAUAUUUGUCAAAUGUGUAUAAAAAAAAUAAUUGAUUAAAUGUGUACAACUGCAAAACUUCAUUACUCUCACAAGUUUAAUUGUUGACGGUGAAGUGGUUGGAAACCAGGGUAACCUUUAAUUACAGAUCAUAAUGGUACUUUUUUUAAUACUUUAAGUAAGUUUAAUGGUCACAUGUGUACAAAAAUAACUGACUAAAUGUGAACAAAUGUGAUAGAUGGUUACCCUCAUAACACAUUUUCCCUUUUUAUUAUAUACCCUUAAUGGUUAUUAUUAAUUUUUUUGUUAAAAAAAACUUUCUUAAAUAUAAUUAGAAAAUAUAAACUUUUUAUGAUCCCUUAUUUCACACAACACUAGAAAAUGGCCACCCGUGGUGUUGGUGGCAAUUUUAUUGAUAACUGGGACUUAAAAACCCAUGCCAAUUACAAAAAUGAAACAUGGUUUUACAUGAAUAUCUAUGUUCUUCUUUUUUUCAAAUUUGCAAUGAACACCACCACCUUCACAUAAACCCAAUCUUUGAAGCUAUCAAGAAAUAUAAAAAACGCAUAUCUUCCACGACGGUUGAAGAGUAAAGCACCACAUGUUAUACAAAAUCGAAUAGUGAAACCAAUGGCCCCACCAAUAUAGAACCUUUCCAAAUCAAGUCCAAAAUGUUACCAGUCAGCCCCUCCUCUACAAAAUCUUCUCAUCUUAGGUCCGGAACUUACCCUUUAGUCCCUGCUUCCAUAAAUCCUUACAAAUUAAGUCCCAAAAUUACACUUUAACCCCUGUAGAUUCAAAUCUUGACAUUUGACUUCCCGAAACCAACUCCCAACGAAUUAUGAUUUGGACAAUAAUAAUAUAAAAUAAUAAUAAAAAUUACUUCUCAGGGUUUCGGGUUUAUCAUUUAAUUGUUUUAUUUAAAACGGAAUGUUACAGAUAUAAAUGAUAAAUACAAUUAACAAAGUAAAUAACCAAAAUGACCUUUUGGUAAAGCGAAACUCACAGAAUAUAUCCUAUCUAACCAUGGGGUAAACCCAUUGGAACAAUUAAAGAUGAUGUAUGAAAUGAAGUAAGUUAAGCAUUUUAACAAACAAUUUGUGUGCAAAAAAAUUUGUGCUUUAAGGAAAUUUCAUGUAAAAUCACUUCUUUGCCUACUGUGAUAACAAUCACAUGAGGAAGUAAGUAAUAAAAAUCAAAUCCUAAAACUAUAGUUGCUAGUUUAUCCGGGUGGGAAUCAAAAAGCUUACCGGAGUUGAGGAUACGCCAGAUGCACGACGACUUUAAUGGUGGACGAAAAAGGGAGAGCAUCGGGCGCAGAUGGUGAACGAAGGAGUGAGAGAUGCAUAUUAGGAAAUGAUUCGCGUGUUGCCGAAUUUCUUGUGUGUUUAGAAAUGAUAUCCAACCUAAAACAUCAACAAUCCCAAUGUAUUGGAAAAUGCCAUACGAAUGCCACGUAUCCAUGAAGCCGAAGAUGGAAAAUUGACAAAACUAAAAACCAUGUUUUGUUCAUCGGCGGAAGCAAAACCACCUAACUCAUGCCAAACCUUCCAAGCCGUGAGCUCCAAACUUGUAACUAUUCAUAAGUCGUAUCCACAAUUAAUAUGUUAUAUAAUAUCCUACAAAUUGUAAGCACAAGACUAAACUGCAAAUUUGGUCCCUGUGGUUAUCAAAAAAAUAUGGACAUGGUCUAAAAUUUUUUCAACUUGCACCAUUGGUCCAAAAUUGAAUUCUUUUUGUGGUUUUGGUCCCGAGAAAAGUUGAAAUGACCUUUUUGCCCUUUUACUUUUAUUUUUGAAUUUCUUUAUUAUUUUUUUAACAUUUAAAAAAAGAAAAAGAAAAAAUAAAGUGGCCAAUAUUCUACCCACCCGUAACCCUGCUCUCUUUUUUACAUUCUUCAUCUCUUUGACUCCCCNNNNNNNNNNNNNNNNCCAUUCUCAUUCCUACCACCACUAUUGUUGUCUUCAUCCCUUGGCUUUGUCUAUGUUAAACACAUUAACCUGCAAACUUACCUAUGUUCUUUACGUUCUUCACAACCAUUGAUCAAAUAUCAAAACACAAAAAACACUUCGCAUGUAGAUACACCUACCUGCAACUUAGAAAAAACCUACCCUGCCCCCCCCCCCCCCCCCCCUCUCUCUCUCUCUCUCUCUCUCUCUCUCUCUCUCAGAUCUGCAAAAUCCCUUUUACAACACAAUUAAUAUGAUCGAUGACUACACCAAAAUAUCAUGGAACGGUGGGAGGUUAAUCUAAACCAUCCAUGCUAGAAACCAACCUGUAACAUUUUUCGUAGCUAUUCAACCUCUCCGAAAAAAGGUAGAAACUGGUCUCUAAGAUAUGAAGCACAAAAAAAACUAUGAGAUGUAUCAGAACAAUGGGGAAGAAGUAAACAAACUGAUUCCCACCCCGAGUCUAUUCCUGUCUCUGCCUCCUCCAUUCACUCCUCUACUCUCUCAUUGUUGGUUAUCCAAACACCAACAACCAAAUGAACAUAAUUGGUUCCUCACGAAUCCCCAAAUUGAAGAUCUCGCACAUAACCUAAUCAAGUAAAAGUGAGAUUUCUUCAACGGAGAUAAUAGUUGAAGCAAGCCCCACUUCUAAUGAACAUAUUGAAGAAACCCAAAAUAGAAAAAUUAGUUUUUUUUGUCAACAACUUCUCAAGCAUUGGAACUGAUCAAGAUGCAGGUCCUAAAGUAGAAACAAUCUUCGUUUUCGGCCUCUACUUACCUACUAGUUGCAGGCUCUGGUCAAUCGUCAUUUGAUCCAUAUUCUUUUCGAUCGAUUGGCUCUGUUAUAUUCUCCUUGGAAAACACCACCAACUCCUCAUUUGCAUCAUGUACAUCCCUUGGUGACAACGAAAUGGGUCGGUGCUGGAAUCUCAGCUUUCUUGUUGGUUUUGGUUUUAGUGUGUUUUGGUUUUUGAUUAGGUGAAGAAGUGGUGAAGUGAAGGAGUUCGAUGGGUAUCAUGUUCCAAAUUAGGGAUACAAGGCAGAAAAAAUGGGAUAAAUAAGGGAGAGAGAGAGAAAGAGAGAGAGAGAGAGAGAGAGAGAGAGAGAGAGAGAGAGAGAGAGAGAGAGAGAGAGAGAGAGAUAAGGGUACAUAUGGUGUGGGUGGCCCACUUUCUUUUUUCUUUUUCAUUUUUUCAAAUAUUAAAAAAAGUAAAGAAAUUCAAAAAAUAAAAUUAAAAGGGCCAAAAAGUCAAUUCAAUGGACUAAAACCACAAAAAGAAUUUGAUUUUGAACCAAUGGUGCAAGUUGAAAAAAUUUUAGACUCUAUCCACAUUUUUUUGAUAACCACAGGGACCAAAGUUGCAAUUUAGUAUAAGCACAACUGACCACUCUUACAAAUUUAAUAUAAUAUAUAUCAUUUUAUAAUUUUGUAUUAAACUAUUAUGAAAGUGGUUACUUAUUUAAAAGUUUGUAGAAAUCACUCGAUCUAGGCUAAUUGGUGGACUGGGGUCAAUGGUUAAUCGGUUAGAUGGGGAUUAAUUGGAGACCAUUAAGUAUUAAAAAAAUUAUUAAAAAUUAAUAAAUAUUACAUUAAUGCUAAGAAUAUAAGUAAACAAGUUAACAAAUAAUAAACAUGUACUACAUAAUUUAGUUUUAUUUUCAAUUUGACAUGCUAGCUAGAAGCUUGAUUAUCACGAAUGUCAUAAACACCAUAAGAACCACAUAAUACAUAUCGAUCACAAUUAUCCAUUUGUGCACUUAAAAUCAGGUGUUUCUACUUCCACCGAUAUCAAAGCACUGUGUGCUUUCCCAACCCAAUUGAAUGAACACAACAUAGUUCUUGAUAGCGAACUAAAAGCAUAGACCAUGCAGAUAAUUGAAAACUAUGAUGAAGCAGACAUUAAAAAUCGAUAAUAGAUAGAAAUGUAAUUAACCAAGAUCAAGCAAACAUUAAAAAUAUGAGAUCAAGCAGACAUUACAUACCUUGAGUAAGCCUUGAGUAAUUGACCAUUCCCAAACGGUGUCUGAAGUUGUAAAAUUCCUUUAAACCAUCAACAAUGUUGGUUGGUUGCAACGUUCUAUUCUACAAUUGUUGAGCACCCUUGUGAUAUUACCUUUUUAACCUUUUUCUAAAUUUCUAACUUCCUAAAAAGCAUCAUCAAACAUGUCUCCCUUUCUUCAACUUCAACGUCAUUAGAAGAGCUAACACUAAUAUAAAGAUUACUAGGCUUAAUGACUUGUACCCCGUCCUCUGAAUCAACAAGCUUCCCAUCUUCUUCAUCCACAACUUCGCCUACAUCAUUUUCUAGCCCAAUUUCUCUAUUUCAUUCCUUUUAUUCUUGAACUCCAUUGCAGGUUUGCAUCGCUAGUCAGUGUCAUCUGAAUGAAAAGAAAGAAUUAUCUUCAAAAGGUCGGUCCGCCUUACAAGUGUUUGAUGAAACGUCUGAAAAAAGUGAAUACUGAUUGCUAAGAAUAAAUUUGUUUCAUGUGUUUGAUCUUGAUUUCUAAUUCUUCAUUUUUCUUCCGACCUUACUAUAUGAUCUUGUUUUGCCACCAACACUUGAUCACAAAAUGUUAUGUCCAACUGCAUAUCAGUCUUCUGUUGUGCUCCUAUUAAUGAUACCAUUUGAGAACAUCUUUUUCAAAAUACUUCAUCGCAACCUCCAAACUUUCAUCACUGGAAAAUCGAUUUAGGGAAAAAAUUUGGUUUUGGUUCUUGAAUUGCCCUCUGUUUCUUGAUCUUUAUCCAUCUUCAAAUGUUAAUCUAUUUAUUUUAUUUGAUUCUUCUUGAAAUAGCACAACUGACAUAUUUUCCUCUUCCAGGUACCCCAUAUUUUGUUCUUGCUGAUAAUUUUUUAAGAGAUGAAGGUUUUGUUUCACUCUUUUAGGAUUUGUUCCUUUUUUCAUCUUCUUCCUAAACAUCAGCUGACUAAAGAAACUUGGAUGCGCUGCUCUUAGUUAUAUCAAAAUAUAUAUUAUUUUUUGUUUAAGAGGCUUAUUAGAUAAAGCUGACUAAAAAAAUUACUUAACAAGUGACAUUAAUAGCAAAAGAUGAAGAUGAAAGUACAUACAUGGGGGUAGUGUUCUGUGGCCUGUGUGUAUGUGUGUGUUUUAAUUAGGGAAAAAAAAAAUUUGUUUUUAAUAAGAAAACAUGCUUCAAAAAGAAAACAUGAAACCAGGAUGCUAAAAUAAAGUCAAUGGAAGUACAUGCUAUUUCCAGCAUAUUCUCUUUGACUUUGAACUAUGUUUUAAAUUCAAAAUGCAUGGUACCUUUGAACAAAAAAAAAAGGUUUAAUUGUAAAGGAUAAAAUAAAAAGGUUGGAUUUUGACAUAGACAUUUAUGUUGUGAUCGUUUGAGGGGUGACAAUUAACUUUUGUCCAACCAGAGUUUAACCAACUCAUCUUCAAAGGGCAAUAUAACAUACUCACUGCAAAUUCAUUUCUGGACUUCAGACAUACACUUAAGUAGGUUUAUUCUCACUACUGGAAAACAGGUAAUACAAUACACCCUCAUCUAAUACGGUUGUAAUGAAAACCGUAUUAUAAAAUGGCUAAAUUAAUUUAAUACACACAAAUGAAGAAAUCUAAUAGGCUUAAUUAGGUCAGGUGUAAUAGAUAAUAUUUCCAAUUAAAAUUUGUAUUUUUACAAUUAUUAACAAACUUUAGCCUUUGCAUCGACCAGAAUGUUUAACAAAACAUUGGAUGUUCAUUUGACGCAACGUCAAAAUCGAAUUGACCGUUCAUUUGUAUUUUUCCCAUUUUGCCCCUGUAGAUUGCCUUCACUCUUUUCUGGUCAAGCGGCUUACUUAUCAAAGAAUCGAUGAACGACAACAUCAACUGCAAAAUUGAUCACUCUUUCUCUCUCUCUCUCUCUCUCUCUCUCUCUCUCUCUCUCUCUCUCUCUCUCUCUCACACACACACAUACUCUCGAUCGAUCAAUCGAUCGACAUACUCCGACGCCUCUCUUCACUGGCGAGCACCUCUUCAAAACUCAUCGUCAAUCAAGCUAAUUCAGUGUCUCUUCAUCGCCGAUUCAAAAUUGAUUUCAGAUUUAAAUUCGUCGGGUCUUCAGUAUUGAACAACCAGGUGUUCUUUCUAAUAAGUUGUUUAAUUAAUGUCACAAUACAUUAGCAAUUGAUAGAGUUAAUUCCAUGUUCAAACUGUUCAUUCUAUUGCAUAUUUGGUCAUUUGAUUUCCGUUUAUUGGAGUACAUUGACAACUGUAUAUGCAUGAAACUUACGUUUCUUCAUCUGGUUCGUUCUUUGCAGCUCAAGUUCCUCACCCUCAUCUCCAGCCUUCAUCAGAGAACCUUCCGUAACUAUUUCCCAUGGCGUCUGCUUCUCUCUGCACAUUUCAAUAACGAUUCCGAUCUCCUCAGCUUCAAAUCCCCUCUCCUUUAGCAACAUUUCUUCAAUUGGAUUUUCUGAGAGAAAGAAGGUGUUCAUUCUUAACUUUGUUCCUAAUUUUUUGAUUUUCUUAGCAUCAUUUUACAUAACCAGUUGAAAAUUUUGGGUUUUAGCUACAUGUUUUCACUAUGGUUUGAAUAUAACCUGUCUUUUUAUAAAAUGAAAUAAUUAACUGAAACAAACAAACUGAUGCCAAACCGAGAUUAGUAUGAAUCUACAUAUCUGCUAGAUAAUAAUAAUUGAUUAUAUUGAUUACAAACGAGAGUGUUCUCAUUCUAAUGAUUUUCAAUGGAUAAUGAGAUUGGUGUUACAUCUGCCACUAACUUUGAUAUCCUUAUCCGGUUUGAUUAAUGUUAAAAAUGUUAAAAUGGAGAUUGUUGUUGGUAAUGUGGUAUAGACCCCUUGUAAUUAACUUUGUUUAUCUUAGUGCAUAACUAAAAUUUGACUGUAGAUUUCAACAUUCUAGAACUGAAUGAUAGCUAUGGUUUCUUGAAUAGUGCAGGAGCAUCCAAAAUAAUCGGAGUUUUGUUCAUAGAAUCAUGUGUUCAUCAAAAGAGCCACCAGCAGAAACAGGGCUCACAUCAAAAGCAUUUGAAUCACUAAAGAUUGGGUCAACAACCAUCAUAGUGGAAGCUCCUAAAAUGUUGAAGACAACAACUUCUUUGCCUUGUCUCAGAGUUAAUUCUGUUUUAGUUAAAGCCGAUGAUGUUGGCAGGUAAAUUUUUUACCGAACAUCUAUAACAAGAGAGCUUUUUGGUGGAAUUUUUUCAUUAUAAAACUUUAAAUGAAAAAGCUCCUUUUAUCUCCAUAAUAGAAACGUUAUUUUAGUUUGUUAUUUGUGGGGACCUUGUAUAUGUUGUCUAUAUACAAUUGGUUGAAAACCCAUGGAUCCACCAAAUCAUUGAAAGCUUGUUAAUUAACAAGCUCUUUGAAAAAGAUCAUCCAAUAACUUCUUCAAUUUUCUUGAGUUUUUUUUUUUUUACAUGAAAAAGCUCCUAUUGUGAUGUUCUUAUUAACUAGUUAUUUGGUUUCAUUUCAUACCUUUUUUUAGUAAAUAUCAUAUAUGCUUAAUAAAUUUGGAACCAGUUAAAAGGGUGAAGGAUAUCUUUAAUUAAUAUACACUAACAGAGACAAUGGUGCCUUUAAAGAGAAACUUAUUAAUUUCAUGAACAAAAGUUGAUCUAUAUUAUAGCAAAUUUUUUUGAAGGUUGUGUUCAAAGUAAACAACUGAUUUUGAUAUUUCCAUUUCUAAACUAUACUUAAGAGUAUUACUUUGAUGGAAGAUCAUAGACACAUCCUCAAGAUUAUAGUUUUUGAUUAAAGUAAAAAACUAAGAAUACACAUUUGAUAUAUAAGAAAUAAGGAAUAUUAUCACCAUAACUAUAGCAUGCCACCGAUGUUAUCUUGUUUAAUGCACCUUGUGUGCAAGAUUUUAUUAAGGCAUUGUAUUUUUUUUUUUUUUUUCGAAUUUACCAUUUAUAGCAUCUUACUUUCAAUUUUUCUUUUUGUUUUUUAGAUAUUAUUCUUUGAAAAUUUUAUCAACUACUUUGUAAUUUGUAGAGAUUGAUCCUUCGCUCACAACUCACAUGGGAGGGACAAUGAGUUUUUAACAUCAUUAUAAAUGGUGAUAACAUGUUUCAAGAGAUUAAUAUUGUCAAAAUGAAUGGAGAUAUUAAUAGUGCUCUUGUGCUAACAGUCCAUGUUAGCAGGAGGAGUUUGACAAUAAUUUUGCAGCUUGUAAAAGGUAGUCAUACCAGUCAUAUCAUAAUCAGUGCCAUAGAGACCAUAGAGAUCUUUGAAAUUGUUAGAGCCGAGGCCAAUACUUCAAUUGAUUAAGGUACUUUUAAAACAUUUCUUGGAAUUUGAAGCUUUGAAAAGGAUUCUUAUGAAGUAAAAAUUAUUUUUUUAUGUUGUAGUAAAAGCUUUGCAGAAAUUGAAGAGUUCUUUUCAGUUGGAAUGGCGAUCCAUGUGUUCCACAGCAGCAUCCAUGGAGUGGGAUUGGGUGAUGAAUAAGGCUAGAAUGCACAGCCGGAAUGGGCUAGAAUGUAAUCAGGAAUGCAUUGCAGGAAUGGGGGAUGUGACAUCAAGUACAAUUGUUUAUGGUGUAUUAGAUUCUUUUAUGUGAUGGUUUUAAUACUAUAGAUAGGAUACAUAUAGAGUACAGUUAAAUUACAGGUAAUUGCUGGUUGUUAAUACUAAGUAAUGGGAUUUAACAUUUAACUUAGGUAAGGUAUAAUUUAAUGUAACAAUGUGAUUUGAUGACUUGAACAUUGAUUUACUAAUGAACAUAUAAGCCUUUUGGAAACAUAAAGGGUAUAUUAUUAUAUACUCAUAAAGAAAAGAAAGGUAUAUGGAUGGAUAAUCCUUCUAGCACUAUAUUUCCUAGAAAAUUUGUCCAUCCUAAGUAUAUUUGUCAAAUGUGUAUAAAAAAAUAAUAAUUGAUUAAAUGUGUACAACUGCAAAACUUCAUUACUCUCACCAGUUUAAUUGUCGACGGUGAAGUCGUCAGAAACCAAGGUAACCUUUAAUUACAGAUCAUAAUGGUACUUUUUUUAAUACUUUAAGUAAGUUUAAUGGUCACACGUGUACAAAAAAAACUGACCAAAUGUGAACAAAUGUGAUAGAUGGUUACCCUCAUAAGACAUUUUCCCUUUUUAUUAUAUACUCUUAAUGGUUAUUAUUAUUAUUUUUGUUAAAAAAAAAAACUUUCUUAAAUAUAAUUAGAAAAUAUGAACUUUUUAUGAUGCCUUAUUUCACACAACACUGGAAAAUGGCCACCCAUGGUGUCGGUGGCAAUUUUAUUGAUAACUGAGACUUAAAAACCCGUGCCAAAUACAAAAAUUAAACAUGGUUUUACAUGACUAUCUAUGUUCGUCUUUUUUGCAAAUUUGCAAUGAACACCACCACCUUCACAUAAACCCAAUCUUCAAAGCUAUCAAGAAACAUAAAAAAAGCAAAUCUUCCACGACGGUUGACAAGCAAAGCACCACAUGCUAUGCAAAAUCCAACUGUGAAACCAAUGGCCCCACCAACAUAGAACCAACCUUGAAGUUCGUCUAUACCUUCACCCUCACUUUCACCAAUGCUAUGUUGUAUUCCCGAUUCUUCGUCUCCAUGACAUUUUUUGGUAAGGGGAGGUCCACAAAGCCCUAAGUUCCCUUCGUAUCUUGAAGGGUCAAAGGUCUGAAGUUGUGUGCUGGAUGGGAUUCUCCCUGACAAGCUAUUAUCUGAGACGUCUAGGUAAUUUAGCCAAGUCAUUUGAGACAUGCUUGAUGGUAUUUCUCCUGAAAACUUGUUUCUAGAUAAAUCCAAAGUUAAAAGGUUUUUCAUCUGACCGAUUUUCCAUGGAAUCUUUCCAAGUAGAGCGUUUUUAGAUAAGUUGAGUGCAAUCAGUUGAUCAAGAUUGGUAAUCUGAUAUGGGAUUUCCCCUGUUAAGCUGUUGCUUGACAGGUCGAUGCUCCUCAACAAUACCAUAUUACUUCUGAUGAAUUCCCGUUCGGUUCCUUGCCACUGGAUCAUCACAUGGUCAAUAUUAUAUGAAUAUGUUCCUAAUGAAACUCCACGAUCUAAAUUCUGUAGUUGAGAGAAUCCUUGUUGCACCAUGAUCGUAAGAUUACUCAAACAUGAGGGGAUGCUUCCAUGUAAAUGGUUCACGGACAAGUCUAGAAUUUGAAGACUUGCUAAUUGACAUAAUUGUAAAGGGAUGCUUCCAGAGAAGUUGUUUGAUCUUAACAUAAGAACAUACAACCCAGAUAAGCUUUCCCCAAUCCAAACAGGCAAAUUACCAGAAAACUUGUUGGCCCCCAAAUUCAAUGACUUUAAGCUCGUGCAAUUCUUAACAGACAAAGGAAAUUCUUCGGAGAAAGCAUUCUUGUAUAAAUCCAAUGCCUCUAGCUUAAUCAUAGAUCCCAGAGAGGCAGGAAGCCUUCCAGACAGAUUAUUGUGUUCUAAAUUAAGAACUUUUAGUUCUUUGAAAUGCCACAAACAGUCUGGAAUUUGUCCGCUUAGAAAGUUAUGAGAGAGGUCAAGAAUAACUAAAAAGCCAUGGACAACUUGGCAUAAGAAGGAGAUUCCUCCAGAGAAUUUGUUUCUGGAAAGAUUUAGUAAUGCCACAGUGGAAGAGACAUUAGUUAUUGGACCGUCAAAGCUGUUGGAGCUUAAAUCUAUCCUUGAAUUGCUGUCAAAAUUUGAUGAAAGAUCUGGUACUUUCCCGCUUAUGUUGUUUGAAGAAAGAUUCAAGAAUGUUAACUGGGAAGGCCACAAGUCCCAAAACUCAAGAGGAAUUGUAUCUGAAAUACCAUUAUUUGCAAUUUCAAGAUUGGUGAGAUUUUUCAAUUUUUGAAUCCAUUUGGGGAAGUGAGGCCCUAGCUUGCAAGAGCUCAGAUAAAUAGAUUCUAUAUGAGAACGGUUUGACAUGUAAUCUGAGGAAGGAAAUUCUUGGAGUGAGUUUUCGGAAAGAUCAAGAUAUUUAAGGUUGGGCAGUUCCCACAGUUUCUUACUUAUAGUUCCUUUUAACUGAUUCUCAGAGAGGUACAGAUCUGUUAGGGAUGUGAACUUUUGGAUGUCAUCAGGCAAUGACCCUGUAAAUUGGCUUCCUGAAGCAGACAACCGUUGUAAUGAAAGCGAUGUGCAUCCAGACAAGUUUUUGACAAAAUCAGGAAAUUUGAUAACACCAGAGUUGUUAUAGAAGUAAAAACGUUCCAAACUAGAGAGGUUACCAAGAUAUUUGGGUAUCCCAUCUAACAUGUUGCCAGAGAGAUCAAGAAUGUAAAGCUUAUUGUUGGUUAAUGGGAACAACCAAUGAUACAUGGAUGAGGUGAGAUUAUUGUUUUUGAGAGAAAGGAUAUGAAUAGAUGAAGAAGAGUUGAGAAAUGAAGAAGAAUAUGGAUAAAUGACCUGUGACAGCUCACAUCCUGAUAAACUUAAAAGCGAGAGGUUCGGGAGACUCAGAGUAACAUCUACCCAAUGAUUUGUUUUGGCCAGUGAAAUCCCAUCCAUUGCAAGUCCCACCAGAUGAGACAGAGGAGACAACCACUCAAGGUUCUCAAGUCUACACAUUCCAACAUAUGAAAGGUAAAGGUAUUGCAAGUUGGUGAGGUUUCCCAACUCUGGAGGAAUGGCUCCAUUAAGAUUAUUGUAGCCAAGGAAAAGGUGACUUAAUUGAGUCAACGAACCAAUGAUCGCAGGAAUGGUUCCAUGAAAAGAAUUGAAGUCAAGAUCCAGAUAAUUCAAGUAGGUUAAAUUAACCAAUGAAUGGCUAAUCUCACCUACAAGACCACAGUUCAUCAGAUCAAGCUUUGUGACAUGACCACCUGUUUGGUUGUUGCAUGUCACUCCACUCCAUUGACAGCAGUUGUCUUGUUCAGCUGUCCACGUAGAGAUGCGAUCAGAAGGGUCUUGAAGGAGAGAUUUGAAAUGAAGGAGAGCGUCUUUCUCCUUCUCAAAACACUUAUCAUCUCCUCCUCCCACUGCUGCCAAUUGGUUGGCAGUUGUAAUCUCAAGACAAAACAAGAGAAGUGAGAAUAUUAUAAAAACACAAGGAUGCAUGAUGUAAAUGCAAAUCUUAUUUGGUGAUUUUUUUUGUUUGUAUUGAUGAAAAUUUGAAGAUGCCCCAUGCAGCCUUAUAUAGUGCUGCCAACUGUGAAAAUGAAGGAUUCAAUAAUUCUCAUGAGAACAGUAGGAACAUAAUGCUUUUUUCCUUUUUUUUUCAUCAGUAUGAAAACAUUUUUUUAGGCUAAAAAAUAAUAAACUCUGGAAUUUUUUUAAUAAAAUAAAACACUAAAAAAUGAAAAAUCAACACCAUAUUCUUCAAUGAAAUAAAGUGCUAUAAAACACUUCCUAUAGCAACAUCCAUAUAGAUGUCUAUUUUCACAUCAUAAAAAGAUAUUUUGGUAGAUUUGUUUUUAUUUUUUGAAAAAAAAAAUAAUGCCCUAAUAAAUAAAAAGAAAAUAAAAACAUCAGAAUAGAGACUUUGCAUAUCAACAUGGAUGUUUAUUUGUACAACAUAAAAAUAUAUAAAUUUGGGUCUUUUGUUUUAUUUUUCCCGAAAAGUAAUAUAACCUUAAAAAAUAAAAGAUAACAGGGAUUAGGCAUAUUCAUCAACAAAUGGUUUAUUAUAUCUCAUUUUUACAACUAUAUUCUUUACAAAAAAAAAAAAAAUACUGAAAUUAUUAUUUUUAUGCUCUAAAAAAAGAUAUCAAUAUAAAAGGUUCCUACCAUUUUUAACAAGAAUUAUCUUUCUUGCGUUUACACUUUACACACACCUAGUGAGUUGUGAUUCGUGUGGAGCAUAAAAUCCUUAUUUUCCUUUGAAAUAGAACCAAACUAUGAAAGAAAUUAGAAAAGAAGAAUUGAAAUAAACUGCCACAAAUCAAACGUUCAAAGAUUUAUAGACUCUGUAAGGCAUAAAAGCCUUAUUUUCCUUGAAAUAGAACCAUUCAAACUAUAAAACAACUUUAAAAAAAAAAAAAAAAAAAAGGACAAUUGUAAUGGAUAGCUAGCCCCAUAUAAGACUUUCAAGGACUUUCAAGUCUUGGAAAUUUGUAUUUUUCCUAUACAUAUCUUUUUUCAUCUUAUCAUAUCUUUCGAUCCUCACUUUAUGUCAUUGUAAAUCCACAAAAGCAAACUAAUCAUUCAGGAAAAAAGGACAAAUGGUGGGUUAGUGCCUGGAAACAACCAUAUAUAGCUAGCUGUCCAGAUCAAGUGCUUAAUUAUUAAGCCUAUUAAGUCAUAAAGAAUCAGUCCCUAAUGGCAUAAGAGCUGAGUGAUAAAUGAUGAGUCUCCAGAGAAUGUAUUGGAUAAAAUAAGGCUAANUGAGUCUCCAAGAAUGUAUUGGAUAAAAUAAGGCUAAUUAUUUAUGUAUUUUGGAUUGAAUGAACCAUUCGAAUAAGAGAAAACAACCAUUUUACCCUUCCAUCUAAAAGUAAUGUAGAAUACCAAGUUGUUGUUUGUGAGAACUAUUAAAAUUUUAAACUAAAAAUCACUUUUAUAUAUAUACGACCAUGAGACUUACAUAUGUUUGUCAAAAACUACCAUAACUGUCUUUUGUCAAAGCAAACUUGCAGUGUAAUCUUACCAUUAUUUUCUACAGAUAGAGCAAAAUCCUUUUGGCUUUUGCAAUGCAUUGUUUCCCCAGACAACAAAUCAGAAUGCAAACGACUUGUUAUAUUCAGAAACAUUGAAUUAAACCCCAAUUUAACAAGGAUUCAUGCCUCUCAUACUCCCCUUGGGUUAUUAAACAACUUCUAUUUAUGUCUAAUUGAGACAAUUCUUCCAAUCCUAUGCAGAUUUAAUCUCCUACACAGAUUUUUAUGAAACCAAUUAGAAAAGUUCCAACUUCCAACAUAAACAUUAACCGAAACAACUCUAAUUUAUGGAAUCUAUUAAAAAUUUGUCAAUUGAAACAAAAAGGCACCGUUUAACGUCAAAACUGAAAAUUAAUAAUAAUAAUAAUAUUAAAUGUGAGCAAGAGAAACAUUAUUCAACAGAAAAUGGAGAACAGAGAGUCGAGAAGAAAAAUCGAGAUUAAGAGAACAAAAAGAGAAUAGAUAUAUCGAGUAUUGAAUAGUUGAGAUGAUCCAACAACUUACCUGAUGGAAGACCGAGGGAGGAACGACGAAGACAUCUUGGAACAGUGAUGGAAGAUGGAGAAGAGAAGACGAAGCGAAGGCUGUAAAAACUGAAAAGAAAAGUAGGGUUAAAGGAGGACGAGGGUAAACGAGUAAAAAUCAAAUUCAUAAGCUAAAAGGGGAUAACAAAACCAAACCCACAAACAAAAAAAUCAAUAAUCGAUAAAAACCAAUAAAAUUAAAAAACCAAAAAAUUGAACCAAAAAUAGUUUGAGUUUUUUUUUUUAAAAAAAAUAUAUAUAUAUUUGGUUUGGUUUCAGUUUUAAAAAAAUAUAAAACCGAACCUCAAAUUUUAUGAAAUAUAUUUAUUCACUGAAUUAUAUGGUAUUUAUUUAUUGUGUGAGAGAUAAUAAAAAUCGAAGUUCUGUUUGGUGAUUAAGCAGGGCCGGCCUUGCCUUGUGUCAAAUUAAGCAAGGGCUUAGGGCCUUGCUUGUUUACUUUUUAUUGUAUUUACCUCUUAAUUUUACAUCUAAAUAUGGAACCGAAUAAGCGUGAGGACGAAUAAGUGUGAGGAGGAAGUCUAAAAGAAAAAUGCACAUGCUUGCCCUUCCCCCGUAUGUCUCCCACCAACAAAAAAAAUUUAUUGGGUUGUUCGUUUUUAAAAAGCUAAUAAGUUGAAAAAGUGUUUGACAAACUCAAAAGUAUUUUUCAUAAUAGUUUUUCCAUUAGUUUCAAAAAACACUUUUUAAAAAGCAUGUAAAACUUGGUUUUUAAAAACUGCUUUUGACUUUUUAACCAAAAUAACUUCAAAAAGCACUUUUUAAACCAAACACAUUUUAAUUUAUUGACUUAUUGGCUUUCUCAUCAUAAAAGUUAAUCCAAACACUUUUAAAAAACUUAUUUUACCACCACUAUAAGCCAAUAAACAUUUUUAUAUAUCGCGUCGUUCCGUAGUUUAAUAAAAGAAAAGAAGAGAAGAUAAAAGAAAGUCAUAAGAGAAAAUAAAAAAAGAGGAGAAAGGAAAGGAAAACAAAAUUUUGUUUUGAGUUCCCGAGUUGGAGAGAAAUGGAAGGAAAAUGAAUCAUUUUGUUCUUUCUUUCCAAAUCCUCCCAAAUCGGAAGGAAAGUUAGGAGGGAAAAUGAUCCUCUCAUUUCCCUCCACUUCCUUCCUUUAAUGAAACUUAGAAACACCAAUUUGUUUUAUUUUCUUCUCAUUUCCACCCAUUUCAUUUCCUUUCUCUCGUUAAGUUGAACUCGGGAACGGGGUGUAAAAGUACUUCUAGAGUUCAAAAAGCACUCACAAACACCCAUUUAAUAAAGUAUUGUGUUUCAUAUACAAGGCAAUCCUUCUCCUUCAUUGUUUUCUGAUAAACUCCUUUUGCAAAUUUUGUGUUGUUUGUGGUUUGUUUCCAACGGGCCUCAAACUACAAGCCUAUUUGUUGGUCAUUUAUUUUAGCAAAUAAGAUAAAAAUAUUAUCCAGCCAAGUGAAAGUACAAUACAUAAAAUAUUAGUUUAAAUCUCUCUCUCUCUCUCUCUCUCUCUCUCUCUCUCUCGCACACACACAGGAAUAAAAUUCUUGUUUUUUUUCAUCAACAUAGAAACAUUUUUUAAGGAUAAAAAUUAAUAAAUUCAGGAAAUUUAUUUGAUAAAUAAAACACUAAAAAAGGAAAAAUCAACAUCAUUCAUCAUGGAAUAUAAUGUAAAAAAAUGAAGUUUAAUACCAAUAUGGAUGUUAAAGUAUAAGACAUAAAAAAUAUAAAUUUUGGUAUAUUUGUUAAAUAUAAAUAAUUAACAUUCAUCCGUUAGCACUACAAAUUCAUCAAUGAAAUAAAGCUCUAUANAGCGGCUUUUGAAAGCUACGAUUGCUGAUCAGGUUCUGAAGUCAUACGGAAAAUAGUUAUUAGACUUAUCCAAGUGGGAGACUGUUGGAUUAGUGUCUAAGUCCAUAACUAUUUUGGUAUGUACUUGACCCGAUUAUGAGCAUGGUCCUUUUGGGUUGCCUUCACCAUAGCAAUAUGUAGGAUGAAUUAAGGAGAGAGAGGUUUAAAUAUGAUUUAUUAAUAUAUUAUGAGAAUAAUAUAUUAAAGGAGAAAUCAUAUUGUUUAAUUAAUAUUAGUCAAGAAUUAAUUGAUAAUUAAUUUUGUGGCUAAAAGAGAUUAAUUAAAUUUAGGGGACUGGACUGCAAUUAUUGGAUAAUUGAGUUAUUGGGCUAAGGAAUGCUAAAGGAAUAAGGGGUGAACGAAAUUAUGAUGGGAGCCCAUCAUAUUUUCGUCCAUAGCCAUAUCCAAAAGGUUCCAUGGGCUGCUUAGAGUUUAAGCUGCCCAUUAGGGUUUUGACUGAAACCAUAGCAGCCCACACAAGUAUAUAAAGGACCCCUUAGGCCCUAAAAACGUGGACAACUGAUUCUCUAGGGUUUCUAGCCGUUUUUGGGCAGCCUCCUUUCUUCUCCUCUUCAUCCAAGUUGUAUAUGGUGUUUGUGACUCCAUUAGAGGUGCAACACUUGAUGCACUAAGCUUUUGAAGCCAAUUCAAGCAAGGAAUUGAUUGUUAUUGCUAUAUAACAAUCAAAGGUAAUUCUAUAAACCCUAAUUCAAUUUAUUAUAUUUUAUAUCUAAGUUUAUUAGUCUUGGAUUCAUUGCAUGUACAAUAGAGAAACCUAGAUCCAAGCAUUAGGGUUUGUAUGAGCACAUAGGAUUGUUCUUAUGCCUAAAACCCAUCAGAAUAUAGACCAAUGGUUUUAGUUCUUUUAAGUAAUGAUUUACCUAUCUUUAUAUCAGGAGACACAUGUUUAAAUUAAGAAACACAUGUUUAAUUAAUGAAAAUUUCGGAUUUUAAGGGAUACUGAUUCUUUUAAUUUUGAAUUCUGAUUUUUUUAAUUAAUUCAUUUUUAAUUCUAACAUAAUUUUUGAUUUUACUCGAAUUUAUUCUUUUAGAUUGCAAUUCUAUUAGAACAAUAUUCUAUGAAAAUUCCAUAAUAUAUUCUAAUAGAGUACAUAUUUUGAUUGAAGUAACUUCUUGUAGCAAAACAAUAUUCUUGAAGUUUCAGUUGAAAUAUAACGUAAUCUUUAUAUAUUCAAACAUUGAAAUGUAAAUAUAGAUUCAUACAUCUUCUUACAGAAAGAGAGAGAGAGAGAGAGAGAGAGAGAGAGAGAGAGAGAAUGACAGUGAGGUGUGAGGCACAGGAAGAAGAAAGAAAUAUGUGUUUUGUAUGGUCGGUUAGGGUUUUUAAUUCUUAAACUAUAUUGCCUAAACUAAAGGGAUUAAUUAAAUAUUUAUUUAAUUAAUAAAAUUAAUUAAUAGAUAACAUUAAAAAUUUACCUUAUUUAGGUUUUUAAAUGAUUGGCUCNUAUAUAUAUAUAUAUAUAUAUAUAUAUAUAUAUAUGACAAAACUUCAAAAAUGGUCCCUAUGGUUUCACAUAAAUCUAAAGUUUGGUCCCUAAUUUUAAAAAACCUCACGGAUGGUCCAUGUGGUUUAAAAACGUUUAAUAUUUAGUCCUUCCGGCUCACUCUGUUACCAUUUAGCAGUUAAAUUGUUUCUCAACAUUAAAUUGCAGGGGCAAUAUUGUCGUUUCACUUUUAACCUUUACUCUUUAAAAGAAAGAUUGCAUGCUCGAUUUUUGUGCAAACCCUUUAUCUGUGAUCAUCAUCUCUCUUUUCCCUUCCGUUGUUGGUCGACUGUUACACCCUUUACAAUAUCUAAUCGCUUCGCAUUCAAAGAUGGUGACUUGCUGAUGUAGGAAUAAAGCAAUGAAUAUCACUUCAUGGACGGAUCGUAACCUGGAAGGAAAUUUUGGAACUGUACAAGAUGUGGGUUCCUUCGAUGGUCUGACCCUCCUAUGUGUGUUAGGGCAUUAGUGGUGAUUCCGGGUUUGAUAAGAUAAAUGAAUCAAUUGGAAGAGAAGGUUGCUAUUACGAGUGCAGAACUAUGGAACUACCAGCUGAUGUUGUUUUGUUCAUGGGUGUUCUUUUUUUGGUUUUAUUUUAAUCAGUAUGUAUCUCUUUUCGGAUGGAUAUCUAUUUUCGUUUUUAUUCAUUAUUCGGGGGUUGAUGAAAGAAACCAUAUAGUUAUAUGAGUAAAAUAAACGACUUACCAAUUUGCUACGAAAGCAAAUAGGCCUUGUGUUGCGGAUAGAACGUUAUAGGCAAGAGCUCCUGUAGCUUCAUCUUAGUAUAUUUGAGCACACUUCAGGUCACUCCGCUAUUUCCAAAGGAAGAAAGGAAAGACUUUCUAGUUUCUUCUUGCUUGAGCUGAGCACUUAAGCCUUAUGUUAUUUGAUAUUUUUCAAAAAUUUACACUAACACUUCUAACUUUGAGCUUUCAACUAUCAACUUUUUUUUUGAACAUAUGUUUAAACUCUCUUAAUUGAUAGUUCGUAGGAUUGAACCCCACCCCCACAUUUCAAAUUUGGGUGGCUUGCCACUAGAAAAAAAAUUGAUAUUUAAUUUUGUAAUACAUUUUCUUAAUCUUGUGCAACUAUUUUCUUUCCGAAAAAAUGUGUUUGUAUAUAUAUGACUAACUAGUUUCUAACCCGUGGAAACCACGGUUACUAAAUUAAUUAACCUCUCAUAGUAAAAAUUCGUACUUAUUAAUCAAUUAUUUUAAAUAAAUUAUUAAUUAAGAGAUAUAUGAAAAUUUUAAAGUUAUUUAUAACUUCAAAUUUAACAUAUAAUUAAAAAAAAAGUAAAUGUUUCUAUAAAAAGUUUAAAUUUUAUUAUUAAAAAACCUUAUCGUCAUUAAUUAUGAUAGUGGUUUGCUUAAUAUAUUUUUCCUGACAUGUAGCAUAAUAUUAAUGAGAAGUUGUAUUAAAGUGAUAUAUGUCAAAAGAAUAUUAAAGUUAUUCUUUUAUUAGUAUUAGUAUAGGGAUGGAUUUUUUAUUUUUGAGAAAUAUUUGGUCAAAUGAGUGUGAACUUUUUAUUUUAAAAAAUAAAAAUAAAAAUAAAAAUGAGUGUGAACUAAUGAAAUAUUCAUAGUAAACAAUUAUAGGGAUAUUAAGUUUUCGGUUUCCAUUCACACACAUAAUCAAUUGUUGACGUGGCCUUUAACAAUUUUGUUUGAGCAUAUAAUUGGUGGUUGGUGUAUGACACUUUAUAUGUAUGUCCUACAUGUUGUUUUGCAAUAUCAUGUGUUUAUGGUUACACUCAAAGAUGGAUAAUGUUCCUGAUGGAUGUGUUUUAGAGGCUGAAUUUGUUAAUAAUAUAGACAUUAAAGCAACCACUAAGAUUUCUAUAUAAAUUAAAAAUAAAAGCAUCCACGACGUCCCUACUUCACUUAUACCAUUACAUAACAAGAUGUUGAGUGCUCACCAAAUAAUCUUAAAAGAGGACCAAUGAAUUGUCAAAAUUAAAUUUAUUGAAAUAUAUGCCUAUUACCCUAUCUUAAUUUUGAAAGAAUCAGAUUUAUUUGUUUGGAUUUAAUUUGGACAACUUGUUGUAGGACAUUGCCACUUUUCCAUGUGUUACAUAUUUGUUCGUGGGCUUAGUCAGCAAUGCAAUUGGACUCACUAUUCAGGGCUUGUAGGAGAUCUGGUUGGACCUGCAGUGUUGAUACAAGCCAAGAGUAGGACCAAAAGUGAGAGAAGUUGUAGAAGUUAAGGACGGGGGCUUGUGUUUGAUAUUCUUAGUCAACACUCGGAUCUUUUAACCCAGUUUCCGACCCGAUCGUUUAACCUAGUUUCCGACCCGAUGGUGUUAGUAACACCCAUGUAUAUAAGGCUAGAUCAACCACUAAAUUUUGCAUCACUACAAGAAAGUAGAGCAUUACCGGCGACAGACGUCGUCGCUAAAAGCGCGCCUUGUCGCCGCUAAUAGUAUUAGCGGCGACGUGUCGUCGCUAAAACGUCGACGCUGAUGUUUUGUCGCUAUUAAUCAAACUGUCGCCGCUAAUGCGUGUCUGUCGUCGCUAAAACCCGUCGCCGCUAAUAAGCACACGUCGUCGCUAAAACUCGUCGCCGGUAAUAAGCUAUUGUCGCCACUAAAGGUGUCGCCGGUAUUAGUUUUUUUCUUUUAAAAAAAAAAAAAACUAGUAUGAUAUUAAUUAAUCUAAUCCUACAUCAUUCCAUUCCAAAAUAUUAAUACAAUAUCCGUUUAAAAUACUCGUCUGAUUUAACCUAGAACAAAAUAUCGAAAAUACUAGUCUAAAAUACUUGCACAAAUAAAACAUAAAAAAAUCCUACAACUAUCUACUCGUCAUCAUCGCUCUCCUCGUUUCCUCCGGUUUCAUUUCGUUGUGGCAACGAACGAAACCAAUCUUCAAGUGCAGCACUACAUGCCGGAUCUUUUAACAUUGUUUGAAGCAUUUCCAACUACAAAUAAAACAACAUAGUCUUAUAAGUAAACUAGCAUUAUAACAUUCUAUAUACAAAAUAUACAUUCCACAUAUUGGGUAUAAAACAUUAUAACAUUGUACUAUAACUAAUAAUUACCAAAUUUUGAAACUAUUACUAAACCAACAAUUACCAACAUUUUAAACAAUUACCAAAAUUAAAUAAUCUUGUCACCUGUGAUUGUGGUGGUGGCUGUGUCAUUGGUUGUUCCUGAUCGUACAUCGAAACAACCGUAGAAGGUUUACGCCCGAUGCCUCUGAUAUGGCCACGUCGAACACCCAAUAUUUUUUCAAAACAAUUUUGUGUAUCCUUUGGUGUUAGACCGCUGGCUUCAGAGGAAGCUUGAGUUUGUUGACUGAUCUUAAAGAGUAAAGCAUUCUGUAUUUUCAAAAAAGAAAUAAAUAUAAUAAAAAUUAGAUUACUAACUACCCUUUGACGAUAUAAGCACUUAUAUGAAAAUACAAAUUAACCACUUACGUAUUGUUGCUCGACUGCAGGACUAGUAAACACCCCUUGGCGAUCAGUAUUGGCCUUACGAAAUGCUUCGAUUCGAGCGAUGUCCUAUUUCACAUUAAAAAUUAGAUUAAUUAUAAUUUAAAUAAACAGUUAAAUAUAUCAUAGCUUACUUCUUUGAAACAUGCAUUGCUAUACGAGCACGAUCCCCCUCUGUUUACAACUUGUUGUUGUGCACGGACUCCUUUGUUUGACGCCGAACGCUUUAGAAAUUCAGGAGUUUGAAAAUGCUCGACUGCUUGCGCCCAAUUUUCACGUGACAUACCAUCGAGGGGGUUGGCUAAUGCCCUUGGGAUAUCUGUAAGCCCCCCGACAUUCUCAAAAUAAGUAUGUGCUUUAUUUUUUCGUCCUCUAUAAAUUCUUUGCAAGGUCGCGUCAAUGCUCUGCAACAACUGAGCACGCUCGGGAUCCAAGUUAACCUUAUCUAAAUCAAACUUAUUCUACAAAUACAAAAAAGUUAGUUAGUUAAAUACCAAUUAGAACUAAAUUUAAAAUAUUGUCCAAGUUACCUUUAAAUGAACCACUGUGGCAUUCCUUAAAGCGGGGGAAACAUUGUCCCAACCAGAUACGUUCAAAGGGAUGUUCAUCCAUAUAUACUUCCCAAUCUCACGGGUAAACCAAUUACCAUGGUUCCCGAUAGGGGAAUAUGUCAACUCUCUAUCGAAAUCCAAAUCUACAGGUUUUCCCUUGUUUGCCCGUAUUAUCUUUGAUAAUUGAAUGUUUUUUGCUAGGCCUCUUCUUUUCUUAGGGAGCUCAGCUGAAAAAUAUAAUUAAAAAUAUUAGUCAUGAUAACUUAUAAUAAAUGGAUAAAAAUAUCUAACAUAUAUAUCAUAAUAAGACUUACCAUCUUGUUCGUGUUGACAACGACCAAAACCUCCGGGAGGUGGUGGAUCCCCGGCUCCAUCACCUCCAUGUCCUAAGCCCAUAACAUCCGCCAUCACGUAGAAGAGUAUCGCCCAACUAAACCCCAUAUAUAACCUGCAAAAUUACAAUAUGAAUAGAAUUUACACAUAUUACAUAUACAAAAAUAAUACAGUUUCUAUUAUAACAUUGUAGUUUCCAAAUUGCAUACAAAUACAUACACAAUAUAACAUCAUACUUUUUUUUCCUUUAAUAUUGCAUCCUACUUUUUGUUCAAUUUUUUCCAUGAACUAAUUUAUUAUACAAAUAUAACCUUUAUAAAAAAUAUCAUUUAAGUCAGUAACAAAAUGGUAAGAAAUUAAUAAUUUCUAAAAUUUAAUUAAUCUAAGGCUUACUUAAUCUAAAAUAAAUCAAUAUUAUAAAAAAUAUAAAUAACUUUCUGAAAUUUUACAUUAAAACUUUGGAUUCAAUUUACACAUAUUACGACUAGAUUUUUAAUUAUUUUUUAGAGCAAGGGACCAAAAUCGUACAAAUCAGAAGUUGAGGUUUGAUCAUAUAUAUUUUGUAAUGGAGUUUGGUUAAAUCAGGAGGUUUGAUACCUCCUGUAUCCUCAUCAUCGUUCAUCCCAAAUGAGAAGCAAAAAAAAAGAUACAAAUUAAUUGCCUUGUGUUUAUCAUCUACCAACAAAUCAAGAGAUUAAAAGGGCCAACAAAUCAAGAGAUUAAAAGGGGAUGGAUGGAGUGGACUUAGGAAGAAGGAAGCUAUAAACAAUAUAAAAUGCAUACAAUCUAACAAAUUGCACAAACACUUUUAAUCUCAAAAUUACUAACAAUUUAUCAUACAACAUAGCAACAAAACACGAAAAUAAUAGAAAAUUGGAGAAAUUUGACCUUGAAUGUGGGCAAUUUCGGUAUUGAGCUCAAGGAUCGCCGGUUUUCAACGUUUUGAGGGAAGCUAUGGCGGUCUUAUGGUGGCAGAAGGGGCUAGCACCGGUAAUUUACCUUCGUCCUCCACUUAGUCGAAGUGAUCAAACCGAGAAGCAGCAACAGAAACGAGAGAAGGAAAGGAUACAAGCAGAGGAAAAAAUGUCACCGAAAAGGAAACUGGAAAGGGUAAUCUGUAAUGGGUAUUAGCGGCGACAAGCAAUAGCGGCGACAGAAGGGUAAUAGCGGCGACAUCAGGGCAAUAGCGGCGACACCUUUGGAGGGAAAAGUUAGCGCGUUUUCGCUUUCCUCUACAACCGUUGGAUUGAAAUCAAAUCGGACGGAUAGGGAUAAUUUGACACGGAUCGCCGAUUUUGAGCAUUACCGGCGACGCGUAGCAAUAGCGGCGACGUGUAACACGUCAAUUACAUGUCGCCGCUAUUGCUCUCCGUCGCCGCUAAAAGCGUCGCCGGUAAUGCCAACAUUUCUUGUAGUGCAUCUGGUGUGACAGCACCAAAAUGUAUUAAAAGUUAGUUUAAUUAUAAUCUUGCAUGUUGUAUAUUCUGCAAAAAAAAAAAAAAAAGUUCGUUACAACCUUUCAGACCAUAGUUCUUGCAAAGAAAAACAUUUAUUUCUAUUAUUGAUAUUUGAGAAUCUUAUCUUAUUAUGAUUUUACUUAAAAAGACAGAAUUAGGGGCAUUGUUUGAAGAACCACUAGCAAAGGAUCCUAACUUGUAGGAUUCUUCCCUAGAACACAUUGCACAGAUGUUCUCUCUUUAAAAUGUUACUUGUAAAUUGAGAAUAUGAAUAAUCUAAAUCCACUCAGUUGCAUCAUUCGUGUCGUAGGUUGUUGGAAGCAUCGCAAACACCCACAAAUUGAAUUUAAUCGUUAUCAUAAUCUGAUAAAUUAUAACUUCUCUAAACACAUGCAUGCAUUAAUUCGUUGGUAGACAUUAUAUAUGAUAGACCCAUCAAUUUUAUCAUAAGUUUCUUUUAGGUUAGUCCAAACAUCCACCAACACUUUGAGAGAACCUGGCUAACAUAUAAGUUUUAUGACACAACCUAAAAACUUGGACAAAACUAAAGCAACAACCAUAUGCCAAUAUCUAUCCUGUAACUCAUCGUUCUCAGUCCGAAAACAAGAGUCAUUCACAAACCCUAGCUUAUUCUUAGCGUUAAGGACUAGUUUAAUUAGUAGCACAGUGUGUUACAAUGUUACUGAUCAUCUUUUUCAAAAUAGUACAUCGCAACCUACAAACUUUCAUCAUUGGACAAUCGAUUUAGGGAAAAAUAUCCAUCAACUUUUAAAUCCAUCUUCAAAUGUUGAUCUAUUUCUUUUAUUUGAUUCCUGUUGGAAUAGCACAACUGACAUAUAUUCUUCUCUGUAGAGUUUUUUGUUUGUUUGAACAGAUGCUUAGAGCAAAUCUGGACAACACCAUCAUCUUCUUCCUUUUCUCUUUCAUAUUUUGUUUUUGCUGAUAAUUUUUAAAAUAAAAAGGUUUUGUUUCACUCUUUUAGGCUUUCAGGUAACCAUCAGCUGCUAAAGAAACUUGGAUGCACUGCUCUUAGUUAUAUCAAAACAUAUAUAUUAAUUUUUGUUUAAGAGGCUUCUUAGAUGAAGAUGAUGUGUUUGUAUUGUAUUAGUCUAAUAUAGUGGUUUGAUAUGUAAUUAAUAGGUGAAGCUGACUAAAACAAUUACUUAACAAGUGAAACUACUAGCAAAAGGUGAAGAUGAAAGUACAUACAUGGUUACCCUAAUAAGAAAAACAUGAUUCAAGAAGAAAACAUGAAACUAGCAUGCUAAAACAAACAAGUCAUGUGUGUUUUUUCUGUUGCGAUCGUUUCAAGGUUGACAAUCUACUUUUGUCCAACCAGAGUUUUACCAGAGCUUUUGGAUUCAGUAAAGUGUGUAUGUGUGUGCUAUGAACAAAUGUGAUAAAUGGUUACCCUAACAAGUCAUUUCCCCUUUUUAUUAUACCCUUAAUGGUUAUUAUUAUUACUUUUUUAAAACAACUUUCUUAAAUAAAAAUAGAAAAUAUAAACUUUUUAUGAUGCCUUAUUUCACACAGCGGUGAAAAAUGGCCACCAGUGGUCUUGGAGGCAAUUUUAUUGAAAAAUGGGACUUAAAAACCCAUGCCAAAUACAAAAAUGAAACAUUGUUUUACAUGACUAUAUAUGUUCAUCUUUUUUGCAAAUUUGCAAUGAACAUCACCACCUUCACAUAAACCCAAUCUUCAAAGCUAUCAAGAAACAUAAAAAAAGCAAAUCUUCCACGACGGUUGAGAAGCAAAGCACCACAUGCUAUGCAAAAUCCAACAAUGAAACCAAUGGCCCCACCAACAUCGAACCAACCUUGAACAUAGGUAGGGUAUUAUUUUAAUGUAACAAUGUUGAUUUUCUGAGUUGAACAUUGAUUUAAUGAUGAACAAAUAAGGCCCUAGGAAACAUAAGGUGAAAUAUAUUAUUAAUUAUAGUCUUAAAGAAAAGCAAUGUAUAUGGAUGGAUCAUCCUUGGAGCACUAUAUUUCCUAGAAAAUUUGUUGAUUAAUCCAAGUUUAUUGGUUACAUAUGUACAAAACAAGUGACUAAAGAAUGACCCAAUGGGACAGUUGUUUACUGUCGUAUAGUCAUUUUCCCUUUUUAUCAUUACCCUUAUUUAGGCCUGCCAAUCGUGUCGUGUUCGGGUUGGCGUGUCGCGGGUUGGCGGGUCAAAAUAUGCCAACCCAAACACGACCCAUUUAAAUAUACAAGUUACGGGUUGACAUGUCACGGGUUGGCGGGUUUGGAACCUAAACCCAUAUAUGACCCGCCAACCCAUUUAUUAAUAUGGGUUCAUAGGUUGGCGGGUUCGUGGGUCAGAUUUGGGUUCGUGGGUACGAAUUUUAGACAUUUAAGUCUUAAACAUCCAAAUGAAAUUUAAAAACAUUCAUAGAAACAUGUUACAGACUUGACAUUAUAAGUUACGACUUACGACCUUAGACCAUCCACUUGGAGUCAAAAUGUCAAAAUUGUCAAAUGGUCUAUGAAUCAAUGGUAUAUAUUAUAUAAUACUUAUUAAAUAUUAAUACUUGAUACAUAAAUACAUUUAAAAAUAAAAUGAUUUUUUUUUAUUAAGAAUAUAAACGGGUUGACGGGUCAACCCGUUUAUUUUUUGAGAAACUCAUAUAUGACCCAUUUAAUAAGCGGGUUGGCGGGUUAGCGGGUUGACGGGUUGAAAAACUCAACCCAAAUCCAUUUAUUUUGUGUCGUGUCGUGGGUCGUGUCGCAGGUCGUGUCGAGAAUUGCCAGCCCUACCCUUAUUGGUUAUUUAAAACAAAUAAAUAAAAAUAAUAAAUAACUUUCUAAAAUAUAAACUUUUUAGGAUGCCUAAUUUCACACAACGGUGAAAAAUGGCCAUCCGUCGUGUUUGUGGCAAUUUUAUUGAUAAAUGGGACUUAAAAACCCAUGCCAAAUACAAAAAUGAAACAUGGUUUUACAUUUAUCUAUGUUCAUCUUUUUUGCAAAUUUGCAAUGAACACCACCACCUUCACAUAAACCCAAUCUUCAAAGCUAUCAAGAAACAUAAAAAAAAAAAGUAAAUCUUCCACGACGGUUGGUGAGUAAAGCACCGCAUGCUAUGAAAAAUCCAACUGUGAAACCAAUGGCCCCACAAACAUAGAACCAACCUUGAAGUUCGUCUAUACCUUCCCCCUCACUUUCACACCAAUGCUAUGUUGUAUUCUCGAUUCUUCAUCUCCAGGACAUUUUUUGGUAAGGGGAGGUCCACAAAGCCCUAAGUUCCAUUCGUAUCUUGAAGGGUCAAAGGACUGAAGUUGUGCGCUGGAUGGGAUUCUCCCUGACAAGCUAUUAUCUGAGACGUCUAGGUAAUUUAGCCAAGUCAUUUGAGAAAUGGUUGAUUGUAUUUCUCCUGAAAACUUGUUUCUAGAUAAAUCCAAAGUUAAAAGAUUUUUCAUCUGACCGAUUUUCCAUGGAAUCUUUCCACGUAGAGCAUUCUUUGAUAAGUUCAGUGCAAUUAGUUCAUCAAGAUUGGUAAUCUGAUAUGGGAUUUCCCCUGUUAAGUUGUUGCUUAACAGGUUGAUGCUCCUCAAUAAUACCAUAUUACUACGGAUGAAUUCACGUUCAGUUCCUUGCCACUGGAUCAUCACAUGGUCAACAUUAUAUGAAUAUGUUAUUAAUGAAUAAUCUACUUGAGAGAAUCCUUCUGUCACCAUGAUCUUAAAAUUACUCAAACAUGAGGGGAUGGUUCCAUGGAAAUGGUUCACGGACAAGUCUAGAAUUUGAAGACUUGCUAAUUGACAUAAUUGUAAAGGAAUGUUUCCAGAGAAGUUGUUUGAUCUUAACGUAAGAACAUACAACCCAAAUAAGUUUUCCCCAAUCCAAACAGGCAAAUUACCAGAAAACUUGUUAGCCCCCAAAUUCAAUGAUUUUAAGCUCGUGCAAUUCUUAAUAGACAAAGGAAAUUCAUCAGAGAAAUCGUUCUUGUAUAGAUCCAAUGCCUCGAGCUUAAUCAUAGAUCCAAGAGAGCCAGGAAGCCUUCCAGACAGAUUAUUGUGUUAUAAAUUAAGAACUUUUAGUUCUUUGAAAUGCCACAAACCAUCUGGAAUUUGUCCACUUAGAAAGUUAUGAGAGAGGUCAAGAAUAAUGUAACAUCCCGAAAUAUCAAGAGUAGAGUUGAAGGGCUAAAAGAGUAAUUUAGGAAAGAGCGACUCGGCGAGUAGAGUCGUGACUUUGUCACGUGAUUAAGUAGCCGACUCGGCGAGUCAGUGAGAUGGACUCGGCCUCCUUAUCACCCCUUGAGUCCUAGAAAACCUAAUUUCGUGGAGAAACCCCAUNCCUUAUAUAAAGAUCAUUAUGUUUUCCCCCCAGCCUCUUUAUCACCCCUUGAGCCCCAGAAAACCCUAAAUCGCGGAGAAGCACCAUUGUUGAGUGGAUUGGAGCUUGGAGAAGUAAUUGUUGAAGGAAUUUUGGGAGAUUGAAGGCUUGGAGCAAGGGGCUUUGCUUGGAUUCGAAUUACAUUGCAGUUGGGGCAUAUCUUAGAGGUAAUGUCUCGUUAUUGGAUUGUUGUUAUAUUGUUUCUUCAUUUUGGGGUUUGUGGGAACUUGUCUAUGGAUGUAAUUGGAAGUCUAGAGGUUAGAUCUGAGGUUGCUACCUCAGAUCUGGAAUGAAGAAGAAUCAGAGAGCAUGAAAGUCCCUGUAUUGGAGUGUUUAGUGAAGCUAUCAUGUCCCAAACCCUAGCUCUAAAGUGAAUAAGGCCUAGAUCUCUUUGGAUUCACGUAAAGUUUGCCACUUUACGUGAUGGAUGAGUGGUAGGAGGCUAGAUCUAUGUUUUGGAGCAAUUGCAUGGCCUGGAAUGCUUCUGAAUGGAUUCAGACCGGUGGUACUCGGCGAGUCACAUGGGUGUACUCGACGAGUUGGAUGAAGAUGGCCUGGAACUCGGCGAAUUGUAUGAACAACUCGGCGAGUAGGAUGAAGGAAGCCUUAGAAUCGGCAAGUCUGUUCUUGGACUCGGCGAGUCUUGUUGAAGAGUCCCAAAUAUUUUAUGGUUGAGUCGAAAAUCGGCGAGUCAAGGGAUGACUCGGUGAGUUGUGUGCGAGUGGACUCAGAGUUGUGGGACUCGGCGAGUCUCGGGGUAACUCGGUGAGUUGAGUCGCGGAUUGGGGAAGUUCUGAGCAUGGGGAAUCGACGAGUCGACGGGUUGACUCGGCGAGCAGGGUCAACCAGGAGGGUUGACUUUGACGGAGGACUUUGACUUGGACCAAGAGUUGACCGUUGACUUUUAGGGCUUGGUCAGCGAUGUGGCCUUUAGGCCAAAAGAGGGGUAAAAUAGCCUUUUACCCUUAAGAGGGUGCCAUGAGAGGGUUGAUUCUAGUCUCGAGAGUUAUAUUCAUGAGAGUAUUUGCCUUAUGUGUUAGGCGGUGGCGAGUUCGAGAUUCAAGUGUGGAGAUAUCUGCUUUCUGCUUUCCAGGUGAGUCUUCUCACUAUACUUUACCUUGAGUAGGUAACCAGAGUUAUGUGAUUAGAGUAUUUGUAUGCUAUAUGUACGUGAUGUGUUGUACUGCAUUAUUUCUAUGUGAUUUAUGUUGUGCAUGUUUUUAGAGUUGGAACCGGAAGGUUCCCAGAGUUAGAACCUGAGGGUUCACAGAGUUUGGGUGCACGGACCCAUAGAGUUAUAGCCUCGAGUGGCUAAUAUGUGUUAUGUGUGGUAUUUUGGGGAACUCACUAAGCUUCGUGCUUACAGUGUUUUGUGUUGUGUUGUUUUUUUUUCAGGUUUCUUUCAGUAUCACAGGACGGCACCGACUUGAUUGUACACACCAGAGAAAGAGUCAUAUUUUGGAGGAUCCUGGUUUUCUAUGCAUGUGAAAAAGGAGUUUUGUUUUUGUAAUUCGUUUAUAAAUGAGAUUUUAAACAAGUGUUUCUAAGAAUUUACGAUUAUUUUAAAUAAAAAAUUGUUUUGAAAUUCACAGUGUUACAAGUUGGUAUCAGAGCCUUGGUUUGAGGGAUUCGGAUGCGCCUUCGGGUAAAUCUGGUCUCAAACUGAGGAAGUAAGAAAAGUUUUCAAAUAAAUAAUUUUCUAAAAGUGAAUAAGAGUUUAAAAAGAAAGCAAGAAAGAGUAGUGUGUACAAUCAGCCAGAGCCUGACCGGUGAUUUCCCAAAAUACCCUUACUUUUGUGUUAUGAGAUAUUUAUGAUGCACUUUAUGAGAUAUUAUUGCAUGCUAGAGGCAGGCUAGGUAUUUCACAUCUUAGGACUAGAGUGGCCUGAUCUGUGAUGCCUUAGCCUAGGACUUGUUGUUAUAUUUGUGUUAUGCUUUUGAAUAUGUGAUGAGCGAGAGUAUCCAGUUAGAACCCAUGAGGGGUAGAGUUACAGAGUUCAGUGGUACUUCCGAGGAUGAGCCGAGAAAGUGGAGUUAUCACAGAGAGGGAGUCCUAUGUAUUCUUCGAUGCUCGAAUGUUGCUUGCUUUGUGCUUUGUGGAACUCUCGAUGAUGGGAGUCAACUACCAAGUGAAUAUGACGAUAUUCAGGAGGUAGAUGGCUGGCAUCAUAGGGAGCUCUUCAGUAGCUGAUAGCAAAGAAGUGGGAGGACAACGGAAGAGCCUAGGGAGUAACCCUAGCCAGAUGAGUGCGCUGGUAGAGUAGAGAAUUUCGCUGGGGAGCGAGCACGCGCGAUGGGAUUGGUGAAAGAUCAGGUCGAGCAGCUACUUAGGAGCUCUGGGAUGGUCCGUGUGGAAAGUAUGGGUAGAUGUGGCAGGUAGUAUGGGCCCGUACUACUGAAAGCAGAGGACCCAUACUUGAUACAGGGAGUAUUCUGAAGGUUCUAAGGAGCGGAUUGAGGAGUGAUGUUAUGGUUCGAGUACCAUACAUCGGAGCGGAUUGAGGAGUGAUGUUAUGGUUCGAGUACCAUACAUCGGAGCGGAUUGAGGAGUGAUGUUAUGGUUCGAGUACCAUACAUCNNNNNNNNNNNNNNNNNNNNNNNNNNNNNNNNNNGUUAUGGUUCGAGUACUAUACAUCGGAGCGGAUUGAGGAGUGAUGUUAUGGUCCAGGUACCAUACAUCGGAGCAGAUUGGGGAGUGAUGUUAUGGUAGGGUACCAUACACCGGGGCAUAUUGAGAAGAGAUGUCAUGGAAUGAGUACCAUGGUUUGUAGUGAAUGAUGCUUGUGGUUCUCCGGUUAUCCGGUCAUGAGUAAGUUCGAAGAGGCGUCCAUUGAGAGGGAGAUCGAGAGCCCCUCAGAGUAUUUUAGUAAGGAGUCAGUGAGAAGGGAGAAUUUCGAUCUGAGUUGAGUAAUCAGUCGAUAAAGGAGAUGUCACCUCCUAUGAUCUGGGAGGUCCUGAUUAUGUUCGUGUGAAAAAUAUGAGAAGCAUGAUGUUUUGGUUUUGGGUUUAGGGGUAAACCCUGCAGGUCGUCAUUGAUGAUGAUUUCCCACCAGAGUAUCAGGUAGCAUGUGUGCUGUGAGGCAGUGAUUUAUCAUGAGCAGAUAGUCAGUUGGGACUGAGAUAGUCGAGGGCCACGCUACACCUAUUGAGUAUAGUAGGGUGUACGGUAGUGGUUGAUAUGGGCAUAUUUAGUUAUAAACUUCAUGCAUUAUCUUAAUACUUUAUGUUGAUUUUAUCUCAUUUAAUGAACAAAAGGUGCUUAAUUAGUUUAGAAUUUCAUUUUUCAGCAAUAAUGACAUGCUCGGAAGGAAAAGGAAGCGGAACUAGCGAUUGGAGGCUUGGAUAUUGGAUUUUGAAGAAAGAAGGAUGUUGCUGGACAGCUUGACCCCUCGUCAGUGUUUUGGCCAUAUCUCAUGAAUCGUAACUCCGAUUGACGAGAUUCAAAAUGUUCUGAAAGGUAGACACAAUUUCGGACGACCUUCGUAUUUUGAGAAAUGCUGAUUCGAAACAUACUCAGCGAGUAGGGUCGAUUACUCGGCGAGUUGUAUCGAACUUUCGCGAUUUUGGACGCGCUGACUUGCUGUACACGGGUUUUAAGUGACGGACUCGCCGAGUAGGUCACUAGACUCGCCGAGUAGCCUCUGUUUUGUGAAAAUCUAUAUAAAGGGACUUUCAGAUCGAUAUCAUAGCAUGGAGAGAAACCCUAGGAGGCUGAGAAACGAUUGGAAGUGUUGCUAGGUCGUGAGGAACUGAAGAAUCAACCCUACAUUCAAUUGUGAAGAGAAUCAAGACAAUUUUGGUUUAUUCUUAGUAACUUUUUGAUUUGAAUCAUGUUUACAUACUUUGAUUUCGUUUUUGAGUUUAUGUUUACUGCAAUCAUGAGCUAAAAACUUAUUCUUCUGUUAGGGUAGACAAUUUUGUGAACAUGGAUUGAUUAUUUGAGUAGGAUUAAUUUUAAUUGGUAAUUAUGUUUUGUUAAGCUUGUUAAAGAACCUUAUGUGUUGACAAUAACUAUUCUUCUGUUAAUAAAUCAGUAAUUAAGUUGUAUGAACAUCUCUUAGUUAUUAAUUUCAUAUGAUUUAUUGUGACCACAUAGUUGUAUGUCUAGGAAUAACGAACGUGAAACUAGAAUUAACUAGAAGAUAGGUAAGUUAAUGUGUAAGCUUGUUGGAUGAACAUCGACAAGAGGUUAAUUGAAGGGCCAAUUUAGUUAACCACUACAAGUCUUACUUAACCCGAAUCAAUAAUCUAGGAAACCCGUUAAUUUAGACAACUGGCCAUUGCUUGAGUUAAUUUGUUUUCUAAGAAUUAGGAAUAGCGAACGUGAACCUAAUUAUCUUAAUCGGUAGCCAAUGAAGAAUUAAUCUGAUACAUUAAAAUCAUCCAUGGGAACAAAUGAGUCGUACCUAAACAGAAGUCCUCUUUACUAUUGAAUUUAGUUGGUAAUUAAUUGUUUUAGUUGCUAGUUAGUUAAUUUGUGUGUUGGUUAUUCUAAUUAAGUUUCUAGUCUUGUAAAACUAGAGAAAACCCCCUUUUUGUUAUUUGUUUUAUUUAGAUAAUAUUAGCAUUUAUUUUAAUUGUUUACCGUUCCCUGUGUUCGAUACCCUACUUGCUUGAACUAUAUUACUAAUCGAUAGGUACACUGCCUUUCGUGUGUUUAUUUUGUGUCUAAGUUAGUAGGAUUAAAACUAGUUCGUUUUACACACAUCAAAUUUUUGGCGCAGUUGCCGAGGAAUGGUUCUAAAUAGUUAAUUUUAUUUGCUAAUUGUUAUUAUUUUUUUAUUUGUUGAUUAAAUUUUUUUUUAUUUAGUAUGUAUUUUCCAAAUCUCGAUGCUUUUGAUGCUUUUCUUGAGAAAGUAGUACAGGAAAUUGAGCAAGAAGAUGAGGAGUGUGGAUGGGAUGAAGAUUUGAAGAAAUUUGAUAGAUGGUUAGAUAACAUCUUGCCCAACACACAAGAACAAUCUGAGUCACAAGAGCUAGAGUUAAAAGAUGAAGAAUUUAAUCCAGAAAGAGAUUUGGAGGAACUAGAAAGAUUGCUAGCAGAGGGGUCAGAUGAAGAACAAGAAAAACCUAAGUUGCAGGAACCAAGUUGUGGUUUGACCAUUACCACGACAUGCCCCCUGUAUUUUCGGUUUGUGUUUUGAAGCAUGGGGUGACGACUCCAACUUUGGAGAAAGUUCUAAAUCACGAUCCAUUUAUGAUUAGUAUCUAACCGGUUCCAACCCUUGUCAAUAUUCAUGGGUUUUAUGAAUUCAAUCUCAUUUGGCCAAUUUUUGAAGCAAAGAGUCGAAUUUUACAAAUUGGUCCAAAGAAAAUAUUUAAUGCAACGGAUGGAUUGACAUUGAGUUUAUUGGAAGUUUAUUAAGUUGGGAGUCCAGCUAAAGACUCGCACAAAAAGAAGCGCUUGCGGGAGGCAACCCGUCAUUAGAGUUUUCUUUUCUUUUUCUUUCUAAACUUCUAGUGUUUAAGGAUAAUUUAGGAUUUUUUUUAUUUUAAUGUUUUUUUUAUUANNNNNNNNNNNNNNNNNNNNNNNNNNNNNNNNNNNNNNNNNNNNNNNNNNNNNNNNNNNNNNNNNNNNNNNNNNNNNNNNNNNNNNNNNNNNNNNNNNNNNNNNNNNNNNNNNNNNNNNNNNNNNNNNNNNNNNNNNNNNNNNNNNNNNNNNNNNNNNNNNNNNNNNNNNNNNNNNNNNNNNNNNNNNNNNNNNNNNNNNNNNNNNNNNNNNNNNNNNNNNNNNNNNNNNNNNNNNNNNNNNNNNNNNNNNNNNNNNNNNNNNNNNNNNNNNNNNNNNNNNNNNNNNNNNNNNNNNNNNNNNNNNNNNNNNNNNNNNNNNNNNNNNNNNNNNNNNNNNNNNNNNNNNNNNNNNNNNNNNNNNNNNNNNNNNNNNNNNNNNNNNNNNNNNNNNNNNNNNNNNNNNNNNNNNNNNNNNNNNNNNNNNNNNNNNNNNNNNNNNNNNNNNNNNNNNNNNNNNNNNNNNNNNNNNNNNNNNNNNNNNNNNNNNNNNNNNNNNNNNNNNNNNNNNNNNNNNNNNNNNNNNNNNNNNNNNNNNNNNNNNNNNNNNNNNNNNNNNNNNNNNNNNNNNNNNNNNNNNNNNNNNNNNNNNNNNNNNNNNNNNNNNNNNNNNNNNNNNNNNNNNNNNNNNNNNUUUGACACCCAAGACAUGGAUGAGUUGUUCCCAUGUCUAAAGUCAAUUGAAGAUGGAGCUGAAGAGAAGAGAUAUCAACCUCGCCACUACUAUCCCAGGGGAGUUUGUUCCAAUUCUCUCCUUAUUUUUAUUGUUCUUUAUCAUGCAUAAUAUGCAAUGGGGACAUUGCAUAAAUUAAGUGUGGGGUAGGGGGUUGGUUGGUUACACUAGUUAAUUUUGAAAGUUUUGCAUAAAAUUUGCUAGGAUUAAUUUAUAAAAUUUUGGUAAAGCAAUUAGGGAUCAUGCUAGUAUUAUAUUUGAUGAUUGCAUGAAGACCCAAAUGUUUAGUUGAGCCUAUAUACGUUCUAGUGCAUUUGUGGCUUCCUUAUUCUAGUGAAAUCAUGGGACAAAAACACGACCUCGCUUAGUUUGAAGGAUGCAAUAUGUUUAGCAUCGUGUACCAGAAAUGUAUCCAGGAAAAUUAUUAUCUUUAGCCAAUAAAGGUUGAAGUUGAGCGCCCUUGCUUAAGCAUGUAGGUUUUGAGUGAAAAAAAGUGAGGUACAUGUAAAAAAAAAAGAGAAUUACAAGAAAAGUUGUAAGAAUUUUGGAGCAAUUAAAGUGAAGAUCAAAAGAUCGAAAAUUCCGAAGAAAUUCAAAAAGUUGAAGAUACCAAAAAUCAAACAACAAGGUGGUGAAUUCAAAGAAAUUAAAGAUCAAAUGUCAAAGAAGUGAAGAAUUCCAAAGAGCUCCAAUGUGGUAUCAUAAAUUGUAAUUGUCUAGAUUAUGUAUGCUUGGGUUGCUCAACCAAAAAUACCUUGAGGUUAAGAGGUUUUCUGAGGAUGGAUUCGGAGGGAUGCAUAAAAUGAGCAUUGUUCGGAAAAAGUGGGCGAAUGUUUAUGAGGAUUGUGAGUAUUUGGUGUAUGUGGGGUUAUUAGGAAAAUUUUAGACACAAAUGCAUGCGUUGCGGUCUUGGCAUAAUGGUUGGGUUUGAUUGGGAUUGUCUUAUGUAAUAUUAGUAUACUAAAAUUUAGUUUUGCUUGGGGGCAAGCAAAAGUCAAGUGUAGGGUAUUUUGAUAUGGGCAUAUUUAGUUAUAAACUUCAUGCAUUAUCUUAAUACUUUAUGUUGAUUUUAUCUCAUUUAAUGAACAAAAGGUGCUUAAUUAGUUUAGAAUUUCAUUUUUCAGCAAUAAUGACAUGCUCGGAAGGAAAAGGAAGCGGAACUAGCGAUUGGAGGCUUGGAUAUUGGAUUUUGAAGAAAGAAGGAUGUUGCUGGACAGCUUGACCCCUCGUCAGUGUUUUGGCCAUAUCUCAUGAAUCGUAACUCCGAUUGACGAGAUUCAAAAUGUUCUGAAAGGUAGACACAAUUUCGGACGACUUUCGUGUUUUGAGAAAAUGCUGAUUCGAAACGUACUCGGCGAGUAGGGUCGAUUACUCGGCGAGUUGUAUCGAACUUUCGCGAUUUUGGACGCGCUGACUUGCCGUACACGGGUUUUAAGUGACGGACUCGCCGAGUAGGUCACUGGACUCGCCGAGUAGCCUCUGUUUUGUGAAAAUCUAUAUAAAGGGACUUUCAGAUCGAUACCCUAGCAUGGAGAGAAACCCUAGGAGGCUGAGAAACGAUUGGAAGUGCUGCUAGGUCGUGAGGAACUGAAGAAUCAACCCUACAUUCAAUUGUGAAGAGAAUCAAGACAAUUUUGGUUUAUUCUUAGUAACUUUUUGAUUUGAAUCAUGUUUACAUACUUUGAUUUCGUUUUUGAGUUUAUGUUUACUGCAAUCAUGAGCUAAAAACUUAUUCUUCUGUUAGGGUAGACAAUUUUGUGAACAUGGAUUGAUUAUUUGAGUAGGAUUAAUUUUAAUUGGUAAUUAUGUUUUGUUAAGCUUGUUAAAGAACCUUAUGUGUUGACAAUAACUAUUCUUCUGUUAAUAAAUCAGUAAUUAAGUUGUAUGAACAUCUCUUAGUUAUUAAUUUCAUAUGAUUUAUUGUGACCACAUAGUUGUAUGUCUAGGAAUAACGAACGUGAAACUAGAAUUAACUAGAAGAUAGGUAAGUUAAUGUGUAAGCUUGUUGGAUGAACAUCGACAAGAGGUUAAUUGAAGGGCUAAUUUAGUUAACCACUACAAGUCUUACUUAACCCGAAUCAAUAAUCUAGGAAACCCGUUAAUUUAGACAACUGGCCAUUGCUUGAGUUAAUUUGUUUUCUAAGAAUUAGGAAUAGCGAACAUGAACCUAAUUAUCUUAAUCGGUAGCCAAUGAAUAAUUAAUCCGAUACAUUAAAAUCAUCCAUGGGAACAAAUGAGUCGUACCUAAAUAGAAGUCCUCUUUACUAUUGAAUUUAGUUGGUAAUUAAUUGUUUUAGUUGCUAGUUAGUUAAUUUGUGUGUUGGUUAUUCUAAUUGAGUUUCUAGUCUUGUAAAACUAGAGAAAACCCCCUUUUUGUUAUUUGUUUUAUUUAGAUAAUAUUAGCAUUUAUUUUAAUUGUUUACCGUUCCCUGUGUUCGAUACCCUACUUGCUUGAACUAUAUUACUAAUCGAUAGGUACACUGCCUUUCGUGUGUUUAUUUUGUGUCUGAGUUAGUAGGAUUAAAACUAGUUGGUUUUACACACAUCAANUUCGUUUUACACACAUCAGUGGUAUCAGUGGGGAGUUCAGUCGAGUUUAGCGGUGCAGAGAGUUUUCUAUCGAUGGGGUGUCGAAUAUGGGAGUGGGUCCCUGAUCUUGGGAUGAUCCCGGUGUUGGAGCAUUGGUUGAUGAAUUGAGGUGAGGGGUACGAUGACUUUAUGGUUCAGUCUAUGAGCCAGGGAUGUUAUUGAGCAGUUGAGUUGUUUGGUACUAGAUUAGUACGAGAUUUGGAACGGCUAGAGGCAGACGUGACGAGAAGUUCUUGAGGAGUUCACCAGUGGUUCAAAGUAUAUGAGGUCGAUUCAUUUCCUUAAGGGGAUUAUCGGGCGUUGUGUAGCACUUUCCGGAGGCAGGUGCGAUUUUUCUGGAGAAAAUAGUUAUGGGUUGGUUGUGUGCUAUUUGGUGAUGGUUCGAACCCUAAGUGGGGGAGAACCGGGUGUCGUAUGUAAGAAAGCAGAGAAUUAUCAAGAGCAGUUAUAAGUGGAGUAUAGAGAUAUGCGGUAAGAAAUCAUGAGACCAGAGAUGUCGGUGAUCGAGGAAAGGGGUCAGAGUGAGUUAAUGCGGGAAGUACUUGUUUGAGAAGGAUGAAUGUCUCCACGACAGGUGUUUAUUGGUCAGGAAUCGGGCAUUGGUCGGUGUUGGGGCAAGUAGAUAGAGAAUGAUUGGGCAGCCAACUCCCGGUUCGGUAUGCGUAUCCUUGUUUGGAUUUUGAGCGACGGGAAAAAGGGUUUCAGAGAAUUAUCAGCGUAUUUCGUAACGUUAGCGUUUCUUCGUAUUGCAAUUGAGAAAUUAGAUACACCGAAGUUGCAACUUGGGAAAAAUGAAGAUCUAAUUAUGGGGUUCAGAGGGAAUGUAUUAUUGCAUCUAUAUGGUGCUUGGGGCAGGAGAUCAGUGGUUGUGGCAGGGUCUUGUGAUGUUCGGUGGGGGUGUUCCGAGAUAUUUGGGUAUUGAUAUCUUUAUUUCGAAGUAUUCGUGAAUCUUGAGUUGAGACGACUUGUGGUAUAUCAGGUAUCUAUGGAUCUAGUGGGAACCCUUUCGAGUAUGGGCAUCUAGGGAGAUUAUUUAGGAGAGUAGAUCUUCGCAAGGGUGGGCAUAUUGAUAUGUUGAUUGCCUCCAGAGUCUGUGAUGCAUAUUCGAGUCAAGUAUGGGCAGCUGCUUAUGAUGGUCUGCGGAGCAUGAGCUAGUGGGGUCAGAGGGUGUUGUGAUACUGCGGGGAGCCGUAGUACUCACUAGUUAAAGGGUGUUGUGAUACCGCGGGGAGCCGUAGUACUCACUAAUCAGAGGGUGUUGUGAUACUGCGGGGAGCCGUAGUACUCACUAGUCAGAGGGUGUUGUGAUACCGCGGGGAGCCGUAGUACUCAAUAGAUGGCAAGGGAGUGUGAUGAUGGAAUGUUCUCUGAUCAGUGUAUGACGUGGAAGAGUGUUGGGCUUGAGUAGCCCUAGUAUUGAGUUUUGGAGCCUGGAUGUUGGAUCGGGGGCGAGACUGGGGUCCCCAUCUCUGUCAGGAAAUGUGGUGAGAUGCGCAAGGGAUAUGCGCAGCAGAAACCAGAGAUCAGAGUUGAGACGAUCCUCGGUUGGAUUGUAUUUUCUCGCAUAAGGAAAAGAGAAUUUCGUGACUUGCGUGUCACGGGGCCGGGAUAGUGGUCACGGGUAGGAAGUUAGUGGGAUAUUUGGAUCAGGAUAUGGGUGACCUUUGGAGGCUCAGCUGUGGAGUCAAAAGUUGACCUGGUGCUCAGUCUAGAAGAGGGAUAUGAGAAAUGAGCUAGAGCUUAUCAUGAACAUGUCUGAGGACACCUCAGAGGGAGAGAACGAUUCAGACGCUCAAAGACAUGCUUCGAGCAUGUGUAUUAGAUUACGGAGGGAAUUGCGGCACGUAUUUAUCCUUGGUUGAGUUAUCCUAUAUCAACAGCCAUCAUUAGUGCAUUGGUAUGCCACCCUUUGAGUUGUUGUAUGGGAGGAGGUAUCGGACCCUCAUUUGCUGGGGAAAGUGUUGAUUCGCGGAAGUGGAUGUAGUAGUGAGAAUGGAUGAUUUGGAGUAUGAUGGUCGAACAUUGUGUCUGUGACAGUGGUAUGGAAUGACAUCAUGAUGGGAUGUUUGCUGAGGGCGCGGAAGGGAUUCUGCGGGUGUAGAGCCAAGAGUCUCAGGAUGGAUGCAGGGAUGGAGUCUGGGACUCCCAGCUUGAUUCUGAUCAAGGGCUGUGUGUCGAGUUUUCCUAGUAGUGGUGGUUCUCCUGGGGAUGUUAGAGAUGUCGUCAGUGUGACGGGUUUUCCUAACCCGAGAGUGCGAAGGUUGGUGCGGCAUGAGUGUGUAAUUGCAAGAAGAGGACUCAUGGGAGUUACUCUGGGAUUGAAGAGUGGGUCUUUCCGUCAUCACGGAUUGGAUAGAAUGGGAUUCGGAUCGGGCAUCCGAUGGUUCAAGGCUUCUAACCCUUAAGGGUCGAGUGAUUGUUGAGAUUUGGGUCGAGUGAUUGUUGAGAUUUGGGUCAAUGAUGCUUCAUGGGUAAUUCUCGGAUCGUUGAGUGUGGUUAUCAGAGGGUACAUCCGGUGCCCGGUUCGAGACAGUGGUCAGGACACCGUAAGGAAAGGGAAAGUGUGUUCGAGUUUCGAUGGGUAUGCCUUGUGAGACCUGGUCCGAUUAAGGCCAGGUGGCACGUUGUGGGAAUAUUUCCGGAGUUGAGUUGCUGUAGGCUUCGAGGAUGAAGCCUAAUUUAAGUGGGGGAGAAUUGUAACAUCCCGAAAUAUCAAGAGUAGAGUUGAAGGGCUAAAAGAGUAAUUUAGGAAAGAGCGACUCGGCGAGUAGAGUCGUGACUUUGUCACGUGAUUAAGUAGCCGACUCGGCGAGUCAGUGAGAUGGACUCGGCCUCCUUAUCACCCCUUGAGUCCUAGAAAACCUAAUUUCGUGGAGAAACCCCAUUGUUGAGCAAAUUGGAGCUUGGAGAGGUGGUUCUUNACCCCUUGAGCCCCAGAAAACCCUAAAUCGCGGAGAAGCACCAUUGUUGAGUGGAUUGGAGCUUGGAGAAGUAAUUGUUGAAGGAAUUUUGGGAGAUUGAAGGCUUGGAGCAAGGGGCUUUGCUUGGAUUCGAAUUACAUUGCAGUUGGGGCAUCUCUUAGAGGUAAUAUCUCGUUAUUGGACUGUUGUUAUAUUGUUUCUUCAUUUUGGGGUUUGUGGGAACUUGUCGAUGGAUGUAAUUGGAAGUCUAGAGGUUAGAUCUGAGGUUGCUACCUCAGAUCUGGAAUGAAGAAGAAUCAGAGAGCAUGAAAGUCCCUGUGUUGGAGUGUUUAGUGAAGCUAUCAUGUCCCAAACCCUAGCUCUAAAGUGAAUAAGGCCUAGAUCUCUUUGGAUUCACGUAAAGUUUGCCACUUUACGUGAUGGAUGAGUGGUAGGAGGCUAGAUCUAUGUUUUGGAGCAAUUGCAUGGCCUGGAAUGCUUCUGAAUGGAUUCAGACCGGUGGUACUCGGCGAGUCACAUGGGUGUACUCGACGAGUUGGAUGAAGAUGGCCUGGAACUCGGCGAGUUGUAUGAACAACUCGGCGAGUAGGAUGAAGGAAGCCUUAGACUCGGCGAGUUUGUUCUUGGACUCAGCUAGUCUUGUCGAAGAGUCCCAAAUAUUUUCUGGUUGAGUCGAAAAUCGGCGAGUCAAGGGAUGACUCGGUGAGUUGUGUGCGAGUGGACUCAGAGUUGUUGGACUCGGCGAGUCUCGGAGUGACUCGGCGAGUUAGGUCGCGGAUUGAGUGAAGUUCUGAUUAUAGANGGAGGACUUUGACUUGGACCAAGAGUUGACCGUUGACUUUUAGGGCUUGGUCAGCGAUGUGGCCUUUGGUCCAAGAGAGGGGUAAAAUAGCCUUUUACCCUUAAGAGGGUGCCAUGAGAGGGUUGAUUCUAGUCUCGAGAGUUAUAUUCAUGAGAGUAUUUGCCUUACGUGUUAGGCGGUGGCGAGUUCGAGAUUCAGGUGUGGAGAUAUCUGCUUUCUGCUUUCCAGGUGAGUCUUCUCACUAUACUUUACCUUGAGUAGGUAACCAGAGUUAUGUGAUCAGAGUAUUUGUAUGCUAUAUGUACGUGAUGUGUUGUACUGCAUUAUUUCUAUGUGAUUUAUGUUGUGCAUGUUUUUAGAGUUGGAACCGGAAGGUUCCCAGAGUUAGAACCUGAGGGUUCACAGAGUUUGGGUGCACGGACCCAUAGAGUUAUAGCCUCGAGUGGCUAAUAUGUGUUAUGUGUGAUAUUUUGGGGAACUCACUAAGCUUCGUGCUUACAGUGUUUUGUGUUGUGUUGUUUUUUUCAGGUUUCUUUCAGUAUCACAGGACGGCACCGGCUUGAUUGUACACACCAGAGAAAGAGUCGUGUUUUGGAGGAUCCUGGUUUUCUAUGCAAGUGAAAAAGGAAUUUUGUUUUUGUAAUUCAUUUAUAAAUGAGAUUUUAAACAAGUGUUUCUAAUAAUUUACGAUUAUUUUAAAUGAAAAAUUGUUUUGAAAUUCACGGUGUUACAAAUAACUAAAAAGCCAUGGACAACAUGGCAUAUGAAGGAGAUUCCUCCAGAGAAUUUGUUUCUGGAAAGAUUUAGUAAUGCCACAGUGGAAGAGACAUUAGUUAUUAGACCAUCAAAGUUGUUGGAGCUUAAAUCUAUGGCUGAAUUGUUAUUAACUUUAUGACAGGUCGGGUACUUUCCCGCUUAUGUUGUUGGAAGAAAGAUUCAAGAAUGUUAACCAGGAAGGCCACGUGUCCCAAAACUCGAGAGGAAUUGUAUCUGAAAUACCAGUAUUUGCAAUAUCAAGACUGGUAAGAUUUUUCAAAUUUUGAAUCCAUUUGGGGAAGCGAGGCCCUAGAUUGCAAGAGCUGAAAUGAAUGAAUUCUAUAUCAGAAAGGUUUGACAUGUAAUCUGAGGUAGGAAAUCCUUGGAGUGAGUUUCCGGAAAGAUCAAGGUUUUGAAGUUUGGGAAGUUCCCACAGUUUCUUACUUAUAGUUCCUUUUAACAGAUUCUCAGAGAGGGACACAUCUAAUAGGGAUGUAAACUUUUGGAUCUCAUCAGGCAAUGACCCAGUAAGUUGGUUUGUUUCCGCAAACAACGAUUGUAAUGAAAGCGAUGUGACAAGUUAUUGAGAAAAUCGGGAAAUGUGACAACAACAGAGUUGUUAUCGAAGAACAAAGUUUCCAAACUACAGAUGUUACCAAAAUAUUUGGGUAUCCCAUCUAACAUGUUGUGAGAGAGAAAAAGUUCACGAAGCUUAUUGUUGGUUAAUAGGAACAACCAAUGAUACAUGUGUAAUACUAUGAAUCUUGAUGAUUUCAUUGAUACAAAUGAGUCCCCUAUAUAUACAGAGGGUAUAGGAGAGAUUAUAGGGAUUUAGAUAGAACUAUACUAGGAAACAACUAAUCAUUAUCAAUUUACAAUAAAUACAAUAAAUGGAGAUAUAUUCUACUAAUAGUCCCCCGCAGUCGAAACUGUAGCCGAGUGGAUGGAGAGACUGGAACGGAAGCGGGUGAAUAGCUGACGCGGUAAUCCCUUUGUGAAGAUAUCGACAUAUUGGUAAUCUGUGGGAACAUGAAGCACACGAAGAGAACCCAAACGAACUUUUUCUCGAACAAAGUGAAUAUCGAUUUCAACAUGUUUUCGUGUGUUGGUGUUGGACUGGGUUGUGUGUGAGAUAAACCGUAGAGAUGUUGUCGCAGUAAAUAAUCGUGGCUUGGCGCACCGGAAGAUGGAGCUCGAGAAGUAGGUUGCGUAGCCAUGCGGUUUCAGUUGCGGUGUUUGCGACUCCUUUGUAUUCUGUCCCGGUGCUAGACCGAGAGAUUGUGGGCUGCCUUUUAGAGGACCAUGAGACUAGGUUGUCUCCAAAGAAGACACAGUAUCCGGAAGUGGAGCGUCGAGAAUCAUGGUAUCCCCUCGGUCAGCAUCUGAAUAUGCAGUUAGGUUGGUAGAUUUGGAGGGAGUAAUGUGAAGGCCAUGGUUGGUGGUUCCUUUGAGAUAUCUGAGAAUGCACUUAAGAAAAUUGAAGUGUGGUUCACGAGGAUCAUGCAUGAAGAGGCACACUUGUUGUACCGCAUAGGCUAUAUCCGGUCGUGUGAUAAUGAGGUAUUGUAGAGCACCGACAAGGCUACAGUAGAGGGAGGUGUCAGAUAUUGGUUUUCCGACAGUGGCACUAAGCUUGGAACCUAUUUCGACAGGGGUUGCACUUGGCUUGCAAUUGUGCAUGUUGGCACGGGUUAAGAUGUCGUUGACAUAUUGGGCUUGAGAAAGGACUAUACCACUAUUUUGAUGUUGAACUUGGAUGCCUAGGAAGUGGUGAAGUUUGCCAAGGUCUGUCAUUGCAAAUUCUUUAGAUAAUAGAUCAAUGAAGUGUCGAAGAAGAGAUGUGCUUGAGGCAGUUAAGAUGAUGUCAUCGACAUAAACUAAAAGAUAUGCCAUUUGGUUUCCAUGCUUGUAAACAAAAAGAGAAGUGUCACUAUUGGUGCUUUUAAAACCGCAUGUUUGAAUGAAUGUUGCAAAUCGUUGGUACCAGGCUUGAGGGGCUUGUUUGAGUCUGUACAGAGAUUUUCGUAGGUGGCAUACCUGUGAUGGGUUUUUGGCAUCGACAAACCCCGGGGGUUGGAACAUGUAUACGGUUUCAUUUAACUCCCCAUGUAAGAAGGCAUUCUUUACAUCCAACUGAUGAAUUGGCCACGAUCGUGAUACAACAAGGCUAAGCACAAUCCGUAUCGUUGUGGGUUUAAACACUGGACUAAAAGUCUCAUCACAGUCCACACCCACUUGUUGGCAUUUACCAUUGAUUACUAAGCGUGAUUUGUAUCUUUCAAGUGUCCCGUCGGCAUGAAAUUUGUAUCGAAACAACCACAUACAUCGUAUAAUGUGAGCAUCGUGUGGGCGAGGCACUAGAUCCCAUGUGUGAUUUUCUAUUAAGGCCUUGUAUUCAUUGGUCAUAGUUGAGUUCCAGUUAGGAUCAGAAAUGGGCAUUUUAUAAGAUUUGGGUAGGGGUAAAAUGGUUGGAAUUUUGGAUGUGGUGUGAAGGUUAAAUGGGGUGUUUGGUUUAGAGAUGCCUACUCGGGAGCGAGUGGUCAUGGGGUAGGNNNNNNNNNNNNNNAGGGGGGUUUGGUGGGUGGGAUGUUGAUCGUCUAGAGUAUGUGAUGAGGGAUGGAGUAUUUGUUAAGGGUGGUGAUGGAUUUGUGUGAGAUGUGGGAUCUAAGGAGGAUGUUUCGGAUGGGAGAGUGGGUGUCAUAGUCUCGGGAGUUGGUUCGGAUGUGGGAGAAUUUUGAGUUGGAGAGGAUUGGGGAUUUUGAAAUAAGAGAGGUGAGGGGCCGGUGUCUAAGAACGAAUAAUUUGGUGGUGAGUUUGAUGGAAUAGUGGCAUAAGGGAAUGUUGUUUCGUCAAACGUGACGUGACGAGACAAGAUGAUUUUACCAGUGGAUAAGUCGUGGCAUCGGUAACCACAGUAAUUGGCUGGGUAUCCUAGGAAGACACAUGCGGUGGAUCGUGGGGAGAGUUUGUGUGAUCGAGUGGCGGAAAGGUUGGGGUAGCAUGCACACCCGAAGACCCGUAGGUGGUCAUAUGAAGGGUGUUUGAGGUAGAGUGCGGAAGUUGGAGCGUGGAAGUUAAGAAGUUUGGUUGGUAAGAUAUUAUGGAGGUAAGCGGUUGUAUAGAGUGCAUCAACCCAAAAGGUGGGUGGGAGAGAAGCAUGAGUGAGGAGAGGGAGCAUGAGUUCGUUGAUGCGACAGAUCAUGCGUUCUGCUUUUCCGUUUUGUUGGAGGUGUGUGGAAAAGAGAAGCAGAUGAGUAAGCCGGUGGUUGUGGCGAAUUGAUGGAAGUGGUGGUUUUCAAAUUCUCCUCCUUUGUCACAUUGAAAGGUUUUGAUGAUUUUAUGGAAUUGAGUGUGUAUGAAUUUGUGGACGUGUUUGAAUUUGUCAUAAGUUUCAGAUUUAAAUUUUAGGGGAAAAACCCAUGUAUAGUUGGUGUGGUCAUCGAUAAGGAGAAGAUAGUAUGUGUAACCACUUUUGCUUGGCAAAGGAGAGGUCCAUAAGCCAGUAUGGACUAGGUCAAAGGGUGUAAGAGUAGUAGAUGUAGAGUCAGUGAAUGGGAGACGUUUGUGUUUUGCGAGUUGACAUGAAGAACAUACAAAAGAAUUAUCAAGUUUAUUGCAAGAGAUAAGUUUAUUAGAACUAAGAAAGUCCAUUACAUGAUGACCCGGAUGUCCGAGUCUAUUAUGCCAAAAAGACGAAUUAGCGAAAACAAAACAAGAUAAACUUGGAGUGAUAAUAGGAACGUUGAUUGGAUAAAGAUCCCCAAUGCUAUUGUGCCUCGUCAGGAGUUUCCCAGUCUUGUAAACCUUCACAGAUAAACCAUAAGGGUCAAAUUCAACAGAUACAAGAUUAUCACGAGUAAAUUUUCGUACGGAUACAAGGUUUUAACAAUGUCAGGUGUGUAAAGUAUGUUUUUAAGAUGGAUAGGUUUGGAGGGGUAGGGUAAGGUCGAAUGACCUGAUCCUAAAACCGGCACCCAAUUUCCAUUGCCAACGAAUACGGUAGGACUAGAGCUGAUGCAUGUCGGGGUGCUCCUAAAGUAGGAAAAACCGGUUGUUCCUCUUUUCUUCAGGAGUGUGAUAGUUACUGAAGGUGAAUGCAGAAGUAUGUCCACGAAAAGUCAUUUCCAGCCUAUGAAAAAGCUACAGAAAAUGGCAGAGGUUUGUCUCACUUUACAAAUAUGUUGCACAUUUGAUGCUUUUAUAUUUGUUUAUAGUAAGAUCAUUAUUAUUUUUGUUGAUAAUGGAAUAUGCCUAUCCUUUAGAGCAAGCGGGUAAAUUUGUGGAAUUGAGGAUCAAUACAUGCAAUUAGCAAAAAAAAAAGGUUAUUCACAUUUGUGUGCUUUAGUCUUAAUAAUUUUAUGGAUGAUACUUUAUAAAAAGUUUUUUAAACAUCAAAAUAGUAAAGUAUGUUGCUAUUUCUAAACUUUUUCCCAUUGCAUCAAAUCUCCGCACUCAAUUAUGCAUGACGCCCUUCAGUUGGCAACAAAGUAAGAUCGUGUAUUUAUAUCUCAUGUUCUUUUUUUCUCAAAAUAAUGUUAAUAUUCUAUAUAAAUUUAAUUUCUCUUAACAGGACACCCAGUAAGGAUUUUAUUAGAUUGGAUCAAAAUAUACUGUAUCCACUUGCUAGAAAGAAAUAAUUAUAUACUUAGAGACAAAAUUUAAAUUUUUUUUAAUCGUUUUAACUACUAAACCGUUUUAGUAUUAAUCAUAAUGAUAACACUUCACUUUUGUUGUUAACCAAUAAUACUUUAUCUUUUCAUUGAAACCACAAAAGUUUCAGAUAUCUUCUUGGAUUGACCAUUUGACCUGUUAUCACAUGCUUUCAGGGGGAAACAUAAUUAAGUGGCAUAAAAAUGGUUGAUUUGAAUAAAUUUAGGAAACCUUUGCUGUUGGAAUAGAAAGAAAAACAAAGUAAGUGUGGUGAAACCACAGAUCUGUCCAAAAUAGUGUUUUCAUUUUUUUGUUUUUUUUUUAUUGUAAUAUGCCCUUUUAUCCCUUUUGUCUUCUUUUGUGCUUUGAGAUUUUUCUAUGCAUGAAAAUGUUGAUAAAUCUUUUAUGUAGGUUGCAUAUGUGCACAUGGAAGUAGAACAAAAAACUGUUAGAAUUGGGGUAUAGAAAACUUGCAAAUUCUAAGAAUCGUGGCUUUCACUUUCAGAUUAAAGUAUUUGGGUGGUACUCCCAAUCUUUAAUCGGAUAAGACUCAGAAUUGAGAGAAAAUAGAAGAGAGAAUGUUUUGAUGUUAUGAAGAAGAAGGGUACCAACCACAGAUUCGGAUAUGAUCAUAUAACAGAAAAAACUUCCUGUCUUAAAACUGCCACAUGACAGUUUUUUUGUGUCCUAAAACUGUCCACAAACGGACAUAAACAACCUUAAAUCUGGGUCUAUUAUGUGGAUCAAAAAACUGGGUACAUUUAUCAAAAUCAGGAUUUCUGAUGCAAUUUUAAUAUAGUAACAUAACAUAUAUAAAAAAAAAUUUCGCGCUGACCUGGCAGCUCGAUCCCAGCUAGGGGCUCUGCCCUUGAGUAGUCAAGUUGAGACACUGGAGAUCUUUUAUUAGGUAGAAGCUCAAGACUAGGAUCUAUAGGAGUGCUAACAGGAGAACAAUUCUCAAAGUGAAACUUUUUCAAGAUCUUCUCAAUAUAAUGAGAUUGAGAAAUUGAAAUCUCAUUGUUUCCUUUUCUAAUUCUUAUACCAAGAAUUACCUCAGCCUCCCCCAUGUCUUUCAUAUCAAAACUAGAUGAUAAAAAUUUCUUCGUUUUAUCAACUUCUUCUAAAUCAGUACCAAAAAUCAACAUAUCAUCUACAUAUAAGCAAAUCAUGACUCCUUUACCAGAAGUAUCAAAGUUGCCAUAUACACACUUGUCAGCUUGGUUUAGUGCAAAACCAUUAGAAAAGACAACGUCAUCAAACUUUUGAUGCCAUUGUUUUGGUGCUUUUUCCAAACCAUAUAAUGAUUUCUUCAGCUUGCACACUUUGUGUUCAAUUCCAGACAUCACAAACUCUUCAGGUUGUUUCAUGUAUAUUUCCUCAUCCAAGUCACCAUUCAAGAAUGCAGUUUUUAUAUCCAUUUGGUGAAUCACAAGAUUAUGUAUAGCUGCAAGAGCUAAUAAUAAUCUAAUAGUAGAAAUUCUGGUAACAGGAGAAUAAGUAUCAAAGAAAUCAAUGCCUUCCUUUUGUCUAAAGCCUUGGAUAACCAAUCUGGCUUUAUACUUAUCAAUAGUGCUAUCCACCUUCAUUUUCCUUUUGAGGAUCCAUUUACAUCUUAAUGCCUUGCAACCAGGAGGUAAAUCAGCCAAUACCCAAGUAUUGUUAUGCAUGAUAGAAUCAAUCUCAUCAUGAAUUGCCUCUUUCCAGAAAUGAACAUCCCUAGAAUCCAUAGCUUCACUGAAAGUCUUUGGAUCCUCUUCAAUAUUAAAACAAUAUUGAUGUUGAGAAAUAGUCUCAUUCCUUGUUCCUUCAACUAAAUAUAGUUGAAAAUCAGAUCCAAAAGACUUAGCUUUUCUAGCUCUGGUGCUUUUCCUAGGUUCAAAACUUGCACCACCAGAAACAUCUUCAACUUGAGUAGUACUCUUGCUAGAAGAUUGAUGAACCAUGUCCCUUGGUCUAGGUAUAGAUGUAAAUCUUUCUUCAUCAAAGAUAGCAUCUCUUGACUCUAUCACUGUGUUUACAGACACAGAGUCAUUAGAUUCUAAAACAUAGAAUCUAUAUGCUUUGGAAUGCUCAACAUAUCCAAUAAAGAUACAAUCUAUACCUCUCUCACCCAAUGUUUUCCUUUUGGGUUCAGUGAGCCUUACAACUGCUCUACAACCCCAAACUUUGAGAUAACUCAAAUUUGGUACCUUUUUACACCAAAGUUCAUAAGGAGUAUUCUUACUCCUUUUAUUUGGAGUUCUAUUUAAGAUGUAACAUGCAGUUAACAUUGCCUUACCCCAAAACCCUUCACUUAAACCAGAAUAUGACAACAUGGAAUUAACCAUUUCUUUCAAGGUGCUAUUCUUCCUUUCAGCUACACCAUUUUGUUAUGGUGUAUAUGGAGCUAUGGUUUGAUGUAUUAUUCCAGUUGAUUCAAAAUAAACUGGAUCAUAAUACUCAGCACCUCUAUCAGGACGCAAUACUUUUAAUAAUUCAUUUUUAUGAAGCUCAACUUGUUGUUUAUAAAUUUUAAAUUUAUCAAGUGCUUCAUCCUUAGAAUGUAGCAAAUAGAUAUAACAAUAUCUAGAUGCAUCAUCAAUAAAAGGAAUAACAUACUUCUUGUUUCCAAGGGAAGGUGGUGCAUGGAAAUCACAUAAAUCACUAUGUAUAAGAUCCAAGGGACAUGGUUGAAAGGUUAUCUAGUGAUUUUAGUUAGCAUGCAUGUUUUACAUUUUUCAUUACAAGAGAUUGAAAGAUUUACAUCUAUGGUUGAAAGGUUGUCUAGUGAUUUUAGUUAGAAUUGGUGUAUAGAAAACUUGGAAAUUCUGAGAAUCGUGGCUUUCACUUUCAGAUUAAAGUAUUCGGGUGGUACUGCCAAUCUUUAAUCGGAUAAGACUCAGAAUUGAGAGAAAACAGAAGAGAGAAUGUUUUGAUGUUAUGAAGAAGAAGUGUACCAACCAUAGAUUCGGAUAUGAUCAUAUAACAGAAAAAACUUCCUAUCUUAAAACUGCCAAAUGACAGUUUUUUUUUUGUCCUAAAGCUAUCUACAAACGGUCAUAAACAACCUUUAACUCGGGUCUAGAAUAUGGAUCACAAAACUGGGUACAUUUAUCAAAAUCAGGAUUUCUGAUGCAAUUUUAAUAUCGAUCCCAUCCAGCGGCUCUGCCCCUUGGACUCCACCAGGGGCUGCCGCCCCUUAGACCCCGCUCCUAGGGGCGCUGCCCCCGGACCCCCGUCGGUUUAGGGGCUUCGCCCCUAAAUAGCAGUAUACUUUCAACAAAGACAAAAUUAAACAAAUGUGCACUCCACACCAUACCGAUUUGUUCAAUAAUUGUCAAAGUAACAUUGAUCAACAAAUUAACCCCAUUACACUUAAAUAACAUUAGUGAUAUAAAAUCACCAACAAAAACUGCAUAUCAAGAAGUCAUUAAAGAGUAUCGUGCAGUUGCACAUGCACGAAUGAUCAAAUAUGGACAAGUUAAAACUCCUGAUCUUCCUAAGUGCCAGAUUUCAAAGUAUUUUGUUAAAUUCAGAAAGGUGUGAGUAAUUAUUCCAUUUAAUUAUGAAAAGAAUACAUAAAUUAAACACAUGUUUAUAAUUUCAAUAUAUGUUUGUUUUUAAUAUCAGAUUGCAAACCAUCCUUUAUUGGUGAGGUGUAUUUACACAGAUAAAGAUGUCAUCAGAUUCGCCAAAAUGUUGCAUCCCAGAGGUGUAUUUGGUGUUGAGUGUACUUUGGAUAGAGUAAUUGAGGAGGUUAAGGGUUACAAUGACUUUUCAGUUCACAAGGUAAUUAAUUUGUCCCUAUUUUGUUUUAAACUUUUGAUUCAUUACUUUUAACAAAAUCCUUAGGUAGGAAAUAUUCAAUAAAUUGCCAAAAAUAGUAAUGUAAUAUAUGCAAAUGUAGUUUACUUUUUCCCUAGGCGAUACUCCUCUUUAUGAGAGUCUUCUUCACAAUCGUUAAGUUGUUGGUGUUCUCCAAUAUGUUACAUUAUACAAAACGGACAUCGUUUAUGCAGUCAACAAAGUCUGUCAAUUCAUGCGUUCUCCAACAACCAAACACUGGUUUGUUGUUAAACGGAUUCUAAGGUAUCUUCGCGACACCAACAGUUUUAGACUUCGGCCCACACUGUCCCGUGACACCACCAUUCAUGAAUAUGUUGAUGCAAACAUUGCGGUUACCACCUACUCUAAAGUUGAUUAGGUUGGGUGUUUGGAUGGUGGUCGAUCCACUAGGAGACACAAAAUCUAUCUUGGUUCGAAUCUUGGUCAACAAGUAAGCAAGUAAACAGAAGACUGUGUCUCAUUCAUCCACUAAGGAAACAGAAGACCGUGUCUUGUUCAUUGAAUGAGGCUGAGUAUAAAUCCCUAGCUGAUACGGUAGCCAAAGUAACCUGGCUUGAAACCUUAUUAUGUGAACUACGCAUCCCGGUCACUGUAGCACUAGUUUUAUGGUGUGCUAAUUUUGGUGCCACUUAUUUGUUUGCUAAUCCUAUCUUCCAUGCCCGCACAAAACAUUUUGAGGUUGCUACUAAGAGGCUAUCAGUUCAUUUGAUAUCCACAUUUGAUCAAAUUGUAGAUAUAUUCACUAGGCCAUUGUCUUCACAAAGAUCUGAGGGGUUACGACCCAACCUUCAAGUCCUUACCAGGCCUUAGCUUGCACGAGAAUAUUAGACAAAUUAUAUUAGUAUAGCGUCUACUAUGUAAUUAUAUUUUAGUUUAUACAUACAUAUAUAUAUAUAUAUAUAUAUAUAUAUAUAUAUNUAUAUAUAUAUAUAUAUAUCCCUAAUUUAUUAUGUUAAUGAACAAUAAUACAAUACGUUUACAUCAAGUUUACUCCUAACUUUAGUAAACUAGGAAUGGUCUUUAGGGUUUGGAAUCUGCAUCUAUCGGUUUCUAACUCUAUUUUUUCCAAUUAGAGAGUUCUUAUAAUUUGAUUUCCUUUUGAGUGAUCAAGUAUUAACAAAACCUAAAUAAAAGUGAACAAAUUAAAUAUAUUUAUGGUAAUAAGGCCUAGGGUCCCAUUUGGACAUGAGGCUGAUCCCAUUCACUACAGACACUAAGUAUAAAGGUAAGAAAAUGUAUGUUUUAAUAAUAUUGUUCAAAGUACUGAAACAUAUACAUGUUGAACCAAACUUGUCAAUGUCGUUUUUGUAAUUAACUCUCCAAUGAAGAACCCACUUCCCUGGAAGGUUGUAUCCUACAGUUAGUUGCCAAUUUUCCUCAUCCUUACCACUGUCUAAUCUGAUUAAUAUAAAUGAUAAAUAACUUUAACAAAGUAAAUAAACAAAAUGACCUUUUGGUAAAGCGAAACUUACAGAAUAUAUCCUAUCUAACCAUGGGGUAAACCCGUUGGAACAAUUAAAGAUGAUGUAUGAAACGAAGUAAGUUAAGCAUUUUAACAAACAGUUUGUGUGCAAAAAAAGUUGUGCUUAAAUGAAAUUUCAUGUAAAUCACUUCUUUGCCUACUAUGAUAACAAUCACAUGAGGAAGAAAGUAAUAAAAAUUAAAACCUAAAACUAUAGUUGCUAGUUUAUCAGGGUGGGAAUCAAAGAGCCUACCGGAGUUGAGGAUACGCCAGAUGCAUGACGACUUCAAUGGUGGACGAAGAAGGCAGAGCAUCGGGUGCAAAUGGUGAACGAAGAAGGAGUGAGAGACGCAUAUCAGGAAAUGAUUCGCGUAUCGCUGAAUUUCUUGUGUGUUUAAAAACGACAUCCAACCAAAAAUGCCAAAACAUCAACAAUCCCAAUGUAUCGGAAAAUGUCAUACAAAUUCCACGUAUCCAUGAAGCCGGAGAUGAAAAAUCGACAAAAAUAAAAACCAUGUUUUGUUCAUCGGCGAAAGCAAAACCACCUAACUCGUGCCAAACCAUCCAAGCUGUGAGCUCCAAACUUGUAACUAUUCAUAAUCCGUAUCCACAAUUAAUAUCUAUAUCUAUAUCUAUAUCUAUAUCUAUAUCUAUAUCCAUAUCAAUCUAUCUAUAUCUAUAUCUAUAUCUAUCUAUAUCUAUAUCUAUAUAUAUAUAUAUAUUAUAAAGCUAACAUUUUUCCUUGAACCUCAUGCAUUUGAAACUCCUAAGGCUGUUCAACUUAUAUUUUUACUCAAACCAUAUUCAUUUGAAACUUCCUAUUUAAAUGAAUACCAUUCAAAAGUCUCUUAAUAAUGAUUAACUAUUCAAAAGUUUUAUAACUUAUAUAAUAUGUUUAAUAAGCAAUUAAUAGAUAGUCUACUAUAAAAAGAUCAAUCUCUUUGAGUAGAAACACAAAUACAAAUCACAUACAAAUUUCACAAAGUAAACAAGUUUAAAGGUUUUUGUGUUUGUUUGAGGGCUUUGGACCAUUUUCGAGCCAUGUUAUUAUGUUAAAGUUUUUUAAUUUGUAAGUUAGUUAUAUACUAAUCCUUAUAUAUAUAUAUAUAUAUAUAUAUAUAUNUGGUUUAAGUAUUCUUUGAAGACAAUCAUUGUAUAUUGUGGAUGAAAUUUAAAUGUAAAUUAGAUUAGAUGCAUAUUAUCGAUCAUAUGAUAUGGAAUGUGAUAUAAAUAGUAUUUAAUUAGAUAUUGUAUAUAUAUGUUUGUAUAUUUGUGUUGCUUCAAAGAAAUAAUUAAUUAAAAAUCAUGGAUAUGUCAUAUUAUCCAUAUUAUCCAUAUAAGUCUUUUUUAAAAUGCAAAUUAUCUAUCUUAUAACUUUAUAUUUUAUUAUAUGUUUUAACAUUUUAAUUAUAAUAGUAAGUGUUUUUUAAAUGUUUUCUUUCACUUAAUAAUAAUAAUAAUAAUAAUAAUAAUAAUAAUAAUAAUAAUAAUAAAUGGUAAACUAGAAAAAUCAUGGAUAUUUUAUAUUAUCCAUGAAAGUCUCUUUUGAAAUGUAAAUUGUCAAUAUUAUCACUUUAUUAUUUAGUAUAUCUUUCAUAUUUAAGUAAUAAUACUUAGUGUUUCAUAAAAGUCUUGUUUAAAUUAUUAAUAAUAAUAAGUGGUUUAGGUUAAUGAGCAAUAAUUUUAAAUGAUAAUAACAUCAAAUUAAAAAUUAUGUAACGUUAGUUACAAAUAAUUUGUAUUCUAAAUGUUCAUCAUUUUUGACAUUAGAAAAUAAUCGCAUAAGUAAAAAAUUUAAAUUAAUCAAUCAUAAUAUUUUUUAUAAAUAAUACUAAAUAGAUAAUUAUAUUUAAUUCUAUUAACGAGGAAGGUGGGUUGAUGUCAAUGAAUAAUAUUGUUCAAAAUAGUUGAGAUUUUAUAUAUAUAAUUUAGUGUAAAAAUAUUAUGUCAAAGUUAAUGUCAAUAAAUAACCAUUUUAAACAUAUAUUUUUCAAUAUUUUAACAAUCCUAUUUUUAACAUGCAACGCGCAAAAAUUCGUCUAGUGUUAUAUAAUAUCCUACAAAUUGUAAGCACAACUAGACCACUUUUAUAAAUUUAAUAUAAUAUAGACCAUUUUUAUAAUUUUGUAUUAAACUAUGACGAAAGUGGUUACUUAUUUAUAAAGUUGCAGAAAUCGUUGAUGUAGGCUAAUUGGUGGACUGGGGUCAAGGUUGAUAGGCUAAGCGGAAAUUAAUCAGGGACCAUUAAUUAUUAAAAAAAUACUCCAUCCGUCCCAAUAUUUGUGACAACCAUCAAAUUCUAGUCAAUUCAAAGUCAAAUAAAGUCAACAAGUCAAACCGGUCAACUCAACUAACCCUUGUGUACUAGGGCUUACGUUAUAUAUUUACUAAACAACUCGCUAUUCUGAUGAGAAAAUCAUAAAUCGAAAAGUACAUACAACCAGAUCUCCUUAACCUAAAACUGUGGUAAGUGGCAAGCCAAACCGAUAAAACAAUGUUGCAUACUCAUCGGGAGUGUAUAAGAUCCUUAAACAAGGCUUUACAGGGUUUACAGACCCAUCAUCGCGAAGCCGGGUACUCAAAAAGGUCACAAAUGAAACCUCUCCCAAUCGUUUUCACUAAAUCUCUCUCAAAUAUCUCUUUGUAUGAGAAAUCCCUUUAAGAAUGUCAAAUCUCUCCUAAAUCUCUCCAAGUAUGUGAAAUCUCUCUCAAAUAUCUCUUUGUAUUGAGAAAUCUCUCCAAGAAUGUCAAAUCUCUCCAAGUAUGUGGAAUCUCUCUCAAAUAUCUCUUUGUAUGAGAAAUCUCUCUAAGAAUGUCAAAUCUCUCCCAAAUCUCUCCAACUAUGUGAAAUCUCUCUCAAAUAUCUCUUUGUAUGAGAAAUCUCUUCAAGAAUGUCAAAUCUCUCCCAAAUCUCUCCAAGUAUGUGAAAUCUCUCGCAAAUAUCUCUUUGUAUGAGAAAUCUCUCCAAAAAUGUCAAAUCUCUCCCAAAUCUCUCCAAGUAUGUGAAAUCUCUCUCAAAAGUUCCUGUAACGUUUUAGAAUCAUUCGGGUCAUUUCGACCCUUAACCGGGUCAAAAACGGUACAAAACGGAGUGAAAACGAGUAAAAUAGGCUUUAGGAACCGAAACCCUUCUUAGGAACCGAAACCAAGAAGAGAGGCCUCUCGGGCCGAAACUCGCGAGGACCGAGCCUCUACUCUGGGUCUCCCUUCUCGGUUCCCUUACCCGCCUCUCGGUUCCCUUGCUUCCCUCUCUGUCUCCUCGCCUACUCUCGGUCUCUAUCUCUCUAUCCGCCUCUCUGCUUCUGUUCGCCUCUCAGCCUUCUCUCCUCUCGGUUUCUGUCUCUUUCUCUCCUCUCUGUCUUCUCGCGCCUCUCUGUUCUCUCUUCCCACCUCUCGGUCUCUGCUCCCUCUCUUCUCUUCUCUCGGUUUCUUCUCCCACCUCUCGGUCUCUGCUCUCUCUCUUCUCCCCUCUCGGUUUCUGCCCUCUCUCCUCUCGGUUCCAACAUCAGAAGACCGAAACUCGGCCAGAUUUCGGAAUUUUGUCAUUUUUAGCCCAUUUUUGAUAUUUUUAACAUUUUAAGCCCGUUUUUCGUGAUUUUAAAGCGGGAUUUUCUCCAGAAAUUAUAUUUUAACAUAAUAAACCCUAAAUAUUCAUAAUUUAAACAUAUUUUCAUGAAAAUCAUUAUUUAAAUAAUAAAAAUCUAAUGGGUGAUUUAUUUAAGGUGGAGUGUUGACCUUGCCUUAUCUUAUGUCACAAGCAACCACCCCACACCCACUCUAUGACCAGCCAUACCUCCCCACCUUACCUAGGUCACUUCAAUGUCCCCUACACUCAAUUUCUACCCAUUCCCACGUUUUUAGAGCUGGAGCAAAACAUCCUCUCUCCUCAUUUCUCUCAUUUGCUCUCAUUUCACCAAGAAUCAAACAACCACUUUUCUCUCAAAAUUUUUCUACAAAAUUCGAGAUUCAAGGGCUGAUCUUGAGUUUUUCCUCCACAUUUGGUAAGUAUAAUCCAUCCUUCAUAUGAUUAUUUCACUUCCUACUACACAAAUCAAAGAUAUCUUACACAAACUCCAUCAUAUUUGUGUUAGAUCUUCGAGUCUUCAAGUGAUUCUUCAAGUGUUCUUGGGUUGAACACUUCUCUUCUUCAACACUUAUCUACUGAAAUCACUCAAGGUGAGUUCAUACCCCUACAUUUUCAUGUUUUCUCAUGUUUUCAGGGGAGGAAUACAAGUUAAAACACCAAGAACAUAACUAAAAAUUUUCUAACAGCCUUCAUCAGAAAAUUUCAACUCCAUUCACGGACUGUUUUGGAAAUUUUAAACAUUUUUGUUUUCAAAACUGUACAAGGUGCAAAUAGUUCAAGUUCUUAGAUUUAAAAUGACUACUUGCACAUCUCCAUACGAUUUUUCUACAAUUUAUGGUGAUUUUUACAAAACUGCCUAUCAUUUCAAACAACAAUCCGGACCAGUCUGUGAUUUUGGACUUAUUCACCCAAGUUUGAGGUCAUUAAAAUCAUAAAAAAAAUUAUGAGUAAACUAGACACAUUUUAUGAAAUCUCAGAAUUUACGGAUCUAGUUUUCGACUUCGUAUGAUUUUUCUAUGAUUUUUCUAAAACAGUGCAGAAAGAUUAAGAAUUAGUUAACAACUUCUAACUAUCAAAACACUUUGUAACAUGUUGAGCAAAGUGUUAAGUCUUUGAUGACUUCGUAUAUUUCAUGCAUUUCUUGUUAUGAUAUAUUUGUAUAAUAGGAAAUUACUUACUGAAUUUAUAAGAAUCCUCCAUCAUAAUCAUUAGCACAAAACAAAGCAAGUUAAACAUAGCUAUAUUGUACUAUACAUUUGACUUACAUAGAAUGGGAUUCUUAAACCCCAUAAAGAAAUAUACUAAACUAUAAUAGGUAUAGUUAGGGUUCAUAUACAUUUCAAACAUUUUAAUAAACUAUAAUAGUUAUAGUUUAUGAUCAUUUACAUAACAUACUCGUACAAAAGGAGUACAAAUACAAAGUGUCGGGUUUAUAUAUAAAAGGGGUAUAAAUACAAAGUGCCGGUUUUUAUACAAAAAGGGGUACAAAUACAAAGUGUCGGGUUUAUAUAUAAAAAGGGGUACAAAUACAAAGUGCCGGUUUUUAUACAAAAAGGGGUACAAAUACAAAGUGUCGGGUUUAUAUACAAUAAGGGGUACAAAUACAAAGUGCUGGUUUUUAUACAAAAAAGGGGUACAAAUACAAAGUGUCGGGUUUACAUACAAAAAGGGGUACAAAUACAAAGUGCCGGUUUUUAUACAAAAAGGGGUACAAAUACAAAGUGCUGGGUCUUUAUAUAAAAAGGGGGUACCGAUACAAAGUACCAGGUUCACUUAAAAUAGUUAUUAUGAUAUUAAAACUAUAUUUCAUCUAGAUUUGUUAGACUUCAACUAAAAUCACUGAGUGUACAUGUUUGAGUCAUAUAAGAAUUUAGUCUUGAUUGGCCUAAAAUUAGUGGUGCCUGCCUCAUCUUCUAUUCCUUGUUUGGUUGUGGACCUAGGGCAGACCCACUAUAUUCAACAUUUUAUCUAAUUUAAACCUUAUAUAACUUAUAUACGCUGGACGAUUAUAGAGGAACUCUACGGGUCAUUCUAGUGUUCAUUAAUGCAUCAUAUAGGAAUAUUUCUAUUCACACUUAACUAAGAAAAUAUUGGAUUUUUCUGGAAAUCAAACCAUAUCGAUUUUACAAGGAAAACGGUUUCUACUUCAAACAAAACUCUUAUGAACUCACCAACUUAAUUGUUGACCCUUUUCAAAACUACUUGUAUUCUCAGGAAAUCAAUGAAACAGGAAAACUUCAGCGCUUUGAGGAUGGGAUGUUAAACCAUCAAUAAUUUACUUUUGUCAUCAUAAUGUAAUUGAUUUUGAAACAUGUAAACAUAUACUUUGGUGUAACUUUUUCAAUUAGAUUUAUGUUGGUUGUAUUUACUUUGAGCACUAUUAUAUUCGUUGUUGUGAUACUGUACAUGAAGUCCUCUACCCCCGGACGUUUCCGCCAUCCUUGGUUUGGGGGUGUGACAGAUUGGUAUCAGAGCAUUGUUUAUAGUGAACUAAGUAUAUCGAACCACAUAAGAUAUACAAACUAUAAAUGCAUCGGGACUAAGGUCUCUGAUUUAAAGUUUUCAAAACAACUAUACUUUUAGAAAUAAAUAGCUUCUUGUUAAAAGUAUACAUGCAUGCAUACAUACUAAGGUCAGCAUCAUUUUAGGACAAAACAAAAGUAAUGAUUGUUGGAUAUCACAGGUAAGCUUGGGGAUGUAUGGUCAGUCUUGGGAGUGGCAUAGCCUGAUCAACUAUGCUGGUCCGAGGAGUGAUUAGCAUAUGCCCAAGAAUGGUUGUGAUGUGGCAACAAGUCAAAAAAAAAAAAAAAAACUUACCGACACUACCACAAUGAAAUACCAUAGGGGUAUUUGGUGUUAUUAUAAUUACUUAUCUGAGAACUAAAUAGAUUUUUAUCAAUAGGUCAAUAAUUGCUUAGUGGAUACAUUAAAAAUUUUAUGUAUCCAGGACGUCAUAGACUUAGAAUCUGUGGAUCUUUGCUCUACUUCCUGUUCUCGUUGGAUUGGGGAUUUAGAGUUAGGGUCUCUUAUUCGAAGUUCUAUCCUGUCCCGAAUACAUAUGACUAGUAUGCACUAAACAAUGCGUUGAAGUACCUGAUAAAGAUCAUCAUGUAAUUAUCUAAUUAGUACGUCUACUUAGUUAUUUCUUAUAUCCCCAUUUCUCGCAUGGAUAACAUGGCUGGAUUUCCUUCCCCACGAUGACCCGUACUACCCUAACCACGACAAUACCAAAUGGCUCGGAGAGGAGUCAGAGAAUGAUUACGCAACCCCUGUGGAUGGUCACCAACCUGAAGGCUUUGCUGAUGAUUCUGACCCACAACCUAAAGUGGAGAACUUAACCCCGAUGACCCUUGUUCCAAAUCCCAACCCUCGACCGGUUUUUCAAGUCUCGAUGCCUCCUUGGGUAGAGUGCUUGGAAACCUAGAGCGAAGAACAAGACCAACCUAUGUCGUUUAAUAGAGAACGAAGCUUCUACAACAUAAACGAAGGAAGCUCAGUAGAUAGAAUUUUUCCAAUCCUGGUCCGUAGAGUUGCCCGAAACGAGAUUCAGGGUAGAACAACUCUCCAUAGUAUCGCAGAGGUUGAUGCAAAUGCAAGAAUACAUACGAUCCGCACCAAUCGCCUUGAGCACACUCGUGAAUAGUCUGAGAGAGACCAUGAAACCUUGAUGAGAGCACAGGCUGAAACACGAACCGAAGUCAUAGAACUCCGAAUACGCUAGAGGGUGUACGAAAGGCCCAUGCUUGAUAUGGAGCGGCAACUAGCUAAACUGAGGGUUCACCAGAGGGAAGACCACCGCCAGUAGUAGAUGCCUUACUUUCUUUCCCUAUUAACAAGGAAUUUUUCUUUUCCCUAUCUAUGCCCUAUGUGGCAUUUUCUACGAAACCAUCUUGUACUGUAAGUACUUUUAGUUAGGCCUUUAGGCGGCCAAAACUCUCCUGCUCCGGAUGUGAUGUAAGACCCUCUCCAAGGUCAAUUUUCCCCAAUUUGCUACAUCUUAAACAUCAAUGACGUUGUCAGUCAGAUGAAUUCUGUGACACUCUUUGUUCGAAUACUUCCUAAUGAGUCUAUCUGAAACCCACUUUAGUCAAGUUGUUGGACUAGAGUAAUUUAGCUCCGGGAUCGUUCCCAAUUUCUUUCCAAGGUUGGAUCACGUUAUUCACCAACCAAUGGAACCCGAUUUUGAAACGAUAAACGUCAUAAGAUCAUUCUCCGAACUUACUCCUACUCUACUAUAAGACUGCAUCAUAUGGAUGUAGGUCAAACCUUCGAGAACAUACUUCAAUUGGUCAUAAUAAGGACCUAGCUUGGGUAAAGUGUAAGGCUUCACUUGGAUACAAAACCUACUAAACUCAUGAAGUUCAUUCAUAUGGACUUCCUUUAUGAAUUACAUAUAAGGCAUUCUUAAAUCGGAGAAUAAUGCAGGAAAAAUCUAAUUCUAUAGCAACUGACUUGUCUUUGCUAGUAGAAACUUACCAUCUGAUCAUUUUUUUUUUUUUUUUUUUUUUUUUUUUACAUNNNNNNNNNNNNNNNNNNNNNNNNNUCCCACCAAGGAAAAGACCCAGCCCUUCCGGCAGCACAGCACCACCACCUCCAACGCCACCUCUUCAGUUUGAUCCCGCAAUGUUCCAAGCUGCAGUAACAGCAGCCGUGGUGGCUGUAAUGUGACAAAUUGGUACAAAUAGCACUGGUGGUGCUGGAUCUGGAGCCACAAACUCUAACCACGAGGAUAGUACAGGACGCACAAAGGAAUGCACUUACAAGGACUUCACAAAUGGAAAACCCGAUUCCUUCGAUGGAGGUGGGGGUGUCCUCGCACUAAUUCAAUGGUUCGAGAGAACCGAAGCAAUCUUCGAGAUUUGUGCUUGCCCCGAAGCGAGCAAAGUCCAGUACGCGACAUUCACCUUCAUCGGAAGAGCUCUCACUUAGUGGAAUGGCAGAGUUAAGUCGCUUACGCUUGCAGUGGCUAACUCGUUAAGUUGGGAGGACUUAAAGAAGAUGAUGCUGAAGGAAUAUUGCUCAAGAGGUGAAGUGCAAAAGCUGGAGCAAGAACUGUGGAAUCAGGCAAUGACCCUGUAAAUUGGCUUCCUGAAGCAGACAACCGCGAUGUGCAUCCAGACAAGUUUUUGAGAAAAUCAGGAAAUUUGACAGCAGCAGAGUUGCUAUGAAAGAACAACCAUCCCAAACUAGAGAGGUUACCAAGAUAUUUGGGUAUCCCAUCUAACAUGUUGCCAGAGAGAUCAAGAUAUAUAAGGCUAUUGCUGGUUAAUGGGAACAACCAACGAUACAUGGAUGAGGUGAGACUGUUGUUUCCGAGAGAAAGGUAUUCAAUAGAUGAGGAAUAAGAAGAGUUGAGAAAUGAAGAAGAAUAUGGAUACAUGACCUGUGACAGCUCACAUCCUGAUAAACUUAAAACAGAGAGUUUUGGGAGACUCAGAAUAACAUCUACCCAAUGAUUUGUUUUGGCUAGUGAAAUCCCAUCCAUGUGAAGUUCCUCCAAAUGAGAUAGAUUAGACAACCACUCGAGGUUCUCAACUCUACACCUUCCAAAAUUUGAAAGGAAAAGCCAUUCCAAGUUGGUGAGGUUUCCGAACUCUAGAGGAAUGGUUCCAUAAAGAGAAUUAAAAGAAAGGUCAAGGACCCCUAAUUGAGUCAAGGAACUAAUGAUCGUGGGAAUGGUUCCAUGAAAAGAAUUUCCGAAAAGAUCAAGAUAAUUCAAGUAGGUUAAGUUAACCAAUGCAUGGCGAAUCUCACCUACAAGACCACAGGACACAACUUCAAGCUCUGUGACAUGACCACCUGUUUGGUUGUUGCACGUCACUCUACUCCAUUCACAGCAGUUGUCUUGUUCAACUGUCCACGUAGAGAGGCAAUCAUAAGGGUCUUGAAGGAGACCUUUGAAAUGAAGGAGACCAUCUUUCUCCUUCUUAAAACACCUGUUCACAGCACCAUUAUCAUCAUCUCCUCCUCCCACUGCUGCCAAUUGGUUAGCACUUGUAGUCUCCGGACAUAACAAAAGAAGUGAGAAUAUUAUAAAAACACAAGGAUGCAUGGUGUAAAUGCAAAUCUUAAUUGGUGAUUUUUUUUUUUUGUUUUUACUAAUGGAAAGUUGAAGAUGCCCCAUGCAGCUUUAUAUAGUGCUGCCAACUGUGAAAAUGAAGGAUUCAAGUGGAUGGCCUUAAACUGCAGACCUAUUUGUUGGUCAUUUAUUUAAAAAUUAAGAUAAAAUAUUACCCAGCCAAGUGAAAUUACAAUGCAUAAAAUAUUAGUGUAAAUUACACAAAAAUAGAAUGGUUCAAGUAAAGACAACAAUUCUCGUGAGAACGCGUAGGAACAAAAUUCUUUUUUUCCUCUUUUUUCAUCAAUAUGGAAACAUAUUUUAAGGCUAAAAAAUAAUAAAUUCUAGUGUUCUUUAAUAAAGUAAAACAAUAUAUAAUAAAAAAUCAACACCAUUCAUCAAUGAAUACAGUUUUAGAAAAAUAUAUAUAUAUUUUUUAUUUUGGUAUGGAUGUUUAAUUGUAAGGCCUAAAAAAUAGAGAUUUUCGUAUAUUUGUUAAAAAUAAAUAAUUAACAUUCGAUCAUAUGUGAAAACAACAUACUCAUCAAUGAAAUAAAGUGCUAUAAAACACUUCCUAUAUCAAUAUAAAUGUCUAUUUUUACGUCAUAAAAAGAUAUUUUGGUAUACUUGUUUUUUUUUUUUUUUAAAAAGAUAAAAAUAAUUAAGCAAAUUCAUCAAUGAAAACACCGUAUUCGUCAAUGAACAAACUGUUAAUAAAGACUUUGUACAUCAAUUUGGUUAUCUAAUUGUAUAAUCUACAAAUAUAUAAAUUUGGGUAUUUUUGUUUUUAUUUUUUGAAUAUAUAUAUAUAUAUAUAUAUAUAUAUAGGGUUGUAAACGAACCAAACGAACACGAACAAUGUCUUGUUUAUGUUCGUUUGUUUAAGUUAGUCGAACAACAAACGAACACGAACGGAUAAACGAACGAGAUUUUCUUGUUCAUGUUCGUUCGUUUAACAAAUUACUUUGUUCAUGUUCGUUCAUUUAUGUUCGUGAACAUGCUAAAUGAACAUAAACGAACAAACAUAAACGAACANAACGAACAAAGAUAAAAAAAAAACACAAUUGAACAUAUAUGAACAUAAACGAACAUAUAAUAUAACAAUAUAAUAAAAAAUAAUUGAAUAUAGAUGAAUAUAAAUAAACUUAAACGAAUGAACAUAAACGAACGUAAAUGAACAUCAUAAACGAACGUUUACGAGCAUAAAUGAACGAACGAGACCAUUGUUCAUGUUCGUUCAUUUAACUAAACGAACGAUAAUUUUUGCUCAUAUUCGUUCAUUUAUUAAAUAAACGAACAUAAACGAACUUUUAGUCGAAACGGUUCGCCGAACGUUCAGUUCGUUUACAGCCCUAUAUAUAUAUAUANNNNNNNNNNNNNNNNNNNNNNNNNNNNNNNNNNNNNNNNNNNNNNNNNNNNNNNNNNNNNNNNNNNNNNNNNNNNNNNNNNNNNNNNNNNNNNNNNNNNNNNNNNNNNNNNNNNNNNNNNNNNNNNNNNNNNNNNNNNNNNNNNNNNNNNNNNNNNNNNNNNNNNNNNNNNNNNNNNNNNNNNNNNNNNNNNNNNNNNNNNNNNNNNNNNNNNNNNNNNNNNNNNNNNNNNNNNNNNNNNNNNNNNNNNNNNNNNNNNNNNNNNNNNNNNNNNNNNNNNNNNNNNNNNNNNNNNNNNNNNNNNNNNNNNNNNNNNNNNNNNNNNNNNNNNNNNNNNNNNNNNNNNNNNNNNNNNNNNNNNNNNNNNNNNNNNNNNNNNNNNNNNNNNNNNNNNNNNNNNNNNNNNNNNNNNNNNNNNNNNNNNNNNNNNNNNNNNNUAUAUAUAUAUAUAUUCUUAAAAAAUAAAAGAUAACAAAAGAUAGGCAUAUUCAUCAACAAUGGUUUAUUAUUUCUCAUUUUUAGAAACAAACUAUAAGAAAAAUUAGAAAAGAAGAAUUGAAAUAAAUUGCCCCAAAUCAAACGUUCAAGGACUUAUACAUCAUUCGGGCCAUAAAAUACUUAUUUUCCUUUAAAUUAGAACCAUUUUAUAAGGUAGGUGUAAAAUCCGUGUACUACACGGAUUGAUUAAAAAAAAUUAUAUUUGAAGAUAUAAACUUUAAAUAUUUUUUUAAAGAAAAAAUUAAAUAUUAAAAUGUAAAUAUUAAGUAUUUUUUAAAAUAAAAUUUCAAAAUAUAUAUACAAACAAAAUGAUGAAUAAAUAAAUAAUUAAAUUUAUAUUAAUAAAACAAACUAUAGAAAAAUAAUUACAUUUUGACCGGAUAACAUUUUUUUUAGUUUGCCAAUAAAAAGCAACAAAAUUUUAUUAUUUUUUUUUAUAUAGAUUAUUUUGUCUAAAAUGACAAUGAACUUUAAAAAAAACAUGUCAAUUUUAAAUUAUAUAUAUUGAAGAAAACAUAUUAAAAUUUGAAAAUAUAAGGAAAGAAAUUAACGACACAUUAAUUAAUUUCUAUUACCUAAACAUUAGAUAGUUAAUUAAGAAAAUCAAAAAUUACCAUAAAAUAACAAGUGGAAAUUAAUUUUUAAGAAUUAACCACAAAAUUACAUGUGUCCAAAUGCAUAAGAAAUUGACAAGUGGCAAAAAGUUCUUUAUUUAUUAGGAAGGAUUAGAAAAAGAAGAAUUGGAAUAAAUUGCCCCAAAUCAUAGGAUUCAAAAGCUUAUACAUCAUGUGGAGCAUUAAAGAUGAAGAAUUGAAAUGAAUAGCCCCAUAUUAGACAUUCAAAGGCGUAUAUCUUAUCUAGAGCAUACAAAACUUAAUUCCCAUCUCGCAUCAUAAUAACCAAACUAUAAGACAAAUUCGACAUGAAGAAUUGAAAUAAUUUGCCCCAAAUUAGACGUUCAAAGACUUCCAGGCUUUGGAAAUUUGUAUUUUUUCAUUUUGUGAUAUCUUUUGGUCCUCAUGUUAACUCAAAGUGGGGAAACAAAUAAAAAUAAUAAAAAAUAAAAUCAGCCCCUAUGGGCCUAAACGCUGAGUGAUAAAUGAUGCGACUUCAGAGAAUAUUUUUGGAUAAAAUAAGACUAAUUGUUUUUGUAUUUUGCACUGAAUAAACCGUUCAAAUAAGAGCAAAUUGUCAUUUUACCCUUAUAUCUAAAAGAUGGCCAUUAAGAAAACCGAUACCAACCGCUUUCAAUUCUGUUUUGUGGCUUUAGGUUGUGUGGUAUAACAUAUUUCUUUUAUUGAGUUAUAUAAUAUUUCAUGGUAAUGUAUCUUGAUUACUUUUUUACUUAUCACUAAUAUAUGUUCAUUUUUAUGUAGAUUCGUACCUUCCUUAGGUGCAUGAUACCGUUGAUAUAUGUGGGUUAUUUACCCCUUCUUGGGAGCUAUCUGACAACAAUGUACUUCGCAGUGGCUUUAGAUGGAAAUCAUGAACCCCUACUCUUAGCAGUUGGUUUGGGAACCUUAGAGUGUGAAGAAUCAUGGAGAUGGUUCAUGAUGAGGUUAAAAGAUUGUUUAGGUGAGGACAUAGAGGUUGGUUUCAUAAGAAACCUAUGUGAUAAAAUAGACUUUGGUGUUCAGAGUGCCUACCCGGAUUCCUAUCAUGGAUAUUCUCCUAAAGAUAUAGCUCGAAAAAUAUGUGAGUUUGUCGGACAUAACAAUACGGAAGUCGAAUCGUUGUCUUGGAAGUCAUGCAAUGCAUAUAGCGUUGAUGAUUUUUACUUGUGUUUGGAAAGGUUGCAAAGUACAUGUAAGAAACCACCUUUCUACACCUUGCUUAGGAGUUCAAUUUACUGGCUUGACGAUAUACCGAUUUCAAAAUGGACACGAGCAUUUUUCCCAAAAAUACGUUACAAUGUUAAAUCGAUUGACGUCCCUGAAAUUUCGCAAAUUAUAUCCAUACGUGAGUUUCCUAUAACAACGAUAAUUAAGUUAAUCACUACGUCGAUACAAUCAAAGUAUGGUGAAUGGGCUGAAGUGGCAGGUAAGGGAGAUUGUUAUAUUUAGUUUUUUUAUUGUGCUAUUAUUUUUCUAAAAUUUUCAAAUUUUACAGGGAGGUUGUCUGGUGGGUUGACCCCUUACGUUGAGAGUAAGGUUCAAAAAAGUCUCAACAAGUCUUAUAAUUGUAAUGCAAGACGUUUGUAUGGGGAUACAUUUGAAGUCGAUGACAAUUUUGCCACCACCAACGUACAACUUGAACGAAGGGUAUGUAGUUGUGGUAAAUGGCAAAAAAGCGGUAUACCAUGUGGCCACGCUAUAGCAUGUCUAAGAACCCGUACAUCUGAAUCCAUUCACAGAAUGGUUGAUUACAAGUUCACUAAUUAUGUGUAUCGACUUGCAUAUGGAUCUGAGUUGGUGAAUACUAUACCAUCACAUGUGCAUUGGGAAAUACCAAAUGAAACGGUGGUCCUGUUACCUCCCUCAAUGCAGUAGUUAUUCAUGUAGCACCUUUAUAUUUUAUGUAGUAUUAUGUAUUAGUUUUUUAUGUACCCCGUUUUUAUUUUAGUGUUGUGUUACGUAUUAGUUAUCCAUGUACCCAGUUUAUAUUUUAUGUCGUAUUAUGUGUUAGUUAUUUAUGUACCCCAUUUAUAUUUUAUUGCGUUCUAAAUAUUGGCUAUUGAGGAAACAACAUACAUUAAAAGAAAUGGACGUUUAUUAAAUAGUAACGACUAGACACAUACAACAACAAGCAACUUAAAUAACGAAAAACAAUUAACUUAACCAACAUGCAUAUUAAAAAUAAGGGACAUUCUUUAAAAGAUUCCAUGCAUCUAAGUGGGUAAACUCGCUACCAUCAUAUUCAAAACGGUAUAGUUCCAAAGCCACCUGUCGUAGAAUGUCUUCAUCCGUAUUUGCAUGUUCGUUAUCCAACUCGUUAUAAAUACGUUGAAAUUGUUUCACCUUCAUUUUCAUAUCCAGAAACUUCGCUUUGACAUCUCUUCUUCUUCGAUAUUGAGUGCGGUUCAUUAAAUGGUGAAACAAAUGACAGACACGAGACCAAAAUGAUCCAGCACGAACUUGUGGGGGACCCGGUGGAAAAUCCACCUCUACAGUUGUAAUCCAAGCUUGAACCAAAGCGACCUCCUCUGCGUUCCUCCAUAUAUGUGGUGAGUCCAUAAUUGCAAGGGGGGAAGUAAUACGAUACAAUUACAAUGGAUAUUAAAAACUAUUUAUAACAACUCCUUAUUUUCCUGGUGCAAUGACUUGUCAAUUCAAGUAGCAAUGUAUUGUGUUGUCAUUUGACGGGGGAUGACUUGUCAACUCGAACAUUGAUCUGUUGUGUUAUAAGUAUAGUACACUGCAUUCGUCAGUUAAUUUUGACUAUGAAUUGCAGACAUAUUAGAAGAUUGGACUGCGAUUUUGUGUAGAAACUACUAUAAAUUGACCUUAAGUUACAUGCAANUUUUAGAUUCUACUGUCACACCCCAAAACCAUUGAACGGUGGAAACGUUCUGGGGCGGAGGACGUCAUGUACAGUAUCACAACAAUGAAAAGUAGUAAACAAGCAACAACAUCAUCCAUUGCAUUAAUAAUAUAAUUUUGAUACAAGUGUGUUCUGUCAAAUUUUGAUAAACACUAAAGCAUAAAUCAAAAUGAAAAAUGAGUCUUGAACAAGCUCCAUCUUCCUUUCUCCUUGCAUCGGUACCUGUCUAUGAUGACCUGAGGAUACAAGUAAUUUUGAAAGAGAGUAUCAGUUUUAAAGCUGGUGAGAUCAUAAGUAAUUUUAGUGUCUUAAUUUGUAUGAAAAUACUUGUAUGUAUUUGAAAUGUAAGUAUUUGUAUGUAUACGAAUUGUAAGUAUUAAAAAUGUAAAUGAAUUGUAAGUAUGAAAAUGUAUAUGAAUUGUAAGUAUGAACAUGUUUGUAAAACAACUGUAAACGUUUGAAAAACCCUAGAAAUCCCUAUGAUUCCUACUAGUAACAAAAGGAGUCUUCUACCAAGACUUAACUGCUCUGAAUGUAGUCUUCUACCAAGACCUAACUGUUCUGAAUGUAGUCUUCUACCAAGACCUAACUGUUCUAAUUGUAGUCUUCUACCAAGACCUAACUGUAAUAGUAUUACCCUUUAGUACUCGGGCAAAUAACAAUGUUAACUGAAGACAUCCGUAGAUGUACAUUUACCUCUGUUGCUAACAGCUGGGUAUAGGAAUAGUCAGUCUCCAAAAGUAUACCUGUAAUGGUAUCAACCGUUGACAUCCGUGGAUGUGCUUUUACCUCUGUAGCUAACAGAGAUUCUAGGAAUGGUCAGUCCCGCAACGUAUCCUUGGGUACUAGGAUAUUAAAUCCAAUUUAUCUUGUCGAUUGUGUGAUUGAAUCACAAGGUAAAGAUAAGAACAAGGAUUAUAUAACAGAAUCUAUUCAUAUAAAGUGUACUAGUAAUUCCUGUAAGUGUACUCAUGUACAUGUGACCAUAUCUAUGUAAUAGUAUAGUAAGGUACUGUAAUGUUCUAGCUGUAGUGUACGUGCUCUCUAUCUAGUAAGUAUAGUAAUGUAUUGUAAUGUUCUAGAAAGUAAGACUCAUGAAUGAACUGGCUCAUUGUAUAAUAUUUCGUUCUAGUAAUGGUUCUAGUAUCUUCCUAAACUACCCCUAUGGUAGUUUACUAGUAAUCUAACUGGUACGUAUGGACAUGGAUGUAUACCCUUGCUACCCAAGGGCAUAGGAUGAACUGGAAGGACCUUUAUGACUAUAUAUGUAUAUAUGUUAUAUAACUAAUAUUUAAAUGACCUUCGGACGAGUACCCGAUAUCCCCACAGACCACAUCUCAAGCGCGAAAAGGAAAUAGGGUGGAUAGUCGUCCUAAGUCUUUUAAAUAUUUCUUAUAUAACUAUACAUAUAGAGGCAUGCAAUUUAUAAUAUAAAAGCAUAAAAUAAGUUUUGUAAAACCUUUGAACAUAAUUAUUAUCUAAGAAAAGAUCGACUUGAUGUCAAUUUAUAAAACGUUUUGAAGGCAUGGGUUUGAUAAAACAACUUUAGUAUAAGGAAACUUUUGUUUGAAUCACAAUUGUAAAUAAGUUUGAAAAGUAAUAUACAGAGUAAAAUGUACAGAGAAAUAAGGAGUUUUAGACACAUAAAGUGUUUAUGAAAUACAUUUGAAGGAAACUGUUUAGUAAAACGGCUAAUGAGUAGCCAAUCAUUUGAAUGCUGCUUAUUAAUCACAUGUGAUUGAUAUAAUAAUUAGCAUAAUUCUACUUGUAUCCUCCCCCAUAAAACAUUUAAAAAAUAGUUUAAAACAUUGAUUAAGGGGUAUGAACUCACCUGUAGUGAGUGGUUCUGAUGAAAAUGUUGGAUCAGUUGCUAAGUAUCAAGUGGUGACUUGAGUACACACGCGAAUCCUAUUUAGCAUAUAUUGGCAUAUAUAUGAAUAUAAUUAGUGUUAUGAACGACUGAAAUAAUGAUUUUGGAACCACCUUAGGGACUACUAAACACUUAUAAUGAAGUGUUACAAUCAUAUAUGAUUGUAUGAGGGUUUAUAAGGCUAUACAAGAGGGUGUAUGGCCAAAAUACACACUAUAUGUGUGGGGCGGGCCUAGUGUGCUGCCNNNNNNNNNNNNNGGCCAGAUGGUGUUCUUGGUACCUUGUAUGAAGAUCUUCAAGGAGAAUGGAUGAUACUUGAGAGGAUUUCGUGUUCUAUGCUUGAAGAAGUGAAGGAAGUGUUCAAAAAUGACUAAGUGUGGUAUAUAUAGGUGGAGUGUGCGGUUGGGAAGGGUGUGAGGCCGCAAACACAUGUGUAUGGCCGUACACUCCAUGUGUUGGAGUGUUUGGCCUCUUUUUGAUUCCUACACUUUGAGUUAACCCAUUUCCACACUCCAACAUUGAUUAUAACACGUUUAGAACGCUCCAAUAGACCCUAAAUGGUACUACAAGAUAGCAAAAUGAGUCUAUUAUUGAUAAGAAAUGAAGAAUGCAAGCUAGAAAUUUUCGGGUUGUCACAUCUACUCUCUUUGUUUCAAUCAAAAUGAGUUUUAUAUCAUGGAGCAAUGAAGAGUUCUUGGUUCUUACACGUGCUUAUAUUCAUGUGUACGAGACAAGCAAGUUGAACGAUCCAAUGUUUUGGAGCCGUUUAACCAAUAUUUUCAACACUGAAAACCGAAUGCCUACAAGAAACGAUCGUGACGAACUAGACAUUUUAGCAAGAUGGUAAGAAAUGAAAACCGAAGUUCUAUUAUUCAACGAUCUUUAUACGAAAAUUGACGACACCCGUUUAAAUGCUACUGAGGAGGUCAUCUUGGAAGCUGCUAAGGAGGAAUACAAGUCAUUAAGUGACGGGUUGGAAUUCCAGUUUGAAGCCCCUUAGAAUAUUUUGAAAUAUAUCCCGUUUGUUUAAAAUCUAUUUUAGUUUAUUAUGUGAGUACUAGGUUAUUUUCAUGUAUUUCGUAUGUAUUGGAUGCAUCUCCUAUGAUUAAUUUGAAUUAAUAAACGCCCAUUGCAUUAGUUUUCACAAUACAUUAGAAUACAUUACUAACAAGAAUUCCAUGAACCAUUACAAACAUUACAACAAUUAUAUGAAAAACAACGACAUAAUACAAACAAAGCAUUAAUGUAAAACACAAGUGCAUGGGUUAUUCUUAACAUAAAUUAGAGCGGUCUACAUGAAAUAUUGUUUAUUUUUAACAACCUUCCAAACUUCCUCAUAUUCGAAGUCUCUACCGUCAUGCUCACAGAUGUAAAAAUCUGUAACAACUUCCAAGAACUCUUCUUCAUCCCGAUAACGAACAUUGGUACUUUUCACAUAAUUACAGGCUCGAUUGAACCAUGUCACUUCUUCCUUUACAUCAAUCCACUUAGUAACAACAUCUGAUUUUUAUCUUUGUUGUCCUUCUCCCAUCUCAUGGUUAAACAAAGAUGUUAUGCGAGUCCAUUCAUCACCAAUUAGGCAAUGCGGGGGAGCAAGUAACGAUACACCAUCCUUAACACUUAGCCAGCAUCGUGUAAGAACUAACACCUCGUUUGUCGUCCAUGGCCUUUCAGAAUUGGAACCAGGUACUUCAUUCGAAGAACUUGCUGCAUUCGACGACAUUUCUAGUUAUGGGAGUUCGUUUCGUUUAGGUGAUUUCGGUGUUUGGUUUUUAGAUCUUAAAUAUCUAUUUAUAUAAAAAAAUACAGGACUAUGAAUUAAAACUUUGAAUAUGAAAUGGUUGCACUUGGACUACGAUUUUCAGCUUUAUGCAGUGAUUUAUCAUGUCAAACUAUCAUUUAUGUCUUGUCACUUAAGGGUUCCACUACGAUUUGCAGGUUACUACAGUGACUUGUCAUUACUGUCUAGUCAUUUCAAAGUUGGACUUGUCAUUACUGUCUAGUAUGUAUAAAUACCACUUAUAGCACAAGUUUAUUACAAUGUCGACUUUAUUAUGAGUUCCUCACACAAAUUCGAAGUUUGCUCAUGCAACGAAGUAGAUUGUUACUACUGUGAUUCGGUAGACCCUUUUUUUACACCCUCUUCAGCCGGGCCAUAUAUGUCACAUGAAAAUUUUGAAGAAUUAAAGAAGGCUGAAGAACAACAAGAAGAGGACAAAGAGUCAUCCCGACUUCUCACUCAACUUGCUAAUGAUAUUGAAUCGGAAUGCAAACAAGCUCAAGAAUGGAUUGACCUCAAUAAAAACAAAAUCAAAGAGCAUAAAGAUUGGAUAAAAAAGAGUAAGAAGGCAAUCAAAACGACUGAAAAACGGCUUGCUGAGAAGGAUGAGCAGUUGAUACACAUUAUGGUAAAAAAGGAUCGUUUCGAAGACAAAAUGAGAAUUAGGGAUGACUAUAUAACAAUGGAGAAAGAGAAGUACCCAUUGUAGUACCCUGAGUUUAAAAAUUAGUUACAAAAUUUUUGUAAUAUUAUCAUGAUACAGAUUAGGUUGUAAAAGGAUCGUUUGUUGUUUUUUUUAAAUAACAUGUUGUAAUUGUUAAAAAAAUCUGCAAACUCUAUUUUAUAAUAUAAAGGCUUCAUUAAUUGUUAUAAUCAACAAACUAAACUAAAAUAUGAAAGCAUAGCAAUGUCUUGUAAGAUUUAAUAAAAAUAUUACAAUACAUAAUAAGUUAACAACUCGUCAUUACUCUUCAUUUCAAGGUUGUUUUAUAUCAAAAUCAGUGUUAUAAGUUUGUGAGCAACUCGUUGAACCACCAAUAUUAAAUGCCAUUUCUGCAGUAGAAAUUAUGUGAAGUACUCCACUACAGGACGCCCUUCCAGUACAAUUAUUUCUCGUGUGUCCUAGUUGACCACAUGUAGAACACUCUUUUAUAAUUGGACCCUCGCCUUGGGAUGGAAUGCGGUUUGUGUUUCUUGGACUGCCUGGAUGACGUUUAUCCAUUAUAGAUGGCUUAACAAUCAUCAAAUCAUCAGGGAUCUCCCAUUCGGGUGGCUUUGGCAGAGGGUUUAUUGAUUCCUCAUAUGUUUUCCUCAGUGUUUUGGUAAAGUAAGCAUUUAAUGCAUACCUCGAGCAGUCUUGGUAUUUGUUGACUGUUAAACAUCUUCUGACAUGACCACAAGGUAUCCCAUCAAGUUGAUAAUGCCUACAUGUACAUGUCAUAUGUUGGAAAUCAACAAUCACAUUUUGUGCCCUCUUUUUGACAUCGCAUUUCGUAUUUGAGAUCAUGCGAACAUCCCAUUUAGUAAAAGUUUUCUUGUUUUCUUUUACAACUUCAUCCGCCCAAGGGGUAAGUAUUGUUGUUGCUUCCGCUAAAAAAAGAGCCAAAAUGAAGAAGUUAAGAUCAAUAACAUCAAAAUUAAUAAAACAUUAAUAUUAAAAAUUUACUUAAUACCUGCAAAGUUACGUCUUUGAAACCACCAUUGUUGCAUUGUAGCACGAAAAAAAUCGAUCAACAUAAGUAUUGGCACCUUAAGUGCGUGUCUAGAUAAUGCAUUUAUAGACUCCGCACUGUUGGACGACAUAAGAUUGUAUCGGUUCCUUUAAAAUGUGCCCUUGACCAAGUUUCUGGAUUUAUACUUUUUAAGUACUCCCAUACUGGUUGUUUUGUCUUUUUCAUAACAUCCAUGACAGCAUCAAAAGCAUCAACUGUGUACGCCCUAUACGCCUCCCAAAAAAUUCCUUUAACUGUCUUACUCUUGCCGAAUCUAGAUACUAUGUUGAAAUACAAAUGGACACCACAUAUUCCAUGAUGAGCGUGAGGAAAAAUGUUGGCAACGGAUGUUGCUAUAGAUGGAGACCUAUCAGAUAUAAUUGUAAGCUCCUGCAUAUUUCCUAUGCAAUCACGUAGUUUUUGAAAAAACCAUGUCCAAGAAUCGGUACACUCAUUUUUGCAUAUACCAUAUGCAACCGGUAAUAUUUGAUUUUGUCCGUCCUUAGUAACUGCAAGUAGCAUGGUACCUUUGAACUCGCCCUUUAGGUGAGCUCCAUCUACUACUAGGGUCGGCUUACAAAAAUUGACAAAAGCUCGUACCUACAAUACAUUGUAUAUCUAUUCAAAUACACCAAAAUAAAUAUUAAAAAAAAAUUAGGACAUGAUAAUACUAACCGAGCAACCGAGUGCGACGUACAAAAACUCAAACCGAUCAUCAGCAUCUGUUUUAANAUCAUCAACAUCUGUUUUAAUAUGUGUCACCGUACCCGGAUUAUGUUUGACCAGAUUGUGAUAAUACGCCGGAAGUUUGGUAAAAGAAUCCUCUUUCGUACCCCUUAACAACAACAAUGCAUAUUGCUUCGCACGCCAUGCCUGAUGGUAUGAGAUAUCGAUAUUGAAUUGAGCAUUCAUAUCAUUAACAAUAUCUUUUCCCCGAUAAACUCUACUAUAGUCUUCAGCCAAAACAUCAGCAACAUAUUCACCCAAAACAUAUUUGUUUGCUUGUCGAUGAUUAGGUUGCAACAAUGUUGAAGAACAUGUGUGUACAUCAACAAAUUUAUUCACUUGGAAAAGUCCAUCAGUAUUUUUAAUUGCUUUUGCUCUUAGUAACCAAGAACAAUUUUUCGAAACACACACAGCUUCAUACCUUGAUUUGGUGGAUCUACUUGUCCUCGUCUGGAAACCUUCUCGAAGACAUUUUUUACCAAUACACCGCUUUAAAAGUUCUUUGUUUUUAAAUAUACUCUCACAUUGAAUCUUUUGAAGAUUAAUGUCUACCAUCUGUGUUGGGAUAUCUUCAUUAAUAUCAACUAGGCAUGCUGGUACAGGGGGCAUAUCGUGAAAAAGGUUAUCGGGAAACUUAGCUUUAACUUCAUCACCCAACUCAUCUCUAUCGGAAUUGCUUUGUAGCUCGAUUAUAUCUAACGUACAUCACCAACAUCAACAUAAUGCCCGUAAACAUGUUUUUUUUUCAUUUUUUUUACUUGAUUUUUUUUCUUUUUACUUUUAUCUACCACACGCCUAUUCGUAACUUUAACUUCUUAUUCGGAAACAUCAUCACAACGACCACCCACAUCAUUAAGAUAUGUACCAACAUCAUCAUCACCAACAGACUUGUAAUUCUCAGGAUCCACGUAGUGAAUAGGUGAAUAACUAACAUUAACAUUUUCAGCAACACUGUGAAACUGAGGUACACUAGGAGUAUUGAAAGUACCUAUCAGAUCGUUGCUCCCUUUAUAACUGCAUAAAAUUACCAACAAGCUGAUUUCCAGUUUGACCACCCCCAUUUACCUCAUCAACUUCAUCAACCACCACAAACACUUUCACAACCCUUCCUCCACUACAUUUGAUUACGUUUAUCAACAUUCUAACAUCCAUGUCUUCAACUAUAGCUAUAUAAUAAUUUAAUUCAGGAUUAUGGAAAUGAAGACUAAUUCUAUAUGUGUCUAACAAACCAAUUUUGCUUCUCACCAAAGAUAAAAAAUCACNNNNNNNNNNNNNNNNNNNNNNNNNNNNNNNNNNNNNNNNNNNNNNNNNNNNNNNNNNNNNNNNNNNNNNNNNNNNNNNNNNNNNNNNNNNNNNNNNNNNAUCAUUCUCAUUUCACAACUCCAAAUCCUUUUUUCAUAAGUAAAAAAAUAUCAAAUUCUCCCUACUUAUAGAAUAUGCUAGAUUCUAAUAUUCUAUGCAAUCAUCCUUUCGUAAUAUCACUAACCAAAGUCACAAAGACUAUUGUCAAUGAAAUUACAAAGUCUUUUAUCGGAGAUUGUUACAAUACAAUUCCUUAGAUAUGAUGUCUCUCACUCAAAGUACAUUCCUUCGAACAUCCUUUUGCACAAAAGUCUCUAAUCUAGACAUAGAUUUUCAAUAUUCAAUUCCUAGUAUGGACACGCUUCCAUAUUUUCCAUAUGACAACUCAUUCUUAAUAGAAUCUUAUCUAUUCNAUCUAUUCAUAAUAAUGUCGAUAUGGUCCAUCCAAUACCAUGCUUCCAACUACUCACAAGCAACCAAUCCUCGUCGAACUUUGGAUUGUCCUUUGAUAGUUGUUUAAUUAUUUUAGCCAAAACCGAUUCUAGUCCCUUUUCCUCUAAAUGCGCUAGACAUUUGGAAAAUUUUAAAUGGUCAAACAUUAAAGCAUUUGCAAUCGAUCCUUUACCCGAAGCGUAUGGGACAUGAUGCAUAAUGUUUUAUUUUCUAUGUUCUCAAAAUUCGAAUUUUGAAAAGGAAUGUCGUAAUCAUAAUCGAAAUUUUAAGAACACACUAUGUACCUUUGACUAAAUUUAUUAACAUUUCUCAACCUAAGCCUUUAGAUUUGAAAUAAAGCAUAAUAUUCUCUCCCUUAAUUAUAGCAAAACAACUUUACAACCUUUACGACUUUGCAAGGUAUAACUCUUGUUUUCUAUAAUUAAUAUUGCCAACUUGCAAAACUUUCCAUAAUAAUCAUAAAAUCAUAACUUUUAUGCUCCCACUAUCAUGAUGAUUAUUAUAAAACAUAACACUUAUGCUCCCACUAGCUUCGACAUGUAUUCAUAAACAUCUUAACUUUCAGAAAAACAACACUUAUUGAAUUUCUUAAGUUCAUGUUUCUAAUACUUAGUGCUUUGAUAAUCUUUUAUCAAGGCUUCUUGAACUUGUACACCUUUGCCUUUGAUAGUUCAUAUGUGUGUCUAAACACUUAAGACUAAUUGCCAAACCUCACAAUUCAAAUUAUGGAAAGGAAUACCGUAACCAUGAUUGAAUUCAAGAAUGCAACUUUACAAUUACUAUCUUCUUAAAAUCUUUCUUAGUAAAAGAAUUUCCUCACAAUCAUUUUCAUGAAGGAGGAAAUCUUAUGACACUUAGAUUUUAAACGGUGUAUGUGUUUCUAUCCAUGUGAAUUUGUUAAAACCAAAGUUUACGACAAAUUCAAACUCAUAUGGACCGAAUUUUCUUAAUCUUGAUCUCUUGCCUUAUGGUAGCACAGCUGCCCACCACGUCUUCCAAGUAGUUAAGCAUCUCACCUUUUUCCUAUCAAUGUACCUUUCAUUGAUCAAGGUGCUUUGCCUUUUAUGCGUUCAAAAUGAGAACUCAUAGAACUCUCAUGCAUAAUUAACUCGAUAAGAUUGGCACAAAAUCAAAAUAAUGUCAUCACAAUAGCUUGUAAACCUUAACUCGUGUGCUAAUGAUGAUCAAUAAGGUUUAUUUAAUUUGUUCUUGAAACCUUUCAANNNNNNNNNNNNNNNNNNNNNNNNNNNNNNNNNNNNNNNNNNNNNNNNNNNNNNNNNNNNNNNNNNNNNNNNNNNNNNNNNNNNNNNNNNNNNNNNNNNNUUAACUUGCCAUCUCCCACCGGUUACAAGACAAACCAAAUAUUCAUUCAUUUUUUAGAGCGAACUUUAGAGAAAUUUCCUAAAUAAAUAACAACCAAACUGAUAAUUUUCUACAAAACUUUUUAUAUAGCAACAUUAUUUCAUAGUCAAACCAAUUAAUUUCAUAGUCAAACUAAAAAAAAUAAUAAUAAUCAUUAAAAAAUAACCGCAAUUUCGCAGAUGGAAUCAGAGUAUAUUGCAGAUGGGGCUAUUCCAUCUUCGAUUUUACCCUACAAAUUAAAUAUAUAUAGAGAAAAAAAUUUUAAAAAUAAUAAAAUAAACCACCUACGAAUGUACAAGCAGCUAAAGCAUAGUUGUGCUUUAGCUGCUUGUACAUUCGCAGAUGGAAAGCCCAUUUCGCAGAUGGGACUAUUCCAUCUGCGAAUUUCGUGGUUAUUUUUGCAACUUCGAUUUUUUUGGCUAUUUUUGUAAUAUAAUUAGUGUAAAUGGCUAUUUUUGUCAUUUUCUCCUUCUAAAUUUCUAACUUCCCUAACAACUAAGAAACAUGGUUAAACAUGUCUCCGAUGNAAAAAAUCAUGAUGAAUAUGAAUGUGUAAAAAUUAAGUAUUUUUUAAAGUAAACUUUUGAAAUAAAUACAAUAAAUAGAAUAAACCACAUUGACCAUUUAUGUAAUUUGUCUUAAUUAAUAUAUACUGAUAACACUAAUUAAUAUAAAUUCACAAAUAGAAUUUAUUAAAUAGAAAUAAGAACUCAUAAAUGGAAGGUUUACUACAUACAUUAAUUCACAUUAAUUACUAUGAGGUGACAUUUAAUAGGUGGGAGUUCAAUAAAAAUGAAAAAAAAUACAAAAAUGACAAGUGGAAAAAAAAUAAUUUAAAAUUCUAAGAAAAUGACAUGUGGCAAAUUCAAUAAGAAGUUGACAUUUGACAAAAUGAUCUUUAUUUAUUAGGGUACUAGGUGUGAAACUCGUAUAUUAUACGGGUUGAUUUAAAAAAUGAUUAAACUUAAAGUAUAAAAAUAAAAUAUUUUUUAGUGUACAACUUUAAAAUAAGAAAUAAAGAAACGUAUUUAUUAUAAUUUAAUAUCAUAUAUAAAUACAAUUUAAUAUCAUAUAUAUGAUAUUUAAUACUUUACAUAUAUAAAUAUAUGACUUUAAUUAAAAAUUAAAACAAAUAAAAAAUUGACAAGUGGAUAAUAUUUAUUUCAAAAUUACCACAAAAUGACAAAUGUCAAAACUCAUGAGAGAUUGACAAGUGUCANUGAUGAAUACAUAAUUCAAUCUAUACGAAUAAAAAAUAUUUUCAUGUUUAAAAAAUCAUGAUGAAUAUGAAUGUGUAAAAAUUAAGUAUUUUUUAAAGUAAACUUUUGAAAUAAAUACAAUAAAUAGAAUAAACCACAUUGACCAUUUAUGUAAUUUGUCUUAAUUAAUAUAUACUGAUAACACUAAUUAAUAUAAAUUCACAAAUAGAAUUUAUUAAAUAGAAAUAAGAACUCAUAAAUGGAAGGUUUACUACAUACAUUAAUUCACAUUAAUUACUAUGAGGUGACAUUUAAUAGGUGGGAGUUCAAUAAAAAUGAAAAAAAAUACAAAAAUGACAAGUGGAAAAAAAAUAAUUUAAAAUUCUAAGAAAAUGACAUGUGGCAAAUUCAAUAAGAAGUUGACAUUUGACAAAAUGAUCUUUAUUUAUUAGGGUACUAGGUGUGAAACUCGUAUAUUAUACGGGUUGAUUUAAAAAAUGAUUAAACUUAAAGUAUAAAAAUAAAAUAUUUUUUAGUGUACAACUUUAAAAUAAGAAAUAAAGAAACGUAUUUAUUAUAAUUUAAUAUCAUAUAUAAAUACAAUUUAAUAUCAUAUAUAUGAUAUUUAAUACUUUACAUAUAUAAAUAUAUGACUUUAAUUAAAAAUUAAAACAAAUAAAAAAUUGACAAGUGGAUAAUAUUUAUUUCAAAAUUACCACAAAAUGACAAGUGUCAAAACUCAUGAGAGAUUGACAAGUGUCAAAAAAAACCUUCAUUUAUUAAAAAAGAUUNNNNNNNNNNNNNNNNNNNNNNNNNNNNNNNNNNNNNNNNNNNNNNNNNNNNNNNNNNNNNNNNNNNNNNNNNNNNNNNNNNNNNNNNNNNNNNNNNNNNNNNNNNNNNNNNNNNNNNNNNNNGUAUAAUUUUUGAACAAUUUGUAUAAAAUACUUAAAUUAUUAAUUCAAAUAUAACAUUAUAGGCUCAACUUAAAUAUAAAUUUUAUUUAACUUAAACAACCCAAAGAUUAUUUUAUAAAUAAUUAAAAGUGAUAAAUUGUAUUGUCUUUCUAAUAAUGAUUGUAAGUUGGUUAAUAAGGUUAAAUAAAUAUCAAACCUAAAGUGUAAUCAUAAAUAGACUAAAUUUCAAUUUUUAAAUAAUAUAUUUAUUUCUAUUUAUAAAGUUAUGUAUUUAAAUUUUAACACAUUAUACUUAAUUUAUUAGAUUUAAAAUGUUGUUGCAUGUAAACCAUUAUCAGUUUAAAGCUACAAUUUUUGAACAGUUUGGACAAAAUACUUAAAUUGUUAAUUUAAAUAUAACAUUACAGUGUCAACUUAAAUAUAAAUUUCAGUUCCACUAAAAAAACCAAAUAAUAUUUUGUAAAUAGUUAAAAGUGAUAAAUUAUAGUAAUAAAUGCAAAAACUAAAUUGUAAUAUCAGUUUAACUAAAAUAUUUCCUAAAUAUAUUUAUAUAGUCGUUAAAAAAUUUCAAAUACGUAGCUUAAAAUAACUUAUAAUAACAAUAGUUGCAAAUAACUCUAUAUAAAUUAUUAUAUUGUUAACUUUAAAAUCAAAAAAUAAUGUUUGAUGUUUUAAAUAAUUAUAAUGAUAGAAAUUAAAACAUUAAGCAAAUACAUUUUAAAAAAUUAGUUAAAAAUAAUAACUAUAAAUAAUAUUAAACCAUAUAUAAUAUUUAAUUUUAUUGAUGUGUAACUCGCGAGUAGAAGUCAUUAAAACGAUUGAGAUUAUGACGUUAUAAUAGAUUUAUAUAUUAUCAUAUAAUUCAAAAUAGUCAAUAUAUUAUAUCAAACUAAUAUACGAAUUAUUAUAUCAAAUUUAACAACAAUGUUAGUGUUAUAUUUUAAUAUAUAUAUAAAGACUUCAACUAUAUAGGUGUUUCUGCGCAUUACAAUGUCAACUCAAAAAUAUAAAUUUCAUUUCCAUAUUAAAAAACUAAAGAAUAUUUUAUAAAUAGUUAAAAGUAAUAAAUUGUAGUGAUAAAUGCAAAAACUAAAUUGUAAUCUCAAUUUAACUAAAAUAUUUCUUAAAUAUAUUUUUAUAAUCGUUAAUAGUUUCCAAAUAAGUAGCUUAAAAUAAUUUACAAUAACAAUAGUUAAAAACAACUCUAUAUAAAUGAUUAUAUUGUUAGCUUUAAAAUAAAAAAACAAUGUUUGAUGUUUUAAAUAAUUAUAAUGAUAGAAAUUAAAACAUUAAGCAAAUAAAUUUUAAAAAAUUAAUUAAUAAAAUCAAAUCAUAUAUUAUAUUUAAUUUUAUUCAUGUGUAACUCGCGGGUAGAAGUCAUUCAAACGAUUGAGAUUAAGAAGUUAUAAUAAAUGUAUAUAUUAUCAUAUAUACAUUUAUUUUUUCUUAUUAAAACAUUCUACUUUUCCAAAAUACAAUUUCAAUUUUUUGGACUAAAUACAAGAAAUAGUACUGUAUUUCCAAAAUAUAAUGUUGUGAUAAGGAAAAGUGAAGGUUGGAUUCUUCAGUAAUGCGAUCAAUAAAAGUACAUUGCAUUUAAGUUUUGAAUUGUUAUAUAAUAAUCUACUAAAUCUUGACGGAAUUUUCCUUUUUCUUUCAGGUUGUUCAACUUUCAAAUAACCAACGAAUUACUUAUACAAUGUAACUCUUCUUGGAUUCAAAUUUUAUAUCAAAAGUUUUUGCAUCGUUAUGUAUUAUCACCUUACAUUUUGUUGAUGAAUAAAAAUUGAAAGAGACUGUUGCCAAAUAACUUUCUUCUUGAAUUGGGGUUUUAGUUUUUUCUAUUAUUCAAAUGAUUUUACAAAUUUAUUUAUUGGGUUUUGUUAAAAGUUUGAGUGAGAAUCUGGAUUUUUGUAUGACAUAAACUAUUUUGAAGUUUGGAUGAAGUUGUAAAAAAAAAAUGACCCCAUUGCAUAGCAUAAGUUUUUUCUGAGUUUCAAUAAUAUCCCAAUUAACCAGGACCAUUUCAUAUUGAUGGACUUCCGAAAAGUUACCCCUGUAUAUUUGAUGAUGAAAUUUGAGUUGAGAAAAUGAAACUUUAAAAAUUAACUUAUUUUUAAAAAUUAUUUUUUUAGAUAAUAAAAUAACUAAGGCAAUAUAACGGUGAUCAUUUGAUAUGAUAUAUUUUAAACCAAAUUUGAGUUGUAUUCGAAUCGUGUAAACUUUAAAUUUGAGGUAUAUAGGCCUUCAAUAAAAGAAAAUUAAUUAUAUUUUUAAGGUAUAUAGGCCUUCAAUAUUUUUUUUGUCGAGAGUAAGUUAUACAAAAUUUUAAGGUAUAUAGGCUUUAAAAAUUAAUUAAAUUUUAAGGUAUAUAGGCCGUCAUUAUUUUUAAGGUAUAUAGGCCUUCAAUUUUGAAUCAUGUAGGUAUAUAGGGUUUCAAUAUUUUUUUUCAAGAGUAAGUUAUACAAAUUGUCAAUCUGGUUUGUACAAUCUGUAGGUUUUGUCUCUAAGGGGGUGUUUGAGAUUGUGUUUGAAAAGUGCUUAUUUGCUUAUUGGCUUUUUGAAAAGCUAAUAAGUCAAAAAAAGUGUUUGGCAAACUCAAAAGUACUUUUCAAAAUUGUUUUUCCAUAAGCUUCAAUAAGUACUUUUUAAUAAGCAUAUAAAACGUGGCUUUUUGAAACUAUUUAUGGUUUUUCAACCAAAAUAACUUCAAAAAUCACUAAAAGUUUAUCCAAACACUUUUUAAAAAACUCAUUUACCACUAAGCAAAUAAGCACUUUUAUCUAAAAGCAUUUUUCUAGUUCAAAAGCACUUCCAAACACCCCCUAAAUUGUUCUACUUGUCUCAUUUUUAUGGUAAUUAUUAUAUUUUUAAGAUGUAGAAGUCUAAGGCUAUGUUAGUGUUGGCUGAAAAACUAGUUGAUAGUUGUUACAUAAAAAUGUAUUUGAUAAUUGAAAAUUCAGCUGAGAAAAAACAAUGGUUGGGAAAAAUAGUUGAUAAAUUAGUUGAAAUAUAUCAAAUAAUAUAAAAAGUCAUUUAAAAAAUAUUUUAUUUUAUAAUUAAUUAAGGGUAUGUUUAAAAAGAAUUAAAACAAAACUUCUAAAAAACUAGUUUAAAUACAUUUUUAAAAAGGUAGCUUAUAAGCUAUUGUCUUGUGAAACAUUAUAACUAAAAAAUAUCGAAAAAUAAGUUAGCAUGUCAAACACAACCUAAAUAUUAAACAAUUUUAUACAAUUACUAUUUUGACUUUCAAUUAUAUUUAAGCCUCAUAUUCAAAUUUUUAUUCCUUAAUGUUUCAAAUAUCUUAGUAUGGUAUUCAAAUUUUGUCUAGUUGCUAAGAGAGACUAAUGCAUUGUCUUUUGUAAUAUCAUUGCAUUUAGUGGAAUGUAAUAACUCAUAAAUAAACAUUCUAUUUGGCGGGAUAUGAUAUCUUGAAGCUAUAAAUUAAAUUGUAUUAUGAUACGUGAGCAUAUCAACAUGACAAAAUUGUUUCUAGAAUGUUAAUUUUUCUAAUUUUUAAUAUAGUUGGUUUAAAAAGAUAUUGUUCAAUUGAAUGGUUACAAGUUUUUAUUUUAAUAUGUGAUCCACAUCAAUUGAUUGUUGAAUGAUACUAGUUAAAUGCAAUAUUAUUUUUGUAAAGUAAUCACAAAUUUUAUAUUUUUGACCAUUCAUAAUAAUUAUAUGUACUAUUCAUCGUAUUAAUUGUAUAAUAUAAUGAUUUGAUGUUCAGUAAUGGUUUUCUUUUACUAUUACCAUAUAUGUAUAUAGGGGUAUUUUGUCAUUUUUUCGGUUUUUAGUUUAGUUUGUUUGGUUUUAUCCGUGUUUUUAAAUCAUAAAAUUAAUCAUAACCAAAAUAAAAAAGGUCCGAUUUAUUCUGUUCGGUUUACCAGUUGAACCGAAUACAACUCUUCAUGUAAAAAUAAAUAUUAAACUAAAAAAAGAAAUUACUAAACUUUUUACCAAAUGAAAAAAAAAUACACUAAUACAUAACAUAUAUUGUCUUGUCUUAAAUUGUAAAUUCCUUUAAACCAUCAACAAGUGUUGAUUGCAGCAUUUUUUUCUACAAUUGUUGAGCACCCAUGAGAUAUUACCAUUUUAACCUCUUCUAAAUUUCUAACUUCGCUAACAACUAAGAAACAUGGUUAAACAUGUCUCCAUUUCUUCAACUUCAAUGUCACUAGAAGAGCUAAAAUUAUAUAUAUAUAUAUAUAUAUAUAUACACACACACACUAGGUGUGAAACCCAUAUAUUACACGGGUUGAUCAAAAAAGUUAAAUAUAAGGUGUAGACAUUAAAUAUUUUCUAAAGUAAAAUUUUGAAAUAAAUAUAAAUAAAAUGAUGAAUAAAUAAUUCAAUCUAUACUAAUAAAAAAUACUUUCAUGUUUAAAAAAUCAUGCUGAAUAUGAAUGUGUAAAAAUUAAGUAUUUUUUAAAGUAAACUUUUGAAAUAAAUACAAUAAAUAGAAUAAACCACAAGGAUCAUUUAUGUAAUUUGUCUUAAUUAAUCUAUACUGAUAACACUAAUUAAUAUAAAUUCACAAAUGGAAUUCAUUAAAUAGAAAUAAGAACUCAUAAAUGGAAGGUUUACUAUAUACAUUAAUUCACAUUAAUUAGUAUGAGUUGACAUUUAAUAGGUGGGAGUUCAAUAAAAAUGAAAAAAAAUACAAAAAUGACAAGUGGAAAAAAAAAUAAUUUAAAAUUCUAAGAAAAUGACAUGUGACAAAUUCAAUAAGAAGUUGACAUUUAACAAAAUGAUUUUUAUUUAUUAGGGUACUAGGUGUGAGACCCAUGUAUUACAUGAGUUUAUUUAAAAAAAUUAAAUAUGAAAUUUUAACAAUUUGAAAAGUUCGAAUUUAUAAGAAGAAUGAGAAAAAUUUUAAAUUAUUAAAGUUAAGGAAGCUUUAGUGUAUUGAAUACAUUACAUAUAUAAACUCUUUCUAAUGAAUACCUUACAUAUAUAUUAUCUUACAUAUUAAAUGUGAAAUUUUAAUUUAUAAAUGAAAAAUACAAUAAAAUGACAAGUGGAAAAUAGAAAAUUUAAAAAAUCUAGAAAAUGUCAUGUGUCCAAAUAAAUGAGAAGAUGACAUGUGGCAAAAAAAACCUUUAUUUAUUAUAGUAUAUAUAUUUUUUAGUUUUUGUUCCUUCUAAUAUGAUUACAUAUNGUUUAUACACACACACACACACACACACACACACACAUAUAUAUAUAUAUAUAUAUAUAUAUAUAUAUAUAUAUAUAUAUAUACUAUCUUAUAAAGGAAAUCUAACUAUUUCUAAAAAUAGAUUGAUUAUAAUAUUAAUAUUUUUUUAAGACGUUCUAAUUAUUAAGCUAAUAGUAUAACUAGGCUUCAAUAAAAUAAUAUUAAAAUUUUGAAAUCGGCCCUUUCAUAUAAAGUCAAUGUUUGAAUACUAAAAUGUAGGGAAAUUUGCCUCCCUUAUCUCAGAUUUUGACCCAUUCUUCAAAAAUUUGCAUUGGCCUUCCCUCAUAUCUCGGCUAUAACAUUGAUGAUCAACUUUGUCCUGCACUACAAAUACUCUUUAGAAACCCUAGAAGCAUAAGCACUAGACGGUGCUACUUCCAUCAACACCCAAGGACAGAAGACUUCCAUCAACACCCAAGGACAGAAGAUGUAAACGACGACCACCACGCUUAACCACCAAUGCCUCUCUCUCUCUCUCUCUCUCUCUCUACGUACAUAUAUCGCCCACCAUCAUUCAUUCUUAGUCUUUUAUUUUGAUCGAUGCCAGGUUAGAUUUUUCUCAUGCUUCUGGAACUAAUCAGAUAUUUUGCAAGAUUUGAAGACUGAGGCGAUGAAGUACAUGAAUCUCGAUGCCUUUAACAAUUGUAUACGAAUUAUUUCUUGAAGAUCGAUGAUUGAAGCAUUUCCUAAAAAGUAUUGGUGACCUCCUUUCGCCUAUGUCUCAGCAUCGAGUAUUCAAGUUGAAAUUUUCAAGAUUCAAGGCUCAAAUUUCACAUGGCAUAUCAAAGGGGCCCAAAUUUGCUUAUGGUUUAUGUAUGAUAGUGCAACUACCAAGAACAUGCCCAUCUCCAGCUAGGAAGGUAACCUUCUAACAUGUGUUAGCUUGGGGUUUUGAUUAAAUUAAUUUUUGUUUGUGGAUUGAUUGUUAGUUUCAAAUUUAGUGACUUUAUUUGGUAUAAAACUUCCAUAAUAAUAAGGCCUUAAAGGUAGGGAUAAAUGCAAGAACUAACAAUAUAUUCAUUUUUUUCUCUCUUCAGUAGUUCAAAUUUUUCAUGACUAUGAAAAGGAACAUGAUAGUCAUCUGGUGAAUAUGACAUUUAUAGGCCAAUUUUGGAUAGGUUAUAGGUUUCAUAAAGAAUGAAAGUGAUCAGAAACAUACCAUAUGCAGCAGAAGACAUACACUAAGGAGAAGAAUAUUAACAUUGCUAUGGGUGUUUGAAUCAAUACCGGAAUGAAAAGGAUUAACAAUAGGUUUCAGAAUGUGCCCUUUGGUAGAUGCAAGGUGAAAAGGUUAUAUUUGGGGGUAAUACAAUCAUUUUACAUGCAUUUAAAGUUAUUUUAAUGAUGUUUCUGAGAAAAGCCAAAAAUGUCCGAGAAUGUUGAAAUCGGGACCACAUUUGUAAAAAGAUUUUCAUGGACUUGAUCAAAAAAAUACACUUAAACAAAGGGACCAAAACUGUAAUUUCAUCUUUUAUUUAUUUUUAUUAUAUUAUUUUAUUUCUUAUUAAAUUUUCACUUCCAGCAUGACUACAAUUUGCUAAUCCUAAUGACAAGCAACACAGGUGCUCAUGGAUGAAAUGGUAGGAAUACUGAAUACAUGAUCCUUUUUGAUUAGUUAGAGUGAACUUAUUUUGUUUGUUCAAUCAUGAUCCACCAUUGUUAACAUAAAAUAUUUAAAAUUCAUUUUUUUCUUCUAAUUAUUUAAACAUAUUAAUGAGUAUGUAUGUUUUUAUAAAAGACAAGUUACAAGGUUAGGCAUGUAAAAGUUGUUUUUUUUUUUUUUUUUUGUAGAAUUUGUACAAAAUAUCAAUAUUUUUUUGUAAAUCGUGAGACUAUCCAAGACAACGUUUAUGUUGAUAGUUUAGCAAUAAACAUAGUUGUAAAUAUAUUUUUUCUAAUUGAUUGUUUUUGCAUCAAUUUUGUUUUCUGCUACACAUUCUUUGAAAUAUGAUAUCUCCUCAAAAAGAAAAUAAAUGUCGAAAGGAAACUAUUUGCUAAGUUUUAAAGAUUUAUUUUCAUAUAGAAAUGAUAUGAUAUUAUUGUGUGUUUGUGGGUUUUUUAAUGUAUUUGUUUUUGAUGAAUGUGUUGUGUGUCAGUUUGCUCCUAUUUCCAAUUUGUAAAUGUCGAAAGGAAACCCUUUGUUUGUUUGUUUGUUUUUGUUUAAUUAUUUAUUAUUAUUAUAGCAUCGAAAUUUUUUGUUUCGUUUUGUUAUUUGAGUAUCCUUAGGAAAUGUACAACGACUUCACCCAUACCAAGUCAAUUUGCUUGGAAUUGUAACCAGUUAUAUCAGAUUCGAAUAUUUUAGAAUCCGUUCUAGGUACCUCUUUAAACACGUGAUAGAAUUUCGUAAAAGGUAGUUGUUUGUUUACUUUUGUUGUAUCAUUAAUGUUAGAAUUUAUCCACCAUAAUAUUUGGUUAUACAUUGGAGCUCUAUGUUAUUUGAUUAUUUAUAAAUGUUAGGUGCUUUUUUAUUGAUAAGAUAAGGGGAAAGGUUGAUCCAUCCUAUGAUUAUCACAUUUGGAUAUAUAAAUUAACUAGGUUAAAACCCGUGGAACCCACGGGUGCUGUUUUUGAAUUGAAUUUAAAAAUUAAUUAUUUAAUAAAAUAUUAUAUCAAUGAUUCUGAUAACUUAUAAAUUGUAAUAUUGAAUAUUUAAAUAAUUUUUUUUUAUUGGUAAUUAUUUAAUUACUAACUAAAUGGGAAGUAUUUAAUUAGGAAUGAAGAUUUUUGAAAACUAUUUUUUUUUAUUCAUCAUUCUAAUUGGACAUAUGCAGAUGAUACAAUACCAAUGCGUGUAAUGAAAUUAACAUAAAAUACAACAAUACGUAAUUAUAAAAAAAUACAGUAAUAUGAUGGAUUAAGUGUGAUUUCCUAAAAUUGAAUAAAACGACGUUACAAAAAAGUUGGCUACAAAUUUCGAAAAACUUCCUUAUAAACAACAUUGGAAGUUUUAUUUCUGAGUUUGCCAUCUUUAUCUAAAAUUAAUAAUUUUAAUCCCUCUCUACUCUGAACUCUAGAUAAGGCAACAUACAAUUGUCCAUGUGAAAAAACUGGAUCUUUCAGAAACAGACCAACCUUUGACAACGAUUGUCCUUGACUUUUGUUAAUAGUCAUUGCAAAACAUACAGCCAAAGGAAACUGUCUUCUUGUGAAUUUGAAGGGAAUCUUUUUUUCUGAUGGAGUUAAAGACAUUCUUGGAAUAAAAGUCCGAUUUCCAAUAUUAGUUCCAGUUAUUAUACGUGCCUCAAUAACACGUUUGCCCAAUGAUAACACCUGUAGUCUUGUGCCAUUACAUAAGCCGUUUUUCUGAUCAAUAUUUCUCAGUAACAUUACUGGAACACCAAUUUUUAAAACUAAUUUAUGAUUUGGUAAACCGGAUACUUUGAGUCCAUUUAAUACAUCAGGAGAGUAUAGAUUUGCAUCAAAUUGAUCAUGGAGAAAUUCGGAUUCACAUAUGCAGUCUGAACUUAAAUAUUCAACUUGAUCUCCUGGAAACUUCUUAAGUAAACGGUCGUUUAUUUCCUGGACAACUUCAUUUUUUGGAGCAAGUAUCGCUCUUUCUUGGAAAUAAUUUAUAUCGCUAUAGUACUCUAAAAUUGUUAUUGGGUGUAAUGAUUAUUGUUUUCGAAUGGUAUGUGUUCGAUUGGUUAUUGGGUUUGUAUACAGGGAUCGAUUUUAAACGGAGGUUAAAGAUUGUGGGAACGAAUAACUGUUAAAUUCGAUGUUUUCUGGAACGAAGCCUUGGUUAUUAAAUGAAUCAUACGAAGGAUCUGUUAUUUGAUUUUGGAAUUGGGGCGAAUAAUCGAACGAUUUGGAGUUGCGAAUUUGAUUUUGAAAAGCCAAUCAGUUGGGUUCGCAUAUGAAAACAGAUAAGUUUUGAUUUUGGAUUCGCAAUUGGGUUAAUUGGGUUAUUGAUUGAGGGACGAUUCGUGAAGAAAAAUGCGAAGUCAAGAAGGACUGUGAAAUGUGAUUUGUUCAAUAUUGGAGUCAAAUGCAGUUCACGUGUAAAAGCAAAAAUGUUCGCAUUUGGUAAUACAAAUCAAAAUUGGGUUUCGCAUAUGAGGUUGUAUGGAUUGGGGUUAAAGAUGCGAAGGUGAUUAUGGUUAAUAUUAAUUUCGCAUUUGGUGAGACAAACAACUCAAAUGCGAAUGAACUAAAAAAAAAANUUAUACUAAUUAACAACCUGGAUGAGCUGUAACAUUUGAACAAUAAUAACCCCAUAGGCAAUAUCGGCAAAAAAUUUAAAAUAUUAAGAAAAAAUUCAAAAAAAUAUUUACAAGCAAAUAAACUUCAAAAUAUAUUUUAUUUGAGUUAUAACCAAAAUCAACUAACUUGUCCACUUUAAAACAAUAAAAGUAUCCAAAAAUAUUCAAAACCAAUAAUAUUUGACAUCCUAAAUACCCCAAAAUAAAAAUCAUACCAAGCAAUUAAAAUAUCUUUAUAACCAAAACAAAUGAUCAAAAUAUAUUAAAUGUGUCUUAUAACCGAUAGAAACUCACUUUUCAAUUUUUGGAAUCAAGAGUGGAGUUUCCUCUGCGGUUGACUUUCUUUUAGCCUUAGUUGAACUUAAAUCAUAUCCAGAAUCAACAUCAUAAAUUUCUUGGAGGUUGCGCUUCAAAUCACCUGAUAUUUUGCUUGGACUUGUUGCGGUUGACUUAUCAACUGUUGAGGGUGUAAAACUUUCGUCUGUUUGUGAGAUCACAUCCUAAUUUAAAAAAAAAAUGUUUGAUUCCUAAAAAAAAUAACUAAUAUAAUUAAAAGUUUAUAAAAUAAAAUGAAAAACCUUUUGAAUAGGAUGUACAACAUCAUCGGAUUCCAAAGCAACUUGAUUUAAGGAGACAGAUUGAAUACUCUAAAAAAUAAAAUGGAAAUAUGUUAAUCGUUAUGUACUUUAACAUUAAAGAAUUGUAAAUUUUCAACAAUAAAAAAUUACAUACCAUAAGUUCUAUUUUACUUUCCAAUUCACAAACAAUGGACAUAUCUUCUGUAACUCUGAGAACUGUGUAGAUGUUAUUAUAGUUGUUGACAUUGUAUUCUGUAAUAUCUACAACAAAACCAAACUUGCGGUUUUUCAACACGUUAAGUUGCAUUGGAAAUAGGGCAUCACUGUCUCCGGCCUGUAAGAUAUAUUUUAAUAAAUUAAUAAAAUAAAGUAAAUGUUUUCUGAUUUUAAAGGUAUGAAUAAUAUACCGCAUCAUGUAUCUUUUUCAACUCGUAGGCACUUAUAUUUAACAACCUCCUUGCUUCCCUAUCAAAAAGAGUCAAUCCAAUGGUUCCAGUACAAUCUUGUACGUUGAUUGGAAUUAUAUACCUAAAACAAAAAAAAAUUAUGUCAUUGUUAGUGUUGUUUUAAGAUUGACAAAAUUAAUAGAAAUAAAUAUGUGUAUACUUUAUAACUGACUGAAAUUCAGAUUUUUUGCAUUGUGCAUUUGUACACUCGACAACCAUAGUUUCUGAAAUUCCCUCAGGGUUGGUAUACGAAUGAUUGGUUUUGGGAACAGGGAUUAUUUUUUUUCCACAUUUUUUGCAUGCUUCAUAAUACCAUGGUAGAUUCUGCCUUAUAUUAACAAUGGAAGCAACUAAUAAAAACUUCAUUUCCUGUAUCAUAUCAAAUGUAAAAAUUAUUAAAAUAAAUUAUGCAAAAAUAAAAUGUAAAACAUAUAAAAUAAUGCAAUAUACCUUAAUUGGUUCGGUGAUCUCACAGAUUGUUUUUAAUGGAAAAUUGCCCUUAAAGUCAUCUGUAUAUGAAGAAGAGUAGCUUUGAAGUGUAGUUAUGCUUUUUUCAGUUAUACCGAAAUUGUCAUGACAUUUCAACCUGUGAUGUUUAAUUUAGAUUCAUGAAUAUUAGGUUUUGUGUUUUUUUAAGUUAAAAUACAUUAUAAAAAAAUAAAAAACAAUUGGAAACUAACUUAUAAUAAGAUGGAACACAAAUAUAUAAUAAACAUGAAAACGACAAUUAUACCGAAAAUGCCCCUGCAACAUACUAACACUAACAGAUAACAUAACAAUGAGUAAAACAGAAAAAUUAAAAAUCAACACAUGACAAUAACAACUGACUUAAUGUACUCAUAAAUUUUAAAAUUCUAAAUUUUUUUGAGAUUGUAUUUAGAUAAAAACAAACAAAUUUUAAAAUUUCAUACCAUAAAAAAAAGUUACUGUGCACAUCUGAAAAAGACUAUUUUUAAUUUUUUUUAAAGAAAAUGAACUUGUAAUGUUCAUUAGUUUUUCGUCUUUUAAACUGAAAAGGUAGAAGAAGUAGACGAUUAAGAAGAAUUACAAAAAAGAAGAAGAAGAAUAGAAAUCAUACAAUGAGAACGUGAUAGAUACAGAUAAAUUAAGAACAUGGAGGAAAUAGAAAUAUUGGUAAUUCUGAUUUUGAAUACACUAACCUGAUAUUUAAUUCUUGAAGCGUUGCAGAAUAACAAAGAAUGAAGAAGAAUACGUUUGCUGUGGUUUCUAUGGAGCAAAAUUGUUAUGGAGCAGAAUGGUAAAAACAAAAUAACCGUAUAAAUGAUAUCUACGUUUGCUGAAAAAUACUGCAGAUUUUUAGGGAUUUAAUGAUUGCAAUAUAUUGAAUUUGCAAUCAAAAUAAACAAACUUUCAAAUUUAAUCGUGAUUUUCGAAUCUGAUUAUUCAUUAACAUAUUUUUUCAAAUUAUUUCCAUAAUCUUUAUUCAUUUAAAAUUAAUGCAUGAAUAUUUUGAAUGCAGUUGACAGCUAAAAUUUCCUGAUAUAUUGCAUCAAUUUGAACUUUUAUUCAAUUUUCGGAUUCAAUGGCAUUUACGUAAAUAUAGAAGAAAAAAUGAGCGGGAAAACUCUAUUUUGGGGGGCUGGGAGAAUGCCACGUGGCCGAGUUCUACUUAUUUAUUAGAAUUAGGAUUGAUCAUCGUGUAUUUUAUUGAGAUUUCUCAAAAGUAUUAGAUAAUUCAUGAUCUAACCAAAAUAUAUUACUUUUUAAAAUUGAAUUUAAAUAUCAAGUAGCAUUGGCAUUGUAAUUGUUAACGAUUCUAUAAAGCUAAAAAUUAGAACGGUCCCAAUCGUUUCCAAACUUUAGGUACCGGAACAGUAACCAAAGUUAUCGGUUUUAGUGUCGGAACUGGGUUACAGAGUUGUUCUGGUUCAUCCCUAAACAUACUUAUAUUUUGAAACCAAAAAUAUUUUUGUCUAAACAAGAAACAACAUAUGUAUUGCGAUGGUUACAACUAUUCGUUGUUACAAAACCCACCGAUAACAAUAUAAAUGUUUCCGAAUGACAAACACAUAAUGUUGAUGUUGGACAAUUUACAUAUUUGCCCCUGGUGUACCUGCAUAGUAACUGGUUGAUGAGUUUUAACUGUGGCCUGGUGUUAGAAAUAAAAGUGGCGGCUUGUUGGUUAGGUCUUGUGCAUUGGUGCUUUGCUGCAUUGUGAAAGUUGAUUUAUUCACCAUUAUGCCCUUGGUCUAUUUCUUUUUUUCAAAUAGAAGAUGGUGUAAUUCCCCUGAAUGAAUGGUGGUUUUAACCUGACUUUUAAAACAAAUCAAAUCCAAGUUGUUAUUUUUAGUGAUAUUUUGAGAAUGCAUUGUUAUAAGCUGGUGGUUGUAGAUUUCACGUCUGCUGCAUAUAUGCUGUCACAUGGUGGAUUCCUUUUCUUUUUUUCUUCUUUUCAAGUGUUUUUUGUUAUAGGAUCUGUUGUGAUUUUCUAAUUUAUUUAUCUCUUUGUAAUUUUGUCUAGCUUCUUCUACAAAUGCCUCAUGAAGACAAAUUUUGGAGGUCAAUAGUUUUACUAGCGUAUAUAGACAAUAGUUUAACUAAAAAGAAUAGAGCAAUUAGCAUGGUGAGUCGCUUAUAAUUAGUUUUGGAGUUUUGAUUUUUGAUCUAAUAUCAAAACUAUUACAUUCUUUUUGGUCCAAUCAACACGAUUCGUGUUUUUUUAUUUGCCUUCACAUCAAGUUCUACUUUCACAUGUUCUAUAUAUAACAAAUUCACACACUUACAAAUUUUAAUAACUUGCAUAUGUUUCUAUCUGCAACUUAAAAUUUGUUCAUUUUCAUAUUAUUAAAGGUUUUUAUUUACAGUUUUAUAUGUCUUCUACCCUUAGUCAAUUGCAGAAGAAUCAAGAGUACUUGUCCUGUACAUUUAUGAAAGUUGUAUCAUUACUUGACUAAAUUAACAAUUAUUUUAGGCAUUUAUAUAGAAAAAAUGAAGUUACGUACGUGAAAUGUAUAUGUUAAGUUAGUAAAAAUGAUUGCAGAUUAAUGAAAACAACAAUCUUAAUUUAAUAUAAGCCAAAAUAAAAACAUAUUAAAAUUCCAUAAAUUCAACACCAUAAAACAUCAAACUUAUUUGAAACAAUCCAAGAAAAGACAAAACCAUAAAAAUUCCAGCAUUAUAAAACAAAUCUACUAAAAUAACUUAGGUGUUAACAACCGGAUCUUCAUCACCCUGAGAUGGUUGGUUUUCAGAUGCAACAGUAUGCAAACCAAGCCUGAAAAAAAUAAAAUUGAAGGCAUUAAUAAGUUUAAAUCAAACAAUUAAAUAACUACACAUACAGUGAGAAACAGAAAAAAAAAAAAAAAAAAAAAAAAAAAAAAAAAAAAAACAGUGUUUUUUGGUCCUUUGUAAAACAAAGGACAAAUGAUCUUACCCGACAUCAACAUGAAAUUCAUCAUCUUCUUCAUCACGGAGCCUAUAACAUCUGUUUGGGCUUUGAACUUUGACACGGGGUCUCUUCGGUGGUGGUGACAAUGUUUUUGGUUUUGUUGAAUCUGAUGUGUCAAAAAUUUUCACAGCUUCAUCAUCCAACUUUUCAUCUUCAGAACUUAGGAUAUCAACAACCUCAUCCCAAUUCCAGUUUAGCAGUGCCCAUUCUCUUUUCUAAUCUUUUUCCUGCUUCUCAUGCAUACAAAGUUGAAGCUUGGUUUGAUCACAUUCCUGCUUAUUGUUACUCAAGUUCGACAUGUUGGCUGUUUUUCUAUGUCAAAAUUAGUAUUAGUUGCAACAAAACAAAUAAAUCAGUGUUAGUGGUUUACCUCCGCAUUACCUUCUAUUAAAAGUUGGAUGCCCGAUAAUACUGUUACGGAAUAUUGACCCAACAAAUGGGUUGUGUAAUGGCACCCGAUUGAUAUGCAGAAGCUUUCAGCAAAAUGUUAUUGAUGUAGAAAUAGUUGUUGGUCAACAUGCUGGAAAAAUGAUAUUUUUGCCUAAGAUUCCUUUAUGUCCAUCUGAUGAUGACAUGUUCCCAUUCAAGCUAAAGAGGAAAUAGUUUCCUAUUCGAUUGUGGUUUGCAAUGACAAUCAAUAAAGCUCAGGGACAAACAAUUCCAAAUGCAGGUAUUUAUCUUCCAGACCCGGUAUUCUCGCAUGGACAACUUUAUGUUGCAUUGUCCAGAGGGGUUUCACGUUGCAAUACAAAAGUAUUAAUGAAGCCUAACGAAAUUUCAAAAGGUGAUGGGGUUUAUACAGCAAAUGUGGUGUACAAAGAAGUAUUGCACGAUUAAUAUUUUGUGCUAUUUUGACUGGUUUCUUUUUAUUGGUUAUUUGAUGUAUCAUGUAACAAAUAACACCAUAGUUUGAUUAUAUUGUCUUCAACAUGUAAUUUCUUUUGGAACAUAAUAUUUUUGUAAAGGAAACAUAUCACCGAAAGAACCUACGUGCCCCGCUGCUUUGCGCGGGUACACUACUAGUGUGUGUGUGUGUGUGUAUAUAUAUAUAUAUAUAUAUCCAUGUUUAAUAAAAACCUCUCUUAUGUGCCACUUUUCAUUUUUUUAGACUUCAUUUUGCCACGUGUCAUUACCCAAAAUUUGUUUUACCGCUCAUCUUCCUUCCUUUGUUAGCGGAUGUUAUCCCAAAAAAUUAGGGAUCUUAAUUUAAAACUUAGUUGUUAUCCCAAUAAAUCACGAAUCCUAAUUCCUCUCUUAAUUUUUAUAUUUGUAUUAUGCAUUCCACUAAUGCAUCUCACCGUUUGCUAUUCCCUAUGUGAUGCGUCGAUUAAGCUCUGGAAUACACAGCUCUCUCCUACAUCCUUCUCUCUCGCCAACAGUCAGUUCUAGAAGAAAGCAAUUAUACUUCCGCCUCCGCCAUGUAUUCUCCCUGCAACAACUGCAACAACAGAUAUACCACUUUUCCAUCGUCGGUGAUUAGGUUGUUCCUCCGGUAACCGGCCUUCCCACCAAGAAAACGCACGAGCCAAGAUUCGUCGUUUUGGGUUCCGGUUGCACUUACCUGCAUACUUGGACAUCCGAGGCAAGAUUCCCAAAGUCAAGCCUUAUGCUUUCACGAAACUGCCAAGAAUCAUGCUUAUAUGCGCUCCGACUGUGAACCCUAAUCCCCUCCGGUAAGCAUCGGGUUUGAAUUUUUCAAAAUUUUACUUAGUUACACAACAUCGAUGAGGGGAAAAUGCUUAUGCCAUACAUGUUUUGUGGAUAUGUUGUUUGUUUUUUAAUGAAUGGGUUUCAAUUUCACUUUGUGUUUUGAUUUCAAUUUUUUUUUUUUUUGCUUCUAUUAAUGGUGAGCUUUAUAAUUUCCAGUUACUAUUCAGGUUCAGCAAUCUUGAGCAUGAUUUUUUUUUUGCUAAUGUGAUUUCUUAUAAGUAAUGUAACAUGCAGAUACUUCCAAAGUUGGUAUGCAUAAUGAUAUGUUAUACAUGAGCUUUGUUUUUUAUUCAAAUUACUUUUUUGAUUAAUUAACAAAGAUUUUGUGUUAAUUGGACAGGUGGUUUUAAUUGGUUUGGUGAAAAGCUUUUUUUUUCUUCUAAAAGUGAAGAAAUCAAACCUUUUUUACUGUUGUAUAUAAACAAACUUCAUUUUUUUACAUCCCAUGGUUUUACCUCCACGGUUUCCUCUUUUCAAUCUUAAAAUCAAAAUAAUAUUGCCCAAAGGUUGAUAAUCAUCAUUUUAUUCAACAUGCUCUGGUCAGAUGGGAUUUUUUUUUUCUACUAAAUUUUUUGGCAUCCAAGUUUCAUCUUCUGUUUUGUUAUUAUCAUUUGAGAUAAAUGGAUAAAGUUGGUUUUGUUUAAAGGCGCGAUGGAGUGUACCAUUAAGAAAGUAAGAGAAAGCAACAUAAACUAGACGACUUGAAAACAGGGUGGAGCUGCAAAAGGAGCUUUUUUUCAUCUUAUCUAAGGAAUUACAGGUACUAGGCUUGUAUUUUUAGUCUUUAGUUACGGUUGAACCGUGUAUUUGUCCUAAAAAUUGGUUAAACCUUUUGGACAUGGUAAAUCUUCUUUUAUGAUAGCAAUUGGGAUACUAACACAAACAGGAGACAGAAGACAGGAAAUGGAACUAUCCUUACGGUCAUUUUCUAAAUCAUUGAUUAAUCACUCUUUUAGACACAUUUUUGGUUGAGAGUUUGGUAAUGGGGUAAUUAGUUAUUCCUAAAUAGUUACUAAAGUGAAAAUAAGUUUUUCUUUUUUACUUAAUCUUUUUUUCAUAUUUAUACUGGAUAUGUCUGUUUGUUUGGUUUCUAUUAUUCAAAAAUGGAAUUUAAAUUUAUUUUUCUAAAAUUGUGCUUGAUUUGUACAAUAUAACAUCCUACUAUCACCUCUUUUGCCACGUGUCAUGUUGAGAAAGCAUCCUGGGUUGUUUUUUCCCCAGUAAAAUGCAUAAACUAGCAAUGUAUCUUCUAUUGUCCUCUUAUUAUGGCAAUGUACUUUCAUUUCCUUAUUACAACAAUAUACUUUGAAGAUUAUUUGGUUAGAGCUUAGUACUUUAUCACAUAUUGCUUUAUUUAAUGGUAUUAAGACCUACCAUAGUAUUGUGUGUGGAUUGGAAUACAAAAAGACUUGAAAAUUUAUGUGUUCUCUUUUAAUGUUAUCUGUCUUGCACUUUUUACUACAUAAAGUUCUAAAUUUCCCAUUCAUGAAACUAAUUUUUCAAAAACUCAAAGGUAGAUGCUAUAUUAGAAACAAAAGUAAAUAUUUAGAAAAUAGUAAAUUUCAAAACUUGAUAUAAUCUUAACUCCAUCAAAAGUUAAUUUUAACAAAAUAGCAAUGUACUUUUAUUUUUAUGUCAAAUAUUGAAUCAUUCUUUGAUUUUUUUUUGUCUCUUUAAACAUUACUUUUUUACAGGGAUCAUUUAAGACCUCUGUUUGAUUAAUUAUUUUCCUACAAGGAUCGUUUAAUUUAUGUACACUGCUAUUUAGUUAAAUAUUAUUUUUUAUGCAUCUCUCUUACAAAAUUUUAAGUUCUAUCCCAUAUUAAUUAAGCCUUUAUUUGUUUCUUUUUCAUAUAUUAUUUUAAUGUCUAAUAAUGAUUUUAGAGACUUAAAAUUUAACUAUAAAAUUUUAACACGACCAUAUAAGUGGUAUUUGUGAAUACCUAUUAUAUAAACCUCUUAUAUGUUAAUAUUGUGGAGGCCAAGCUUCAAAAUUAUAAAUAAAAAUCUUGUGAAUGAAAAAGCACAUGCAUAAUGUCCCAUGUAUCUUAAAACAAUUUCUUAUUUAUUAACAUAGUAAUAAUUAUGUUUUUCAAGUACCAAAGUUAAUUUAAUUUUUGAACCGUGGAUCCACGGGUUAUAUAUAGAUAUAUAUAUCCCGUGAGAUUGAAGGAAAAGUAAACUUCUAAGUUUCUGACUUUGGCCACAAACUUUUAUAAUAUUUAUAUUUUUGCCUAAGAUGUUAUUAGUUUUUGGGUUUUGCCACAUUUUUAUAGCUUUUUCCAAAACUGCCCCUUUUGUUUUUUUCUUUUAUACUUGGCCACCAAUUUUCCAACUCCGUUAACUUUGGUCACAUUUCUUUGUGUUUUAUCCAUUUUGCCAAUUCAAAACUCAAUUAAAGUCAAAACCUUAUUCACCUAUGCGGAGCAUGGGCUUCUCCUAGUUAAUAUAAAGAUUAUUAGGCUUAAUGACUUGUACCUUGAGCAUGAAUUUUUUUUUUUUAACUAAAUUAGCCACCCCAUCCCCUGAAUGGCUGAAUCAACUAGCUUCCCAUCUUCUUCACCCACAAUGCUUUUGGUCGACUUUUUUUUUUCUUUUUUUGGCUAGCACCUUUUUUCGGCAGCAAGAUCUUCUGAUGCACUUGAUUUCGGAUUAGAAACUAUCCAUGACUUCAUCUACAUUGUUUUCUAGCCCAAUUUCUCUAUUUCUUUCCUUUUAUUCUUGAAUUCCGUUGCAGGUUUAUAUCUCUAGUCGGUUACAUUUGAAUGAAAACAAAGAAUUAUCUUCAAAAGGUCGGUCAUCCUUCCAAGUGUUCGAUGAAAUAUCUGAAAGAAAUGAACAUUGAUUCAAGAAUUUGAUUGCUGAGAAUAAAUAUUGUUAUAUGGUUCAUGUGUUUGAUCUUAAUUUCUAAUUCUUCAUUUUUCUUCUGACCUCACUGUUUCAUUUUUCUUAUUGUUUAUCGAAAUUGAUUCAAGAUCAUUUGUUUUAAUUCUGCCCAACUACACUGGAAAAUGUAAACUUUUCAUGAUUCAAGAUCAUUUGUUUUAAUUCUGCCCAACUACAUAUCAGUCUUCUGUUGUGCUCCCAUUUUUCUUAAAUAUAAAUAGAAAAUAUAAACUUUUCAUGAUGCCUUAUUUCACACAACACUGGAAAAUGGCCACCCGUGGUGUUGGUGAUAAUUUAUUGAUAACUGGGACUUAAAAACCCAUGCCAAAUACAAAAAUGAAACAUGGUUUUACAUGACUAUCUAUGUUCGUCUUUUUUGUAAAUUAGCAAUGAACACCACAACCUUCACAUAAACCCAAUCUUUGAAGCUAUCAAGAAACAUAAAAAAAAGCAUAUCUUCCACGACGGUUGAGAAGCAAAGCACCACAUGCUAUCCAAAAUCCAACAAUGAAACCAAUUGCCCCACCAAUAUAGAACCAUACAUCAAGUUCGUCUACACCUUCACCAUCACCCUCACUUUCACCAUUGAUGAGUUGUAUUCCUGAUUCUUCAUUUCCAUGACAUUGUUCGGUAAGGGAAGGUCCACAAAGCCCUAAGUUUCCUUCAUAUCUUGAAGGGCCAAAGGUCUGAAGUUGUGUGCUGGAUGGGAUUCUCCCUGACAAGUUAUUACAUGACACGUCUAGGUAACUCAAUAAGGUCAUUUGAGACAUGCUUGAUGGUAUUUCCCCUGAAAACUUGUUUCUAGAUAAAUCCAAAAUUAAAAGGUUUUUCAUCUGACCCAUUUUCCAUGGAAUCUUUCCAAGUAGAGCGUUCUUUGAUAAGUUGAGUGCAAUAAGUUCAUCAAGAUUGGUAAUCUGAUACGGGAUUUCCCCUGUUAAGUUGUUGCUUGAGAGGUCGAUGCUCCUCAACAACUUCAUAUUACUUCUGAUGAAUUCACGUUCAGUUCCUUGCCACUGGAUCAUCACAUGGUCAACAUUAUAAGAAUAUCUUAUUAAUAUAUCGUCAGGAUCUAAAUUCUGUAGUUGAGAGAAUCCUUGUUGCACCAUGAUCGUAAGAUUACUCAAACAUGAGGGGAUUCUUCCAUGGAAAUGGUUCACCGACAAGUCUAGAAUUUGAAGACUUGCUAAUUGACAUAAUUGUAAAGGGAUGCUUCCAGAGAAGUUGUUUGAUCUUAACAUAAGAACAUACAACCCAGAUAAGCUUUCCCCGAUCCAAACAGGCAAAUUACCAGAAAACUUGUUGGCCCCCAAAUUCAAUGACUUUAAGCUCGUGCAAUUCUUAACAGACAAAGGAAAUUCUUCGGAGAAAUCAUUCUUGUAUAAAUCCAAUGCCUCUAGCUUAAUCAUAGAUCCAAGAGAGGCAGGAAGCCUUCCAGAAAGAUUAUUGUGUUCUAAAUUAAGAACUUGUAGUUCUUUGAAAUGCCACAAACAAUCUGGAAGUUGUCCGCUUAGAAAGUUAUGAGAGAGGUCAAGAAUAACUAAAAAGCCAUGGAAAACUUUGCAUAAGAAGGAGAUUCCUCCAGAGAAUUUGUUUCUGGAAAGAUUUAGUAAUGCCACAGUGGAUGAGACAUUAGUUAUUGGACCAUCAAAGCGGUUGGAGCUUAAAUCUAUCACUGACUUGUUGUCAAAAUUUGAUGACAGAUCUGGUACUUUCCCACUUAUUUUGUUGAAAGAAAGGUUCAAGAAUGUUAACUGGGAAGGCCAUGUGUCCCAAAACUCGAGAGGAAUUGUAUCUGAAAUGCUAGAAUUUGCAAUAUCAAUACUGGUAAGAUUUUUCAAAUUUUGAAUCCAUUUGGGGAAGAGAGGCCCUAGUUUGCAAGAGCUUAGUCGAAUAGAUUCUAUAUGAGAACGGUUUGACAUGUAAUCUGAGGAAGGAAAUCCAUGGAGUGAGUUUUCGGAAAGAUCAAGAUAUUUAAGGUUGGGCAGUUCCCACAGUUUCUUACUUAUAGUUCCUUUUAACUGAUUCUCAGAGAGGGACAGAUGUGUUAGGGAUGUGAACUUUUGGAUGUCAUCAGGCAAUGACCCUGUAAAUUGGCUUCCUGAAGCAGACAACCGUUGUAAUGAAAGUGAUGUGCAUCCAGACAAGUUGUUGAGAAAAUCAGGAAAUUUGACAGCGGCAGAGGUGUUAAAGAAGUACAAAUAUUUCAAACUACAGAGGUUACCAAGAUAUUUGGGUAUCCCAUCUAACAUGUUGCCAGAGAGAUCAAGACGACAAAGCUUAUUGCUGGUCAAUGGGAACAACCAACGAUACAUGGAUGAGGUGAGACUGUUGUUUCCAAGAUAAAGGAAUUCAAUAGAUGAGGAAGAAGAAGAGUUGAGAAAUGAAGAAGAAUAUGGAUACAUGACCUGUGACAGCUCACAUCCUGAUAAACUUAAACGCGAGAGUUUCGGGAGACUCAGAAUAACAUCUACCCAAUGAUUUGUUUUGGCCAGUGAAAUCCCAUCCAUUUCAAGUACCUCCAAAUGAGAUAGAGGAGACAACCACUCCAGGUUCUCAAGUCUACACAUUCCAACAUAUGAAAGGUAAAGGUAUUGCAAGUUGGUGAGGUUUCCGAACUCUGGAGGAAUGGUUCCAUAAAGAGAGUUAAAAGAAAGGUCAAGCUCUAUUAAUUCAGUCAAGGAACCAAUGGACCUGGGAAUGGUUCCAUUAAGAUUAUUGCCGCCAAGGUCAAGGUACCUUAAUCGAGUCAAUGAACCAAUGAAGGUGGGAAUGGUUCCAUGAAAAGAAUUGGAGUAAAGAUUAAGAUGAUUCAAGUAGGUUAAAUUAACCAAUGAAUGGCUAAUCUCACCUACAAGACCACAGGACAUCAGGUCAAGGUAUUUUAAUUCUGUCAAGGAACCGAUGGACCUAGGAAUGGUUCCAUAAAGAGAGUUGUAAGAAAGUCUAAGGUACCUUAAUUGGGUCAAGGAACCAAUGGACCUGGGAAUGGUUCCAUGAAAUGAAUUUUCAGAAAGAUCAAGAUAAUUCAAGUAGGUUAAGUUAACCAAUGCAUGGCUAAUCUCACCUACAAGACCAAAGGACAUCAGAUCAAGCUCUGUGACAUGACCUGUUUGGUUGUUGCACGUCACUCCACUCCAUUGACAGCAGUUGUCUUGUUCAGAUGUCCACAUAGAGAGAUGAUCAGAAGGGUCUUGAAGGAGAGAUUUGAAAUGAAGGAGAGCAUUUUUCUCCUUCUCAAAACACUUAUCAUCUCCUCCUCCCACUGCUGCCAAUUGGUUGGCAGUUGUAGUCUCAAGACAAAACAAGAGAAGUGAGAAUAUUAAAAAAACACAAGGAUGCAUGAUGUAAAAUUGUAAAUGCAAAUCUUAAUUGGUGAUGUUUUUUGUUUGUAUUGAUGAAAAUUUGAAGAUGCCCCAUGCAGCUUUAUAUAGUGCUGCCAACUGUGAAAAUGAAGGAUUCAAGUGGAUGGCCUCAAACUGCACACCUAUCUUGGGGUCAUUUAUUUAGGAAAUAAGAUAAAAUAUUAUCCAUCAUAGUGAAAUUACAAUGCAUAAAAUAUUUCUCUUGAGAAUGGUAGGAACAAAAUUCUUUUUUUUUUUUUACCUUUUUUUUCCUCAAUAUGGAAACAUUUUUUAAGUCUAAAAAAUAAUAAAUUCUCAUUUUUUUAAUAAAAUAAAACACUAAAUAAUGAAAAUUCAACACCAUUCAUCAAUGAAUACAUUGUUAAAAAAAAUUGUUUUUUAUAUCGCUAUGGAUGUUUAAUUGUAAGGCCUAAAAACAUAUAAGUUUUGGUAUAUUUGUUAAAAACAAAUAAUUAACAUUCACCCUCGAAAACAACAUAUUCACCAAUGAAAUAAAGUGCUAAAAAACACUUCCUUAUUAAACUAAGUUGGUAGUUUAGAAUCAGAUUGUUAAUAUUAUUACUCUUUAGGGUAUCAAAGUGUAAUUAUUCUUUUCUUUAUAUUUGGUUGUAAUAUUGUCCAAAUUAAUAAUAAAAAUCACGUUAUCAAUUUCUUAUUUCUGUUAUGGUAUCAGAGAGUACUUUCCUCUAACCCUAAUCCCAGUUGGAGCGGCAACCCUAAAAUUCAGACUGCAAUUACAGUCUCUGUUCCUGCCAAUCAACAGCAAUCAGGUAAUCGUGAGCCCUGAAGUUUUUCGUUCUAUUGUUUCUCAUUGUUCCUUACCUGUUUCGGACAAAUUAUCAAAUAAUUUAUGUUCUUCUUGUCAAUGUGGAAAAUCAUCAAAACUAUCUUUACCUGAUUCUACCUUUCAUAGCACUAAUAUUUUAGAUCUUGUUUAUUGUGAUGUUUGGGGUCCCUCUCCUGAACCAUCCUUUGAUGGUCAUCGUUAUUUUCUUUUGUGUGUUGAUCAUUAUACUCGUUAUAUGUGGAUUUAUCCUUUAACUCAAAAAUCGGAUGUUCACCCCAUUCUCACAAACUUUAUCACCAUGACUGAACGUCAAUUCAACACUAAACUAAAAUGUAUUCAAUCUGACUGGGGGGGUGAAUUUCGCCCUCUCACCAAUCUCUGUCGCAGCCUUGGCAUCAUUCAUCGGCGGUCUUGUCCUCACACCAGUGAGCAAAAUGGCUUUGUUGAACGUCGUCAUCGUCACGUUGUGGAAACUGGACUCUCUCUGUUGGCUCAUUCCAGUCUUCCUCAACGUUUUUGGAACUUUGCUUUUGAAACAGCUGUAUACCUCAUAAAUCGCCUCCCUUCUCGUGUCUCAUCCAACAAAACCCCUUUUGAACAUGUCUUCAAACGUAAACCUGAUUACUUCUUCUUACGAGUUUUUGGCUGUCAAUCUUUUCCUUUUCUUCGUCCGUACAAUCAUCAUAAAAUUGAAUUCCGGUCUACUCCUUGUGUUUUUCUUGGCUACAGCCCUGCUCACCAUGGUUAUCGUUGUCUUGAUCCCUCCACUGAUCGGAUCUACAUUGCUAGGCAUGUUCGCUUCAAUGAACACGUCUUUCCUUAUCAGCCUUCACCAAUACCUCCACUACCUUCUACCUCUCCUUACAUCUCUAAUUUUCCCGAACCACCACCUAGUUUUCCAUCUGACCCAACCCGACCUCCACAGUCUCCACCAUCAUCACCACAAUCUCCACCAUCAUUAUCUCAAUCUCCUUCACCAACUAAUACCAACUUACCACCUCCACCACCAGCUCCUCGGCCUCGGCCAUCCAACCUUCGCCCUAAUCCUAAACAACCAGAUCGAUACAACCCCGCUGCCUACACCACCUCCACCUCCACAUCUCCUCCCCUUGAACCAACCAACUUUACCGUUGCUAACAAGUUUUUAGAAUGGCGUCAAGCAAUGGCCGAAGAGCUAUCUGCGCUCCAUAGGAAUGGCACGUGGACCCUUGUUCCCCCUGUCUCUAAUGCUAAUAUUGUUGCUUGUAAAUGGGUUUACAGGGUAAAAACUGAUGAACAUGGAAAGAUUACCAGGUACAAAGCCCGUCUCGUGGCAAAAGGCUUUAAUCAACAACAUGGUGUGGACUAUCAUGAGACUUUCAGUCCGGUUAUCAAGCCCGCCACCAUUCGUACNAAGCCCGCCAAUUCGUACGGUUCUCUCUCUAGCUGUCAGCAACAAAUGGCCCCUCAGACAGUUAGACAUUCAGACUGCUUUUCUUCAUGGAGAUCUUGAGGAAACCGUAUACAUGCGCCAACCUCCGGGCUUUAUUGAUCAAACCAAACCUGAUCACAUAUGCUUGUUGCAUAAGUCCUUGUAUGGCCUCAAGCAGGCUCCUCGGGCUUGGUUUACAAAGUUGUCUACUCCGCUUCAUCAGCUGGGAUUUUAUGGGUCCAAAACCGAUCCCUCCCUUUUUAUACUAAACUCAUCUGGCUCUCUUGUCUAUCUUCUGGUUUACGUGGAUGACAUCAUCAUCACCGGUAACAACUCCACUGUUGUUGACUCACUCAUUCAGAAACUCAAUUCUCUUUUUGCACUUAAGGAUAUGGGAGAGCUGCACUAUUUUUUGGGAGUUGAAGUUGUUCACAAGGGGUCUGACUUGGUUCUUUCCCAACGGAAAUAUAUUCGUGAGAUCUUACACCGUGCUGGUCUUGCCGAAUGCAGGCUAAUAUCAACUCCUAUGAGCACUUCUCACGUGUUGUUACCCGAUGAUAGCCCCUUACUUGAUGAUCCUUCUCGUUACAGGCAGACAGUUGGAGCUCUUCAGUAUGCUACUCUUUCUCAUCUUGAUAUUGCUUUUGCAGUUAACAAAGUCUGCCAGUUCAUGCACGCUCCUACUGAGAACCAUUGGGCCGGUGUCAAACGCAUCCUUCGUUAUCUUAAGGGCACUAUCGACUUGGGGUUAUGGAUUCGACAUAAUACGGGGUAUCAGCUUCAAGCCUUUUCCCAAUUGGCACUCCAAUCUUCAUGCCUUCUCGGACUCUGACUGGGCAGGUUGCCCAAUCGAUCGUCGAUCCACGGGGGGAUUUGCUAUCUAUUUAGGUUCGAAUCUCAUCUCUUGGUCUGCUCGCAAGCAGAAAACUGUAUCUCGAUCUUCAACAGAGUCCGAGUACAAGGCUAUUGCAGAUACUGUUGCUGAAUUGAUUUGGUUGAAGUCCUUGCUUCGAGAACUUGGUUUGGUUAGCACGGCACCCACACUUUGGUGUGACAAUCUUGGUGCAACAUAUCUCACGGCUAAUCCAGUUUUUCACGCUCGUACUAAACAUGUUGAAGUUGACUAUCAUUUUGUUCGUGAACAAGUAACUCAGGGAAAACUAAAUGUCAAGUUCAUCUCUACAAACGACCAAAUUGCUGAUAUUUUUACAAAGCCCCUGUCAUCUCAGAAGUUUGAGUUUUUGCGUUCCAAGUUGCAGGUUGCUAACCGCCCUGAACUUGCGGGGGAAUAUUAAACUAAGUUGGUAGUUUAGAAUCAGAUUGUUAAUAUUAUUACUCUUUAGGGUAUCAAAGUGUAAUUAUUCUUUUCUUUAUAUUUGGUUGUAAUAUUGUCCAAAUUAAUAAUAAAAAUCACGUUAUCAAUUUCUUAUUUCUGUUAUUCCUAUAUCAAUAUAGAUGUCUACUUUUACGUCAUAAAAAAAGAUUUUGUAAAUUUGUUUUUAUUUUUCAAAAAAACCAAUGCCCUGAUAGGUAAAAAAAAAAAAAAAAAAAAAAGUAACAUUCAUCAAUGAAAACGUCAUGUUCAUCGAUGAACAAACUGCUAAUAAAGACUUUGUAUAUCUAUAUGGAUGUCUUAUUGUAUAACAUGCAAAUAUAUAUAAUUUUGGUAUUUUGGUUUUCAUUUUUCGAAAGAAAAAAAAUACAAGUUUAAAAGAUAAAAAAUAACAGGAUAGGCAUAUUCAUCAACUAAUGGUUUAUUAUUUCUCCUUUUUACAACUAUAUUCUUUUCAAAAAAAAAUAUACUAAAAUUUAUUAUUUUUAUGCUCUAAAAAGAUGACAAUAUAAAAAAAAAUGUUUUUGCCAAUUUUAACAAGAAUUAUCUUUCCAUUUUGUUGACACACCUUGUGAGUUGUAAUUCGUGUAGAGCAUAAAAUCCAUAUUUUUCUUUGAAAUAGAACCAAACUAUAAGACAAAUUAGAAAAGAAGAUUUGAAAUAAACUGCUCCAAAUCACACGUUCAAAGACUUAUACAUCGUGUGGGGCAUAAAAUCCUUAUUUUCCUUCAAAGUAGAACCAUUUUAUAAGACAGGUUAGGAAAAAAAAAAAAAAAAAAAAAAAAAAAAAAAAAAAAAGUGGAAAUAAAUUGCCCCAAAUCAUACGUUCAAAGACUUAUAGAUCAUGUGGAGCAUUAAAGAUGAAGAAUUGAAAUGAAUAGCUUCAUAUUAAACGUUCAAAUGUGUAUAUCUUGUCUGGAGCAUAAAGAACUUAAUUAAUCCCAAUGGGACCAUAACCAAAAUAUAAGACAAAUUAGACAUGAAUAAUUGAAAUAAUUUGCCCCAAAUUAGACGUUCCAAGACAUUCAGGUCUUGGAAAUUUGUAUUUUUCCUAUACAUUAGUACAUAUCCUUUUUGGAUAAAAUAAGACUAAUUAUUUUUGUAUUUUGGACUGAAUGAACCAUUCGAAUAAGAGAAAAUGACCAUUUUACCCUUCUAUCUAAAAGUGAUGUAGAAUCAAAUUGUUUAUUUGAAACUACUGUAAUUUGAAACUAAAAAUCACUGUGAUGUGAGAAAAACUACAAUAACUGUCCUGGUCUUGUAUAAUAAGGAAAUACCAUGUGAAUUUUUUCCUACAGAUAGAGCAAAACCUUUUUCAAAGGAUCGUUUCUCCAAACAGCAAAUCAGAAUGCAAAGGAGUUGUUAUACUCACAAAUAUUGAAUUAAACCCCAAUUUAACAAGGAUUCAUGCCUCUAAUAUUCCCCUUCAGUUAUUAAACAGCUUCUAUUUAUGUCUAAUUGAGACAAUUCUUCCAAUCCUAUGCAGAUUUAAUCUCCUAAACAGAUCUAUGAUACCAUUUAGAAAAGUCCCAACAUAAACAUAAACCCAGAAACAACUUUAAUUUAGGGAAUCAAUUAAAGUUUUUCUCAAUGGAAACAAAAAGGCACCGUUCAACGUCAAAACUAAACAAAUUUGAAGAAAAGAAAAAGAAACAUGGAAACAUCAUUUAACAGAAAAGAAAAGGAGAAGAAAAAUCGAGAUUGAUGGAACAAAAAAGAGAAUAGAGAUGAUCGAGAAUGAGUAGUUGAGAUGGUCCAACAACUUAUCCAAACACUUAAAUUAGCUUAUUGUGGGAAUAAGCAAUAAGCACCUCUUUUUUUCCUAUUCAAACACCCCCUAAAAGAAGCACGAGGAUGAAGUAGUAAAAACUUGGGUAAAUUAUACGAAUGAUACCUCAGGUGUGGGUAAUCUAUGCUGAUCUAUAUCUUCUUUUUCUAACUCGGACGUCCCUACUGUUUGAUUUUACUACAUCUUUGGUCCCUACUACUCUUAAAAAGAUUGUUUUGCUCUAAUAUUUUGUUAUAUUUUAAAUCAUUUUUAAUAAGAAAGUGAGCAUCUCUAUUCAUAGUGUAUAUAUGUGUGGCACACUUCAUGCACAUUGUUCACACAACUCGUGGCUCCAUCCAAAGCUUGCCACAUGUCACACUUCUAGUGGUCCACGUCACUCCAAUCUCGACGAAUCUGGGUGUCAGACGUGCACAUCGAGCAUGACACGCACUUCGCGUGCAUCACUAAGUUUUCUAUAAAAAUUCAUAUCUUCCUUUUAUGAAUCGUGUUUCUUACCCUCUUUAUAUAUUAUGUAGCUUUCCUUGGGUACUACAACUUUCCUUAAGGUUGUGUUGUAAAAUUUUAACAUUUAUUUUUAACCAAUAUUUUAUAUUUUUCCAAAAAUCGCAUCUUUUUAUAGGGACUCCAUUUUUGAGCUUUUUCAUUUCAGAGUAUUUAUCUCUCGGAGUACUAUGAUCUUCCUUUUAGUGGGUUUAGUCAAAACUUAACCGAUUUAUUUAUAUUAUUUUGACGUUAAUUAUGUUAACAACGCAACGGAUUUUUACCAUUUACAAAAUCAUAACUCCUCUAAUCGGAGUCAGAUUUCUACAAAGUUUAUAGCAUUGGGAUCACGUUAUUGUGUACUUUCUAAAUACACUAACCAUUAUUUCUAGCGAUAUAACUUUUUGGUCAAUCACUUUUUACCCUGUUAAUAUUUUUCUUACUUAAAAAUCAUGGUAUAUCUUACCAUAUUUUCCCAAAAUAUGAAAACUGUAUUGCUACCAUUUGUCUCUAGUGACGGUUGUAGGUGGAAAUGUUUCUGAUUGUCACACCUUGUAUGGGCUGAAACAAGCCCCACGAGCCUAGUUUCACCGAUUGUCUAGAGCUGUCCACAAUCAUGGCUUAAAGGAUCUCACACUGAUCCCUCUCUUUUUAUAUUGUCAACUAAGGGUACACGGAUUUUUAUGUUGGUUUACAUUGACAAUAUCAUUAUUAAUUGUAGGAAACAAUCUAGGUGUUAUUGAUUAAGUAGUUUGCAGUCUCAGUCAAACUUUUGCUCUUCAAGACAUGGGAGCUCUAUCCUACUUUCUUGGUGUUUCGGUUGCAUAUUGUGGCACUAAUCUUUUUCAAUCUCAACAACAAUAUGUGUUGGAUAUUUUACAACAUACAUGCCUUGCGGACACUAAGCCAGUCAGCACUUCACUUCCAACCGAUGCACUUGUUCCCUCGGCGAUACUCCUCUCUAUGAGAAUCCUGUUUGCAAUCGUUAAGUUGUUGGUGUUCUCCAAUAUGUUACAUUAUAUAGACCCGACAUCAUUUAUACAGAUUGUCAGUUCGUGCGUUCUCCAACAACCAAACACUGGUCUACUGUUAAACAGAUUCUAAGGUAUCUUUGGGGCACCAACAAUUUUAGACUUCGGCUCACACCGUCGCGUGACACCACUAUUCAUGCAUAUGGAGAUGCAAAAGUUGUGGUUACCGCCUACUCUAAAGUUAAUUAGGUUAUGUUGGGUGUCCGGAUGGUCGUCGAUCCACCAGGAGACAUGAAAUCUAUCUCUCAUGUAUUAUGUUAAUGAUCAAUAAUACAAUACGUUUACAUCAAGUUUACUCCUAACUUUAGUAAACUAGGAAUGGUCUUUAUGGUUUUGAAUCUGCAUCUAUGGGUUUCUAACUCUACUUUUUUCCAAUUAGAGAGUUCUUAUAGUUUGAUUUCAUUUUGAGUGAUCAAGUAUUAACAAAACCUAUAUAAAUGUGAACAAAUUAUAUAUAUAUUUAUGGUUAUAGCGCCAGGGUCCCAUGUGGACAUGAGGCUGAUCCCAUUCACUAUAGAGACACUCACUCACUGAGUAUAAAAGUAAGAAAAUGUAUGUUUUAAUAAUCUUUUUCAAAGUACUGAAAAUGUAUGUAUGAGAGAUAGAUUGCAUGUUGAACCAAACCUGUCAAUGUCGUUUUUGUAAUUAACUCUCCAAUGAAGAACCCACUUCCCUGGAAGGUUGUAUCCUACAGUUAGUUGCCAAUUUUCUUCAUCCUUACCACUGUCUAAUUUGAUUGAUAUAAAUGAUAAAUACAAUUAACAAAGUAAAUAACCAAAAUGACCUUUUGGUAAAGCGAAACUUACAGAAUGUAUCCUAUCUAACCAUGGGGUAAACCCGUUGGAACAAUUAAAGAUGAUGUAUGAAAUGAAGUAAGUUAAGCAUUUUAAAAAACAGUUUGUGUGCAAAAAAAAUUGUGCUUAAAGGAAAUUUCAUGUAAAAUCACUUCUUUGCCUACUGUGAUAACAAUCACAUGAGGAAGAAAGUAAUAAAAAUCAAAACCUAAAACUAUAGUUGCUAGUUUAUCAGGGUGGGAAUCAAAUAGCUUACCGGAGUUGAGGAUACGCCAGAUGCAUGACUACUUCAAUGGUGGACGAUAAAGGGAGAGCAUCGGGCGCAAAUGGUGAACGGAGGAGUGAGAGAUGCAUAUGAGGAACUGAUUCGUGUGUCACCAAAUUUCUUGUAUGUUUAAAAACGAUAUCCAACCCAAAACAUCAACAAUCCCAAUGUAUCGCCAAAUGUCAUACGAAUGCCACGUAUCCAUGAAGCCGAAGAUGGAAAAUCGACAAAACUAAAAACCAUGUUUUGUUCAUCGGCUGAAGGCCUGAAGCACAAGACUAAACUGCAAAGUUGUAACUAUUCAUAAGCCGUAUCCACAAUUAAUAUGUUAUAUAAUAUCCUACAAAUUGUAAGCACAAGACUAAACUGCAAAUUUGGUAUCUGUGGUUAUCAAAAAAAUGUGGAUAGAAUCCAAAUUUUUUUUAACUUGUACCAUUGGUCCAAAAUCGAAUUCUUUUUGUGGUUUUGGUCCCAAGAAAAGUUGAAAUGACUUUUUUGCCCUUUUACUUUUAUUUUUGAAUUUCUUUACUAUUUUUUUAACAUUUAAAAAAAAGAAAAAGAAAAAAUAAAGUGGCCAAUAUUCUACCCACCCGUAACCCUGCUCUCUUUUUUACAUUUUUCAUCUCUUUGACUCCCCUCCCCCUCUUUUUUACAUUUUUCAUCUCUUUGACUCCCCUCCCCCGUCUCCUUCCUACCACCACUAUUGUUGUCUUCAUCCCUUCGCUUUCUCUACGUUAAGCACAUUAACCUACAAAACUUACAUAUGUUCUUCACUUUCUUUACAACCACUAAUCAAAUAUCAAAAUACAAAAAACACUUCACAUGUAGAUACACCUACAUGUAACUUUAAAAAAAAAAAAAAAAAAAAAAAAAAAAAAAAAAAACCACCCCCUGCCUUGUACCUCCCUCUCUCUCUCUCUCUCUCUCUCUCUCUCUUAGAUCUGCAAAAUCCCUUUUACAACACAAUUAAUAUGAUCGAUGACUACACCAAAAUAUCAUGGAACGGUGGGAGGUUAAUCUAAACCAUCCAUGCUAGAAACCAAUCUUUAACAUUUUGCGUAGCUAUUCAACCUCUCCAGAAAAUGGUAGAAAUCGAUCUCUAAGAUAUGAAGCACAAAAAAAACUAUGAGAUGUAUCAGAACAAUAGGGAAGAAGUAAACAAACUGAUUCCCACCCCCAGCCUGUUCCUGUCUCUGCCUCCUCCAUUCCCUCCUCUACUCUCCCGUUGUUGGUUACCGAAACACCAACAACCAACUAAAGAGAAUUGGUUCCUCAAGAAUCCUCAAAUUGAAGAUGCCACACAUAACCUAAUCAGGUAAAAAUGAGAUUUCUUCAGCGGAGAUAAUAUUUGGAGCAACCCCACUCCUGAUGAACAUAAUCAAGAAACCCAAAAUAGAAAAAUUAGGGUUUUUGUCAACAACUUCUCAACCAUUGGAACUGAUCAAGAUGCAGGUCCUAAAGUAGAAACAAUCUUCGUUUUCGGCCUCUACAUACCAACUAGUUGCGAGCUCUAGCCAAUUGCCAUUUGAUCGAUAUUCUUUUCGAUCGAAUCCCUCUGUUAUAUCCUCCUUGGAAAACACCACCAGCUCUUCCCUAAUUUUCAUCAUGUACAUCCCUUGGGGACAACGAAAUGGGUCGGUGCUGGAAUCUCAGCUUUCUUGUUGGUUCUGAUUUUAGUGUGUUUUGGUUUUUGAUUAGGUGAAGAAGUAGUGAAGUGAAGGAGUUCGAUGGGUAUCAUGUUCCAAAUUGAGGAUACAACACAGAAAAAACGGGAUAGAUAGGGAAGAAAGAGAGAGAGAGAGAGAGAGAGAGAGAGAGAGAGGGGAGGGAGAAGGAGAGAUAAAGAUGAGGGUACAUAUGGUGUGGGUGGGCCAUUUUCUUUUUUCUUUUUCAUUUUUUUAAAUAUAAAAAAAGAGUAAAAAAUUCAAAAAUAAAAUUAAAAGGGCAAAAAUGUCAUUUCAACUUUUCUAGGGACUAAAACCACAAAAAGAAUUCAAUUUCGGACUAAUGGAGCGAGUUGAAAAGAUAUUGGACUCUAUCCAUAUUUUUUUGAUAACCACAGUGACCAAAUUUGCAAUUUAGUCUAAGCACAACUGGACCACUUUUACAAAUUUAAUAUAAUAUAUAUCAUUUUUAUAAUUUCGUAUAAACUAUUAGGAAAGUGGUUACUUAUUUAAAAGGUUGCAGAAAUCGCUCAAUGUAGGCUAAUUGGUGGACUCGGUCAAGGGUUAAUCGGUUAGGCGAUGAUUAAUCGGGGACCAUUAAUUAUUAAAAAAUUAUUAAAAAUUAAUAAAUAUGACAUUAAUGCUAAGAAUAUAAGUCAACAAGUUAACAAAUAAUAAAUAUGUAGUACAUAAUUUAUUUUUAUUUUCAAUUUGGCAUGCUAGUUAGAAGCUUGAUUAUCACGAAUGUCACAAACACCAUAAGAACCACAUAAUCCAUAUUGAUCACAAUUAUCUAUUUGUGCACUCAAAUCAGGUGUUUCGGCUUCCACGGAUAUCAAAGCAGUGUGUACUUUCCCAACCCAAUUGAAUGAACGCGACAUAGUUCUUGAUAGCAAACUAAAAGCAUAGACCCUACAAAUAAUUGAAAACUAUGAUCAAGAAAACAUUAAAAAUCGAUAUAGAUAGAAAUGUAAUUAACCAAGAUCAAGCAAACAUUAAAAAUCUGAGAUCAAGCAGACAUUAUGUACCUUGAUAUUUCACUUAAGUAAAAAUCUGAUCUCCUGUAAGUUCGAGACCAAUAAUAGAUAACAAGCUACGAUUGUGAAAUAUUUCUAGAGUAGUCGUCAUCGUUGCUUGAGCACAAUCGUUAACAGAUAACAAGCUACAAUUGUGAAAUAUUUCCAGAGUAGUAGUCGUCGUCGCUUGAGCACAAUCGUUGAGCAAGUGACAAUAAAUGAGCACCGUCUGGCUAUGGAGAAGAAGUGGAAGGUGAGAAAGACGAGGACGAAGCUUGAGGUUGAAGACUAGGACAACAGCAAACAAUGUUUCUAUUUCUUUUAUUCUUGGGAGUUCUUUAUUUGACAACUUCAAUGGUGCAUCACGAAAGAAGAAAGAAGACAUGUCAAUUUAUUGUAAGAGAAGGAUGGUGCGAUUUUUUUAUUGAGUAUCCUACAUCACCGGUGGGAUAAAAAAAACAGAGGGAAAACAUUUCUAUAAAAGCGUAGCUCCCUUCUUUGAAAACCAAACCUAAUUAAGUUUUAGGCUAGCCGACUCCUUUGAGUUGGUGGGUCCAUUAAAUUUAAAUGGUCCGAUUUUGUCCAAUUUGGACCAAAUUGGUCUGGUUUUGACCGAUAUUGACCAAGGCCAAUUAGUUAACCCUCUAACACUUAUUCAUAGGCGGUUGGAAGUCGUCUAGCACCUAGGUGCCGAUUAAUCGGCGCCUAGGCCAAUUUUUACAACCAUGCUUAUUUACUAUAAUAUAGAUCAUUUAUAUAAUUAUAUUUUAAACUAUUACAAAAGUGGUUACUUUUAUAAUUUUACUAAUGUAUAAGGACUAUUUCCGUAAUUUUACAUUUUCUGUUAUUAUAUAUGCACCAUUUCUAAAAUUUUACAAUUAUACAAGAGCUAUUUUCGUAAUUUUACAUAUUAAAAAGAUAGGCAUCAUUCCUUAAAUAUUUGCAUUUUGUCUACAUACGGACAAGUUCUAGAUACUUACUAUUACAUAAAGACCAUUUCUAUAAAAAAAAUUGACAAAAUUCUACAAAUGGUCCUUAUGGUUUUGAUUUUAUCCCCAAAAAGUCAUUAUAAAACCUUUUCUUUUGCAUGAAUGGUCUCUAUCGAUAAAACUUUGCACUCCAAUCGUCCGGUGAUGGAUGUCUGUUAAAUGGAGUCGUUAAGUUGAAGAGAUUUUAGAUAAGGACCAUUUCUGAUAUUUUGUGAAAUUUCGCCUAAGAAUCAUUUUUGAAAUUUAAAACAAGUUUAUUAAAUCAUGUAUUAAUUACCAUAAAUCAAAUAAAAAAACAAACUAAAAGAUACAAUGUUACAAAUGCUUCUUACUUGUCUUCAACCUCCAAAGCUUCCUCUCACUAAAGAUUAUAAUUGUUGGUGCACGCAAAACUCUAAUUAAACUCUAAUUUGUAUAUUAACCUUAUGUUUAUAUUACAAAGUUGAUCCUUUUUUUUUGGACAAAUGUUUGUUAUAUUCCAAUAUUUUGCUACUUUUACGAAAGGAAUUAUCAUUCAUUGUCUAUUUUUUUUACUAUAUAGGUGGAUCUUGAAGAAGAUGCGACACAUAACAUCAAUACAAAGAGUUACAUCCUCAUCAACUUAUAAUGAAGUUAUGUCUUCAAAAUUUGAUGGAAAUCAAGAAAAGAUAGUGGAAUUAAAGCUUCAAUUAAUGAUUUUCCAUAUUCCAGAGGUGGGUCGAUCCCAAGAGGUGGGUCGAUCCCAAAAACGUGUUACUGAUUACAAAUGUUUCAUUUAAUUGAAACAUUAGGUUACAACCCGUGGAAACCACGGGUAAAAAAUUUAUAAAACAUUUAUAAUUAUUAUUAAGAAAUUUUUGUUUUAAGUAUUUUCUCCAUUAAUCUUUGGUGAAGCUACUUAAAAUAACAUUAGGAAGACUUUAUGUUUAGACGAUAUAAAGAAAUUAAUUUAAUUUACAUAAUUUGUGUAUAUAACUGGUUAUCCGUUGAAAUACCAAUCAUAUAUUCUGUCAGGUACAAAUAUUGGUGAUUCAAAUGAUAUGUCCAAGAAGAUUCAACUAAUAACUAAGAACCUCGAUAAUGUGUUUUAUAUGAGAUUAAAUUAUAUUCUCUUGUUAACUUGAACUCCAAAAUAGGGUAUAAAGCUUGAAGGUAAAAUGGGAAAAUCUCACAAUUAAUGUUUAUGAAUUAUUAGUUUUUUAUUUUAUUUGAUGAUACGUAUGAACUCUUUCUAAAGUAAAAAUAUACUUAUUAAUCAUAUUUGCAAUGUAUAAGGGUGUUGAUGUUGAUGUUUGUUUGUUUUUUUUUUUUUUUUUUUUUUUUUUUUUUUUAUUUUUUUUUUUUUUUUUUUUUUUUUUUUUUUUUUUUUUUUUUUUUUUUUUUUUUUUUUUUUUUUUUUGCCGAAAUCACAUAUAAGGCAUAUGAUUUGAUACAAAUGAUUAGGGAAAACUAAAGAGUUCCAGAAAGGUAAAAAAAAUUGCACUUCUAUUACUCAUUAAUGGUUUCAUGUUAAUCAUAAGUAUCGUAGUGUUAGUAAGUAAACAAAUGGAACGUUGCUAUUUUUUGAAUCGUAGCAAAAGUUAUAAAUAAAAUAAAUAUAAAAAUGUAAUAGGAGAUUUAGAUAUUAAGAUAUUGCAUUUUCUGAUAAUAACCAUGAUUAAAUGAUACAUUAUAGUUAAGUUAUAUAGCACAGUUUCCAAAAAUUGCAAUAAGACUAUGUUAUAAGGAUCAUAUGUGCCACAAGUUAAACAUUUGGACCGAUUACAUACUUUAAUUAUUCAUAAAAUACCAUUCAUACAAUUUACUGAGUAUAUUGACAUAAGAAUUAUUUUUUAGCGGAAGGAUAAUUCAAACUUUGACUUGUUGAUACGAAAUUAAUGUAUUAUAACAAUGUAAAAGGAUAGUUUUAAACAAUAAACAACCGUAUUGUCAAACAGAAAAACUGUAAAACAAAAUCUAAUAAAUAGAGAUUAUCUAAACAAUGAACGUAGAUGGUGGCACUCUAGUAUCAAAUCGUAAUCAUCCUUCAUAUUGUCCAAGUCUUUAAUUAAAGUGAUGUUUCUCUCUGUCAUUGUCACUGUAACAAAAUAUAAAAGAAGAAAAUAUUAUGUUAGCAGAAUGUAUAAUGUGAGUAGAUUAGAAUAAAGGUCAUUUUCAAAUCGAUUAUUCUACCUAAAACUUCAAAUUUGUGAUUAUUAGUGUAUAUAAAAAAAAUUUCAUUCCACAGUUAAGAAAUACACUAAUAAUCACAAAUUUGAAGUUUCAGUUAGAAUAAUCGAUUUGGAAUAUUGAGACACAUCAUAAGUAUCAUAAGUAUUCAGAACAUAAGUAAAAGGGAUUCACGAAAGAAAUGGAAUUUGCAGGAAAAAAAAUUAAAAAGAAAAAGAUUUCAAGGCUAAUUAAAUGGUCUUUUGUUUUUUUGAUUUCGUUUAAUAAAAUGGGUUAUCUUCAUAUUGGAUUUUGGAAUAGCAAAACACAUAUAUCAGGAAGAAGUAUGGAUAUGAAGUAUAAAGAACUUGGAACAAAUUUGGAAGGAGAGACAACUGAUAUCACAACACCCAAAACAGUAAGUAUCAAAAAUGUUGAAAGGGUGAAUUCAAGAUAAGUAGAAUGCUAUGAUGAUUCUUAAAUAUACUAAAAUACUAAUGCUAACCUAUGAUAUUCGAAUGAUGUUGACACUACAGCAGCAUGAAGCUAUUUUUCUGUGAGGAAGCAGUUAAAGGAACUACAGGAUUCCAGGAUUACAAGUUAGAAGUUAGAAAAUAGUAAAUAUAUAUGAAUACGGACCAUUAUGGUAUGUAUUAAUUCCGAUAUAAUUUCCUAUUUUUUGGGAUUAGACUUUAUUUCAGAAUUCAAAUUCAAAUUAAUGAUUGCAUACACAUUCCUUAUAUAGAGGAUUGCAUACCAAAUAUAUUCAUUGUGCAUUAAAUAUUUUCGUGGAGUAAAUAGGAAACAAAUAUGGAGUUAUAUUCAGAAAAAUAAGACGAAGGGCAUUACGGUCAAUUUACAAUAAUCGAAAGAUGGAUAUAGAGAGAUGCCAUGUGUACAAAAGGUUUCAUUUAUUAGAUAGGUAGAUUUACAAUUGAUGGACAAACUAAGCCUUGAGUAAUUUACCAUUCCCAAACGGUGUCUGAAGUUGUAAAAUUCCUUUAAACCAUCAACAAUGUUGGUUGGUUGCAACAUUCUAUUCUACAAUUGUUGAGCACCCUUGUGAUAUUACCUUUUUAACCUUUUUUCUAAAGUUCUAACUUCCUAAAAAGCAUCAUCAAACAACUUCAUCAACAUCAUUAGAAGAGCUAACACUAAUAUAAGGAUUAUUAGGCUUAAUGACUUGUACCCCGUCCUCUGAAUCAACUAGCUUCCCAUCUUCUUCAUCCACAACUUCAUCAACAUCGUUUUCUAGCCCAAUUUCUCUAUUUCAUUCCUUUUAUUCUUGAACUCCAUUGCAGGUUUGCAUCGCUAGUCAGUGUCAUCUGAAUGAAAAGAAAGAAUUAUCUUCAAAAGGUCGGUCCGCCUUCCAAGUGUUUGAUGAAAUGUCUGAAAGAAGUGAAUACUGAUUGCUAAGAAUAAAUUUGUUUCAUGUGUUUGAUCUUGAUUUCUAAUUCUUCAUUUUUCUUCUGACCUUUUUAUCUACAGACAGGGCUCUCAUAUUGCUUACCUGUUGUUGUAUGUGGAUGAUAUAAUUCUCACCAGCUCCUCUCCUCAACUUCUGACUCAUAUCAUUAAGCUGCUUGGAUCCGAGUUUUCUAUGUCCGAUCUUGGAGAUCUUCAUUAUUUUUUAGGUAUCGCUGCCACCCAGACUGCUGAUGGCCUGUUUUUGUCUCAACAGAAAUAUGAUAAUGAGAUUCUUGCCCGUGCUUCUAUGUUGAAUUGCAAACCUGCCUCUACUCCAGCCGAUCUUAGCACCAAAUUUGAUGGGUCGGGACCUCCUAUUGCAGACCCUACGCUAUAUCGCAGCCUUGCUGGUGCUCUUCAGUAUUUAACUUUUACUAGACCAGACAUCACGUAUGCCGUUCAACAGAUAUGUCUCUACAUGCAUGAUCCUCGUGAGCCACACUUUGCUGCUCUUAAACGCAUUCUACGUUACGUUCGUGGUACUUCUGAUCAAGGACUUCAAAUUUUUUGUUCUCCAUCUCGUGACAUUAUAGCAUAUUCUGAUGCUGAUUGGGCUGGCUGUCUUGUUACCAGGUGCUCCACCUCAGGUUAUUGUGUCUUCUUGGGGCAUAAUCUUUUAUCCUGGUCCUCUAAACGCCAGUCUACUAUAUCCCGCUCCAGCGCUGAGGCCGAAUAUCGUGGGGUUGCUAAUGCCGUUGCUGAAACAUGUUGGAUUCGGAAUUUACUUCUUGAGCUAUACUACUCUCCUCAUCGAGCUACACUUGUAUACUGUGAUAAUGUGAGUGCUGUUUACAUGUCUUCUAAUCCUGUUCAACAUCAACGGACUAAACAUAUUGAGAUUGAUCUGCACUUUGUUCGAGAUAAGGUUGCCACCGGUCAUGUUCGGGUCCUUCAUAUUCCUUCCAAAUCUCAAUAUGCGGAUAUCUUCACUAAAAGCCUCCCAUCCACUUUGUUUCUUGAUUUUCGGUCCAGUUUGAACGUUCGCCAACCAUCUCCCGUUCCAACUGCGGGGGGUUGUUAAUGGAUCUAUUUGUGUAUUUGUAUUUAUUCUAGUAUAGCCCUUUAUUAUUUAUUUAGGCCUUGUAUAGAUGGCCCAUAGGCAUUAUGUAUAAAACCGUUUCUAAUGUAUGAAAGGAGGGGAGAUGAGAAAUUAUUAAAAUAACAAAUAUAUGAUCUUGUUUUAAGUAAUUGAUCACAAAAUGUUAUGUCCAACUACAUAUCAGUCUUCUGUUGUGCUCCUAUUAAUGAUACCAUUUGAGAACAUCUUUUUCAAAAUAGUUCAUCGCAACCUCCUAACUUUCAUCACUGGACAAUCGAUUUAGGAAAAAAAAAAUUUGGUUUUGGUUCUUGAAUGGCCCUCUGUUUUUUGAUCUUUAUCCAUCUUCAAAUGUUAAUCUAUUUAUUUUAUUUGAUUCUUCUUGAAAUAGCACAACUGACAUAUUUUCCUCUUCCAGGUACCCCAUAUUUUGUUCUUGCUGAUAAUUUUUUAAGAGAUGAAGGUUUUGUUUCACUCUUUUAGGAUUUGUUCCUUUUUUCAUCUUCUUCCUAAACAUCAGCUGACUAAAGAAACUUGGAUGCACUGCUCUUAGUUAUAUCAAAAUAUGUAUUAUUUUUUGUUUAAGAGGCUUAUAAGGUAAAGCUGACUAAAAAAAUUACUGAACAAGUGACAUUAAUAGCAAAAGAUGAAGAUGAAAGUACAUACAUGGGGGUAGUGUUCUGUGGCCUGUGUGUAUGUGUGUGUUUUAAUUAGGGAAAAAACUAAAUUAGUUUUAAUAAGAAAACCAUGCUUCAAAAAGAAAACAUGAAACCAGGAUGCUAAAAUAAAGUCAACGGAAGUACAUGCUAUUUCCAGCAUAUUCUCUUUGACUUUGAACUAUGUUUUAAAUUCAAAAUGCAUGGUACCUUUGAACAAAACAAAAAAAAAAGGUUUAGUUGAGGGGUGACAAUUAACUUUUGUCCAACCAGAGUUUAACCAACUCAUCUUCAAAGGGCAAUAUAACAUACUCACUGCAAAUUCAUUUUUGGACUUCAGACAUACACUUAAAUAGGUUUUUUCUUUAUAUGCUAAUGAUUUUGUAUUCAGUAAAAUACAAUACAUUUGUUCCAUUAGUUUAUUUAUUUUAACAUCAUAUUAUCAUUUUUUUUUCUGAUUACAACAUUGUAUUUUGAAAUAUUUUCUCAUUUCGGUAGAUUUUUCAAAAUACAUUGCCUUAAGAAAUGUUGUGUUACUGUAACUCUAUGCUAUGCUUCUGGAUCGAGUUUUCCAAGUAGAAACAUGAUUAUUAAAGUCCAUGUGCAGAAUUUUUUCAAAAGCAAAUGGUUCACAUGUUAAAAAAAAAUUAGAAAAAUGGUCCCUAACUAAUAGAAAAUUUGGAAAUUAUGAGUUUCACAACCCCAAUUGGAAAUUACCCCGCACAAAGUGAGGAACGGGCAAUUUCUAGUAAUGAGAUUUAACAUUGAUUUACUGAUGAACAAAUAAGGCCUUUUGAAACAUAUAUGGUGUAUAUUAUUAUAUAGUCUUGAAGAAAAGCAACGUAUAUGGAUGGAUAAUCCUUUGAGAAAUAUAUUUCCUACAAAAUUUCUUCAUUAACCUAAGUUUAUUUGUCAAAUAUGGAUAAAAAAGUAAUUGACUGUAUGUGUACAACUACAAAACUUCAUUACUGUCACAAGUUUAACCGGGACCGGAGAAGUCAUUGGAAACUGGAAUAACCUUUAAUUACCGUUCAUAAUGGUACCUUUUGAAUAUGUUAGGUAAGUUUAAUAGUCAAACGUAUACAAAAAAGAUGACCAAAUGUGAACAAAUGUGAUAGAUGGUUACUGUCAUAAGUCGUUUUCCCUUUUUAUUAUUAUGCUUCUUCUUCUUUUUUUUUUUUUUUUAACUUUCUUAAAUAUAAAUGGACUAAUAUUAUAAAAGUCCUAGAUGGUUAGGUAAGUCGUUUUCCCUUUUUAUUAUUAUGCUUCUUUUUUUUUUAACUUUCUUAAAUAUAAAUGGACUAAUAUUAUAAAAGUCCUAAAUUUUUAAGGCGUAUUUGGAAAAAGCCCUAUAUUUUUUUAUCAUUGCUAUGGCUAUAAUUUUCUCGCAGAAUUAUUACUUUAGUCCACUUAACGAGUUUCAUGGUUAACUUGGUUAAUUUUUUUUUUUCUUUUUUUUUUUUUGAAAAAUCAGUUCUAAAAAGUUCAAAUUUGGUUCCUAAGGUUUGCAAACCAUUACACCAUAUUGUUUUUUAAGUUUAUUUUUUGUUUUUUCAUACUUUAUUUAUUUUCGGUUUUCUUAAAAAUAUAUAUACAUUUUUUAUUUUCUUUAUAUAUAUAUACUUUAUUUAUUUUCAUUUUUAGUGUGUAUAUAGAGUAUAUUAGAUUUUUUUUGUUAGUUUUUUUCAUAUUUCGUUUCGUAUUAUAUUUUAACUUUUUCAUCUUUUUAUUUAUUUUUAUUUUUUUUUCUUGUUUGAUUUCCAAUUAUUUGUUUUUAUUUUUUUGUAUUUUUAAUUUUUUAUUGAACUUUUUCAAAAAAUGUUAAAUGUAUUAGUAUAUUAGAGUAUAUUACAAUUUUGAUAAUUUAUAGUUUUUGUAAUUUUUUUUAUUUUUAUUGAAGUAAAUAAAACAUUUAUGUUUAUAUUUGUAAUUUCGAUCCAACAUAUUUUAUUUUUGUUUUUUUUUUCUUUAGUAUUAUCAUAUUAAUGUUACGAAAAAAUGAAAAUUAAAAAAAAAAAAUUACCUUGUUUAUAGAGAAUUAGUGUUUUAGUAUGUUAUAUAACUUGCAAAUUAAAUCAUAUUUCUAUAUGUGAUAUCAAUAGUUUAAAUUCAAGAUAACAUUUUUCAAUUUGAUAAUAGACUAAAAGAAAUAACAAAAAAAUAAUAAUAAUAGUCAGUCUCUAUAAAAAAAAAAUUGUUAUACUAAUUUAUAUUGAUUCAAGUUCAUUUACUUAAAUCAAAAUAAAUAAAAACAUUAGAAAAACCAUAAAUAACUAAAAUAGAAAACAAAAGGUAAAAAGGUAAAAAAUCAAAUUGUUGAAAAAUAAAGUUUAAAAAUGAAAAUAAUUAAAGUAUAUAAAAAAGAAAAUAAAAAAUGCAUAUAUAUUUAUUAAAAAAAACAAAAAUAUAUAAAGUAUACAAAAAACGAAAAAUAAAAUUAAAAAACCAUGUGUAAUUUUUUGCAAACCUUUGGGACCAAAUUUGAACUUUUUAGGACCGAUUUUGCAAAAAAAUUAACCAAGUUAACCAUGAAACUCGUUAAAUGUGUUAGAGUGAUAAUUCUGCAAGAAAUUUGUGGUCAUAGCAAUAAAAAAAAAAAAAAAAAAAAAAAAAAAAAAAAAAAAAAAGACAAAAUUGCAAAAAUGGUCCCUGUGGUAUGCAUUUUUUACGGGUUUUGGUCCAAACCACGUGUAUUUUGGUUUCAUGGUCCUUUCUCCUUCCUGAUCUGCAAUCGAACAAUUGUGGUUUGUUUUUGUGGAAAACUCGCUUUGGUAAGAACGUCUUGGACGCCACUGAAUCCAAGAAGGAGGUUUUAUGCGUGCCCUACUAAGGAUUCUGUUUGCGGGUUUAUCGGGUGGGUUGAUCUGCUUAUGUGUGUUAGGAGUAAAACCAUCAUACCUGGUAUUCUAAGAAACAUAAAUACGUUGGAGGAAAGGUGUAAUGGACCGGUAAGAAGUAUGAAUAUGUUACAGGAACAGUGCAAUGGGUGUGAACCAAAAACAAUUACCAAAUUAAGCAAAUGUAACAAAAGUACAUUACCAAAAUGUAACAAAAGUACAUUACCAAAAUACAUGUCAUAAAUUGACCAAAAUGCAUAUUUCAUUAACCACAUGAGUGGAACCAAAAACAAUUACCAAAUUAAGCAUACAAGUGUCUAUGCACCAUACAUAACCACAUCAUCAAAACAUAACUAAAGUUUUCAAAAACAAAAAGUUCUUAACAACAAACAACUAAAUAGUCAUUGCGCCACAACAAACAACCAAACUCACUUCUUGGAUUGAUUUCCACAUUGCCCUUUACAGGUCCUAGAGUUGUGUCCCUUAUUCUUGCAUUUGCUACAAGUAACACUGAUAUGUUUCCUUGAUAGCUUCUGCACUCCAUCAUUUGUUGGCCCUUGGGAAGGUUCUCCUUACAUCUCAUUGACUCCAUCACCUUGACUUGCCUUCUGCCUUUUGCUUAACCUUUCACCCUCACUUUGUCUUCUUUUUUUCUUAGGCCUUCCCACUUGAGUGCGAUGUGGAGGGAUUAGCUUUGUUGGACAAUUACUUUUAGGCAACAUGGGUCUCCCUUUAAUUGGUUCCACCUUAAAUGAAUAAGCUUUUUGCCAUGUCUCUAGCCAAUACACCUUGUGUACCCACUUGUAAAUGUCAAGCUCAGCCUCAGGGUCUUUGCUCAUUUCAUUUAGAGUUGCAAUUGCAUGCCUGCAAGGUAUUCCCAUUAAUUCCCACUUUCUCUUUCUUGGUCUGAUCCUUCAUCCAAUGAUCCGAACUCCUCAUUGUUGAUCACUUCCAUAUCUUCAGGUUCAUGGCCAUGAACAUCAUCAAUACAUGCUCCUUCAACAUCACUUUCAACAUUUAGACAGAAGUCUGCCAUGUCCAUAUCAACAUCUUUUAUAUUGUUCUCCUCAUCCAUUAUGGCAUCCACUUGAUCUUCAUUUUUAGAUUGUUUCCCAUCCUCAUCGUCACCUUCAUCCUUUUCAUUGAAACGACCUGAUUUUUUAUCAAGAAAUUUUUUUCGUUUUUAAUUACUCAAACAAUUUCCAUAAUUCAUAAUUUUCCAAACCAUUUGUUUUUCCCCAAAUCACAAUUAUUACAAUUUCAAUAUACUUUGAAAACAUCAGAUAGUCCCAUCACACAAAAAGAGAGGUAGAGUGCACGCCACGUCAUCACGCCUUGCCUUUGCCCUUCGGCUCUGAAGUACCUGAAACAAUCAACAACCUGUAAGCGAAAUGCUUAGUGAGUUUCCUAGAGCAUACACCACACACACAAACCAUAUAUCACAUAUCCUGUUAGCUAUAAAAGCCACACACAUAUCACGUAAGCCAUUCAUACACGAAACCUGAGAGAAUGCCAUGGGCUACCCCACAUAGUCUUUACCUAGGACUGCCAUGGGCUCCCCCACAUGGCCUUACAUCUAAUGCCAUGGGCUACCCCACAUGGUCUUCACCUAGGACUGCCAUGGGCUACCCCUCAUGGUCUUACAUCCAUUGCCAUGGGCUUCCCCCAGGGUCUUCAUACAAAACAUGCAAUCGCAUAACAAAACACAGAAUAUCUAACACACAUGUCACAGUCACAUAAUGGGCCGGCCUUGGUGCCUUAGACCCAUAGGUAUGGUGAGAAGACUCACCUGUCACAAAUGCUGAACUGACACUUUGCGAACAAAUGUACCCCACAGGCUGCUCCACGCAACUGCCUAUAAAGUGUCAUACAGUUUCCAAUCAUUUCCCAAAGUCCAUCCUGGUCAACUUCAUUCAAGGUCAAGUCAACGGUCCAUGUUGACCCUAACUCGCCGAGUACGACUAGUAACUCGCCGAGUUUCCCCAUAAUAACAUCUACUCGUCGAGUUCAUACAGUUUGAAUGAUAAUCUAAGGUCAUUCGUCGAGUUCCCUUGCUUGACACUCGACACGUGACACGUCUACGAACAUCCAACCAUUGGGGAAAUCUUACUUGACUCGCCGAGUUGUUCCUUCAACUCGCCGAGUUCUAGGUAACCUUCAUCCGACUCACCGAGUUCUAGGCAAAAUUCAUCGGGCUCGCCGAGUUGUUCUUCCAACUCGCGGAGUCCAUGCCUGCCUUCAAAUGACUCACCGAGUCACCCCCUGUGACUCGCCGAGUCCUUUCAGAUCCUAAUCCAUAACGACCCUUUUUGAGCCAUGAAAAGCUUCCAAACUACAGAUCUAGGCUCCUGAGGCAUGCUUUCCACGUAAAGUUGCAAACUUUACGUGCAUGCAAGGCUUUAAGGCCCUAAAAUAGCAAAUCUAAACUUGCAAUGGGGUCAUACACUUGAGGGAAGGUACAUGCUAAGCUCAACUGUUAACUUUAUGCAUCUUAAGGCCAAAAGGAGUUCAGAUCUGAAGUUACAACUUCAGAUCUUGGCUUAAACACAAAAGCCCUUUCUUAGAAUCCAAACACAAGAGGGUUUUGGGUGGAAAUGAGCCAAGAGACAGCUUAAUACCUUCAGAAAGUGCUCCACAGGAGUAGAUCUAGAAUCCCCACGAGCCUUUGCUUCUUCUAGCUUGAUUCCCCAAGAGAUCCCUUCACCAAAUCCCUCCUUCAAGCUUCAAAAUCACCAAGAACACACUCACACUCGAAUAAAGGUUUUAAGGAGGUAUAGAGCUGUAAAGGGGAGGCCAAGGGAGGCUAAUGACCCCUUUAAAUAGGGUGCAAGGCCCUGGAAUCUAGGGUUUCAUCUGCCAGCAUCUACUCGUCGAGUACCAUAAUGGACUUGGCGAGUAGAUCAUUAAACCCCCGUAUCCAAACCCGCUACUACUCGACGAGUAGGGAAGCCAACUCGCCGAGUAGGUCCUCCAAGAAUCCAAACCGAAAUGUCAUCAUCAAUACCUGAGGAUCGGGGUGUUACAUUCAUACUCUUUAUCACUCUCUUCAGAUUCUCAUCCCCUUCAUACUCUUCAACAUCCUCAUCACUUCCAAGUAAAUUUUCCAUAAGGUUAUCAACAAGCUUAUUAUAUUGUUCAUCAUCAUUAACAUGUGGGGUGUUGUAGCAUCCUUCAAUAUGGUCAUUAUCCUGAACCCCAAUCAUCUCAUCCCCUACAUUAGCAAUAUUUGAAGUAAAUGGCUUGUAGCAUCCUAUAACAACAGGGACCAUUUUUGCAAUUUUGUCUAAAAAAAUAUUAAGACUUUUUCCAAUUACGCUUUAAAAAUUAAGGGCUUUUAUAAUAUUAGUCCAAUAUAAAUAGAAAAUAUAAACUAUUUACGAUGCCUUAUUUUAGACAACACUAGAAAAUGGCCACCCGUGGUGUUGGUGACAAUUUUAUUGAUAACUGGGACUUAAAAACCCAUGCCAAAUACAAAAAUGAAACAUGGUUUUACAUGACUAUUUAUGUUCUUUUUUCAAUUUUGCAAUGAACAACACCACCUUCACAUGAACCCAAUCUUCAAAGCUAUCAAGAAAUAUAAAAAAUGCAUAUCUUCCACGACGGUUGAGGAGUAAAGCACCACAUGCUAUCCAAAAUCCAAAAGUGAAACCAGUGGCCCCACCAAUAUAGAACCAUACAUCAAGUUCAUCUAUACCUUCACCCUCACUUUCACCAAUGCUAUGUUGUGUUCCCGAUUCUUCAUCUCCAGGACAUUUUUUGGUAAUGGGAGGUCCACAAAGCCCUAAGUUCCCUUCGUAUCUUGAAGGGUCAAAGGACUGAAGUUGUGUGCUGGAUGGGAUUCUCCCUAACAAGUUAUUGCAUGACACGUCUAGGUAACUCAAUAAGGUCAUUUGAGACAUGCUUGAUGGUAUUUCUCCUGAAAACUUGUUUCUAGAUAAAUCCAAAGUUAAAAGAUUUUUCAUCUCACUGAUGUUCCAUGGGAUCUUUCCAAGAAGAGCGUUCUUUGACAAGUUGAGUGCAAUCAGCUCAUCAAGAUUGGUAAUCUGAUAUGGGAUUUCCCCAGUUAAUUUGUUGCUUGACAGGUCGAUGCUCCUCAACAACUUCAUAUUACUUCUGAUGAAUUCACGUUCAGUUCCUUGCCACUGGAUCAUCACAUGGUCAACAUUAUAUGAAUAUCUUCCUAAUGAAAUGCCACGAUCUAAAUUCUGUAGUUGAGAGACUCCUUGUUGCACCAUGAUCGUAAGAUUACUCAAACAUGAGGGGAUGCUUCCAUGGAAAUGGUUCACGGACAAGUCUAGAAUUUGAAGACUUGCUAAUUGACAUAAUUGUAAAGGGAUGCUUCCAGAGAAGUUGUUUGAUCUUAACAUAAGAACAUACAACCCAGAUAAGCUUUCCCCAAUCCAAACAGGCAAAUUACCAGAAAACUUGUUGGCCCCCAAAUUCAAUGACUUUAAGCUCGUGCAAUUCUUAACAGACAAAGGAAAUUCUACAGAGAAAUCGUUCUUGUAUAAAUCCAAUGCCUCUAGCUUAAUCAUAGAUCCAAGAGAGGCAGGAAGCCUUCCAGAAAGAUUAUUGUGUUCUAAAUUAAGAACUUUUAGUUCUUUGAAAUGCCACAAACAGUCUGGAAGUUGUCCGCUUAGAAAGUUAUGGGAGAG
RNAcentral lists this long non-coding RNA (195797 nucleotides) under Lactuca sativa (garden lettuce). Its description in RNAcentral is "long non-coding RNA (LSAT_LNC006484)". The record is from RNAcentral. Lineage: Eukaryota; Viridiplantae; Streptophyta; Magnoliopsida; Asterales; Asteraceae.